RNAcentral lists this long non-coding RNA (183974 nucleotides) under Prunus persica (peach). Its description in RNAcentral is "long non-coding RNA (PPER_LNC001176)". The record is from RNAcentral. Lineage: Eukaryota; Viridiplantae; Streptophyta; Magnoliopsida; Rosales; Rosaceae.
CAAAAAUUAACGGCUGGAAGAAGAAAGAGAGAGAUGGAUUUCUUGAGUUGUGUACUAUUAUGUCUAAUGGUUGCCUGGAUCGUAAUCCAAGCCCUCCAAAAUUCAUUUGCAAGAAGAAUUCCCACAAACCUUCCACCUGGACCAAAGCCAUUUCCUUUGAUUGGAAAUCUCCUAGAGCUUGGAAACAAACCCCACAUCUCACUAACCAAGCUUUCAAAACGCUAUGGCCCCAUUAUGACUUUACAACUCGGCCAACUAACAACAGUUGUAGUUUCUUCAUCCAUCGUCGCCAAACAAGUCCUCCGAACCUAUGACCGAUUCUUUUGCAACCGAACGAACGCAGAUGCACUCCAAGCCUGCAGCCAUGCCAAGCACGGCAUGCCCUUCAUACCUGUUUCAGCUAAAUGGAGAAACCUUCGCAGAAUAUGCAACUCCCAAUUGUUCGCCACCAAAGUUCUCAACGCCAACCAAGCCAACCGUCAACUAAAAGUGCAAGAGCUCAUAGCUGAUGUCAGCGAAAGCGUGGUAAAAGGUAAGGCAGUUGAAGUUGGAAGGGCUGCUUUCUUAACUACCCUCAAUUUGCUGUCACGUACUGUCUUCUCUGUGGAUCUAGCGGACCCGAAAAGUGAGACGGCUAGAGAGUUCAAGGAGUUGGUGUGGGGUAUCAUGGAAGAGGUCGGGAAACCAAACUUGGCUGACUAUUUUCCUGUGCUUAAGAAGAUUGAUCCCAUGGGGAUACGGCGCCGUUUGACCAAGCACUUCCGGAAGAUGAUUGACCUCUUUGACCGCUUGAUCUUCCAAAGGUUGGAAACAAGAAAAUCACAUGAUUAUGUCACAGCCAAUGAUAUGUUGGAUACUCUUAUAAACAUGAGUGAAGAGAAAAAUGAGGAUAUGGACAUUCCUGAAACUCAUCAUUUGUUUCUGGUUAGUUAUGGAUAUAGCUUUCCUACAUAUACUAAUUGCUAAUUAGAGUGUAUCUUUUUGUGAUUAUUAAGGUUGUUUUUGGUUUUGUUUAUACCAUCUAAACUGACUUAAAGACGGUUGAGAUAGUACACGUAGUUUUAUUAGUUCAUUAUUAUACAUAUAUGCUAGCUCCGAUUAAUUUUCUGACUAAGUAAUCAGCCAUUUGGUGAAUAAUAUAGGAUUUAUUUGUUGCGGCCACAGAAACAACCUCAGCCACAUUGGAAUGGGCAAUGGCUGAGCUACUAUGCAACCCUGAAAAACUGUCAAAAGCUCAAGAGGAGCUAGAACAAGUAAUUGGGAAAGGGAAACCAGUUGAGGAAACAGACACUGCUCGACUUCCUUACUUACAAGCAAUAAUCAAAGAGACCUUUCGGUUGCACCCAGCUCUUCCGUUUCUUCUCCCCCGCAAAGCCGAAGCAGACCUGGAAAUCUGCGGGUAUUUUGUACCCAAGGGUGCACAAGUGUUGGUCAAUGCAUGGGCCAUAGGCAGAGACCCUGGCUUUUGGGACAACCCGGCCUCAUUUAUCCCAGAGAGGUUCUUGGGAUUGGAUAUGGAUGUCGCUGGCGGAAGCUUUGAGCUUAUCCCGUUUGGUGGUGGGAGGAGAAUAUGUCCUGGCUUGCCCUUGGCAAUGAGAAUGUUGAACUUGAUGUUGGGUUCACUUCUUAACUCGUUCCAUAAUUGGAAGCUUGAAGAUGGAGUUGUACCAGAAAACAUGAACAUGGAAGAGAAGUUUGGCAUCACUUUGCAAAUGGCUCAGCCUCUGAGAGCUGCUGCCAUGGCCGUGCCAUAAAAUAUCCUACUAGCUAUUUGUUUUUACCUAAGUUAAUAUGUUGUGAAAUUGAAUAAAAACUAUUCAUGCCAUGGAAUAAAAACUAUUCAUGCCAUGGAUACUCUCACAAGUUCCUCCAAAUAGGUUGUGUCCAUUUUCUUGCCAUGGAAUAAAAAUUGCAUAUUUAACUUUCAGUUGUCCAUUUUUUCUUAUGCUCAUCUGGAAUGGAUUUUGUUUACUCAACGUUGUUUUAACUUCUAGUUUCAGGUUUUCUUCUUCGUGUAGAGCAUUCAUUUUAUUAUAAUAGAUUACAAAACCCAAUCUGAUUUUAAACAAUAAAAUUAUUGCCAAUAAUGAACCAUUUGUUUGAAAGAAGAAAAUUAUUGGCAAUAAUUAAUAGUUUUAGGUGGGUCGAGAUGACAUAUGGGAGAAGAAAAUAAUGGAAGGAAACAACAAAGUAAGAUCCAUUUGUUAAUCAAAGAGUUUUUGCUGUUCACAGUCGCUUAAGGCAACUGCGAAAUCAAACUCUCUCUUUAUUUGAAAAACUUCAAAUUUUUCGCUUUCGUACCAACUAGAGAUUAUAACGACCUUUCGAACAAUAAAUCGAGCGAAGAACAAUUCCAACCAUUGCAUUUCUUGCUAAAAUAUGAAACCUAACUUGAGAAUAUUUGUUUGUAGGAAUUUUUUAUGUAUUCUUCUCCUUGUAGGAGAUCAUAUUUAUAAUACAACGAAACUUUAAUGGGCAAGUAAAUAAUAAAUUCAUAUUUCUAUUUACAGUAGGAAAUCAGGAAUUAAAGUAAAUCAAUUACAAUUAUAAUAAGAAUUCUUGGUAUGAAAAGAAAGUAAGUCAGUGGUCCACAAGACACGCCAACACUCUCUCUCACGUUGGUACAUAGAUGUCGUCAAUGCCCAACUGAUCCAGUGAAUUGUGGAAUGCUUUACUGGAAAUUGCCAAUUUGGCGUCAGCAUUGACAUCAGCCCAAAACUCGGGUUCGCGCUCGGGCUGAACUCCCUCCUGGGCCUACCCAGGUUCGUGGCCCCCACCUCCUACCCGGGCAAGCCUUUGCUGCUAGAAACGUAAUUUGGGCUCAAAACGCUCCCAGCCCGCCCCCUAACUUCUCCACUGAAACUGCUCUUAUACCCAAGCAAGUUCAAGUAUUCCUCCCUUUAUUUAUUUAUUUUUUUAAGAAAAGAGAUAUAUAUUAUUACUGUCUAUUUUGCCACAUGGUAGGAAAGUCCCCACCUAAGUUUUUCUCUUUCGUGUUUAUCUCCUAGCAUGUAGGAUAUAUAUAUAUAUAUAUAUAUAUAUUAUUGAAAAAAUAUGCUCAUGUCCUCUAAACAAUUGUGCCAAAAAUUAACGCCUGGAAGAAGAAAGAGAAAGAUGGAUUUCUUGAGUUGUGUACUAUUAUGUCUAAUGGUUGCCUGGAUCGUAAUCCAAGCCCUCCAAAAUUCAUUUGCAAGAAGAAUUCCCACAAACCUUCCACCUGGACCAAAGCCAUUUCCUUUGAUUGGAAAUCUCCUAGAGCUUGGAAACAAACCCCACAUCUCUCUAACCAAGCUUUCAAAACGCUAUGGCCCCACUAUGACUUUACAACUCGGCCAAAUAACAACAGUUAUAGUUUCUUCAUCCGCCGUAGCCAAACAAGUCCUCCGCACCCACGACCAAUUCUUCUGCAACCGAACUAUCCCGGAUGCAGUCCAAGCCUGCAAGCAUGCCAAGUAUGGCAUGCCGUGGCUGACGGUUUCCUCCACGUGGAGAAACCUCCGCAAAAUAUGCAACUCCCAGCUUUUCGCGGCUAAAGUUCUCGACGCCAAUCAGGCCAACCGUCACCUAAAAGUGCAGGAGCUCAUAGCUGACGUUAAGGAAAGCGUUGUGAAAGGUAAGGCGGCUGAAGUUGGAAGGGCUGCUUUCAAAACUACGCUCAAUUUGAUGUCACGGACUGUGUUCUCUGUGGAUUUAGCGGACCCGAACAGUGAGAGGGCUAGAGAGUUCAAGGAGUUGGUGUGGAGUAUUAUGGAGGAGGCUGGGAAGCCAAACUUGGCUGACUAUUUUCCUGUGCUUAAGAAGAUUGAUCCCAUGGGGAUACGGCGCCGUUUGGGCAAGCACUUCCAGAAGAUGAUUGAUCUUUUUGACCGCAUGAUCGUCCAAAGGUUAGAAUCAAGGAAGUCACGUGAUUAUGUCACAGGGAAUGAAUGUUGGAUACUCUUAUAAACAUGAGCGAAGAGAAAAAUGAGGAUAUGGACAUGGCUGAAACUCAACAUUUGUUUCUGGUUAGUUAUUGCUACUCUAGCUCUAUUAAUUAAUUGAUAAUUAAAUUGCUUAGAUAUUAUAAUUAUAACUUAUUGCUAGAUUGUGUACCAUCUUAAUUGAUCAUUUUAAAAGAGUGCUGCUAAAUGAAUCUUAAAAUUAACUGAGUACACUCUAUGAUCUAAGUACAUCUUAAUAUUUAAAUCAAAAUAUAAAAUUAACUAAGUACACCUUAUUUAACUACCAAAAAUACUCAUUGUACACCCUAAUACACUCUAUCUCGUCCAAAAAAAAAAAAAAAACCAACAACAUUCAUCGAUCUCCCUAUGAUCCCCUUUUCUCCAUACUUUGAUUCUCAAAAAUUUUAACUGUAAAAUCUGGACAGUAUUGUUCUUUUUGAUAUAUCCUAAAUCUAACUAUAAUGAUACAAAAACGUUCAACAUAAUUCUUUGAUUUCAUUCCUCUUGAUGCUAAAACGUUCAAAUUAUGAUUUUGCCUGCGAAAACUUCAAAAUCUUCCUUAGUUCUUUAAUGUUUUAGUCUUUAACUCCAAAUGGUAGAGCAAAUAAACAAAGACUCAAACAAAUAAUUAAUUAGGAUUGCAGAUAAGGACUUCACUGUAAAGAUCAAUCAGCCUUGUAUUUAUAUAUGCCUUCAAUUUUCUUCGAAGAAUGCUAGCCAUUGAUUGAUGUGUGUCUCACAGCGAGUCCAUCCAUCAAUGGCUAACACAAACAAGCACUGCACUGUAUUGAAUCAGCCCCUGCAUAUUUCUUUUAAUAGCUUCAAGUUUAUUCUUGGCAAAACGAAAAUUUCAGCAACUGUAUUGCUGAAAUACACUUUGCUUUGCAAACAUAAGAGCAGUUUUUAAUAUGUCUUCAUGUAAAAUUGCAUUUUCAAGAUCUCAUGUUCAGAGACUGUACAUUCAUCAUGAAAAUUUGCAGAGAGCUAAGAAGAAACAACUACAUUGUGUGGUUUAUUAUAGCAAUCAGUCAAGUCUUUGCAGUUAUUUUUUUUUUCUCUUUUUUUUUUUUCUUUUUUUGAAACUGCUACUCGGUAUUGGCCAAAAGAAAACUGCUCUUUAUUCUUCCAGUUUGGUAUUUUGUAUGUUUUAUACUGAGCAGAAGAGUGAUUGAAAGAAGAAGAGGUUCUACUGAGCUUGGUUUUGAGAGAUAAAAGAGUUCGGCUGUCCAAAUGCUAAGAUGGAGAAGAAGAGAAGUGUAGGGAAAAAUAUGCCGUGUCAUAUUUUAGAUGGUUUUUAAAGAGUGUUGCUAAACGAAUCCUAAAAUUAACUGAGUACACUCUUAAAAUAUGUGGUGUUAUGUUUUACAAUUGAAUAUAUCUUUUUUAGUCAUUUUAUAUUAGGGUAAAUUAGUAAUUCAAUAAAUACUUUGAUAGUAGGGUGUACUUAGUUAAUUUUAGAGUUCGUUUAGCAGCACUCUUUUAAAAUUAUGACUAUGGUCACUUUAUUUUUGUUGAGAUGGUAUAAGUACGUUAAUCCUACACUGAUCAAGGUCUUGUGUUCAAAUCCCCUUAUAUCGCUUUUAUAAAAAUAAAAAUAAAAACUAUAUAUAUAUAUAUAUAUUUGGUGCCCAUAUUAAUUUGACUAAUUAACUUUUUGGUGAAUUAGGAUUUAUUUGGUGCGGGCACAGAUACAACUUCAGCCACAUUAGAAUGGGCAAUGGCUGAGCUAUUACGCAACCCUGAAAAGCUAUCAAAAGCUCAAGAGGAGUUGAAGCAGGUUGUUGGCAAAGGAAAACCAGUGGAGGAAUCAGACAUCACUCGGCUCCCUUACUUACAAGCCAUAAUCAAAGAGACCUUCCGGCUGCACCCAGUUGUCCCACUUCUUCUCCCUCGCAAAGCCCAAGCAGACAUAGAAAUCUGCGGUUACAUUGUACCAAAGGGUGUACAAGUGUUGGUCAACGCAUGGGCCAUCGGCAGAGACCCCAGCAUUUGGGACAACCCUACCUCAUUUAUCCCUGAAAGGUUUUCAGGAUUGGAUAUCGACGUUACUGGCCAGAACUUUGAGCUUAUUCCAUUUGGUGGUGGGAGGAGAAUAUGUCCUGGGUUGCCUUUGGCGAUGAGAAUGUUGAAUUUGAUGUUGGGUUCGCUUAUUAACUCGUUUGAUAAUUGGAAGCUUGAAGAUGGAGUUGUGCCAGAAAAAAUGAACAUGGAUGAGAAGUUUGGCCUCACUUUACAGAUGGCUCAUCCUGUGAUAGCUGUGCCCAUCAAGUAUUAGGAGAACGAAACCUAGCUAGCUAUGGUUUCUAUAAUAAAUAGAUUUAUGUUUUUAUUAGGGAGUUACAAUAAUUAAUCCUACUAAUGAUAGGAAAUGGUCAGUUGUCAAUUACGUUGUUAUUAGGCCAUAACUCCAUAUUUAUGUGUAUGAUAAUGGCUUGUUCUAAUUGUAGAUUAUUCUCUACAUAUUUAUAUAUUUUAUAAUGAUCAUAUGAAUGACUAAGGAAAAAAUAGUUUCUAUAUGGAAUAUGGUAUCAGAGCUAAUGGCUAACGCCGAUUAGCGAUUCUCCCGUUGCCAACAUUGAGAGUCGUUGGUGCUCCGCACUCCUCACCCGUAAGGAGGGUGUUUGUUUAUGUUUAGUGCUUUUUCCUCUCCUCUUCUCAAAGAUGAAUAUAUUUUUUUCUUCCAUGUUAGCGAUUUUUUUUGUAUUGUUUCAUCCUUAGUUAUAUUAACUGCGGGCAUCGGCGGCUUCUUUCUUUUUGUUGUGCCUGAUAAAAUUGACCUUAGAUGGCUUCAUUUUCUUCAAAUCACCCCAGUUGCCUUUCCCAAUCUGAUGAGAUUGGACAAAUAACUUUAAUGGACCAAUAUGCGCAACCCAUGUAGAAAACCAUAUCUAUUAUAGGGUGGACUCCUAUCCUGGUGUAUGAUUUUUGUUUUGUAAAAUCACCCCAGUUUCCCUUCAUUAUGAUGGUAGAUUGACCUUGCGAAGGCUAUAUCUAAAGGAAAAGCAAACAGAGCCAUGCCACUAGAACACAGAUUUUUGUUUUGUAAAUUUUUUAUAAAGUUAUUCGGUGUUGAUUUUUCAAUUUAAAAAAUGUAUUUGGAAGUCUUGUUGGCUCAAUCACUUUUCUUUCUUUGUUCUACUCUUCUAGAUUUGGGAGGGGCUACUUCGGCAACGGGUGAGAACUGGUGUUAGAAGGGGAUGGAAAAGUCGUUGAAAAAUUAGGUUGGUUUUAUUGAUAUAUUUUAUAUUUAUAGUGAAUUGAUGGAAAUGGAAGCAUGUGAUUUGAUUUAACGGAAAUUUUUAAAGGAGUUUGACGUAGGUGGUAAAUAUUGCAACACUUUAAAUAGUUCAAGUGGUUGCUAGAAAAAAUUAAAAAUUCAUGUAGUAAUCCCGCACGUACUAAAAAGUUCGGAUGAUAUUUAUGUAAAUUCCCCUUUAGGGUAAAUAGAGAUAGCUUGUAAAAGCUUCCACUUCUAAAAAAUAAGUCCGGAUCCAAAUUGUUCUUGAAUGUCUUUACCUAAGUUUGUCUCUUAGCUUAGAGGAUGUAUAUAAAAGACUUAAAAGAGUUAGUCUUGAAAAGAUAUUUUCAUGCUUUCUCAAUAAGUCUCAACAAUCGUGCCAAAAAUUAAUUAAGAGUUAGGCGAGAGAUCAAUUUCUUGUGUUGCAUGCAAAUGUGUCUUAUGGUUGCCUGAAUUUCUUGUGGGGGAGCUGGGAGGAGAAGGGGAUGGAGAGAAAGAGAAGGAGGGGGGGGGGGGGGGGUUGUUAUUUAUUAUAAAGAUUUUUUUAAUGUUAAUUUAUUUUAUUAUAUAAUUAAUUUAUUAUUUUUUUAAAGAAACAGCGGGUCCUACAGUAGACACGUUAUCAAUUAAAUCAAAUAGUCAACUUAAUAGAAAGUUUAAAUUGGUCAAAUUUGAAAAUCAUCAAGUGUAAAUUGAUGAAAUUGGAAUUCGAGAGCCUAUGUUCAGAAUGAUCCUAAAUCUUCAGGAAGUCUUUUGACGUUAGUCCUAAUAUAUAUUUGUAAUUCCAUGAGUGUUUCAUGUUGCAUGUUCUGCGGGUCCUUUUCAAAUAAAUCAGCCAUGUGCACAAGAGUGAAUUUAGCUGAAGACAUGUCAUGUCUUCUGUUCAUAAAAAAACAACAAAGAAGGUUACUAGCAUUCCUUAUAUAUAUAUGUGUGUACUUUUUGUUUUUGGGUGAGAAAAGUCCCUUCGAGUGGACAGGAAAUUGUACUUUUUUUGUCUUUUCGCAUUUUUUUUUUCAUGUUAGAGUAGUUUGGGACCAUCCUCGUUCAAAGGAGACAUGUGCAGUUGCAAAAGACCAUCGUGCAUGUUUAUGGGAAAAAACAAAACCUCUAGCCCACUUGGCUAUAAAUUAUUGUAUGUAUGUUGUUUACACCAUAAUGAACCGAGCAGACCCAGCAUCAAAGCGACUAGCACCAAGGCAGCCACGCCUUCUCCCAUGCCGAAGGAAGACACACUUCCGAGGUGCCUGACACCUGCCGAAGCUCUCAGCUGCCAAACCUAAUCUCCAGGACACGUGUCGCCACCACAACGGCUUGCACAAAGUCCCACAUUGGAACUUUGUGCAAAGCUCCCACUUUCACUUCCCUAUAAAUAGGGAACAGUACCAAGGUACAAAAAACGACUAUUCUCCCACUUUUACUGUUACUCUGCCAGAAUUACUACUUGUAACUGACUUAGGCAUCGGAGAGCCUUCGGCCAGCACCACACCGGUGUCCGAAGCUUAAUGAUUGCUUCUCCUCUUUUACCUUCUACAGGUCUCUCACCAACCCAUUUCACCAAGGGCCUCAGCCUUCUUCUCUGCUGAAGACUCAGCACAUCUAAUCACUAAGUUGGACUCAAUAUUGGCCGGGCCAUUUUGAGCAUCAACAGUUUGGCGCCGUCUGUGGGAACUCGACACUUGAAUCCCCUCUUUCUCUAUCAGCCCAGCUGGCUCCUUCACCCCUCAGGCCCCGUCGCCUCUUCUUCACCCCACAUUCUGCUAUGCCGACCGAGGAUAGCCGCGACACCCAGCACCAUACCCCCCGCGAUGGUACUUCUAGAAGGAAAUCUUAGGAAGAUGCCACUCUCCAGGCAGAAGUGGAGCGCCUCCGCGACAGUGUCACUAAAAUGUCGGAAAAAAACGAGCACCUUCAUUGCAAGAACAUUGAGCUAGAACAUGACUACCGUGUUUUAAAGCGGAACUGGGAAAGGACUCACACCCAGGAUGCCCAGCAAGACCUCACCCAGAACGUUGGGCCUACUCAGCCGAACCAGCCGGUACACUCCAGCCACAGUGCCUCGGCCCAAGCUAGGCUCCGCAAAGGUAAAGACCACCUUCAUCCGGAGAUAACCCAGUCGCGACCCCUUUGCGUUCCCCCACCGAGGGACCGGCCCCAUGAACCAGUCAGGAUCUACCAAGAUUGCAGGGAUCGCCUCUCGGACCGUCAGCCGAGGCCGGUCCCUAUCCCUGUCAACCUCGAAGACCCACGGGUGACACACCUGGGCCUCUCGCCAGCCCCCGUCCGCAUACCCGACGAGGAAGGUGUCGGGGACUCGGAUACUUGGGACUUUUAUAAUUCGGAGACCCAGCCAAAUUACCACACCGGGGCGCUGGAAAAUUGGGAACAAUCCCCAGUCCCUGUCUGCCCCGCCCCUAGGCCUUUGGCGCCUGAAACUCUUCCUCAUGCCGACCCGGCCAUGAGGUUUCUCUUUGAAAAGGUCCGGCGCCUGGAAAGCGAACAACAUCGCAGCCCAUCAACUCCUUCUGGGCUAACCACGACCAGGGCCCUUUACCGNNNNNNNNNNNNNNNNNNNNNNNNNNNNNNNNNNNNNNNNNNNNNNNNNNNNNNNNNNNNNNNNNNNNNNNNNNNNNNNNNNNNNNNNNNNNNNNNNNNNNNNNNNNNNNNNNNNNNNNNNNNNNNNNNNNNNNNNNNNNNNNNNNNNNNNNNNNNNNNNNNNNNNNNNNNNNNNNNNNNNNNNNNNNNNNNNNNNNNNNNNNNNNNNNNNNNNNNNNNNNNNNNNNNNNNNNNNNNNNNNNNNNNNNNNNNNNNNNNNNNNNNNNNNNNNNNNNNNNNNNNNNNNNNNNNNNNNNNNNNNNNNNNNNNNNNNNNNNNNNNNNNNNNNNNNNNNNNNNNNNNNNNNNNNNNNNNNNNNNNNNNNNNNNNNNNNNNNNNNNNNNNNNNNNNNNNNNNNNNNNNNNNNNNNNNNNNNNNNNNNNNNNNNNNNNNNNNNNNNNNNNNNNNNNNNNNNNNNNNNNNNNNNNGCAGAGCUGAUGAAGCAGCAGCAGUCCAUGCUAAGGCCGAAUACUUCAAUACCAAGCGGUGGCCCAGCUAACCUGAUGCGCAACGCUUUCGCUGAUCCUCCACUUGCUUCAGCACCGCCCCAGCCCCACUCAGCAUUCUACCCUGCCCCGAGUACUCAGGACAACCAACAACAUAAGCGGAAGGAUAGCUACCAGCAUCCCUUUCGGUAAUAACAAACGUGGCAGACAUGGCAACCACCACCAUUCUAGCGGAGGCAACCCGCCUAGGCCUGCUGAUCGGGCCCCACUUCCAUUCGCACCCAAGCCCAGGUUCGAGGUAUUUACCACCCUCAACACCACCUAUGAGAACGUCCUGGUGCGUGAAGCCCCCAUCAUCCCCAAGCCACCCCCCCGGAGACCAUCCAGCAAGCCAAUGCCAAACACGGGGGUCUUCUGCCGCUUUCAUCAAUUCAGCGGCCAUGACACCGAGUCUUGUGUUGCGUUGCGCAACAUAAUUGAAGGGCUCAUCCGGGAGGGUAAGCUGGACAACUAUGUGCGCAACAUACCAGCCCCGCCUAACCCUCACCAACGACAAAUCAACAUGAUCUCCACCAUCAGCGGAGGUCCUACCCUGGCUGGCACCUCCAACAAUUCCAUCAAACAUUAUGUCCGCUCCACCUAUGCGCACCAGGUCUUCACCACCGAGCAGGGACGAUUGCCAAAGACCCACAGGACUGGCUGGGCCCCCAUUACCUUCUGCGAGGAGGAGGAGCGUGGUGUUAUCCUCCCCCAUGACGAUCCACUCAUUAUCCGGGCUGACAUUUCUAACUUCGACGUUGGGCGUAUCCUGGUGGACACUGGCAGCUCGGUCAGUGUGAUGUUUGCCGAGUGCUUCAAUGAACUCCAGGUCCCGCCUCACCUACUCGACCGAAGCAUCACACCCCUUGUGAGCUUCUCGGGUGAUGUGGUCCAGCCCAUUGGCAGCAUUCAUCUCCCUAUCUCAAUUGGGGCCGCACCCCAGCGGACGACAAUCACUACCCCCUUCCUUAUCGUCGAUUGCCCCACAGCCUACAACGUCAUCCUCGGCUGCCCAGCCCUGGCCCAAAUGAGAGCUUUUAUUUCCACGCAUAUGCUACUGUUGAAGUUCCCCACUCCUAAUGGCCCAGGCACGGUGCGCGGCGACCAACUCGGGGCCCGAAGCUGCUAUGCUUCAGCAGUAAAAUCCACCAAUCGCCAACCUAGGAGCGAGGCCCUUUCGGUAACCAUGGCUCCCGCCCCUCCUCAAGCUGGCACAGACCCACCUGAAGACCCAAGGGAGGAGUCCAUCGCACCGCAGGCCGAACCUAUGGAGGACCUGGAGCUGGUUACCCUCCAUGACGAUAUCCCGGAUCGACAAGUCCGGAUCGGCACCUCCAUCUCGCCAGAGCUUCGCUCUGACCUGGUCGCCUUCCUCCGCCUCAACUCCGAAGUCUUCGCUUGGUCCUACAAUGACAUGCCGGGCAUCUCACCAGACAUCAUAUCUCAUAGGCUUAGCGUCAAUCCUGCCGUCAGACCAGUCCGAUAGAAGCGUCGCGCUUAUGAUCCCGAGCGCUAUGAGGCCAUGAGGGCGGAGGUGGAACGAUUGAGUAGCAUCGGAUUCAUCAGGGAGGUUGACUAUCCUACAUGGCUGGCUAAUGUCGUGAUGGUCCGCAAACCAAGAAAGGGCUGGCGCAUGUGUGUCGACUACACCAACCUUAAUCGGGCUUGCCCAAAGGACAGCUUCCCGCUACCCCGCAUUGACCAGCUAGUCGACGCCACAGCCGGCCACGCCCUCCUUAGCUUCAUGGAUGCUUAUUCAGGUUACAACCAGAUCUUCAUGCACCCCGAAGAUCAGGCCCACACCUCUUUCAUUACGGACCGCGGCCUCUACUGCUAUAAGGUGAUGCCCUUCGGCCUCAAAAACGCCGGGGCUACUUAUCAGCGUCUGGUGAAUCAGCUCUUUGCCCCCCUGAUUGGCAAUACCAUGGAAGUCUAUGUCGAUGACAUGCUAGUCAAGAGUCGCACGGCUGACCAGCACAUCCCCAACCUCUCUGCCAUGUUCACCAUCUUGAAGCAAUACAAAAUGAGGCUUAACCCCACCAAAUGUGCAUUCGGGGUGGCUUCCGGAAAAUUCCUUGGCUUCAUGAUAAGCCAGAGAGGCAUUGAGGCCAGUCCAGAAAAGAUCCAGGCCAUCUUAGAUAUGACAAUACCUAAGACGGUCAAGGAUAUCCAAAGCCUUACAGGGCGUGUCGCAGCCCUGACCAGAUUUAUCUCCAAAGCCACUGACCGCUGCGCCCCAUUCUUCAAGGCCCUUAAAGGCACCAAAAGAAACAUCACCUGGACUGCUGAAUGUGACACGGCUUUCAGCGAGCUGAAGGAGUAUAUGGGCCGGGCCCCUUUAUUGUCAACCCCUGAGCACGGAGACAUCCUCGUGAUUUAUCUCUCCAUCUCAGCUUCGGCUGUUAGCUCUGUGCUCAUCCGAUCAAAAGAUCACGCGGAGCACCCAGUGCAUUAUGUUAGUAAAGCAUUGCAGGAUGCCGAAGUUCGUUACCCGGACAUCGAAAAAUUGGCGUUCGCCCUGGUCGUCUCGGCAAGACGCCUCCGACCAUAUUUCCAAGCUCACACCAUCCAUGUCUUAACCAACCAACCACUCCGACAGGUGUUGCAGAACCCAGAAACUUCUGGGAGGCUGGUCAAAUGGGCCAUUGAACUGGGCGAGUUUGAUCUUCAUUACAAACCCCGCCCGGCUAUGAGGGGUCAGGCCGUUGCUGACUUCCUAUCCGAAUUCACGGAUCCCCAAGCUUCCGCAGCUACCCAGCUCAUAACCGAACCCAAUCCCCCUUCCAGCCAGGACCAAACCCCCACCGAAGGCAAUCUCGACCUAACCCAGCCCCUGUGGACCUUAUUCGUAGACGGCUCUUCUAAUGCCCAGGGCUGUGGGGCCGGCCUCGUUCUCAUCUCCCCAGACAAGGUUGCCCUCGAGUACGCCCUUCGCUUCAAAUUCCAAGCCUCCAACAAUGAGGCCGAAUACGAAGCACUCAUAGCUGGUCUUCGAUUAGCCAAAGAGAUGGAUGCCAGGCAAAUUCAGAUAUUUAGCGAUUCACAACUCGUGGUCCACCAGGUCAACCAGGACUUCACGGCUAAGGAUCCCUCUAUGACGGCCUACCUCCAGCACGCUCGGCACCUGCUGGCGACUUUCCACGCCCACUCUCUCAAGCAAGUGCCGCGCUCCGAGAAUAGCCAUGCCGAUGCACUAGCCAGGUUGGCAUCAGCCUUGGAGCAGGGACUGGGUCGCCACAUCCACAUCGAGUUUUUGGCCCAGCCCAGCACACAAGCCCCACUCAUCUGCACUAUUGAUCACAGCCCCACAUGGAUGGACCCCAUCCUCCAGUUCUUACAGAACCAAACACUACCAGCUAAUCCGGCAGAAGCACGACGCGUACGCCAUCGCUCUGCCCGUUACCUGAUCAUUAACGGCUCCUUAUACAAGCGGGGUUUCAGUCUCCCAUACCUCCGAUGCCUGACUCCAGAGGAGGGUCACUAUGUCCUCCGAGAAAUCCAUGAAGGCAUCUGCGGCAACCACUCGGGCGCACGCUCGCUAGCCCAUAAGGCAAUCCGCCAAGGAUACUUCUGGCCUUCACUCCACACUGACGCCCAGGCCUUCACCCAGAAAUACGACAAGUGUCAGCGAUUCGCCAACAUCCCACAACUCCCGGCUGAACCGUUGACUGCAAUGGUCAGCCCUUGGCCAUUUGCCCAAUGGGGACUGGAUCUCAUUGGACCGAUGCCAGAGGGCAAGGGCCAAGUCAGGUAUGCAGUUGUGGCCGUGGACUACUUCACCAAGUGGGCUGAGGCCGAGGCCUUGGCCACCAUCACUGCGGCUCGCAUCGAAUCCUUUGUGUGGCAAAACAUUGUAUGUCGCUUCGGCAUCCCCAACUCCAUCGUCACCGACAAUGGCCGGCAAUUUGACAACGCCAAAUUCAAACAAUUUUGUUCCAACCUCAAGAUUCGUCUGUGUUUCGCCUCCCCAGCCCAUCCACAGUCCAAUGGCCAGGUCGAAGCCGUGAACAAAAUCAUCAAGAAGACCCUCAAGACAAAACUUGACAAAGCCAAGGGCUGCUGGCCAGAACUACUCCCAGAAGUACUCUGGUCCUACCGCACCACCUUCCGCACAUCCACGGGUGAAACGCCGUUCUCCCUAUCAUUUGGAACCGAGGCCGUGGCUCCGGUAGAGAUUGGCCAGCCCACAUACCGAACCUCCACUUACGAUGCCACGGCCAAUGACGAGCAGUUGGCCCUCAACCUCGACUUCAUUGACGAACUCCGGGACCAAUCGAACAUGCGCAAUGCCGCGUACAAGCAACGCAUCGCCAAAUACUAUGACUCCCGAGUCAAGCCCCGUGCUUUCAAAAUGGGGGACUGGGUCAUGCGCAAGGUUUCCUUGGCUACCAAAAAUCCUAACGAAGGUACCCUCGGCCCUACAUGGGAAGGUCCUUACGAGAUUAUCAAAAUCUGCCGCCCCGGCACUUAUCAGCUUCGUGAUUCCACAGGCAAGACGCUGCCUCACCCGUGGAAUGCUGACCACCUCAAGUACUAUUACAAGUAAACAUAUCUAGACCCUAGGACAAUACUUUGGUCUUGAUUAUUUACUAUAAGUUAGACGUAAGGUAUCUAGACCCUAGACCACUUGUACCUUCUGCCUUUCGGCAUCUAUUUCAAUAAAAUGCCUGACUCAGGCUCAUUCUCAUGAACUCACAUUGUUAUCAUUUUUAACACAAUUGAUAUCAAGCUAAGUUCAUAUCAUAAAUAAAAACAGCCUUGCUCCAGGCAAGGACAAAUGUUCAUACAUAACCACAGUAAACAAAACACAAUCACUAGAGUACAAAAUACAAAAUAGCUAUAACACAUCACGAAGGCAACGCCUUCAGGACUCGGUCGAAGGGGCAUCCUCAGUGGCUGGCUCAGCCUCUGGUGUCGGGGCGCUAGCAUCAGCAGGAGGGGUCUGUGCAGGAGGCUCGCCACUGGUGUCAAAGUUAAUCUCCAGUGAGGGGUUGAACCUAACCAACCUAUCUUCCCAGCGAAGCUGCUCAUCAACCAGUCGGUCCAUGAUAUAGCUCUUCAGCUCCUCUGAGGAUCGGAAGGACUCAAUCGCCUCGGCUCGGGCAGCAGCCACCUCCUCGGCCCUAGAUCUCUUCAGCUCCUCCACCUCCUUGGCCAGGGCCGCCUUUUGAACCAGCAAGGUGUUCUUCUCUCGGAUGGCCUCCUGCGCCUCCGCCAUUUUGCUCUUGGCUAGCUCAUCCCGCCUCUUCAACCUCUGGAUCUCCUUGUCAGCCUUGGCCAUGCUGACGUACAUCUCGCCAAAGGCCUGCAAAACCAAAACCAUGUUAGUCAAUCCACACAAAAAUAAUCCAACACAGGUACAUUCAAAAAGGGCCUAAACACUUACAUAGGCAGAGGUGAGGAUCGUCUUUUGGGCCCGGUCAAUGAAGGAAGAAGCUGGAGUCCUCGCCAAGGCCUCAGGGUCGCUCUUCACGCCUUCCAGGAAGACGUUCACUAAGGGCACCUCCUGCCGGUGCAUAGCCAGGUUGACCUCCUUCUUCUGCUGGCGUAGCCUGCCGAAGUCUACCUUCUCUACCCCUUCAGCGAACACAUCCUCCAUGCCGAAGGGUAGCUUCGGCGGUGCCUGCAGAUCAAAGGGCGGAAGCCUCGGCCCUGCCCCCAUCACAUGCUAAUGAGCCUCCUCCAAAGCCUUCCUCUUCCCCAGCACGUCCGCGACCCGACCCUCAUCAUCAUCCCUGGGUCGUUUUCCAGCACUCUUCUCAGCUUUCUUGGCCCGAGACUCCCUCAGCCGCUUCUGCAUCUCGGCCUCAUCAAUGUCUACGGCCACCUUCGUGCUCCCCCUUAUGAUGCCAGCCACUGUCAAAACAAACAAAGCAAUUCUAUUACUCAAACUUACAAAGGCUCAGUACAAAACAAAAAGAUAACCCAGGUACUUACUUCCUUGCAGCAGUCCGGACUCAAACAAAUUCUUCUGCGUGACUAGGUUCCCGCACUCACGCUCAGUCUCUGAUAGCUGCGCCCUCACCCACUCAACUUCGUCUUCUUGCUCCUUGGAGAUAGGGCCCCACUUCACUGAACCUGCAUCAAGGGUUAGAAACUACUUAGCCAUUUACACUGGCACAAAGGAAGUACAGAACAAAAAAUAGGAGCCAAAACAACACAAUCAGGCAUUGGACAAUCUUAAGGGAUGGGGCAAGGACCUAUAGACUGGAAGUGGGUAGGAAUGUGCUGGACAACGCUCUUCCCUAGAGGACAUUCCCAGUCCCCAUAGGCCAAGCACCACCUGUUCCUCCAGGACUUUUGCGUUGUGGGCUUGUGUCCAAUAAAAUAGCCCCUCUCCUUCGCCUUUCGGCAAUUGGCCUGUACCCAGCCAAAAUUCCCCUGUUGCUUCGAAAUGGAGUACAGGUACAUGAACUGCUCAAACGUUGGCUCCCCUAACCCAGCCAACCACCAGGCGAUAUACACCCCAUGAAGAAGAAUCCAAAAGUUGGGAUUAUACUGCCCCGGUGCAUACCCCAACUUGGCCAACAUCAUCUGAACCCACGGAUGAAACGGCAGUCUGAAGCCGUGCCGAUACAUAUCUGUAAAAAUCAUCACGGAGCCAUCUGAAGGAUAUCUGACUACAUCGGCCUCAGUGGGUAACCUCAAGCCCACAUAGGCUGGCACACAAAAAUCCGUUCGUAGCUGGGCCAAUUUCGCUUCUGUAAGUGUAUUCCGCCUUGGCAACGGGACACCAACCCGGAUGUCUAAUCCCUAUGACACCGAAGCCACGGCUAUACCCACAGACCCUGAUGGUGAUGCCUGGUUGCUCGAACCCACUUCUUGCGUCUGAGGCAAGGCUAGAACCCGAUUUGCUAUAGCCUCUAACUCUAUAUAAUUUCUCUGCAUCUCCCUAUAUGCAGCCGACCCAGAGUCUCCCGAUGGCUCAGCCCUCUCACCCCCAGGCCAUAUCAUCCUACUUUCUAUGGUUCCUUCCACCAUACCCUCUGUCUCUGAACUUUCCUCUUCAGAACAUAUAUAUUGACUCGGCUCUUGACUCUCAGUAUCAUCCCCGCCGAAGGCAGGGGGGUCAAGACUUUCCCUAUCAGAACUUUCAGACAUCUACAAAUAUGGAAAAACAAGAAAAAGGAACUAAAUGCACAUGCAGAGAGGAUCGAACCACAACAACAAGAAUUUGCCAAAUCUUCAUACCAGGCAAGAAUUCUACAUGUUCAUACAUAUGUUCAACAUGUUCAUCAUGUUCAUGCUCAUGUUCAAUGUGUUCUUCCUAACCUUCAACAUGUUCAUGCAAAACAAGACAUUUCAAUUCAAAAGUUCAAGCGAAAUAAGGUCUAACCUUGUUCGUACCACCACGUACAAGUCGCCGGAAAUCACCUCAGCCACAAGCACCACCACAAAACCUUCGCCGGAAAUCUCUUCUCCUCCUCCUCAAAUUCUCACAAUUUUUCUCAACUCAAGCCAAGUGUGAUGCCUUCACCACCCAAGUUCCUUUAAAUAGCCAACUAAGGGUACCACGCCUCGUUUCACGGGCAAACCCUAGCACCCUUUCAUAUUCCCUCCUAAAUCCCUUGUACCUACACACAAUUUGAAAUUCAAUUUUCAAAUAUACAAGCAAGAAACAAAAACAAUUGUGAGAAAUUUAGGGACCUUGCCGAACGGCAAGGCCCGUGCAAAAACAAAAUGGAGCCCCAAAAUUUCAAGUGUCCUAGCCUAUUUCAUAAGCCCAAUCUUAUUACAGGGCUAGGGCCCAAAAUUGUCCAAGGCCAAGACCCAAAUUUGAUCAACACAACGGUCCAAAUAAAAACCUGCUCAAGACACCCUUGCCGAACGGCAAGGGCUAUGCAUGCAUCAAAAAGGGGGCAAAAGGAGACCAUACCGAAGCACACCACCCAGCUGCUGCGCCGAGGACCUCCUGGGCUUGCCAAAACCGCCUGCCGCAGGACUCCCAAAUCGCUGCCAAGUCCCCUGCCGAGUGGUAAGACACGUCCGCCGCUCCAAAUUGCUCAGCAGCUCCUUUGAUCUCGGCAGCUCCACCUCACGCGGCUAGACCAAUUGCCGAAGCCUACCUCACGCGGAUCCGCACCUGGCCCUGCUCAAAGUCCAGCCCACUUGCCGAAGUACCAGCCGCCUUACUCGACCUCUGACCAGCAGCUCCGUGGCCACGACCUGCCGAGCGGCAAGGGCCAGCCACUCGGAUGUGCUCCCAAUCACUCGUGGUUCACCUUGCCGAAGCUGCACAGCCCAGCUUCCCUUGCCGAAACACCACACAACUCGACAACCACCCAAUCACCCUUGCCGAACGGCAAGGGUCUUCCAAAUCCAAUUCUCCAUCCCUGCUGCAGCCUUGCCGAAGCCGAUAUUGCCAAAGCUGCCCAGCCCCUCCUUGCAGAACGGCACCCUCCACCCGUGCUCUUUGCCAAACCGUGAGCUACCCCACCCUAGCUCCAAGUUGCCGAACGGCACCUUCCACCCAUGCUCUUUGCCAACCCGUGAGCUACCCUCAACCCUAGCUCCAAAUUGCCGAACGGCACACUAGCAAACCCCAAUACCAAAAUCUACCAAACUGCCGAAUGAAGCCUUGCCGAACGGCAUGAUGCAUCAUCUCGUUUUUAUACCCCCCUCCUCCAACAACCCUAGCCCUUCUUAAUUGCCAAAGCCCAACUCGGGCCCAACUCUUGCCAAUUGUCGAAGGCCCAAUUCAAGCUAGGCCUUCAAGCCCUCUCAAUAUGACCUAGCUCCCAAGUUCAAAACAAAAAAAUAUAUAUUUUGCUAGACCCUUGCCGAACGGCAAGGGCCAUGGAAGCUUUGUGGGGAGGUCCAAAAAUCCCAAAUGGCCCGGCCAUUCCCAAAAAAAAAAAAAAAAAAAAAAAGGAGCUAGACCCUUGCCGCACGGCAGGAGCCAUGAAAGAAUUGGAGUCUCCAAAAUUUUCAAAGUACCCGGCUCCCUCGAAGGUCUGGCUCCUCUAGGGACCCAGCUCCCAUCCUAUCUGCAACAUGCCCAAGUACCCAGGUACCCAGCUACCAUGUGUUGACGCAACUCCUAGCUUGCCAACUUGGGGGACUAGGGAGUGCCCUGCGGCUCCCAAUGAAGCUGGAAUGCUCGGUUACAAUUACAAAAACUCACAAGUUCCCAACCCAGAAGUUACUUCUCGACCGCGAACUUGGGGGACUACUGUUUACACCAUAAUGAACCGAGCAGACCCAGCAUCAAAGCGACUAGCACCAAGGCAGCCACGCCUUCUCCCAUGCCGAAGGAAGACACACUUCCGAGGUGCCAGACACCUGCCGAAGCUCUCAGCUGCCAAACCUAAUCUCCAGGACACGUGUCGCCACCACAACGGCUUGCACAAAGUCCCACAUUGGAACUUUGUGCAAAGCUCCCACUUUCACUUCCCUAUAAAUAGGGAACAGUACCAAGGUACAAAAAACGACUAUUCUCCCACUUUUACUGUUACUAUGCCAGAAUUACUACUUGUAACUGACUUAGGCAUCGGAGAGCCUUCGGCCAGCACCACACCGGUGUCCGAAGCUUAACGAUUGCUUCUCCUCUUUUACCUUCUACAGGUCUCUCACCAACCCAUUUCACCAAGGGCCUCAGCCUUCUUCUCUGCUGAAGACUCAGCACAUCUAAUCACUAAGUUUGACUCAAUAUUGGCCGGGCCAUUUUGAGCAUCAACAUAUGUCAUUUACCUUCUUCUUCUUCUUUUUUUUUUGUUUUUUUUUUCUGCAUGUCAUUUACUAUUUUACGUGAUAUGUGCAUCUGUGAGAAUGAUAGCUCCCAAACGCUAGGCACCACGAGUGAUAAACUAUUUUGAUUAUAGAAUUUAAAAUUAAAUGAUUUUAACUAUGUGGAAUUUUUUAGACCAAAACUUGAUUUAUUCAAAUGAUAAUAGUUGAAUUUAACAACUUUUGUGCAAUUAGAACCAGAGAGAAUGGAUUUCUUGAGUUUUUGUAUCGUCCUGCUAAACCUUUUCUUUGUGUUGUUGUUCUCAAUUAUUCAAGCUCUGCAAAGCAAAGCCAAUCCCAAAAGGCAUCUUCUCCCACCUAGACCAAAGCCAUGUCCCUUCAUUGGCAAUCUUCUAGAGCUUGGCAACAAACCCCAUCUCUCUCUCACCAAGCUUUCUCAAAUCUAUGGCCCCAUUAUAACUCUGCAACUCGGCCAAUAUUCAUAUUGGGGAUUUCCCAUCCCCACCUUCAAUGGGGAAUGGGUUCCCCGUCUAGCCCUACCUUUUGGGAUUGGCCUUGCUUUGCAGAGCUUGAUAAUUGAGAACAACAACACAAAAAAAGAUGGCAUCAGGUAUGUCAGAAGUCGUAUACUCAAGAAAGAUGGCACCAGGUAUGUCUUUACGUAUUUCAAAUUGUGUGAAAGAUUUUGAACAUGUAUAUUAAAGAAAUCUAACAGUUGGUAUCAGAGCCAGGUUGUUCGCACACACUAAAAUCGUUUUUGAAGCAUGCCUAUUAUGAUUUCUUAUCUGUUUUAUGCCAUGAUGAGUUUUUGGUGAUGUUCAAAAUUUGAAGAUGGAUUAAACAUGUUUUCUAAAUAUCAAGAAUAUUAAAGAAUCUGAAAAAGCAUGUUUUAAUUUGAUUUUCAUAUCUUCAAAACUUUAAACAUGUUUUUGACCUACCCGAUUCAGAAAGGUAUUUUGCGUAAAAAACAGACACCAAAAACGUCUAAAACACUGUUCAUUGCAAAAAUUACUAUUCACUGCAAUUUAGGGUUUUCUCUCUUGAACUGUGUUUGUUUCGUUAUUUUAUGAGCUAGAUAGGUGCUUGUCUUUGUUCUGAGAAUCAACAAAUUUUUCAUAAUAAAACCAAACCUAAAUACUCAAACCCUAAAGAAAUAACAAAAAUUGCAUCAUACCUAAAUUACUUGAUAAGUUUCUUCAACAAAUAGAAUCUAUCCUGUAAUUUAUUUUGCCACAAAGGUGUGAUACUUAAUUAAGGAAGCUUGCAUAUGUUACUUGCAUAUGUUAUUUGUUAGUUUUGUGAAUAAAGUGAAACGGAAAAACUAUUUUCUCUUAAGAAAUUGAGAAUUGGUGUCUUGGAAAGUAAUUAUGUCUUUUUUUUUUUUUUUUACAAAUCCUUACAGCUUUGAACACUCCCUCAAUCAAUUUCUCGCAAAUUGAAAGAUUCACUGGAUCAAACUUCAAAACAUGGACGUAUGAUUUUAAAGUUAUUCUCGGAAUGAAUGAGAUCGUUUAUGAUCUCACUCAUGAUUAUAUUUAAUUCAAGCUAGCCAUUUCACUUAUGUAUCUUGUAGUACAACUCCUAGAGUUUAGGGAAAAGAAAAAGCAUAUGGUGGUUAAUAGGAACCACUCGUGUCAACUAGUCACAAAUGGAAUUCUAGUAAAGAAUACAGUGGAGCUAAUUAAGAAGCGAAACGAAGAUGAGCUAGAGCAAAAAAGGGUUAAGAUGCAACGACGUCGUUGACCUUAUGGAGGACCCAUAAGGAUAUACAUGGCCACAAAGGACGGUCUCAGAAGUCUCAGGAUCACUGUAAAGCUCAGUGUAUUCGCUUAUGGGAGAGGACGAAACAUCAAUAAGCUAAUUCGAUGAAAAAAUCUCUUAGUGCAGUUUGUGAAACAUACGCCCCAAAUUGAAUCACCUGUUGAGAUUUUCGAUACCUCCACUAAUAGGGAGAUAGUGGUACUUAACCCGUUCCUUGCUAGGGAGAACAACACUUUCAUGGCAGCAUGUUGUGACAAGGAGGAUUAGAUAGCUACCUGUUGUUUUCAUUAAAUAUUAUUGGAAUAUUUAAUUUUAAGUUGGAUUCAGGAUUUAUUUUAAAGUAGGAUGAUGUAUUUUCAUUACCCUAAAUAAAGAGAAAUUUAAUUUCUAUUUCAAGAUUAUUAAGACUUUCUUUUAUUUUGGAUUCAAUAAAGAUGUUUUUGUAUCUCAGAAUUCAAAGACAAUAAAGGUGGAUUAUAUUGUCUCAAUUACAAUAAAUCUUUUUGAUCUCAACAAACGGGUGUUCACUAUUAAAAAGAAUGGUGCACUCGUCCACAAAUACUACAGCCAGCUGCAGCACAUCUUUCAGGAAAUUGAUCAUCGCACUCCCAAUCGCAUGCACUGUGGCGCCAAUGUGACUGAGCGCCAGAUAGAAUUAGAUCGUCUUCGUGUUCACCUUUUUCUUGCCGGGCUUGACCUUGAGUUUGAUCAAGUCCGGGGGGAAAUCCUACACAAAGAUCCUAAAAGGGACCUUGACCAAACCUUUGCAUAUGUACGUCGCGAAGCUCAACAAGGACUGACCAUGCUAGUGCUCCAAAAACCGCUGUCAUGGUCACUCAACGUCAACGGGGCCCUCAGAUCUGUACUGGUGGCUCUUCUCAUACUAAGGUCAUAGGCACCCGUCUGGAGCAUAAAUGUACUUACUGUGGUGGAUGUAAACAUACCCAUGCUGGCUAUUACAAAUUGAUUGGGUACCCGGAUUUGUGAGCCCACUCCAAAGCUCCCAGCAAGAAUAGGAGCAAAUCACCCCAACACAUCUUAUGACUCAGAUCCUGUAAGUCCUGCUGUUUCAACUACAUCGGUUCCCGCCUUUGCAUCUGUAGCCAUAAUAGGUACCCAAGGUUAUGUUUUACAUAGUUCUUCAAAGAAACACACAUAGAUCAUUGACACCGGAGCCACUGAUCAUAUGACCUUUGAUCCUAGACAAAUUGCCUCUCAUACACCGUCUCAUCAAUCAGUGGUGUCUAAUGCCAAUGGUACCCCAUCCUCCGUAAUUAGGGAGGGUUCACUCUCUCUCUCUCUCUCUCUCUAACUCCCUCAAUUUGGAUUCUGUGUUGGUUGUUCCAUCCUUACAUCAUAAUCUCUUGUCUGUUGCCCAAAUUACUAAGGCUUUGAAUUGCACUGUAACCUUUUGGCCUACUCAUUGUGGUUUUUAGGACAUUCUCAGCAGCAAGACAAUGGGUUGUAGUACUAGGAGGGGCAAACUUUACUACUUGGACUUAGCAUCUGACAGUGAAGCACAUUAACGAAGUAUGGUUAUGGUAUCGACGUCUUGGACAUGCUUCGUUUGGAUAUUUACAGAAGCUAUUUCCUUCCUUAUUUUCCAAUUUAAAUAUUUUCAAUUUGAAGUGUGACAUUUGUGAAUUGGCCAAGAGCCAUCGUGUUCCUUUUCCCUUACGUUCAAAUAAAAGUUUAGUUCCAUUUUCUCUUGUUCAUUCUAAUGUUUGGGGCCUUGCUAAAGUUACCACUCCAGGGGGAGCUCAAUGGUUUGUCAUGUUUAUAGAUGAUUGCACCCGCAUGACCUGGGUUUCCCUUCUCAAAACAAAAGAGGAAGUCAGUUCCAAGUUUUAAUAGUUCUAUCAAAUGGUGGAGACUCAGUUUCAUGCCAGAAUUCAGAUUCUUCGUUCUGACAAUGACGGAGAAUUUCUCGACCAUGAUCUUAACAAGUUCUUACAAGAUCACGGCAUCAUACAUCAACGCUCAUGCCUCUACACUCCCCAAAAAAAUGGAGUCCCUGAAAGAAAGAACAUACAUUUAUUGAAAGUAGUUCCUGCCUCUCUCUUUGGUGCCAAUAGGCCUCGAUCUUUUUGAGGAGAAGCCGUCGUCUUUACAGCAUACCUCAUCAAUCGGAUUCCUUCCAGUAUCCUAAAUUUCCAAACACCAUUUCAAACGCUUCACCAUCAUAUCCAAAUACCUCAUAUCCCAAACCUAGAACCCCGUUUUUUCGGAUGUGUUGUAUUUGUCCACUUACAUGAUCACCAACGAAGCAAAUUGGAUCCCCGAGUCGAGAAAUGUGUUUUCAUUGGCUAUGCACCUCAUCAGAAAGGAUACUGGUGUUAUCAUCCUCCUAGUCAGAAGGUCUACAAUUCCAUGAAUGUUGUGUUCUGGGAACAUGACUUAUAUUUUUCAGCAGUACAUGAGGAGAAUCAAGAAUCCACCACUCCUCAAAUUCUCAAUUUUUUCCCCCAAGAUGUCACUCUGCUUCAAAACGACCGGUCGCUAGUGGAAAGCGACCGGUCGCCCCCACUUAGGUCUUCAAACAUGGAGAACUUGCUUCCAAACAACCAGUGGCCAGAAGACAACAAAUGGUCGCCAGAGGAAAAUUAUCAGUUGCCUCUACGCUGUCAAAAUCAAAAGGAGGAAAUUGAUCCGUUUUAUGAGAUUUUGCCCGCUUUAGCUCCAGUACCACACCAAUCACCAGCUGAGGAAGUCAUUUAGGUAACAUCUUUUCUUGAAACUGAUAACACUAAUAAAAUAUCCCAUGAUGAUUUGAUUUCAGAAGGCAUAUAGCCUACAUGUCAGCUUCCAAAAAGGAAGAACCGUGGUAAACCUCGAGUACAAUAUGAAGCAAAUCUUAAAGCCAAAGAAAAAUACCCCAUCACUGAUUAUAUAUCUCGCAGUAGAUUAUCAGAGUCACGUGUGCACUAUGUAAAGCAGUUAGCUGACAUAUCUGUCCCCAACAGUGUGACUGAAGCAAUAGAAGACUCAAAAUAAAAAAAAGUCAUGAAUGAAGAAAUGCGAGCUCUCCAAUAGAAUGUCACAUGGGAACUCAUGCCCUUACCUCAUGGAAAGAAGACAGUAGGAUGCAGGUGGAUUUAUACUGUGAUCCAUUGAAAGAUAUAAAGCUAGAUUGGUAGCGAAUGAGUGCAUACAGAGAUAUAUGAUAGACUACCAGGAGACCUUUGCCCCAGUAGCCAAGAUUAACACUAUUAGAGUCCUAUUUUCUCUAACAGCAAAUCUCGAUUGGCCACUGCAUCAAUUUGAUAUUGAAAAUGCAUUCUUACAUGGAGACUUGGAAGAAGAAGUAUAUAUGGACUUACCCCUAAGAUGUAAUUCAGCUCAUAACAAGAAGAAUCAAGUUUGCAAGCUCAGAAAGUCAUUAUAUGGGUUAAAGCAAUCUCCUAGGGCAUGGUUUGGCAGAUUUUCUAAAUCUAUUAAGAAUUUUGGAUAUAAACCGAGUAAUUAAGAUCACACCUUGUUCUUGAGGCAUGAUGAAGGAAAACUUAUUGCAUUGAUUUUUUAUGUAGAUGACAUAGUCGUACUGGAAACGAUGCAUGAGAGCAACUGAAGUUCCAAAAGUAUUUGUCUCAGGAUUUGAGAUGAAGGAUUUAGAUGAUCUGAAGUACUUCCCCGGAAUCGAAGUAGCAAGGUCAAAAACUGGUAUAUUUCUGUCUUAAAGGAAGUAUGUAAUGGAUCGACUCACUGAAAUAUGAAUGCUUGGAUGUAAGCCUGCUGACACACCCAUUGAUAUGAAUCACAAGUUGUGUGAAGAUAUGGACCAAGAACCAACCAAUAUGGAACAAUACUAACACCUUGUUGGAAGGUUGAUAUACAUGGCAUACACAAGACUAUAUAUUGCACAUGCUGUGAGUGUGGUUAGUCAGUUUAUGCAUUCAUCCAGUGUUUCUCAUAGAAAUGCAGUUGACCGAAUCUUAAGAUACUUAAAGUCAGCCCUUGGGAAAGGAUUAAUGUUCUCAAAAAAUGGAGAUCUUGAAGUUGUUGGAUAUACAAAUGUUGAUUGGGCUGGUUCCAGUACAGAUAGACGCUCUAGUUUUGGUUACUUUACAUUUGUUGGAGGUAACCUAGUUACUUGGCAGAGUAAAAAAUAAAAUGUGGUUUCUCGAUCUAGUACAAAAGCAGAGUAUGGCUCAAGGAGUCUGUGAAUUAUUGUGGAUCAGAAGACUCUUGACAGAAUUGGGCUUCAAACUAGAAAAGCCAAUGGAGUUGCAUUUUGACAACAAGUCAGCUAUCGAUAUUGCCCAUAAUCCAAUUCAACAUGAUCGAACCAAACAUGUUGAGGUGGAUAGACAUUUCAUCAAAGGAAAAAUUGAUAAUAAGAUCAUCUGCCUACCAUUCGUAAAAUCAAAAAAUCAAUUGACAGAUGUCUUAACAAAAGCAGUUUGUGUAAGAGUAUUCCAUGACUCACUUACCAAGUUGGGCAUUGGUGACAUAUGCACUAACUUGAGGAGGAGUGUUGAUGUGAGUCUCCUAAUUAAUCAAAGAGAUUUAUUUCCUUGAUUAAUUAAGAGAUUUACUUUCUUGUUUUAUAUAGUUGACAAAUCAUUGUAUAUUUAGGAGAUACUAUCCUAAUUAAUUACUUUAUCUAUAUCCUUGUAAAUCACUUAUGUAAAUUCCUAUAUAUACCUCCUUAUGAAGAAGAAUAAAACUUAACCUAAAGUAUUCAAACCAUAUUCAUAUUUUAGCAAGCUGUAGCCACACCUUUCUUUUACCACUGCAACCUUUUCUUCUAUUAGCCCGUUAUUUUUGUGUCUCCGUUGCACCGUCUUCAUUGCAAACCGUCCCCUCCAUUGAGCUCUCCCGUGGCAAGCCACGACAGCUCCAUGUAUGUCCCUUGGCAGUGAUGGCCAAAUUUCUAUUUCCUCACCGAGCCUCGUCACUACUUGCUGAUCAUUCUCCUCACCAGCCUUUAUCCCUCUCAUGCCAUGUAACUCAAGUGGUUUUGAACUAGGGAUGACAAUGGGUCGAAUCGGGGGUGGGUAUGCCAUUUCCACCCCCAUUCCGUUAAGCUUUUUUCCCAAUUCCCACCUUCAUUAUUGCAAUAUUCAUAUUGGGAAUUCCCCAUCCCUACCUUCAACGGGGAAUGGGUUCCCCGACCUGCCUCAUUACGUACGGAAGAAAAAUCAAUAUAAAACUACUUUUUUUGAAAGAAAAAAAACAGAACUAGAGCAAGAUAAUGAGUACAUAUAAUAUAUUAUCUACGUACAAUGUUUACAUAUUGACUAGGAAGCUAACUAAAUAUAUAAGUAGUUGUAGGGGUCUUUUUGUUCCAGCAGCCUGAUGAAUGGGCUUGGGCUGCCGUAAGAAGGAGACGAACAAAAUUCCCCGAAUGCCUGAGUGCAAUAACCAAGCUCCCAAGAGAGUUUUUUAAAAGUUCAGUGAAACUUUAGAAAAACACUCUUAGGUUAUUUUCACAAAUAGCCAAAUAAAUUGAUUAGUGCCUUAGCUUGAGGAGCUUGUGGCAUGGGAGCUAAGCUUUCACAAGUUUAGUAAUUUGAGAGAGAAAGAGAAGGAACAGAGAGUUAAAAUGGGGGAGAGGCAAAUUAGGAAAAUUUCUUCCUCAUGGGAAAAUGAAACAACUAAAGAGGGGAAUUGGGUGGCUUUAGUAAAUUCCCAACUGCUUGACAAAGCUUGGUCAGGCUCUGGUUGAUGAUGCUUCUAGGUAGAUGAAGCUCCUUUUUAUAAGCGCAAAGGACCCCUAGCUUUGUAUAAUCUCCUUCUUUCUUUUUCUUUGCUUCUUUCUACUAAAUCCUAUUCAGUGAAAUUUUCCUAUCCAAGGUGCAUGGGUAAGGGGCCCUUUGUGGUUCCAAGGGUUUUGAGUGGCUCGACCUUCCCAUGAAGGUGAGGUGCCACCUGCUUUUCUUCUUGGUUUUCAAAAUGUGGCCUAUAGAGGGAAGAAAGAAGGGUAGAGUCUUUUGUCCAUGGGUAUUCAUCCUUCAUUCGUGGAUUUCUUUUGGUCCUGCCAUGGCUCUUUGUUAACCAUCUUGGAAUUCUGACGAGGAUGAAACAUGAUGCCAGGUUUUCCUACAAACUACCGGGCUAGGCUUAUGAGUGCAAUAUUGGCUUAUUAAUGUAUUGUUUCCGGUGCCUAAUGGGUCUUCGUCAAGUUGCUGGAAACGGCCAAUUUGGUUUUGGGCAUUUGAUUGAUGUUGGCUUUGUCCAAGUGCUAUGGCAGAUUACUAGAUAUCCUCCUAAGGCAUUGGGUCAUUUUCCUCCUCUCUCAUGCUAACCCAUGUGUUUGGGCCCUAGGAACGGGCUGGAUUUUUAAUGCUCCCAAGUGGCCUUAAAACUUUUGUUCCUCGAACCCUCAAUGGGCCCUGUGAUGGCUUGUUUCCUUCCAUACCAUAACCUUCUCAGCAAGCCCUAGUUAAUUAUGUGGCUUGGGCCCACUAAAGCCUAUAGCAUGGCUCGGUAUUAAAACAGCGAUUUCUUCGCAUGGCCUUGCAUGUUCGUUUAGCCUAUUUGUGCUUGUGUUUUAUUGCGCCGCAUUAGGCCAUGAUCGGGUCAAGUAGCAUCGGAUUAGAUUGGUAAGCAUGAUUUUAUAAAGCUGGUGCAUUUUGGUCCUUUUGCGCAUGUUUGCUUGGCGUGACACAUGGCCCAUGACUUAUCUAAAUGCGUCCUUUGAUUUCUCUCAUGUCCUGAUUGGGCCUCCUCUGCGAUUAAUUAUUCACAUUGGGCUAAGAAUAAACCUGGGCCUAGCCCUUGGAUUUUUGGGCCUCAACAGUAGUGUAGCUUAAGAUUUGUAUAAAUUUUAUAAAUAUAUAAUAUAAAACUUAGUCGGCACAAUCACUUUAAUAACAUAUUUAUAUAUACUAUAUUCUAAACAGGGAGGGUUUGGGUCUGGGAUUAAAAUACCGUCCCUCCCCUCCCCUAACACCAUUUCCAAAAAUUGAUCGUACCUGUCCUCAUACCCGUUUUUAAUCCUUCUUACCUGACCAUUAGGGUCGAAUCCAUGCGAAGACCCUUACCCGUGGGAAAAAUUGCCAUUCAUAUUUUGAAUAGUUAUCUUCCUUGCACUUGAGAUUCUGUGUUUGAAUCUCACCCACCCAAUAUCGAUCGCUUUUUUUUUUAAAAAAAAAAAAAAUAUAGAAACUAUGUCGUGUAUGUAUCUCAAUCAUUCAUCAAGUUUGAAUCUCAAUAACAAUUGGUUGUUAUAAGAAUGUCCAGUAGAACUAACUAUGAGGAUAGUUUUUUUUUUCUGAGGAAGGUUUAUUGGGGUGCAUAGAGUAAUUGGACUGUCUUGGCUUUAUGGGGCUCCUAUUUAUUAUAGGGUGGAUUCUUAUCCUGGUGUAUGAUUUUUGUUUUGUAAAAUCACCCCAGUUGCCCUUCAAUAUGAUGGUAGAUUGAUCUUGCGACGGCUAUAUCUAAAGGAAAAGCAAACAGAGCCAUGCCACUAGAAUACGGAUUUUUGUUUUGUAAAUUUUUUAUUAAGUUAUUCGGUGUUGAUUUUUCAAGUACUUUUAUUUUUAUUUUAUUAAACCUAGCCAAAACGAAGUCGUUUUGGCUAGGUUAAAAAAAAAAAUUAUUCGGUAGUAGUUGCUGCCCGAUAAAACAGAUUGGGGGAAACCCUAAAUCCCCAACCCCAACCCCUAAUUCUACCCAACCUUCACCCCAGUUGAUGGCCUCCCCACAUGGAUCACCUUCCGGCGCCGCCAAUCUCCUCAUCCAAUGACGGCACCAAACCCCAAAUUCAAUUUGGUUUGAAAUUUGCUCUCAAAAUUGAAAGUAUGUUAUCAUAUUUCCUAAUCUUUUUAUGCUUUGAUGAGAUUGAUUAAUAUGUUGAUUAGUUUGAAUGAAUUAGAGUUUUUAAUUAAUUAAAAUAUUUAGUUUGUAUGUUUUAAUAUGAUGGAUUUCGUCCCUCCAAUUGAAAGUAUGUUAUCCUAAUUUCUAAUCUUUUUUUGUAUGCCUUAAUUGAUUAAUAAAUAUGUUUGUACGUUUUUGUUUUUCUUGAUUAUUAGUUGUUGUCGAUUGUAUUUAUUAGGAGUUUUUUUUUAAGGACCCGCCCCGAAUUUUCUCAAAACCCGAGACGAACCCUUUGGAAUUUCUGACAUCACUCCGAUGUCAGACCCAAUCACUAAAGACCGAGACUUCCUGCCGAAAUUUCGGCAGAGUCUCCCCUAUAAAUUGGACAUUUCCCAAAAAUUUCAACCUGCAUAAAAAUGCAUUUAAUAUUUCCAACUGGCAGCAUGCACAAUAUAAUUCAUGCAAUUCACACAAAUGGCCUUCGGCCUUCCAAUAAUUCUUAAACGAUUAUCAAACAAUUCAAAUACCAAAUAUAACUAAUAUUUAGUCUGCGGCUGCACCUAACAACCUUAGGCUGCCUACGUACCCUCCUUGAGGGAUCAAGUCACACGUAGUUCUUCCCUAAAACCCAGUUCCCCACUUGGGCGAUACCUUAUUUCAUUUUUUUGUAUUUCAUAUAAUCUCCUCAUACGCCGGUACAACCAACGCCACGUAUGGGGCCUGUCAACACGCCGGAUAACCUACGCCACGUGCGACCAUGCCAUACUAUCAUAAUAUCUCCUCAUACACCGGUACAACCAACGCCACGUAUGGGGCCUGUCCCAACGCCGGAUAACCUACGCCACGCGGGACCUCAAUAUCAUAUCACAAAUCUCCCCAUACGCCGGUACAACCAACGCCACGUAUGGGGUCUGUCGACACGCCGGAUAACCUACGCCACGUGCGACCUCAACACAAUAUCACAUAGCUCCCCAUACGCCGGUACAACCAACGCCACGUAUGGGGUCUGUCUCAACGCCGGAUAACCUACGCCACGUGAGACCUGAACAUAAUAUCACAAAUCUCCCCAUACGCCGGUACAACCAACGCCACGUAUGGGGCCUGUCCCAACGCCGGAUAACCUACGCCAUGCGGGACCUCAAUUUCACUUGGUGGUACUUGUGGUAAAUCCAACAUCCGGGGAGGUACCUAAAGUAGUGCGUAUAGCACUCCAAACUGACAUUCUAGACUCUGUUGUACCUUUGUACAACCAUAUAUAAUUAUAAUUAUAUAAAUUAAUUCUAAUAUUGUGUAACCCUCCACAAUCAUCUAGCACCCGAUAAUCCCCCCUAGAAAGGUGAGAUUACUCUGGGAGACUCACGGUCAACCAAGGGUCAAACUACUCUAACCCUGGUCAACCGGACCUGCAGAACCCACGACCUCCAAUUUCCGAUCCGAAGGUCCCUAUGGGUUCUACCAGGUAUAGGACACUUGUCCUAAAACUUUGGCUCAGAUCGAACGGUCGGAUUGCUUACGAUCGCACGAUCUGACAAUUAAUAUAAAAUACAAACUUUAAAAUUAUUAUUCGGAACAUCCGGGGCUCCGAUUCACAAUCCGUGAAUUUCCACACGAUCCUAGAAUUACCUAGAUUAACAUAUAUUAAAUUUGGGUCCAUCCAUCGGUCUCAACCUAUCGAACCCGGAUAACGCACAAUUUGCGAAUAUCCGUUCCAUAGUCAAACGAUGUCCGAAUUGAGAUCCGCAAAAUCCUACGCACUUGUGACAACCUAAGGAUCUCAUCGGAACACAUUGCUACUUUUCUACAGUGCCCACGCUCCGCCGCACGCGCCGGCAGCGCGUGGGUGCCCAAAGCGAUAACGCUUCGCCGGAAAAUCUCAAAACCACGGCUCCAAACUCCUACCCUAGGUAUAACACCCUAUUUGGAGCCACUUUUGUUCUUGGACCUACCCCAAAAAGUGGCCGGAAAUGGCCGAUCACGGCGGCCGAAGUUUCGGCCGAUUUUCAAUUCGAAAAUCGAGUUGUCUACGCUAAGAAUCGAUCUAAUCCUACCCAACCAUCAGCUAGAGCAGCUCGAGAGGUUCAAAAUCCAUACCUGAGUCGACGGAAUUGGUGGCCGGAGGAGGGAGAUCGGCGGCUUUGAAGUUUGGACGACGUCGGCCGCUUCAUCUCCAGAUUCCGGCGAAUCCGCGGCGGCUGGCAGCGGGAGGUGGCUGGGGUAGGAAGAGGACGACGGCCCGGUCAUUUUGGUACCGGUCCCGUCGUCAUUGGUGGCCGGAGGAGAGCACGGCCGGCCAAAACGUGGCCGGCUGUCGCGCGCGGGAGAUAGGAGAGAGAGAGACCCGCGGGGGAGAGAGAGAGAGAGAAAGAGAGAGAAAACCAGAUUUUUAUAAAAAAUCCCAUUUCGAAAUAUUUACGAUUGUGCCACUGGAUUUCUUUUGACCAUAUCUCUCUCGUUAUAACUCCGAUUCGAGCCCACUACGUGUCUAUGAACUCGUCCCAGUACGACCUAUCCAAAAAUACAAGUCACGGUCCCAAACUCUCUCCGGUUAAAAAUAUGACUAAAAUACCCUUAAAUAAUUAAAUAAUUAAAUAGGGGUUAAAUUCGGGAUCGGGGUGUUACAUUUUUUUAUUAUAUUGUAUUUGUUUUUUUUUGUCAAAAUUAUAUCAUAUUUGUUUGUUUGUAUAAAUUGGAUUAAUUUUUGUGUUUAUUAAUCAAUGAAGAUUCUUAUAUAUUUUGGUUAGUUAGAAUAAAUCUUGGCAAUUUGGAUUAUUAAUUAGUUUGUUUGUUUUUUGAAUAGAAAAUAUGGAACGAUACUUUAAGAGAAAGUUCUCAUCAACUACUUCGAGUUCGGAUAAUGUAGGUAGUUUGAACUCAAGAGAUGUGGCUAGUUCGAAAGAAAGUGAGUUGCAAAAUCUUAUGAAUAAUCUUCCUACAGACCCUGGACUUUGACCUCAAAUGUUGGAUUAUGAUCCUAACAUUCGAGAUGAAGUUCGAAGAGCAUAUCUACAAAAAGGUCCCUGUCACCCUAAGAAUCACACAUUUUCACAAAUCGAUCUUUUAGGGUAUGAUUGACGCUUUAAUGUCAAGUGGUUUGAUGAAUUUGAUUGGUUAGAGUACAGUAUAAGCAAAGAUACUGCAUUUUGCUUUUAUUGUUAUCUCUUCAAAUUCAAUUUCAAAAUUGGUCAAGGGUGUAGUGAUGCCUUCACAGAGAUGGGUUUCAGAAAUUGGAAUAAGAAAGAAAGAAUUAAGAAUCAUAUUUGAGGUGUUGGAAGUGUUCAUAAUCAAUAUAAACAAUAUUGUGUAGAUCUUAUGAAUUAGAAGCAAUACAUGCAAACAGUUUUGGGCAUGCAAUCAGACCAAGCUCGUAUUGAUUAUCGUAUUUGCUUGAUAGCUUCUCUUGGUUGCAUAAGAUUUUUGUUGAAGCAAGGUCUUCAUUUUCGCGGUCAUGAUGAGAGUGACACUUCAAACAACAGAGAGAAUUAUUUGGAGCUCUUACAAUUUCUUGCUGAUCAUGAUGAGAAAGUUAAGGCCGUUGUGUUAAAAAAUGCUCCAAAGAAUCUCAAGCUAAUAGCUUUAACAAUUCAAAAAGAUCUUGUGAAUGCUUGUGCGACUGAAACUAUUAACUAAAUCAUUAAGGAUAUGGAUGGUGCAUUCUUUUCUUUAUUAGUUGAUGAAUCUCAUGAUGUGUCAGUAAAAGAAGAGAUGGCAGUGGUGUUUUGUUAUGUGGACAAAAGUGGGGAUGUAAUUGAAAGGUUUGUGGGCAUUCAACAUAUUAGCGACACUACAUCAAACUCACUAAAUGAGGCUAUUGACACAUUGUUUUCAAGAGAGGAAUUGAGCAUUUCUAUGCUAAGGGGACAAUGAUAUGAUGGAGCUAGUAAUACGAAGGGUGAGUUCAAUGGUCUUAAAACAUGAAUUUUGAGAGAAAAUCCAUGUGCUUAUUAUAUUCAUUGUUUUGCAUAUCAACUUCAAUUAGCUCUUGUGGCCAUGACAAAGGGAAAUGCUGAUAUUGCCACUUUCUUCUUGCAAUAGCUUGGUUAAUAUUGUUAGAGCAUAAUGUAAGCGUUGUGACAUGCUUAAAGAUCAACUCUAAAAUGAUGUUAUGGAAGUUCUUGAAAAAGAUACUCUUCCAACAUGGCGAGGCUUAAAUCAAGAAACUUGUCUCAAGCGUCCCGGUGAUGCACGUUGGAACUCACAUUAUAGUACAUUACUUAGUAUCAUUUCCAUGUUCAAAUAUGUGGUGAAAGUGCUUAAAUUGAUUAUUGUGGAUGGCUCCACUGAUAAUAUAGGUGAAGCAAAUAGAUCAUUGAGAGAAAUACAAUCCUUUGAGUUUGUUGUAAAAACAAAAAUCCUGCGACAAAUAAGACAAGAAUAUGUGUACAAAAUAAUAUUUGUAUUAAUGAAGUUUAGAGUUACAAGCUCUAUAUGAAAUCCUCUAAUUCAAUCUCCAAAGCGUUUAAAGAAAAUUUGUAUUUGAUACAAGAAGGGUCAUAGAGAAUUGAUCUUGAUCAAACGGGUAGCACAAGGCUUGUUUGGUGAUUGGAUCUUUCUAGGGUAGAGGAACUGACAUGUAUUUGUUGUGCUUGGUGGCUCUUCCAAAGUGAGGUGAAGAAUGCAUAGAGCUUUCUGUUUCUUAUGAGUGCUUGGUGUGUCUAAGCUCUUGGUCCUUUCUCACAAAUAUGAGCCUAGUAUUUAUAGGCAAAGAAGUGGGUCUUGGUUUGGAAUCCCUAAUCUGAAUCCCUUGAUUUGUGGUAUUGAUUUCUAAUUUGAUUUAAUUUGAGCUAAUUGAUUUAAUUUAGCUCUUAAUUAAGUCAAAAUCAUUUAGUUAGGGAAAUUAACUCGUGAUUUAUGAAGAUGACUAAAUAAGGAUAAUUUAUUCCUUUUUGGCAGAUGAUUUCAUUUAAUUGAUGAAGUCCUUAGAUGCUAACAUGUGUCAUUUCCGGUGCACAUCUUUGUCUACGUGAGUCAUGUGCCACGUAUAUUUGUGUGGGGCCCACAGAUUUUCUAGUUAUCUUUGACUAGUCAAAUUUUGAAUUUUGACUAUUAACUAUAAAUUAGUGAAUUUAUAUUUCACCAAAAUUUCCAUGUCUACAUUUGUAUUUCACCUAUUUUUCAUGGGAUCUAUAUUGGGAGCCACAAAUGAUUUGUCACAAGCAUUACCAAAGAAAGAUCAAGACAUUGGGAAUGCAUUUACUUUAGUCAAAGAUUGCAAGGACCAACUACAACACAUGAGAGAGAAUGCAAUUGAAGCCUGGUUUGAUCAAGUAUCUUCCUUUUGUGGAAAACAUGAUGUCGAGGUUCCGAACGUGGAUGAUGCAUAUGUAGCUCAAUAGAGAUCACAUCGGAGAGCUCCUAGAAUAACACAUCUCCUUCAUUGUUGUGUGGACAUCUUUAUUCAAAUCAUUGAGUGGCGACUUGCAGAAUUAAAUCAUCGUUUCAUGAGGUAAAUACUGAGUUACUUCUUUGUUCGGUAUGUUUGAGUCCGGAUGAUUCAUUCAUAGCUUUUGACAAACAAAAGCUACUUCAUUUUACUGAAUUUUAUCCUAAAGAUUUUAAUCCCCGAGACCUCUUGGUACUUGAAGAUCAACUUAGGAUUUAUAUUCAUUAUAUGCGUACGAAGAGCCAUUUUUUCUCAAUUGAAAGGGGUUAGUAGCCUUGCAAGAAAAAUGGUAGAGAAAGGGUUGCAUUGAACAUUUAAUUAUGUUUAUUUGCUUCUCACAUUAGCCUUAACUUUACCGGUUGCAAUAGCUUCUGUGGAGAGAGCAUUUUUUGCUAUGAAUAUUGUGAAAGGUCAACUUCGUAAUUGAAUGGGAGAUCAAUAGUUGAGUGAUAUCUUACUUGUUUAUAUUGAGAAAGAUGUGUUCGUAUUGAUAAUAAAACUAUAAUGCGACAUUUUUAGAAAAUGAAAACUCUUCAUGGACAAUUGUAAUGUGGUUUUUCAAUUAAUUACGAAUUAUAAUAUUAUAUCGUUUCAUUUCUUUUUUGGUCUAUUUUGUAUAGAAUUUUUUUAACCUUUUAGACAUUGACCCCUAAAAGGAAAAUUCCUGGAUCUACCACUGGAAUGGACGAUAUUCAUUCCUAUAUUUAGGAACGUUGGGAAAUGAGGACUAGAAAAUGCAAUUAUCUCUCAUUCUCAUGUUUGGUUACUGCAGUAAUUAGGAAUGAAAAUUUAUCAAGGGUAUGAAAUUCCCCCUACAUGCGAAGUCCAUACCCAUGAGUCUAUAAUUGUAUUCCCAAGUAUGCAAUUACCAAACAUAGGAAUGCAAUUUGAAACCUAUUCCUAAGCUCCUAAACCUUGAACCAUGUGUGUGCCAUGGAUUUAAUUUGAAUUUCUCAUUCUAUCUAAGAUCAACUUUGAUAAUCUUUUUCUUUGUUUACUCUUCCAAUAUUUUUACAUUGAUAGAAUUUCGGUUUUACUUACUUAAGAUACCAAAUUUGUAAUAUUGAAAUUUAAUAAUUAUAAUAAAUUCUCAAGUAUAUCAUAAAGUUAUUUAAAGUUGGCACUCCUUGAUAAAAUUCUCAAGUAUACGAAAGAGUUAUUUAAAGUUGACACUCCUUGAUAAAAUUCAUAUCUCCGCCGUUGACAAGAAACUUGGAAUCCAUUGGAUUCAAGACCUCGGCCUCAAGAGAAUAAGCUUUACACGCUCAUGUGUACCUAAAAGUCCAAUACCUUCAUGUUGGCUAAGUUGUGGGCCAAAUUCAGGUCCUCCAUACUUUUCUUUCUUAAAAGUUAUGAAGGGAGUUUAGGGUAUUUUUGAUAAAUAAAAAAAUAGAGGAGUUUUACCUACAAGUAGUGGCGAAUCCAGUAAGGAGUCAGUGAAGGCACUAGCCCCACUCAGUUUUGUCUACACCUAUGAAGUGUCAAGUUUUCAUGAUAUUUUAUGUUGAAUGAGGGCAAAUUGUUUGAUAAAAAUGCCUCAACGAAGGCUAAAGUGGGGCAGUGAGGGGGCAAAUGAAUGGUCUUUACCCGUAUUAGGAAAAACUUUACAGGUUGUUGGUAGGCUCCAUUAGCCACUCCAUGCAAGGCCAUACUUUACAUGUUCUCACCCCAGGCAGGAAAUUUUUUUACGCGGUAGAUUUAAAACAUGACUGAGAAAUAUCAUAUAUUUUCAGUCUUUUUGUCUGAGCCAAAAUUUUCCGCGCUUACACCUCCAAUCCAUUAACCUUUGUUUCUUUCUUCCACCACAACACUUUCUCUUCCCUGUGCUUUCAUCCCUGGUAAUGUUAUAGCUGCUCCUCGGGGUUAUAAGAUUUUUAUUUCUUCUUUUCAACACCUUCUCUUCCUUGUGCUUUCAUACCUGGCAAUAUCAUAGCUGCUCCUCCAGGUAUUAGAAUAUUUUUAUUACUUAUUUUUUAAUUUUUUUUUGCUUUAUGAUAUAUGGGUAUUUUCUAUUUUGCUUAUACAAAGUUUUCUGAUGUUCUUAUAUGGUAUGGGAUUGUUAACUAAAAAGAUUUGGGUUUCUUUGGAAAUCACGAAGGUUGGAAUUGGAAAAACAGAAAGCACUGAUGGAUGGGUUAUAUGGGUUUGGCCACUAAUUGCUCUUUAUUUUUGUAUGGUUUUGGCUAAGUUAUUCUAUUUCGUUUUUUGGUUGAAAGUUUAUCUAAUUCAGGUUUGAUAUGCACUUACGAGUUUGGCUUUUGGUUUAAGCAUUGCUACAGUAUUCUUUGCUAUUGUUUACCAAUGUCCAAUUGACUAAUAUUUUUGUUAUUUUUUGCUUUAAUAGAUGAAAAUUUAGAGAUGGGAAGCCCACAGAAAAGACUCGGGACAUAUGAAUUCAUGGAAGAUGUUAAUGAGAAUAAUUCAGAUUUAGUUUUCAAUCCUCAAGUAGAAGAUCAGCAUGAACCAAAAAUUGGUCAAGAGUUUGAAUCACUUGAGGAUGUCUAUAACUUGUACAAAAACUAUGCAAAAUAAGAGGGAUUUAGUGUUUGAAGUUAUUGUCAGCAAAAGAGUAAAACUUCUAGUGAGAUCUUAAGAAAAGAAUAUGUAUGCUACAAAGAGGGAGUAUAUUCGAAAGAAGUUUCUAAUAGAAGUGAAAGGCGGCGAGGUGUAGUACGAAGUAGAUGUAAGGCUAAAAUUCUGAAGUAAGAGAAGGAACAAAAUACAUAAUUUCUAACUUUGUGGAGGGCCACAAUCAUGCUUCGAUCGGCCCUCAUAUGGUACAUUUGUUGAAAUCGUAUCGCGAAAUUUCUGAAGUUAAUAUCCCAAAGCAUCAACAAUUUAGUCUUCUUGAAGUGCAAGCAGGAGCGAUGCAAAACAUUGGAUAUACAAAGAAAGAUUUAUAUAACUACAAAAGACAAUUGCAGAGAAAGAUGAAGGGGCAUGAUGCACAUAUAUGUUGAGUGAGCAUUUUAUUGGUGAGCAAAAAAAAAAGAAUCAUUCUUUUUUAUGAUAGAGGCUGACGAUGAUGAUAGGCUUAAACAUGGUUUUUGGGCUGAUAAUUAUUAGAUUGGGUAAAAAAUAAUAUUUCAUUCAUAUUGAUAUAUAAUAAUAGGAAGGUUAUAUAUACAGAGCCUAGGAAACUAUUCUAGGAAAGUAAUUAUGUUCCUAUAAUCUUGUAGAAUCAAAUAGUUGACUUAGACUAGUUAGGAAUGUACAGCUUAUUAACACUCCCCCUCAAGUUGGAGCAUAUAUGUCGUCAAUGCCCAACUUGCUAAGUAAGCUGUGAAAUACCCUGCCUGUGACUGCUUUGGUACCUUAAUGAAAUGUCUGUCAACUUCAACAUGCUUAGUUCUAUCAUGUUGCACUGGAUUAUGUGCAAUGUCUAUUGCAGCUUUGUUGUCACAAUUCAGUUGCAUGGCAUGUUUGGGUUUGAACCCCAAUUCCCCCAACAAAUUCCUUAUCUAGAGUAGCUCACAUACUCCGUGUGCCAUACUUCGAUAUUCUGCUUCAACACUUGAUCUUGACACUACUUUUUAUUUUUUACUUCACCAAGAUACUAGAUUGCUUCCCACAAAGGUAAAGUAUCCAGAUGUAGAUCGCCUGUCAGUAACAGAGCCCGCCCAGUCUGCAUCAGUGUGACCCUCAACAUCUAGAUGACCAUGUUGUGCGAACAUCAAUCCUCUUCCAAGAUAUGACUUCAAAUAUCUCGGAAUUCGGUUUACUGCAUCCAUGUGGGCUUCACUUGGUGCAUGCAUGAACUGACUCACCACACUUACAGCAUAUGCUAUAUCAGGUCUAGUAUGUCCUAGGUAGAUUAACUUACCCACAAGGCGUUGAUAUCUUUCUUUGUUGAUGGGUACCUAAUCAGGAUAUUCACCAAGCUGAUGAUUCAACUCCAUUGGCGUAUCUAUUGGUUUGCUUGCUAACAUUCCAGUGUUAGUCAAAAUGUCAAGGAUAUAUUUCCGUUGUGAUAGAAAUAUUCCUUGUUCUGAACGAGCCUCUUCGAUUCCUAGGAAAUACUUCAGAGCUCCAAGAUCUUUCAUUUCAAACUCACUUGCCAAGUGGUGCUGCAAUGCUGCCUUUUCCACUGGGUCAUUCCCGGUAACUACCAUGUCAUCAACAUAUACAAUAAGGGCAGUGACUUUACCUUUCUUAUGUUUCAAGAAAAGAGUACCUUUCUUAUGUUUCAAGAAAAGAGUAUGAUCUGAAUUACUUUGGUUGUAUCCAAAAUCCUUCAUUGAUUUGCUGAACUUUCCAAACCAUGCUCUGGGUGACUUCUUCAAUCCAUAAAGAGACUUUCUCAGUUUACACACCAUGUUGCUAGUAUUGGGCCCCAUCUUGCAUCCUGGAGGGGAAUCCAUAUAGACUUCUUCUUCUAGGUCGUCAUGCAGGAAGGUAUUUUUGACAUCAAACUGGUGUAAUGGCCAAUUUAGGUUUGCUGCCAAAGAAAGAAGUACCUGAAUUGUGUUUAUCUUGGCUACAUGGGCAAAGGUCUCCCCAUUGUCAAUCCCAUAAGUCUGAGUAUAACCUUUCACCACCAAUCUUGCUUUGUAUCAUUCAAUGGUGCCAUCUGCCUCAAACUUUACUGUAUAUAUCCAUCUACAACCCACUGUUAUCUUCCCUUUAUGAAAGAUAGUCAUCUCCCAGUGGAAUUCUUCUGGAGGGCCUCCAUGUGAUCAUUCAUUGCUUGAGUCCACUUGGGAUCUUUCAGAGCUUCCUGCACAUUACUUGGAAUAGAUACAGUGGAUAAUUGACAUACAAAUGAUGCACAUGAUGGAGACAACCUAUGUAGGGACACAUGAUUAGCAAUAGGGUAUUUAACUUUUGUUUUUUGGUCUGGAUCAUAUUGUUGUUUAGGAAUCCCUCUAGUGGUACGAAUAUGUAACUUAUAACCUGUGUUUCCUGUAUGACUCGACUCAGGUAAAGUGCUUAAGUUGGAGUUUAAAUGUUCAGUUACUUGUGGGGAAUCUCCAGGACCUGAUUGGAUGAUUGGUGAUGGUACUGUAGUAGGAGGGAAAUUAUUUGAAACAUUUCUUGAGUUUCCAGUAACUCUUGAUCUUGUUGCACUACUGUAGCUGGUUGCUCGGACACUGAUUGCUCUAAAACAUUUUGUUGAAUUUGGAUGAUCUGAGUAUCUUCUGCAAAGAUAGAGCUCUCCCCCUGCAGAGGAUGCUCAGAAACUCCUCCUGAGUAAUAGAACUCACUCUCGUGGAAAGUCACAUCUGCGGUAACAUGCAUGGUCUGAGUGGGAGGAUGGAAACACUUAUAGCCCUUCUGUGUCAGCAUAACCCACAAAGACACAACGCAGUGCACAUGGGUCAAGCUUGCCACCCUGAUGUGGAUACACCUGAACAUAAGCAGCACAACCAAAGAGACGUGGUUCGAGAUUUGGUGUGGAUGGCAUGUUGAGGAGAGUGGUCAAUGUCUGAAAUGGAGUUUGAUACUGAAGAGUGCUGGAUGGUGUUCUAUUAAUGAGGUAAGCAGCAGAACAAAGAGCCUCCUCCCAAAAAUGAUGAGGCAUACAUGCCUCAAAUAAAGAGGCACGAACAACCUCUAAGAGAUGAUGAUUCUUACGCUCUGCGACGCCAUUCUGUUGUGGUUUAUGGUGUAUAGGCACAUGUGGUUUGAUGAACAAUUCCAUGUUGACUUCAAAAAUUAUGUAGGUCAUGGUUGGCGUGUAACACCCCGACUCCAAAUUUAACCCUUAUUUAAGUUAUUUAAAUUAUUUAAGGGAAAUUACAAAUUUACCCUUGAGAUAAGGGCAUUUUGGUCAUUUUCUUAACCGAGAGAGUUUGGGACAGUGACUAGUAUUUUUGGAUAGGUCGUACCGAGAGGAGUUCGUAGACACGUAGUGGGCUCGAAUCGAAGUUGUAACGAGAGAGAUAUGGUCAAAAGAAACCCAGUGGCACAAUCGUAAUUAUUUCGAAAUGAGAUUUUUUUAUAAAAAAUCAUAUUUCUCUCUCUCUCUCUCUCUCUCUCUCUCUCUCUCUCUCUCUCUCUCUCUCUCUCUCUCUCUCCUGCGAGCUCUCUCUCUCUCUCCUCGUAUCUCCGGCCACCAGUCGCGGCUGCAGACGGGACCGGUGCCAAAAGGACCGGCUCGGCCUCGGCGUCACAACCCAGCCCUCCCCCGACAUCGGCCGCCGCUCCAGCUGCCGAAAAAAGGCGAUUUUCGCCCGAUUUUUGCCCGAACUUCGUCGACUCCGAUCUCCCUCCUCUAGCCGCCAUUUUUCGCGAUCAAGGUAUGGAAAUUCAUCCAUUCUUCAUACUCUAACUGAUGGUUGGGUAGGAUUGGAUAGAUUCUUAGCGUAACCAAUUCGAUUUACGAAUUGAAAUUCGAAUCACGAUUCCAGCCACUUCCGGUCAAUUUUUGGGGUAGGUCGAAGAACAAAAGUGGCUCCAAAUAGGGUGUUAUACCUAGGGUAGGAGUUUGGAGCCGUGGUUUUGAGAUUUUCCGGUGGUGCGUAAUCGCUUUGGACACCCAACGCUGCCGGAGCGUGUGGCGGCGCGUGGGCCAGGGUAGUGGAGUAGCACUGUGUCUUGAUGAGAUCCUUAGGUUGUCACGAGUGCAUAGGAUUUUGCGGAUCUCAAUUCGGACGUCGUUUGACUAUCGAACGGACGAUCGCAUAUUGCACGUUAUCCGGGUUUGAUAGGCAGGGACCGUUGGAUGGUCUCAAAUUUAAUAUAUGUUAAUCUAGGUAUUUCUAGGAUCGUGUAGGAAUUCACGGAUCGUGAAUCGGAACCCCGGAUGUUCUAAUUAAAUAAUUUAAAGUUUAUGUUUUAUAAUAACCAUCAGAUCGUGCGAUCGUGAGCGAUCCGACCGUCCGAUCUGAACCAAACUUGCAGGACGAGUGUCCUAUACCUUGUAGAACCCAUAGGAACUUUCGGAUCGGAAUUUGGAGGUCGUGGGUCCUGUGGGCCCGUUGACCAGGCUUUGGGUAGUUUGACCCUUGGUUGACCGUGAGUCUCCCGGAGUAAUCUCACCUUCCCAGGGGGAUUAUCAGGUGCUAGACUAUUGUUGAGGUCUACACAAUAUUAGAAUUAUUAUAUAUGUUUGUAAAAGUACAAAAAGAGUCUAGAAUGUCAGUUUGAAGUGCUAUACGCACUACUUUAGGCACAUCCUCGGAUUUCAGUUACACUACACGUACCACCCUGAGAAAGUUAGGUCCCACGUGGCGUAGGUUAUCCGGCGUGCGGACAGACCCCAUACGUGGCAUUGGUAGUAUCGGUGUAUGGGGAGGUUACAUGACAAUAUGUUGAGGUCGCACGUGGCGUAGGUUAUCCGGCGUGUCGACAGACCCCAUACGUGGUGUUGGUUGUACCGGCGUAUGGGGAGAUAUGUGAUAUGAUGUGUAGGUCUCGCAUGGCGUAGGUUAUCCGGCGUUGAGACAGACCCCAUACGUGGCGUUGGUUGUACCGGCGUAUGGGGAGAUUAUGUGGUAUUGUGUUGAGGUCGCACGUGGCGUAGGUUAUCCGGCGUGUCGACAAACCCCAUACGUGGCGUUGGUUGUACCGGUGUAUGGGGAGAUAUUGUGAUAUGAUAUGCAGGUCUCGCGUGGCGUAGGUUAUCCGGCGUUGAGAUAGACCCCAUACAUGGCGUUGGUGGUACCGAUGUAUGGGGGAGAUAUUGUGACAGUAUGGUAUGGUCGCACGUGGCGUAGGUUAUCCGGCGUGUUGACAGGUCCCAUACGUGGCGUUGGUUGUACCGGCGUAUGGGGAGGUUAUGUGAAAUACAGAGAAAUAAAAUAAGGUAUCGCCUAUGUGUGGAAUUGGGUCUUAGGAAGAACUACGUGUGGCUUGAUCCCUCAGUGAGGGUACGUAGGCAGCCUAAGGUUAUUAGGUGCAGCCGCAGACUAAAUGUUAGUCAUAAUUUAUAUUUGAAUUUAUUAUUUGGCUUGUUUAAGGCAUGAAUUCACUUGUUAGCGUGUUUGGUAGUUUGUUGAGAAUUAUUGGAAGGUCGAAGGCCAUUUAUGUGAAUUGCAUGAAAUUAUAUUGUGCAUGCUGCCAGUUGUGGAUAUUAAAUGCAUUUUUAUGCAGGUUGAAAUUUUGGGAAAUGUCCAGUUUAUAAGGGAGACUCUGCCGAAAUUUUGGCAGAAAGUCUCGGUCUUUAGUAAGUGGGCUCGACAUCAGGGUAAUGUCAGGAAUUCCACAGGAUUCGCCUCGGGUUUUGGGAAAUUCAGGGCGGGUCAUUUCAGGUGUAGUCUCCUCCAUUGUCAGACCGAAGUGUAGUGAUUUUCUUGUCAAACUGAGUAGCAACAUAUUGAUAAAAUAACUUGAAUUUGGCAGUGACUUCACUUUUCUACUUUAGGGGAAAAACCCAGGUCAUCCGGGUGCAAUCAUUAAUAAACGUCAUAAACCACUUAAAACCGCUAAUAGUGGGAACUCGUGAUGGUCCCCAAACAUCAGAAUGGAUAAUUAUGAAAGGCAGAGAACUUUUAUUCAAUCUUAAUGGGUAAGAAAUACGAUGGCUUUUCUCCAAAAUGCAAGUUUCACAAUGAAAGUCUAAUUCAGCAAACUAGGAAAACAAAUAUGGAAAUAAAAGUUUCUGAUAACCAAAAGAAGCAUGCCCUAAUUGUCUAUGCCAUAGCCAAAUUUUCUUCAUCCUGAUAGACUCAUCUCCUCUCACAUGAUGUGCGUGACUCAAUCUCGUACUGCUGUCUUCUGGCAAGUCCAGAUAUGACAACUUUCCCCUCUGAGUACCACAUCCAAUCACGGCCUUGGUGAGAAGAUCCUAAAAUAGACAAUACAAUGGCCAAAAACACACGGUACAAUUAAGGGAAUCAAUGAUUUGAGGAAUAGAUAACAAGUCAUAGUCGAGUGAAAGGAAAACUAAGACAUGAUCAAGACUUAAUGAGGAUGUAAGAGAUAAAGACUCUUCUGCCAUAACUUGGGAGGUGGUUCCAUUGGAGUGUCAAUAAUCCAUGAUCUAUUACAAGUAAGUGAAGAUGUGCAAGAGGUACCUGAGGUGGCCAAGGCCUUAGAGCCAGAUGUACCUAAUGGGGGUUCUGAUGCAGUCUCCUCAGAUGACUGAGCGGAGGCAAAUGAGGCUCUGGUUGAAUCCUUUUUGCGCCUUUUGUGGACCCAUCCUUCUGGAUAACCAAUGAUCUCAUAACAUUCCUUAAUUGUGUGGUUAUCCAAACCACAUUUGGUACACUUCAUUGGAGGCCGGUUACGAGUAGGGUCGACAUUAUAGUUGUUCGGCCGAGAUUAUUUAGACCUCGCAACAGCCAAGGCUGUGGCUUCGGAGGUUACACCAGCUUCAGACAUGGUUCCCUGUUGGUUACUCUCUCUUUUAAUAUGUGCAUAUGUUGCCUCAAGUUCGGGCUUUGGCUCCAUCCGCAACAUCUCUCCUCAAAUUUGCUCGAAAUUAUUGUCCAAACCUGCAAGAAAUAUAUAAACUUGGAGAUGAUCAACCUCUUUGCGUCUAGUCUCAAUGUCUUUCGGAUGCUCCGUGGUGCUUGGACUUAAUUGAUCAAGUUCGUGAAAAAUCUCAGUGAGCUCACUGUAAUAUUUGGCAACUGAUGCACCAACUUGCUUCAUUAUGAAUGACCGUCUGUGAAGGUCAUAAAUCUUGGCUUCAUCAGCACCAUCUGAAUAGGUUUGCUUGAUUGCAGCCCAGACUUGCUUUGCUGUGUCAUAACGAAUAAAUCGUUUAAUCUGAUUAGGUUGCAUGGCGUCGAACAACCAACUCUUGACUUGGCAAUUCGAUGUACCCCAUUUAUUAAAUGUGGGAUCUGUGUCUGCAGGCUGGGCAAUAUCACUGGUCAAGUGGCCAUGUUUUUCUCGCCCAUCUAUCUUCAUCUCUAUGAUUUGAUGCCACAGAGAAUAAUUAUUCUCAUCCAGUUUGAUUCCUACGGAGAAGUUGGAGGUGUCACUUUACAAAGUGACGAUUUGUGUGGUAGUUUUGGAGCCUCCCGACACUAAGGAUUGAUUGGUGUUUGCUGACCCAUCAUCGUUGGCCUUGAUAUUGGCUGACAAACAAUGAGAAAAAAAAAGGGCAAAAAGAAAUUUUGUCUGGGGGAAACAUUACUCUGGGGUAACUGAUUAGAAAAGGAAAAACAAAAAUAUUAAGUUGAGGAAAAACAAGUGAACGGUGGACAAAGGCAAGAUUGGUGGCGAAAGGUUAUACCCAGACUUAUGGGAUUGACUAUGGGGAUGGACUAUGGAAAAGGCGAUAAGACAAAUUGUUUUGCAAUAAGAAAUAUUGGGUUGAAAGGAAAAAAGAACAAAGGAACGGUUUGAAUGGGUCUGUGAGUGGAAAGUGAUUUGCAAUAUUGCAAAACGUGAUUUGACUAGAGGAAAGGUUUGAAUGGGUUUGUGAGAUCACUACUACAAAAAAGCAAAAAGACGACGGUAAAUCACCGUCGUGUAUUCGGUUUUUCAAUGGUCGUGGAAUCCACCGUCAUCUUUUCCCUCAUAAACCACGACGCUAAAUCACCGUCGUUGUUACAAUAUACAACGUCAUCAACAAAUACAAAACGACGUCUUUGUACUGCAAAAAGAUCUAAAAAAGCAGUCGAGGAUGAGAAUAGACGACCAACUCUCUAAAAAAACCGUCGUUAAAAAGGAAAAAUAUGACACAUAUUAACAGAACAAGGCCGCAAUAUAGACAUACAACGACGAAAAUUAAAAUAAGACGCCUUUAAAUAUCAUUUUCACGACAAUAAAAAAUAUGACGUCUUUAAAUACAUUAGAAGACGACGUUAUUGAUACCUACUACGUCGCCUAUAUAAAAAGAGCCGUCGUAAAAUAAAUUUUCCACUUCGAUUUUUCUAUAAAAGAUGACGUGGAAAUCACUACUACAAAAAGUGAAAAAGACGACCAGAAAACAACGACGGUCUAAGUGAAAACCGUCGUGGUUUAUAAAAAGACGACGGUUCUAAAAACACCGUCGUGUAAUACAACCUUAGACAACUAAAAAAUGGAGUUUCAAAUGGCUGUUCAAAAACAACGACGUACAUAAUUAAACAACCGACGUCUAUUUGAAACAGAUUUCCGCAGUGUAAAAUCAAUGCCAACAAAGAACGGCAGAAGUUAUGAAUCGACCGACGUAGAAAGUAAAGAAGACGAUUUCAAUAAAAAUUGCCGUUUUUACUCAUAAAAUAACACGACGAGGUUUUCGUAUAAGACGUCGUAUAAUUACAAACAAAUCCACGGCUUUAAAAUACAAAAUAUCGCCGUAUUAAAUUAAUUUACAACGACGGAAAAUAUAAAUAUAUCGACGUCAUUCUCGUAUAGUUCUACGACGUUAUCUUUAAAUCGUACAAUAAAAUUUAACGUCGUAUUUAUUCAUUUUAUACGUCGUACCUUUAAUUUUAACGGUCGUCUUAAUAAGAAUUUUUGUUAACAAUUUUUUUCUUUGAUUUUCUUAUCCUACGUCGGUAGAUCUACUUAAUGACAAGAAUUGAAAUAACCACGACGGUUUAUAUAGAACACCGCCGACAUAAUCAGAUUUGUCUGAGAUCCCAAGGGUUACGAAAUCUUACCAGAUGGAACUCUGUUCCACAUCAUAAUCUUAACAGAUGACACAGAUUUGCAAAUAUUGCGUCGUGUUAGUUUACAAAUUCUAGAACAUUAAUUUCCCUCAUUUUAAAUUUCCUCGGGAAAGAAAAAUCUAUUUAUCACGCUUUGGAAUUGAAAACUAAAACUGAAAGAAUACGGGAAAAAAAACUCUAUUUAUAAUUUAAAAUUAAAAUCCACGUCGGUUGUAGUACACUUAACGACGUUUAACAAAAUAAUCUACGUCGGUAAUUAUAAAUCUACCUCCAUCUUAACUUAAUAUAGACGACGAGAAAAGACGACGGUAGAACAGAAAACCGCCGUUGUUUCAGUUUCUUUAACAUAUCUUUCUGCAGGACUUGUGUAGUUCAAAGCAUUGACAAUGUCUUCAUCAUAUCUCCCAGAAACUACUGAUUCAAUUGCUCAUGCUUUAGAGGCCAUCUGAAGCCAUUUCUAUUCUUUAUCGCAUUCUUGAAACCCAUCUUCUUCUUCUGAAGCUCUACGGAUAAAGGAAGAGGCUAUCACAAAUCCGACGGAUCUUCUUAGGCAAGAAAAUCAAGUAGAGGAUCAGGCACAUCUGAUCUUCAGAUUUCCCUGAGAAGCGAACUUUCCUUCGACAGCGAGUGGAGGCCAGGCUUGCAUCUCUUUUGAUGGAAAGCAAGGAGUAUUCAGAAGCACUAAGUGUCCUAUCAGGCUUGAUCAAGGAAGUGAGAAGGCUAGUUGACAAGCUUCUUCUUGUGGACAUAUAUUUGAUGCGAGUAAGAGAGGAAGAACUUGGAACCUUAAAUGUAAACCGAAAAUAAAUGAAAGCGACAAAUUUAUAGAAUAAAUUUUUAAAACCAACGGCGGUCCUUACAAAAAAACCGCCGUUUAAAUUGUAAAAUCAACGUCGGUAUAAUCGACGUAUAUUACAGAAAUCCACGUCGGUAAAUUAAUAAAAACGACGUGUUAAAUAAUCUACCAUGACGCGAGUUAUUACUUAUGUACUUUAAUUUUUGAGUUUACUACGACGGUACCUACAAACUACUGUCGUAUUUAUUUACCACGUCCGAAGUUAAAUGUACCGUCGUAUUUUGUAAUUUAUACGUCGUAGUUAUAUGUAACCGCCGUAUUAUUUUUUUGAAAUGGUUUUAUAUGUAAGCAACUUUUCGUCUACUUGACUUACACAUUAGUUAUUUUUAUAUUCUUAUUUUAUUUAAAUCUGUCAUCCAAAAAAGAAACUUUACAUAUUGCAGAAUAUUAAUUUCCUUCGUUUUAAAUUUCCUCCGGAAAAAAAACUCUAUUUAUAACGCACUGUAAUUGAAAAAUAAACUGAAAGGUCACGGGAAAAAAAUUCUAUUCAUAAUUUAAAAAUUAAAAUCCACGUCGGUUAUAUUAAACCUAACGACGUUAAAUGAAAUGAUUCCACGUCGAACGAAAAAUAUUGCGUCGUGUUAGUUAAAAACGACGUAGUUAAAUGUAACCACCGUAUUAUUUUUUUGAAAUGGUUUUAUAUGUAAGCAACUUUUCGACUUACACAUGCACUGUUUCCAAACCCGAUUAAAAAUUUCAAUCUCCUAGAGAAACCUUUUCGUCUUUUUUCCUUGUCAGAGCAUUGUCAGAGUUUCUCAUCGUCUUCCUCUCGUCUUCUUCGUCGUCUCUGAACUUAAACAUCGAUCAUCUUCCUCUUGCUUUCAUUGCACGCAAAAGGUAAGCUUUCAUUUUCACUAUUUUGGUUACUGUUUUGCAUGCUCAUACGUUUUUUGUUUGAAAAAUCUUUUUACCUUUUUUCUGGCCAAAAUCAUUUUACUUCUUUCCAAGUUUGAUAAAAUAUACAGACAAAGAGGGAAAGUUUCCAACUUUGAAGACAACUACAUCAACUAAAUAAGACGACGGUAGACCACGACGGUUCGUCAGUUGUUCUAGCGUCGUCUGAAAAUUGACAAAGUUGUUUUUAAAAUAAUAGUCUUUUUUUAUAUGCUUGUUUAAUUGCAGGUUUGAUUUCUCUGAACAAUGGUUUUUGUUUUUCCCUUAUUUGAUAAAAUAUAAAGAAAAAGAAACUAGGGUUGGUAUCUAAUAUAGACGACAAAAUAUCUUAUUGUUUUACGUCGUGUGAAUGUUAAUACCACGACGGUGUAUUACUAUUGACGUCGUAUGAACAUAAAUACCACGACGUUAUAUAAAUAAUAGUUUACCACGACGGUGUAUUACUAUUGACGUCGUGUGAACAUAUAUACCACGACGUUAUAUAAAUAAUGGUUUUAAACAUUUAUUACGUCUGAGAUUAUUUCAUUGCGUCGUCUAAAAUCAUAUCAUACGUCGUAUUUUUUUAAUAACCGUCAUUUGUGUUCUUAAUCUUUUCUUGAAAUAUUUUCACUUUCAGUUUUGUCUGUAAAAAUGGUUUCUCACCAAGACCAAAGUAAGGAUUCUGGCUCCAACAAAAAUGGAGGUAAGGAGCAAGUACCUCCUCAAGAGAAGUCUUCGAAGAUAAUGAAGUCUUCGAAGAAGAUGAAGUUUGCUUCAUCAUCUGCUGAGACAGAACAAACCAGCCAGACAACAAUAUCUGAUGAUUCAAAGACUGGUCGAGGUAUGAGCACAAUGCCUCGUGUUGUGAAGAGAAAGCUUCAGAAACUGAGGCCAAUUGUUGAGUACAAUAAAAGGGGGAAAGGUGUUGGCCAAGCACAUAUUGAGAUGCAGUCGUAUAUUGGUGUGUUGGCACGCUCCAGGAUCCCACUUGUGGACAAGAAAUGGUCCCAAAUCCCCAAGGAUAUAAAGGAGCAGAUUUGGGAAGCAGUUGACAUGGCUUUUGUCGUAGGCCAAGGGGGCAAGACCUCUGUUUUAGCUUCUGCUUCCAAGAAAUGGAAGGAUUUCAAGUCUACACUAACGAGGCAUUAUAUCCUUCCAUACACCAAUGACAGGGAGAAAUUAAGCCAACCCCCUGAAACAUAUAAAUUCAUAGAGAAAGCACAAUGGGAUGCCUUUGUAGCUUCAAGGCUAUCCAAAGAUUUUGAGUCUGUGCAUUCUCAACAUGCACAGAUUAGGGAGAAACUCGAGUACAAUCAUCGAUUGUCUCGAAAAGGAUAUGCUGGAUUGGAGGAUCAAUUGGAGGAAACCAUGCCUGGGGUAGAAAUUGAUCGAUCUACCUUAUGGAAGAGAGCUAGACAGGACAAACAUGGUAACAUCCCUGAUCCAAAGGUGGCAGAGAAAGCAAAAUUAAUUGUAAGCCUACUAUCACUCUGUUUUAAAUUUUUAUUAAACUGUGAAUUAUUCUUAUUACGUCGUAUGUUAUAUUUUUCGUCGUGUGAAUGAUAUUACCACGUCGAAAAGUUUUUAAAAACGUCGUUAAAGGUCUAAAUAGGAAUCACUACUAUGUUUUCUGUAAUUAUAGCAUAAGACGUCGGUGGUUCAUUUUCGCGUCGUGUGAAUGAUAUUACCACGUCGAAACUUUUUUAAAAACGUCGUUAACGGUCUAAAUAGGAAUCACUACUCUGUUAUCUUUAAUUAUAGCAUAAGACGUCGGUUGUUUAUUCAUUUCGUCGUUUUAAAUAAAUAACCACGUCGGUAUAACUACCGUCGUGAUAAGUUAUAAUAACGUCGGUUUAUACGUUAUUGCGUCGUGUGAAAUUAUAUAAUACGUCGUUUGUACAUAAAUAACCGUCGUGUGUUUUUUUGUUUAUCUUUUUUUAGGAUGAAUUGCAGAAACAAGUCUCGGAAGGCAAAGUCAGAGUAGAUGGCAGCAAUGAUGUGCUGACCAUGGCUUUGGGCCCCGAGCAUCCAGACAGACUGAGGGGAGUUGGUGCUGGUGUUUUCCCAAGGCAAUAUUUCAAUUUGCCCAAACCACAGAGGGUGAGCUUUGACGACCGUUUGAAGGACAGUUUAAGAGUUCUCCUUCAAGAAGAGACUAAAAAAUUGGAGGCUAAGGCAAGGGAAGAGGCCUUAAGGAUGGAGGCUAGGACAAAACAAUUGGUAGAGGCUGAGAGGGAGCAUUUCCUGAGUCAGCUUUCCCAAUUAAUUCCCAAUUUUGAUCCAAGCAUGCUUAAACCAAGAAUUAGCCAAAGCCCCAAAAAUCCAAUGUCUGACAAAGCAAGCUGCUCUGGAGGUGAUGUGAGAUCCCUACAUUUGGAGGAUGAUACUGCCAAAAUGGGGAAACAUCAGCCAGAUGAAGAGAAGGAAGAAGAAAAGGAGAAAGAAGAUGAAGAAAAGCAUGACGACAAGGUAUGUUCACAUAACUUUGCCUUUUUUAUUUGUUUUUCAAAAUUUCAGACGUCGAUAUUUUUAUUUAAUCCGUCGUUUGUUUAAAAAUUAGACGGCGGACUUUUUUUAAGACGUAAUAAAAUAUUUAAACGACGGUUUUUGCACCGUCGUUUAAAUGGUUUCAGACGACGCUUUAUUAAUAAAACCGUCGUCUUUAUUGAAUUACCACGACAGUGUUUUCACCGUCGUUUAAAUCCUUUUAAGACGACGUUUUAUUCCUUAAACCGUCGUCUUUAUUGAAUUACCACGUCAUUUUUUUUUAUUUCUUUAAACAGGUUAUUGAAGUUGGUGCUUAUUCAAAUAUGGAGGCGCCAUCUUCUUUAAAAACCCUUUGUCGUUUUGUGGAAACGACACUCCUGCCUGAGGAUAAGACACUCCAAUUUACAAUUGAUAAGGAGGUGUUUGGUGGUGAGCGCGAUACCUUCCUCCUGCCUGAAGAUAUUACACAAUUUGCAGGCAUGGAAGAAAUUGGAGCUACUGUAUUGGCUGUAUAUAUGAGGUUUGUACUUCUAAGAUAAUAACUCGUUGGUUUAUAUAUUGCGUCGUCUUAACUAACUAACCACGUCGUCUUAACUAACUACCGUCGUGAUAAAUAUAUUAUAACGUCCUUAUCUAUUUCAGUACGUCGUGUGAAAUAUUAUAAUACGUCGUUUUUUUAUACAUAACCGUCGUGUUUGUUUUUGCUGACUUGUUUAUAUUAUUUUAUGUAUUUAGGUACUUACACGAUGUUUUGAAACAAGCCAAUAUGUGCAGCAUGGUUGGCUUUAUUGACCCUGCUACAGUUAGUGCCAACUCUGGCACAAUAACUGAAAGAUCACGACUGGUAGCAGCUCGACUUCAGAAGACAGACGGUGAACAGCUUUUCAUGAUGCCUUACAAUCCAGGGUUAGUCUCCUUAGGAUUUUGUUUUUAUGAUUUUCAAUAAAUGACAGCUUAUAAACUAACCACGUCGGUGUUUUAUUUUAUUUAGUCGUUUGAAACUACUAACCACGUCGGUAUUUAUUUGUCGUCGUGAUAAAUAUAUAAUGUCGUCGUUAUCUACUUUAUUUCGUCGUGUGAAAUACUAUAAUACGUCGUUUUUGUAAAUAACCGUCGUUUUUAUAUUAAUUUUGUGCAGCCGUCAUUGGAUCUUGCUGAUUGUAAGAGCAAAGAAGGAGACCGUCUAUUUUCUGGAUCCUCUGCCAGGUCAUCGUGUGGUCGACGAAGAGGCGAAAAACAUCGUGAACAGUACUUUAAAAAUAUAUAAUACCCACAUAGGCCGAGCAGGACGUAAAAAUGUAAUUUGGAAAACUCUCUCAGGCACACCAAAGCAACCCAGCAAUGUCGAAUGCGGGUAUUAUGUGAUGCGCUUCAUGAAGGACAUCAUCAUGGAUCCUUCCUUGGGGUUUGAGAAGAAGGUAAGAAGAAAUAACCUUCAAACAUUUUACAUCGUUUUUUAUAUUAUCAACGACGGUCAUGUAAAAUUACCGUCGUUGAAUAGAUAUACUACGUCGGUUAUGGUCGUCUGUGAUUGAAUUUCCUUUUAUUUAUAAACCCUAAUAGUCAUUGUUUUUAUGCAGUAUGCGAAGGGAAAACAGGAAGAGCCAUACCCCCAAGAAGCAAUUGAUGAAGUCCGGAAUGAAUGGACAGAGUUUGUUUGCCUUCAACUUAAAUAGGGGAAUUAUUGAACACUUGAUAUUUAUGUAUAAUGUACAAAUUUUGUCUAUAAUAUAUAAUGUAAAAAUUUGUUGAGGUUUUCUUAAAGUAAAAACAAAAACAAACAUACAAAAUGCGUUACCGACGUGUAAUAAUUUUCCAACGACCUAAUAAAGUCACAAACCGUCGUAUUUUGUUGUUUCGUGUUUUAAACAAAUACGACGUAAAAAUAUAGUUAGACGACGUUCUUUGAACAAUUGAGUCGUUUAUGGUUUACAACAUCUUCAAUUUCUUAAGGGUUCAGGGUAUCAUCGACGACGUUUAUGUAACGACAGCGGUUAAGUCGUUGAUAUAUAUAUUUUACGUCGUAUAGUUAAAUAGCCGCCAUGGUUUCUCAUUUUAACGACGUCAUUUUAACGACUUAGUAGUCUAUUACAAUUUACAACGUCUACAAUUUAUUAACACCGACGUGGUUUGUUGUUGUGGUAAGAAUAUUUUAUUAUUUUUAUAUCAAAAUAUUCAAAAUAAAUUUAAAAUAAAUCAGAAAAUUGAAAAGUCAACUCCUAUGAAGUCAUUGAUAUAUUUUCUUCCACAUAAACCUUGAAAAAAUUCAUUUUGAAUAACAAAAAUUUAAAAUGACCAUCCAAAACAAAAUUGUUUUGAUGAGUCAUAAAAUCACUUCUAGUUUUAUGGUUUAGGGUUUAGAGUCUAGGGUUUAGAGAUUAGGGUUGUUAUUUAUUGGGGUUUAUUUUUAAAGUAUAAUUUUUGGGUAGUCUAGGGUAUAUGUUAGGCUUUAAAACCAUAAAACCUUUUAUAAACUUAAUUUUUUAAAUUGUAUAAUUUAGUUUUAUGGGUUUAGGGUAUUAAUUUUUAACGACGGUGGUUGCGUCGUGGAAUACAUAUUUUACGUCGUACAGAAAAACAUACGACAUGGUUUACGCUUUAAACGACGUCAUUUUAAUAUGUAAGUCGGUUUAUAUAAUUUACAACGUCUUUAAUUUCUUAACACCGAUGUGGUUUUUCAGUCGUCGUUAUAUAAAAAAUUCAAAAUAAAUUUAAAAUUAAUCCGAAAAAUGAAGCUUCAAAAUGAACGGCCUUACGUUCUUAAUCCGAAAAAUGAAGUUUCCGUCGUGGAAUAUUAAAUUUACGUCGGUACGUGUAGAACUUUCGCCUUGGUUUUUCUUUCGACGUUUUAAAACGCACGAACUCUAAAAAUUUUCGCGCGACCUAAAUUUUUUUAGAUUUGGCUCUUAUUCUUAUACUUCGAACCCUGAAACCUAAAAUUUUCAGAUUUCGCGCGACAUAACAUUUCGCUCUCUCACUUCUGCUCUAAUUAAAAGUUGCACUCUCCAGGCUCCGUCGAAUCUGUGAGCUCGUCCAACCUGUAAGUAUAAACCCUAUCUUCCCCUUGUAAAUUCAUUGAAUGAUAUUAGGUUGUUUUGUUAAAGGGUUUUAUGUGUAUGCUUUGCGAUAUGUUAAUAAUGUGCUUAUAGGUAUGGGUUCAUGGAUUUUCUGUUUAAUGGGUUCAUGGAUUACAUUAUCUGUUAUGUUGAAUUGGGAAUGGAUUUAAUUUUGUCGUAUCUUUUAAUCACCCUAUGUUAUGUUGAAUUGGGAAUGGAUUUAUUGUUUUCAUGCUUGGUUUCAUGUAUAUGUUGGUUUCUUGCUUGGUUUCAUAUAUAUGUUGUGUUCUUAAUGGGUUUUGUGUUCUUGAAAAUAAACUGAGACACGACGAAUUUUAAGGCUUACGACGACGAUUACACGACGGUUUUUUUAAACUACCGUCGUUGUAUUACUUAUACACGACGGUUUUUUCAUAAACCGUCGUUUGUAUUACUUAUAAUAGACGACGUCUGUUGAAAAUCCGUCGUCUAUAUAUGCCAAAUACGUCUGUUUUUGUUUAAAACCUGUCGUCUCUGUUGUGUAUUACUUGCGAUUAGAUCAUUGUAUAAUCUGCUAUAGUGAUGGUCAUUGCCUGUAUUUUCACUUUAUUAUAGAUAAUAGGUUAUAGUGUCGGAGAUGGAUAAGUCAUGGAUGCACUCGGAUAGAAGAUCGAAGGCAUAUGAAUUUGGGGUGGAAGCAUUUUUGAACUUUGCUGUAGAAAAUCUUCUAACUACAACACAUAUCCGUUGUCCAUGUGUUAAAUGUGUUAAUUUGAAGUUGUUUGGGGUUGGAAUUAUAAGGGAUCACUUAUACUUUAAUGGAAUUGACCAAAGCUAUAAGAAUUGGACAUUUCACGGAGAACCUUGGGAAGCAACUACUAAUGCUAGUAGAAAUGUUGAAGAAGAUGAUGGCCAUAGUAGGUACAGUUUUGUGUCUGAAGAAAUUGAUAUGGAUGAUAAUGAUUUUGGUGAUUUUGGUUCGGAUCCGUAUGAGUUUGCCAAUGUGAUUGGGGAUGGAGAUCAACCAGUGUACCCUGGUUGUAGAAAGUACACGAAGUUAUCGGCAUUAGUGAAGUUGUAUAAUUUGAAGGCAAAACAUGGGAUGAGUGAUGUCUGUUUUACAGAAUUAUUGAUACUUCAAGGCGAUUUGCUUCCAGAAGGAAAUACAAUACCAACCUCCAUGUAUGAGGCUAAAAAGACUUUGUGUGCAUUGGGUAUGAGGCUAAAAAGACUUUGUGUGCAUUGGGGCUGAGUUAUGAGAAAAUGCACGCAUGCCCCAAUGAUUGCAUCUUGUAUAGGAAGGAGUAUGAGGAUUCAACUAAUUGUCCUACUUGUGGUAUCUCAAGGUGGAAGGAAGGCAAAGAUUCAAUCUUGAAAGAGGGUGUGCCAGCGAAGGUGGUGUGGUAUUUUCCCCCAAUUCCAAGGUUUAAAAGGAUGUUUCAAUCACAUGAGACAGCUAAGAGUUUGACUUGGUGGCAUGCUGCUAGAAAAUCAAUUGACGGUCAGAUGUCUCAUCCGGCGGAUUCCCCGUCUUGGAAACUUCUUGAUGAUAAAUGGCCUGAGUUUGGUAAUGAGCCGAGAAACUUGAGAUUGGCUCUUUCAUCUGAUGGAUUCAAUCCCCACAGUUCUCUAAGUAGCAGAUAUAGUUGUUGGCCGGUUAUCUUAGUUACAUAUAAUCUCCCUCCAUGGCUGUGCAUGAAACGAAAGUUCAUGAUGUUAACCUUAUUGAUUUCCGGUCCUAAACAACCCGGAAAUGAUAUAGACGUCUACUUGGAGCCUUUGAUUGAUGAUUUAAAAUCCUUGUGGGUUGGGAUUAGAGGAGUGUAUGAUGCACAUAAUGGAGAAUACUUUACACUCAGAGCUGCAUUAAUGUGGACAAUUAAUGAUUUCCCCGCCUAUGGAAACUUAUCUGGUUGUGUUGUUAAAGGAUAUAAAGCUUGUCCAAUAUGCGGCGAUGAUACACCUAGUCACAGGUUGAAAAAUGGCCACAAAAUUUGUUACAUUGGGCAUAGAAAAUGGUUACCAAUCAAUCAUCCAUAUAGGAAGGCAACGUGCAGCUUUAAUGGGAAACCUGAAUAUGGCAUACCUCCCGAGCCAUUAACCGGAGAAGAAGUGCUGCAUAUGGUUGAAAAUGGUGACAGAGUUUGUUGGAAGAAGAAAUCAAUAUUCUUUGAUCUCGAGUAUUGGAAAUACCUUCCUGUGAGGCAUGCCCUAGAUGUUAUGCACAUUGAGAAGAAUGUUUGCGAUAGUAUCAUUGGUACAUUGCUGGAGAUCCCUGGAAAAAAUAAAGAUGGGAUUGCUGCUCGAUUAGAUUUAUUGAACAUGGGGGUCAAAACUGAUUCGCAACCCGAGUAUGGAGAAAGACGUACUCGUUUGCCUCCUGGGCCUUGGAAUUUGUCAAAAGCAGAGAAGAGAGAGGUUUGCAAUUCUUUCUAUGGUAUGAAGGUCCCUGAAGGUUAUUCUUCAAAUAUUAAAAAUCUUGUAUCUUUACAAGAUUCAAGACUUCUUGGCCUUAAAUCACAUGAUUGUCAUACCUUAAUGCAACAAUUGCUCCCUGUGGCAAUUCGUUCUGUUUUGGAGAAGCCUGCAAGGUAUGCAAUAACUCGUUUGUGCUUCUUCUUCAAUGCUAUAUGUGCAAAGACUGUUGAUGUUUCCAAGCUAGAUAAGUUGGAAGAAGAUGUAGUAGUUACUCUGUGUUUGCUUGAGAAGUACUUUCCCCCUUCAUUCUUUGAUAUCAUGGUUCAUCUAGUAGUACAUCUUAUCAGAGAAGUUCGUCUAUGUGGGCCAGUAUAUUUUAGGUGGAUGUAUCCGUUUGAAAGAUAUAUGAAAGUGCUGAAGGGGUAUGUUCAGAAUCGUACUCGUCCCGAAGGUUGCAUUGCUGAGCGGUAUAUAGCUGAAGAAGCGGUAGAGUGUUGUACUCAGCAUUUAUCUGAUGUUAGUACAGUUGGAGUGCCUUCAAGCCAAAAGAUGGGACUUUCAAAGCCAUUAUCAGGUUGCACAGUGAGCGUAGUUGAUCAGGACCUGUUGAAUCAAGCACAUCUAUAUGUCUUGGAGAAUACGGAGGAAGUCCUACCUUAUAUCGAGUACGUAUGAGCUUUAUUCUUUAAGUUUCCAUUUUAAAUUAUUUCUUAUGUUUAUCUUCUAUAUUUAGGACCGUAAUGCUUGAAUUUUUCGUGUCAUGUAGGCAACAUAUGAUUCACAUCAAGACUGCUUAUCCAAAAUUUAGAAAGAGAACAAAGUGGCUGCAGGAUAAGCACAAUAGCACUUUCAUUCAAUGGCUACGCUUCAAGGUAUAUAUUGUUGAAUAACAUAUUUCUCUUUUAAUUUUCUUCUUAUUUAUAUGUUAGAUUGAAUUAAGAUAUGAUUAAUUUGCAGGUUCAAAGUGAACUUGAGGAAGACAAUCAUGGCGUAUCAGAAAAUUUAAGGUGGCUAGCAGCUGGUCCAAACAUGUCAGUGCCAUUAUAUAGGAGCUAUCUUAUUAAAGGUAUUAAAUUCAAUAUCAAGGCACAAGAUGAUGUGCGGACAACUCAAAAUAGUGGAGUUUAUUUACUUGCACAUACCAUGCAAGUUGCUAGUGCCAAGGAUAAAAACCCAAUUCUCUCAAAUAUGGGUUUCUAUGGUGUCAUUCAAGAAAUUUGGGACCUUGACUACCAAAAGUUUACAAUCCCAGUCUUUAGGUGUGAUUGGAUAGAUAGUUCUGGUCUUGUAGUCGACGAACUUGGAUUUACCCUUGUAGAUUUGAGUAAAAUUGGACAUAGGAAUGACCAAUUUGUUUUGGCUUCUCAAGUCAAACAAAUAUUUUUUGUUGACGACCCGAUGCAUCGUGGUUGGUCGGUAGUGUUAUCAAUGCCUAAUAGAGAAUAUAAUGAUGUUAUUGGUGAUGAAGUCUUAGGUGAUGUGAUAAUUGAGUGUGAGCCAUUUACUAGAGGGAUGCCAAAUGUUGACACAUUUGAUGAACUGGUGGGUGAGUUAGGCGGUCAAAAUAUUCGAGAUGGGUGUGAAGAUAUAUGGAUUGAAUGAUGCUUAUGUAAUUGGCAGUGUAUGACAUUAAUUUUGUAAUAUAUUGUAAUGUGAUUUCUUCACUUUCUACGUUCAAAUAAAACACGACGUUAUUGUGAACCAGUUAUUCAGCAUAUUUACCGACGUCUUAAAGCAACGUAACAAUGAAGAACCACGACGCAAUUGUGAAGCAAUUAUUCAGGAUAUCACGUCGGGGAAGGAUUAAGAACCGCCAUGUAAUUCAAAAUAACACGACUCCAAUCCCAUAAUACCGACGUUUAAAAAACGAGAUAUAUAAUCUGAACGUUAAAAAAUACGACGUCAUCAUACAUUUUCCACGUCGCAAGUUCUUUUAUAAACGAAGAGGAACGAAAUGAAUUCCGACGGAAAUUCAUUAUAACCGCCGUCUAAUAACAAUUAAACGACGUUAUUUGUAAUACGGCUCUCAUCAUAAUCAACGCCGUCUAUAUGUUCUGUAAUACGGCUCUCAUUUAUUUGGAACCGACGUUGUUUAGAAGUUCAACGUCGUCUAUAUUAUUAAGUGCGUCGUGAGUAAUGAUGAUAGAUAUAAAUACAACGUCGACUAUAUAAAUGCCACCGACGUUGUUUCGCAUUUCAACGUCAACUGUAUAAAUACAUACGUCGUAAAUAAUGACACUGACAACUAUUUCCACGUCAUCUUUUUUAGAAAAAUCGAAGUGGAAAAUUUAUUUCACGACGGUUGUUUGUAAAUAAGAGACGUAGUAUAUUUCAAUAACGUCGUCUUCUCAUGUAUUUAAAGACGUCAUAUUUUUUCUUGUCGUGUAAAUUAUAUUUAACGGCGUAAAAUUUUAGUUGUCGUCGUUGUAUGUAUAUCUUGCGGCCUUGUUCUUUUAACAUGUGUCAUAUUUUUCCUUUUCAACGACGGUGAUUUGUUUGAGUUGGUCGUCUAUUCUCAUCCUCGACUAUUUUCUAGAACUUUAGCAGACUAAACACGUCUGUUUUUAUUAUUUUCCGACGUUGUUUUAUUUAACAACGUCUAAUAUUUAUCGUCGUUGUUUGUUUCUGAAAAUAUGACGUAUAAAUUUUGUAAUACGACUCUCAUAUAUUUGUAACCGACGUUGUUUCGUUUUUCAACGUCUACUCAAUAAAUACAUACGUCGUAAAUAAUGACACUGACAACUAUUUCCACGUCAUCUUUUAUCGAAAAAUCGAAGUGGAAAAUUAAUUUUACGACGGCUGUUUUUAUAUAUGCGACGUAGUAGGUAUCAAUAACGUCGUCUUCUAAUGUAUUUAAAGACGUCAAAUUUUUUAUUGUCGUGAAAAUGAUAUUUAACGGCGUCGUUUUUUUAUUUCCGUCGUUGUAUGUCUAUCUUGCGGCCUUAUUCUCUUAAUAUGUGUCAUAUUUUUCCUUUUUAACGACGGUUUUUUUAGAGAGUUGGUCGUCUAUUCUCAUCCUCGACUGCUUUUUUAGAUCUUUUUGCAGUACAAAGACGUCGUUUUGUAUUUGUUGAUGACGUUGUAUAUUUUAACAACGACGGUGAUUUAGCGUCGUGGUAUAUGAGGGAAAAGAUGACGGUGGAUUCCACGACCAUUGAAAAAUCGAAUACACGACGGUGAUUUACCGUCGUCUUUUUGCUUUUUUGUAGUAGUGAUUGUCCAAUUUCAUUGGCCAAUCGAUAUUGGAUUGAGCCCAAAACUUGGUCAACAUCGUAAUAUGGUGGGAGGAUUCAUUUGGUGAGUUUUGAGUGAAAUCCAAUGGAUAAAACUACGCAAUACACCUACCACUCCGUUUACAGAACGAACUUCGUAUUAGACGUUGUUAAAUAAAACAACGUCGAAAACAAAUAAAAACAGACGUGUUUAGUCUGCUAAAGUUCUAAAAAAUAGUCGAGGAUGAGAAUAGACGACCAACUCAAACAAAUCACCGUCGUUAAAAAGGAAAAAUAUGACACAUAUUAAAAGAACAAGGCCGCAAGAUAGACAUACAACGACGACAACUAAAACACUACGCCGUCAAAUACAAUUUUCACGACAAGAAAAAAUAUGACGUCUUUAAAUACAUGAGAAGACGACGUUAUUGAAAUCUACUACGUCUCUUAUUUACAAACAACCGUCGUGAAAUAAAUUUUCCACUUCGAUUUUUCUAAAAAAGAUGACGUGGAAAUAGUUGUCAGUAUCAUUAUUUACGACGUAUGUAUUUAUAUAGUUGACGUUGAAUGCGAAACAACGUCGGUGGCAUUUAUAUUGUCGACGUUGUAUUUAUAUGUAUUCAUUACUCACGACGCACUUAUUAAUAUAGAUGACGUUGAACUUCUAAACAACGUCGGUUCCAAAUAAAUGAGAGCCGUAUUACAGAACAUAUAGACGGCGUUGAUUAUGAUGAGAGCCGUAUUACAAAUAACGUCGUUUAAUUGAUAUUAGACGGCGGUUAUAAUGAAUUACCGUCGGAAUUCAUUUCGUUCCUCUUCGUUUAUAAAAGAACUUGCGACGUGGAAAAUGUAUGAUGACGUCGUAUUUUUUAACGUUCAGAUUAUAUAUCUCGUUUUUUAGACAUCGGUAUUAUGGGAUUGGAGUCGUGUUAUUUUGAAUUACAUGAAGGUUCUUAAUCCUUCCCCGACGUGAUAUCCUGAAUAAUUGCUUCACAAUAGCGUCGUGGUUCUUCAUUGUUACGUUGCUUUAAGACGUCGGUAAAUAUGCUGAAUAACUGGUUCACAAUAACAUCGUGUUUUAUUUGAACGUAGAAAGUGAAGAAAUCACAUUACAAUAUAUUACAAAAUUAAUGUCAUACACUGCCAAUUACAUAAGCAUCAUUCAAUCCAUAUAUCUUCACACCCAUCUCGAAUAUUUUGACUGCCUAACUCACCCACCAGUUCAUCAAAUGUGUCAACAUUUGGCAUCCCUCUAGUAAAUGGCUCACACUCAAUUAUCACAUCACCUAAGACUUCAUCACCAAUAACAUCAUUAUAUUCUCUAUUAGGCAUUGAUAACACUACCGACCAACCACGAUGCAUCGGGUCGUCAACAAAAAAUAUUUGUUUGACUUGAGAAGCCAAAACAAAUUGGUCAUUCCUAUGUCCAAUUUUACUCAAAUCUACAAGGGUAAAUCCAAGUUCGUCGACUACAAGACCAGAACUAUCUAUCCAAUCACACCUAAAGACUGGGAUUGUAAACUUUUGGUAGUCAAGGUCCCAAAUUUCUUGAAUGACACCAUAGAAACCCAUAUUUGAGAGAAUUGGGUUUUUAUCCUUGGCACUAGCAACUUGCAUGGUAUGUGCAAGUAAAUGAACUCCACUAUUUUGAGUUGUUCGCACAUCAUCUUGUGCCUUGAUAUUGAAUUUAAUAAGAUAGCUCCUAUAUAAUGGCACUGCCGUGUUUGGACCAGCUGCUAGCCACCUUAAAUUUUCUGAUACGCCAUGAUUGUCUUCCUCAAGUUCACUUUGAACCUGCAAAUUAAUCAUAUAUCUUAAUUCAAUCUAACAUAGAAAUAAGAAGAAAAUUAAAAGAGAAAUAUGUUAUUCAACAACAUAUACCUUGAAGCGUAGCCAUUGAAUGAAAGUGCUAUUGUGCUUAUCCUGCAGCCACUUUGUUCUCUUUCUAAAUUUUGGAUAAGCAGUCUUGAUGUGGAUCAUAUGUUGCCUACAUGACACGAAAAAUUCAAGCAUUACGAUCCCAAAUAUAGAAGAUAAACAUAAGAAAUAAUUUAAAAUGGAAACUUAAAGAAUAAAACUCAUACGUACUCGAUAUAAGGUAGGACUUCCUCCGUAUUCUCCAAGACAUAUAGAUGUGCUUGAUUCAACAGGUCCUGAUCAACUACCCUCACUGUGCAACCUGAUAAUGGCUUUGAAAGUCCCAUCUUUUGGCUUGAAGGCACUCCAACUGUACUAACAUCAGAUAAAUGCUUAGUACAAAACUCUACCGCUUCUUCAGCUAUAUACCGCUCAGCAAUGCAACCUUCGGGACGAGUACGAUUCUGAACAUACCCCUUCAGCACUUUCAUAUAUCUUUCAAACGGAUACAUCCACCUAAAAUAUACUGGCCCACAUAGACGAACUUCUCUGACAAGAUGUACUACUAGAUGAACCAUGAUAUCAAAGAAUGAAGGGGGAAAGUACUUCUCAAGCAAACACAGAGUAACUACUACAUCUUCUUCCAACUUAUCUAGCUUGGAAACAUCAACAGUCUUUGCACAUAUAGCAUUGAAGAAGAAGCACAAACGAGUUAUUGCAUACCUUGCAGGCUUCUCCAAAACAGAACGAAUUGCCACAGGGAGCAAUUGUUGCAUUAAUGUAUGACAAUCAUGUGAUUUAAGGCCAAGAAGUCUUGAAUCUUGUAAAGAUACAAGAUUUUUAAUAUUUGAAGAAUAACCUUCAGGGACCUUCAUACCAUAGAAAGAAUUGCAAACCUCUCUCUUCUCUGCUCUUGACAAAUUCCAAGGCCCAGGAGGCAAACGAGUACGUCUUUCUCCAUACUCGGGUUGUAAAUCAGUUUUGACCCCCAUGUUCAAUAAAUCUAAUCGAGCAGCAAUCCCAUCUUUAUUUUUUCCAGGGAUCUCCAGCAAUGUACCAAUAAUACUAUCGCAAACAUUCUUCUCAAUGUGUAUAACAUCUAGGGCAUGCCUCACAGGAAGGUAUUUCCAAUACUCGAGAUCAAAGAAUAUUGAUUUCUUCUUCCAACAAACUCUGUCACCAUUUUCAACCAUAUGCAGCACUUCUUCUCCGGUUAAUGGCUCGGGAGGUAUGCCAUAUUCAGGUUUCCCAUUAAAAGCUGCACGUUGCCUCCUAUAUGGAUGAUUGAUUGGUAACCAUUUUCUAUGCCCAAUGUAACAAAUUUUGUGGCCAUUUUUCAACCUGUGACUAGGUGUAUCAUCGCCGCAUAUUGGACAAGCUUUAUAUCCUUUAACAACACAACCAGAUAAGUUUCCAUAGGCGGGGAAAUCAUUAAUUGUCCACAUUAAUGCAGCUCUGAGUGUAAAGUAUUCUCCAUUAUGUGCAUCAUACACUCCUCUAAUCCCAACCCACAAGGAUUUUAAAUCAUCAAUCAAAGGCUCCAAGUAGACGUCUAUAUCAUUUCCGGGUUGUUUAGGACCGGAAAUCAAUAAGGUUAACAUCAUGAACUUUCGUUUCAUGCACAGCCAUGGAGGGAGAUUAUAUGUAACUAAGAUAACCGGCCAACAACUAUAUCUGCUACUUAGAGAACUGUGGGAUUGAAUCCAUCAGAUGAAAGAGCCAAUCUCAAGUUUCUCGGCUCAUUACCAAACUCAGGCCAUUUAUCAUCAAGAAGUUUCCAAGACGGGGAAUCCGCCGGAUGAGACAUCUGACCGUCAAUUGAUUUUCUAGCAGCAUGCCAAGUCAAACUCUUAGCUGUCUCAUGUGAUUGAAAAAUCCUUUUAAACCUUGGAAUUGGAGGAAAAUACCACACCACCUUCGCUGGCACACCCUCUUUCAAGAUUGAAUCUUUGCCUUCCUUCCACCUUGAGAUACCACAAGUAGGUCAAUUAGUUGAAUCCUCAUACUCCUUCCUAUACAAGAUGCAAUCAUUGGGGAUGCGUGCAUUUUCUCAUAACUCAGCCCCAAUGCACACAAAGUCUUUUUAGCCUCAUACAUAGAGGUUGGUAUUGUAUUUCCUUCUGGAAGCAAAUCGCCUUGAAGUAUCAGACAUCACUCAUCCCAUGUUUUGCCUUCAAAUUAUACAACUUCACUAAUGCCGAUAACUUCGUGUACUUUCUACAACCAGGGUACACUGGUUGAUCUCCAUCCCCAAUCACAUUGGCAAACUCAUACGGAUCGGAACCAAAAUCACCAAAAUCAUUAUCAUCCAUAUCAAUUUCUUCAGACACAAAACUGUACCUACUAUGGGCAUCAUCUUCUUCAACAUUUGUACUAGCAUUAGUAGUUGCUUCCCAAGGUUCUCCGUGAAAUGUCCAAUUCUUAUAGCUUUGGUCAAUUCCAUUAAAGUAUAAGUGAUCCCUUAUAAUUCCAACCCCAAACAACUUCAAAUUAACACAUUUAACACAUGGACAACGGAUAUGUGUUGUAGUUAGAAGAUUUUCUACAGCAAAGUUCAAAAAUGCUUCCACCCCAAACUCAUAUGCCUUCGAUCUUCUAUCCGAGUGCAUCCAUGACUUAUCCAUCUCCGACACUAUAACCUAUUAUCUAUAAUAAAGUGAAAAUACAGGCAAUGACCAUCACUAUAGCAGAUUAUACAAAGAUCUAAUAGCAAGUAAUACACAACAGAGACGACGGUUUUUAAACAAAAACAGACGUAUUUGGCAUAUAUAGACGACGGAUUUUCAACAGACGUCGUCUAAUAUAAGUAAUACAAACGACGGUUUAUGAAAAAAGCGUCGUGUACAAGUAAUACAACGACGGUUUUUUCAUAAACCGUCGUGUAAUCGUCGUCGUAUGCCUAAAAAGGCGUCGUGUCUCAAUUUAUUUUCAAGAACCCAAAACCCAUUAAGAACACAACAUAUAUAUGAAACCAAGCAAGAAACCAACAUAUACAUGAAACCAAGCAUGAAAACAAUAAAUCCAUUCCCAAUUCAACAUAACAUAGGGUGAUUAAAAGAUCCGACAAAAUUAAAUCCAUUCCCAAUUCAACAUAACAGAUAAUGUAAUCCAUGAACCCAUUAAACAGAAAAUCCAUGAACCCAUACCUAUAAGCACAUUAUUAACAGAUCGCAAAGCAUAUACCUAAAACCCUUUAACAAAACAACCUAAUAUCAUUCAAUGAAUUUACAAGGGGAAGAUAGGGUUUGUACUUACAGGUUGGACGAGCUCACAGAUUCGACGGAGCCUGGAGAGUGCAACUUUUAAUUAGAGCAGAAGUGAGAGAGCGAAUGUUAUGUUGCGCGAAAUCUGAAAAUUUUAGGGUUCAGGGUUAGAAGUAUAAGAAUAAGAGCCAAAUAUAAAAAAAAUUAGGGCGCGCGAAAAUUUUUAGAGCGCGCGCUCUUUAAAACGUCGAAAGAAAAACCAUGGCGAAAGUUCUACAAGAACCGACGUAAAUGUAAUAUUCCACGACGGAAACACUGAACGUAACGCCGUUUAUUUUGACGCUUCAUUUUUCGGAUUAAUUUUAAAUUUAUUUUGAAUAUUUUGAUAUAAAGACGACUGAAAAACCAUGUCGGGGUUAAGAAAUUGAAAACGUUGUAAAUUAUAAUAGACGACUUACAUAUUAAAAUGACGUCGUUUAAAGUGGAAACCAUGUCGGAUAUUUUACUGCACGACGUAACAUAUGUAUUCCACGACUCAACCACCGUCGUUAACAAUUAAUACCCUAAACCCUUAAAACUAAAUUAUAUAAUUUUAAAAAUUAAGUUUAUAAAAGGGUCUAUGGUUUUACAGCCUAAUAUAUACCCUAGACUACCCAAAAAUUAUACUUUAAAAAUAAACCCCAAUAAAUAACAACCCUAAUCUCUAAACCCUAGACUCUAAACCCUAAACCAUAAAACUAGAAGUUAUUUUAUGACUCAUCAAAAUAAUUUUGUUUUGGAUGGUCAUUUUAAAUUUUUGUUAUUCAAAAUGAAUUUUUUCAAGGUUUAGGGGGAAGAAAAUAUAUCAAUGACUUCAUAGGAGUUGACUUUGCAUUUUUCUGAUUUAUUUUAAAUUUAUUUUGAAUAUUUUGAUAUAAAAAUAAUAAAAUAUUCUUAUCACAACAACAAACCACGUCGGUGUUAAUAAAUUGUAGACGUUGUAAAUUGUAAUAGACGACUAAGUUGUUAAAAUGACGUCGUUUAAAUGAGAAACCAUGGCGGAUAUUUAACUAUCCGACGUAAAAUAUAUAUUCCACGACUUAACCGCUGUCGUUACAAAGUACUACCCUGAACCCUUAAGAAAUUGAAGACGUUGUAAACCAUAAACGACUCAAUUGUUCAAAGAACGUCGUCUAAAUAUCCUUUUACGUCGGAUUUGUUUAAAACGAAACAACAAAAAACGACGGUUUUUGACUUUAUUAGGUCGUUGGAAAUGUAUUACACGUCGGUUACGCAAUUUGUAUGUUUGUUUUUUUUUUAAUUUAAGAAAACCUCAACAAAUUUUUACAUUAUAUAUUAUAGACAAAAUUUGUACAUUAUACAUAAAUAUCAAGUGUUCAAUAAUUCCCCUAUUCCAGGUGAAGGCAAACAAACUCUGCCCAUUCAUUCCGGACUUCAUCAAUUGCUUCUUGGGGGUAUGGCGCUUCCUAUUUUCCCUUGGCAUACUGCAUAAACAAUGACUAUUAGGGUUUAUAAAUAAAAAGAAAUUCAAUCACAGACGACGAUAUUUUUCAUAACCGACGUACUAUAUCUAUUCAACGACGGUAAUUUUACAUGACCGUCAUUGAUAAUACAAAAAAAGACGUAAAAUGUAUGAAGGUAAUUUCUUCUUACCUUCUUCUCAAACCCCAAGGAAGGAUCCAUGAUGAUGUCCCUCAUGAAGCGCAUCACAUAAUACCCGCAUUCGACACUGCUGGGUUGCUUUGGUGUGCCUGACAGAGUUUUCCAAAUGACUGCCUUACGGCCUGGUCUAGCUAUGUGAGAAUUAUAAAUUUUUAUAGCACUGUUCACAAUGUUUUUGGCCUCUUCAUCGACCACACGAUUUCCUGGCAGAGGAUCCAGAAAAUAGACGGUUUCUCUCUUUGCUCUUACAAUCAGCAAGAUCCAAUGACGGCUGCACAAAAUUAAUAUAAAAACGACGGUUAUUUACAAAAAUGACGUAUUAUAAUAUUUCACACGACGAAAUAAAGUAGCAAUCGACGACAUUAUACAUUUAUCACGACGAUAAAUAACUACCGACGUGGUUAGUAGUUUCAAACGACUCAAUAAAAUAAAACACCGACGUGGUUAGUUUAUACGCUGUCAUUUAUUGAAAAUCAUAAAAACAAAAUCCUGUUAAGGAGACUAACCCUGGAUUGUAAGGCAUCAGGAAAAUCUGUUCACCGUCAGUCCUCUGAAGUCGAGCUGCUAGUAGGCGUGAUCUGUCAGCUAUUGUGCCAGAGCUAGCACUAACUGUAGCAGGGUCGAUAAAGCCAACCAUGCUGCACAUAUUUGCUCGUUUCAAAACAUCGUGUAAGUACCUAAAUAUAUAAAAUAAUAUAAACAAGUCAGCACAAAAAAACACACGACGGUUAUGUAUAACAAAACGACGUAUUAUAAAAUUUCACACGACGUACUGAAAUAGACAACGACGUUAUAAUAUAUUUAUCACGACGGUACAUACUAACAACGUGGUUAGUUAGUUAAGACGACGCAAUAAAUAAACCAACGACGUAUUAUUUUAGAAUGACAAACCUCAUAUAUACAAAAAAACACACGACGGUUAUGUAUAACAAAACGACGUAUUAUAAAAUUUCACACGACGUACUGAAAUAGACAACGACGUUAUAAUAUAUUUAUCACGACGGUACAUACUAACGACGUGGUUAGUUAGUUAAGACGACGCAAUAAAUAAACCAACGACGUAUUAUUUUAGAAUGACAAACCUCAUAUAUACAGCAAUGACAGUGGCUCCUAUUUCUUCCAUGCCUGCAAAUUGUGUAAUAUCUUCAGGCAGGAGGAAGGUAUCGCGCUCUAGACCAAACACCUCCUUAUCAAUUGUAAAGUGCAGGGUCUUAUCCUGAGGCACGAGUGUCGUUUCAACAACUUGAAUAACCUGUUUAAAGAAAUAAAAAAAAUGACGUGGUAAUUCAAUAAAAACGACGGUUUAAGGAAUAAAACGUAAAAAAAAUGACGUGGUAAUUCAAUAAAAACGACGGUUUAAGGAAUAAAACGUCGUCUGAAAAGAAUUUAAACGACGGUGAAGAAACCGUCGUGGUGAAUAAUUUAUUACGUCUUAGAAAAAAAUUCCGCGGUCUAAGUUUUAAACAAACGACGGUUUAAAGAAAAAUAUCGACGUCUGAAAUUUUGAAAAACAAAUAAAAAAGGCAAAGUUAUGUGAACAUACCUGGUCGUCAUCUUCUUUCUCCUUUUCAUCUUGUUUUUCUUCUUUCUUCUCUUCAUCUAUUACGUCGGGAAUGACUAACUCCGUCGUCUAAAAACCACAAAGUUUUAAAAAUAACGACGUUUAAUGGCGUGUAAAACAAGUAAACUAAAUACGACGUGGUAUUGAAAUACAAACGACGGUUUAAUUUUAAAAUCGUCGUGGUAUGUAUUUCAAACGACGGUUUUAUUAAUAAUAACGACGUCUAAUGGUUUUAAAAAAAAACAGAGAAUUCAAAGUUCAGAUAUGUUACCUUUUCUUCCUGAUGUUUCCCAUUUUUGGCAGUAUCAUCCUCAAAAUGUAGGGAUCUCACAUCACCUCCAGAGCAGCUUGCUUUGUCAGACAUUGGAUUUUUGGGACUUUGGCUAAUUCUGGGUUUAAGCAUGGUUGGAUCAAAAUUGGGAAUUAAUUGGGAAAGCUGACUCAGGAAAUGCUCCCUCUCAGCCUCUACCAAUUGUUUCGUUCUAGCCUCCAUCCUUAAAGCCUCUUCCCUUGCCUUAGCUUCCAUCUUUUUAGUCUCUUCUUGAAGGAGAACUCUUAAACUGUCCUUCAAACGGUCGUCAAAGCUCACUCUCUGUGGUUUGGGUAAAUUGAAAUAUUGCCUUGGUGAGAUCCCAGCACCUACUCCUCUCACUCUGCCUGGAUGCUCGGGACCCAAAGCCAUGGUCAGCACAUCAUUGCUGCCAGAUACAGUGACUUUGCCUUCCGAGACUUGUUUUUGCAAUUCAUCCUAAAACAAAGAUAUAUAAAAAAGUAAGAACAAAAACACACGACGGUUAUUUAUAUACAAACGACGUAUUAUAUAAUUUCACACGACGCAAUAACAUAUAAAUCGACGUUAUUAUAAUUUAUCACGACGGUAGUUAUACUGACGUGGUUAGUUUUUAAAACGACGAAAUGAAUAAACCACCGACGUCUUAUGCUUUAUUUACAGAUAACAGAGGGAUGAUUCAAUAUUCACACCUUUAACGACCUUGUUUAAAACAUUUCGACGUAGUAAUUCAAUACAAACGACGCGAAAAUGAACCACCGACAUCUUAUGCUAUAAUUACAGAAAACAGAGUAGUGAUUCCUGAUUUAGACCUUUAACGACGUUUUCUAAAAAAUUUCGACGUGGUAAUAUCAUUCACACGACGCAAAAAAUAACAUAAGACGUAAUAAGAAUUAUUCACAGUUUAAUAAAAAUUUAAAACAAAGUGAGUAGGCUUACAAUUAAUUUUGCUUUCUCUGCCACCUUUGGAUCCGGGAUGUUACCAUGUUUGUCCUGUCUAGCUCUCUUCCAUAAGGUAGAUCGAUCAAUUUCUACCCCAGGCAUGGUUUCCUCCAAUUGAUCCUCCAAACCAGCAUAUCCUUUUUGAGACAAUCGAUGAUUGUACUCAAGUUUCUCCCUAAUCUGUACAUGUUGAGAAUGCACAGACUCAAAAUCUUUAGAUAACCUUGAAGCUACAAAGGCAUCCCAUUGUGCUUUCUCUAUGAAUUUAUAUGCUUCAGGGGGUUGGCUUAAUCUCUCCCUGUCAUUGGUGUAUGGAAGGAUAUAAUGCCUCGUUAGUGUAGACUUGAAAUCCUUCCAUUUCUUGGCAGCAGAAGCUAACACAGAGUUCUUGCCCCCUUGACCUACCACAAAAGCAAUGUCAACUGCUUCCCAAAUCUGCUCCUUUAUAUCCUUGGGGAUUUGAGCCCAUUUCAUGUCCACAAGUGGAACUCUGGAGCGUGCCAACACACCAAUGUAGGACUGCAUCUCACUAUGUGCUUGGCCAAUUCCUUUCCCCCUUUUAUUGUACUCAACAAUUGGCCUCAGUUUCUGAAGUUUUCUCUUCACAACACGAGGCAUUGUGCUCAUACCUCGACCAGACUUUGAAUCAUCAGAGAUUGUUGUCGUGCUGGUUGGUUCUGUCUCAGCAGAUGAUGAAGCAAACUUCAUCUUCUUCGAAGGCUUCACUUGAGGAGGUACCAUUGCAAGCUCCUUACCUCCAUUUUUCUUGGAGCCAGAAUCCUUACUUUGGUCUUGGUGAGAAACCAUUUUUACAGACAAAACUGCAAGUGAAAAUAUUUCAGGAAAAGAUUAAGAACACAAACGACGGUUAUUAAUAAAAUACGACGUAUGAUAUGAUUUUAAACGACGCAAUGAAAUAAUCUCAGACGUAAUAAAUGUUUAAAACCAAGGUAAUUAAACAACGACGAAAUAAUUAACUAUUAACGACGUGAUAAUUAACUAUAAACGACGAAAUAUUUAUAUAACGUCGUGGUAUUGAUGUUCACACGACGUCAGUAGUAAUAUACCGUCGUCUAUAUAAGGAUCCAAAACCCUUCUUUCUUUCUCUGUGAAUGUUUGAUUGCAGAUUUGAUUUUUCUGAACCAUGGUUUUUGUUUUCUAAUUUGAUAAAAUACAAGGCCAAGAAAGAAAGUUUUGGAAUCUUAUAUAGACGACGGUAUUUUAAUAUGACGUCGUGGUAUUAACAUUCACACGACGUAAAACAAUAAGAUACUGUCGUCUAUAUUAGAUACCAACCCUACUUUCUUUUUCUUUAUAUUUUAUCAAGUUAGGGAAAAACAAAAACCAUUGUUCAGAGAAAUCAAACCCGCAAUUAAACAAGCAAAUAAAAAAAAGACUAUAAUUUUAAAAACAACUUUGUCAAUUUUCAGACGACGCUAGAACGACUGACGAACCGUCGUGGUCUACAUAUUUAACCACGUAAAUAAGAAGCUACCGUCAUCUUAUUUAGUUGAGGUAGUUGUCUUCAAAGUUGGAAACUUUCCAUUUUAUCGAACUUGGAAAGAAGUAAAAUGAUUUUGGCCAGAAAAAAGGUAAAAAGAUUUUUCAAACAAAAAACGUAUGAGCAUGCAAAACAGCAACCAAAAUAGUGAAAAUGAAAGCUUACCUUUUGCGUGCAAUGAAAGCAAGAGGAAGAUUAUGUUUAAGUUCAGAGACGACGAAGAAGACGAGAGGAAGACGAUGAGAUACUCUGACAGUGCUCUGACAAGGAAAAAAGUCUAAAGUUUUCUCUGGGAGAUUGAAAUUUUUAAUCGGGUUUGGAAACAGCACAUGUGUAUGUCAGGUAGACGAAAAGUUGCUUACAUAUAAAACCAUUUCAAAAAAAUAAUACGGCGGUUACAUAUAACUACGACGUAUAAAUUACAAAAUACGACGGUAAAUUUAACUUCGGACGUGGUAAAUAAAUACGACAGUAGUGUUGUAGGUACCGUCGUAGUAAACUCAAAAAUUAAAGUACAUAAGUAAUAACUCGCGUCAUGGUAGAUUAUUUAACACGUCGUUUUUAUUAAUGUACCGACGUGGAUUUCUGUAAUAUACGUCGAUCAUACCGACGUUGAUUUUACAAUUUAAACGGCAGUUUUUUUGUAAGGACCGCCGUUGGUUUUAAAAAUUUAUUCUAUAAAUUUGUCGCUUUCAUUCAUUUUCCGUUUACAUUUAGGGUUCCAAGUUCUUCCUCUCUCAGUCUCUCACGUCUCAAAGACAAUAAUUUGGAUGUCUUUCUCAAAGAUAAAUUGAGCUUACUCGCAUCAAAUAUAUGUCCACAAGAAGAAGCUUGUCGACUAGCCUUCUCACUUCCUUGAUCAAGCCUGAUAGGACACUUAGUGCUUCUGAAUACUCCUUGCUUUCCAUCAAAAGAGAUGCAAGCCUGGCCUCCACUCGCUGUCGAAGGAAAGUUCGCUUCUCAGGGAAAUCUGCUUGAUUUUCUUGGCUAAGAAGAUCCGUCAGAUUUGUGAUAGCCUCUUCCUUUAUCCGUAGAGCUUCAGAAGAAGAAGAUGGGUUUCAAGAAUGCGAUAAAGAAUAGAAAUGGCUUCAGAUGGCCUCUAAAGCAUGAGCAAUCGAAUCAGUAUUUGCUGGGAGAUAUGAUGAAGACAUUGUCAAUGCUUUGAACUAUACAAGUCCUGCAGAAAGAUAAAGGACCAAACAGUUAAAGAAACUGAAACAACGGCGGUUUUCUGUUCUACCGUCGUCUUUUCUCGUCGUCUAUAUUAAGGUAAGAUGGCGGUAGAUUUAUAAUUACCGACGUAGAUUAUUUUGUUAAACGUCGUUAAGUGUACUACAACCGACGUGGAUUUUAUUUUUAAAUUAUAAAUAGAGUUUUUUUUCCCGAAUUCUUUCAGUUUUAGUUUUCAAUUACAAAGCGUGAUAAAUAGAUUUUUCUUUCCCGAGGAAAUUUAAAAUGAGGGAAAUUAAUGUUCUAGAAUUUGUAAACUAACACGACGCAAUAUUACUAACCCGAGGAAAUUAUAAAUAGAUUUUGCUUUCCCGAAUAAAUUUUAAAUUAAUUCAGUUUGAAACAACGACGGUUUUUUGUUAUGCCGUCGUUUUUAACUAACACGACGCAAUAUUUGUUUUGCGACGUGGAAUCUUUUCAUUUAACGUCGUUAUGUUUAAUAUAACCGACGUAGAUUUGAAUUUUUAAAUUAUGAAUAGAAUUUUUUUUCCCGUGACCUUUCAGUUUAUUUUUCAAUUACAGUGCGUUAUAAAUAGAGUUUUUUUUUCCGGAGGAAAUUUAAAAUGAAGGAAAUUAAUGUUCUGGAAUAUGUAAAGUUUCUUUUUUGGAGGACAGAUUUAAAUAAAAUAAGAAUAUAAAAACAACGACUGUUUUUUUAUUACUGUCGUCGUUUUUCGUCGUCUUAAGUAAGACUAAGACGACGUAAUAUAUUUGUUUAGCGACGUUGAUUUAUUUUUUAAACGUCGUUAGGUAUAAUAUAACCGUCGUUGAAAAUUGUCUCUCUGAUUGCAAAUUUGCCACGACGUUAGGUAUAAUAUUUGUAGAUACACAAACGCACAUACAUCAUCAACUUCCAAAAAAUUGUCUCUCUGAUUGCAAAUCUGUGUCAUCUGUUAAGAUUAUGAUGUGGAACAGAGUUCCAUCUGGUAAGAUUUUGUAACCCUUGGGAUCUCAAACAAAUCUGAUUAUGUCGGCGGUUUUCUAUAUAAACCGUCGUGGUUAUUUCAAUUCUUGUCAUUAAGUAGAUCUACCGACGUAGGAUAAGAAAAUCAAAGAAAAAAAUUGUUAACAAAAAUUCUUAUUAAGACGACGGUUAAAAUUAAAGGUACGACGUAUAAAAUGAAUACAUACGACGUUAAAUUUUAUUGUACGAUUUAAAGAUAACGUCGUAGAACUAUACGAGAAUGACGUCGAUAUAUUUAUAUUUUUCGUCGUUGUACAUUAAUUUAAUACGGCGAUAUUUUGUAUUUUAAAGCCGUGGAUUUGUUUGUAAUUAUACGGCGUCUUAUACGAAAACCUCGUCGUGUUAUUUUAUGAGUAAAAACGGCGGUUUUUAUUGAAAUCGUCGUCUUUACUUUCUACGUCGGUCGAUUCAUAACUUCUGCCGUUCUUUGUUGGCAUUGAUUUUACACUGCGGAAAUCUGUUUCAAAUAGACGUCGGUUGUUUAAUUAGGUACGUCGUUGUUUUUGAACAGCCAUUUGAAUCUCCAUUUUUUAGUUGUCUAAGGUUGUAUUACACGACGGUGUUUUUAGAACCGUCGUCUUUUUAAAAACCACGACGGUUUUCACUUAGACCGUCGUUGUUUUCUGGUCGUCUUUUUCACUUUUUGUAGUAGUGGAUGGAAUAUUGCUUUUGGUGCUGGUGCUGCAUAUCUAGAUGGAAUAUUGCAAAACGGUGAUUUGAGAUGGAAUAUGGGCUGGUGCUGGGUUUGUAUGACAGUUGUUGCUGCGGAAGCGAUUGCUAGGGUUAGGGCAAAAGACAGUCAAGGUCGACUGCUCUGAUACCAUAUCAGAUUGGGUAAAAAAUAAUACUUCAUUCAUAUUGAUAUAUAACAAUAGGAAGGUUAUAUUUACAGAGCCUAGGAAAUUAUUCUAGGAAAGUAAUUAUGUUCCUAUAAUCUUGCAGAAUCAAAUAGUUGACUUAGACUAAUUAGGAAUGUACAGCUCACUGACAAUAAUUGCUGACCAUCUUGAUACCAAUGAGCAGCCUAUGUUGAAAUCUCCAUUGACAAGGGAGAAGCAAAUGGCUGCCAUUUAUACUCGUAAAAUUUUCUACAAGUUUCAAAAAGAGUUGUGGAAAUGUUUGGCAUGUGUACUUCAACUUGCAAGGGAGGAUGACAAGUUAUGUUAUAAGGUAAUGGAGAGGAAAAAAAUGGUAGCUUCAAGUUGAAGGUGCGAGAAGUCAUGGUUGACAAAGUUGCAGACUAUGCUUCAUGUAUAUGUAAGAAAUUUGAAUUUGAAGGAAUCUUAUGCAGGCAUGUGUUGGCAUACAUGAAAAUGAAACAAACUGAGUAUUUGUCAAAUAAAUAUAUAUUAAAGAGGUCGACAAGAGCCGCAAAGUCUGACNNNNNNNNNNNNNNNNNNNNNNNNNNNNNNNNNNNNNNNNNNNNNNNNNNNNNNNNNNNNNNNNNNNNNNNNNNNNNNNNNNNNNNNNNNNNNNNNNNNNNNNNNNNNNNNNNNNNNNNNNNNNNNNNNNNNNNNNNNNNNNNNNNNNNNNNNNNNNNNNNNNNNNNNNNNNNNNNNNNNNNNNNNNNNNNNNNNNNNNNNNNNNNNNNNNNNNNNNNNNNNNNNNNNNNNNNNNNNNNNNNNNNNNNNNNNNNNNNNNNNNNNNNNNNNNNNNNNNNNNNNNNNNNNNNNNNNNNNNNNNNNNNNNNNNNNNNNNNNNNNNNNNNNNNNNNNNNNNNNNNNNNNNNNNNNNNNNNNNNNNNNNNNNNNNNNNNNNNNNNNNNNNNNNNNNNNNNNNNNNNNNNNNNNNNNNNNNNNNNNNNNNNNNNNNNNNNNNNNNNNNNNNNNNNNNNNNNNNNNNNNNNNNNNNNNNNNNNNNNNNNNNNNNNNNNNNNNNNNNNNNNNNNNNNNNNNNNNNNNNNNNNNNNNNNNNNNNNNNNNNNNNNNNNNNNNNNNNNNNNNNNNNNCGAUGGUAGAUUGACCUUGCGAAGGCUAUAUCUAAAGGAAAAGCAAACAGAGCCAUGCCACUAGAAUACAGAUUUUUGUUUUGUAAAUUUUUUAUUAAGUUAUUCGGUGUUGAUUUUUCAAGUACUUAUCAUGAAAAAAAUGAAAAAGUACGAUUUAUUUAUUUUAUUUUUUAAAAAACACUUCUGAAUGAAGCCAAUUUGGCCAUCUAAAAAGACUAUGUUUUAGCGGCUAGCUAGCAAUCUUCUUUCUGUCCAAACAGGACGCAUAACUAAGUCCAAAUGAUAAGACUUGUCGGAUUGGGAGGCUCUCCCUCCCUCCUUCAACUCUUAUGUGUGUGUGUGUGCGCGUGCGCGAUUAGAACCAGUGUUUUCAAAGGCAUGCCUAGGCAUGCGUUGAGGCGCGCCUCGGAGCGAGGCGGAGGUGAUUCGCCUCAGGCGCAGCUCAGUUUAGCGAAUGUUAUGAAAGGCGUACGCCUUGAAGUCGAGGCGGUCCGAGGCGGCCGCUAAACACAAAUGCGCUGUAAAAGGCGCAAGCCUCGCGAGGAAGACAGACUUCCUUUAUUUGAAAAAUCUGAUUCCAGACGACGUCAUUUGCACGGGCUGUGUUGUUUUGUUUCCCUUUAGUUAAGCUGUGCGUUUCAGUUUUAAGUUUUAAUAUUAGACACGCACCGUUUUGUUCAAAGGAAACUAGUUUACCCAUUUAUUCCUUCCCUCUCCCAAAAGCCAAAGUUCCUAAACAGACCAACAGAAACCGCCUCCCUCCUUCCACCAUCAGUUCAGUCCACCUCCAUAAUCUACUCUUUUAUCUAUUCGAACUAGGUAGAAAGGCACUAGACUUAGAGAGAUAAUUUAACCAAAAGGAUAUAUAGUAAAGAAUUGAGCAAUAGUAAGAGAAAUUUUGAAAUAAACAUGCUUUGAUGGUUAAUUUAUAUUCUAGAGUGGCAUUUAAUACAUUAAAUAGCUGUUUUAUAUUUUUGUAAUUAUAAUAACUCAAUACCCGAAAGGCUUACGUUUCAACGCUUUUAUACCUNNNNNNNNNNNNNNNNNNNNNNNNNNNNNNNNNNNNNNNNNNNNNNNNNNNNNNNNNNNNNNNNNNNNNNNNNNNNNNNNNNNNNNNNNNNNNNNNNNNNNNNNNNNNNNNNNNNNNNNNNNNNNNNNNNNNNNNNNNNNNNNNNNNNNNNNNNNNNNNNNNNNNNNNNNNNNNNNNNNNNNNNNNNNNNNNNNNNNNNNNNNNNNNNNNNNNNNNNNNNNNNNNNNNNNNNNNNNNNNNNNNNNNNNGAGCUUGGCAACAAACCCCAUCUCUCUCUCACCAAGCUUUCUCAAAUCCAUGGCCCCCAUUAUAACUCUGCAACUCGGCCAAAGUAACAACGGUGUUUGUUUCUUCACCAAACACAGCCAAACAAGUCCUCCAAACCCAUGACCAAUUCUUGUCCAACCGAAUCGUUCCAGAUGCAAUCCAAGCCUGUGACCUUCGCCAGGACAGCCUGUCAUGGAUACCACCUUCAGCCAAAUGGAGAAGCCUUCGACAAAUAUGCAACUCUCAAUUGUUCGCCGCCAAAAUCCUCGACGCCAACCAACCAAACUGCCGUGUAAAAGUACAAGAGCUCAUAUCUCAGGUCAAUGAAAGUGCGGUCAACGGUGAGGCGGUAGAUAUUGGAAGGGCCGCUUUCAAAACUAUGCUCAAUCUGCUGUCUCGUACAGUUUUCUCAGUGGAUUUGACUGACCCAAGUAGCGAGAUGGCCAGAGAGUUCAAGGAUACUGUGUGGGGUUUGAUGGAAGGGGCAGGGAUCCCAAACGUAGGGGACUUUUUUCCUGUCCUUAGGAAAAUUGACCCCCAGGGCAUUAGGCAUGAUCAAACAUUUCAACAAGAUGGAACAGCUUUUUGACUGCAUGAUUAGCCAAAGAUUGGCAUCAAGAAAAGCCCAUGAUUAUGUCACAACCAAUGAUAUGUUGGAUACUCUUCUGAACAUCAGUGAAGCGAACAGUGAGGACAUAGACAAGACCAAAAUUCAAAAUCAUACACCAGGAUAGGAAUCCACCCUAUAAUAGAUAUGGUUUUCUAUAUGGGUUGCGCAUAUUGGUCCAUUAAAGUUAUUUGUUCAAUCUCAUCAAGACAGAUUGGGAAAGGCAACUGGGGUGAUUUGAAGAAAAUGGAGCCAUCUAAAUUCUUAUCAUGUGCAUGUCGGUACGAAAUUUAUGGUCUGCAAUCGAAAGAAUUAGAGGCCUGCAACCUGCUCAUUACUUAUGGACAAGGGAAAAAGACAUGUUGAGAACGUAACAUGCAUCGAAUAACCUUUUUUUUUCACGGAAACGCCAAGCAAUUUAAGGUCAAUUUUAUCGUGCACGACAAAAAUUAAGACGGAAUCGCAGAGAAAAGAAAGAAGCCACCGAGGCCCGCGGUUAAUAUAACCAAGGAUGAAACAAUACAAAAAAAAAUCCACAGCCAACAGGUAGCAAUCAAAGGACCACCAACUCUACUGUUUUUUUACUAGUACCAUGUUUAAGGUGAUCAAAUCUUGUAAGAAUUUUCUUCGUGGGCUUGAAACUUCAGAUUUUCUCAAGCUAUUUAAACACAAACACCGCCAAUAUAAUUAGUAGCCCUAUUGUCAACAAUGGUAGGAGCCCCAUAAAGCCAAGACAGUCCAAUUACUCCAUGCACCCCAAUAAACCUUCCUCAGAAAAAAACUAUCUUCAUAGUUAAUUCUGCUGGACGUUCUGACAACAACCAAUUGUUAUUGAGAUUCGAACUUGAUGAAUGAUUGAGAUAUAUACACGACAUAGUCUCUAUUUUUAUUUUUUUUUAAUAAAAGCGAUCGAUAUUGGGUGGGUGAGAUUCAAACACAAAAUCUUGAGUGCAAGGAAGAUAACUGUUCAAAAUAUGGAUGGCAAUUUUUCUCAUGGGUAAGGGUCCUCGCAUGGAUUCGACCCUAAUAGUCGGGUAAGAAAGAUAAAAAAUGGGUAUGGGGACGGGUACGAUAAAUUUUUUGGGUAUGGUGUUAGGGGAGGGGGAGGGACAGUAUUUUCAUCCCCUACUCGAACUCUCCCCGUUUAGAAUAUACAUAUAUAUAUGUUAUUAAAGUGAUUGUGCCGACUAAAUUUUAUAUUAUAUAUUUAUGAAAUUUAUACAAAUCUUAAGCUACACUACUUAUAUAUUUAGUUAACUUCUCAGUCAAUAUGUAAACAUUGUACGUAGAUAAUAUAUUAUAUGUACUCAUUAUCUUGCUCUAGUCCUAUUUUUUUUCUUUCAAAAAAAGUAGUUUUAUAUUGAUUUUUCUUCCGUACAUAAUGGGGCAGGUCGGUGAACCAAUUCCCCAUUGAAGGUGGGGAUGGGGAAUCCCAAUAUGAAUAUUGCGGUAAUGAAGGUGGGAAUGGGGAAAAAAACUUAACGGGGUGGGGAUGGAAAUGGCAUACCUAGUUCAAAACCACUUGAGUUACACAGCAUGAGACAGAUAAAGGCUGGUGAGGAGAAGGCUCGGCAAGCAGUGAUGAGGCUCACAGAGGAAAUAGAAAUCUAGCCAUCACUGCCAAGGGAGAUAAAUGGAGCUGCCGUGGGUUUCCACGGGAGAGCUCAAUGGAGGGGACGGUCUGCAAUGAAGAUGGUGCAACGGAGACACAAAAAUAACGGGCUAACAGAAGAAAAGGUUGCAGUGGUAAAACAAAGGUGCGGUUACAGCUAAGGUGGAAAGAAAAAACAUAUUCAUCUUUGAGAAGAGGAGAUGAAAAAGCACAUAUAAACAAACACCCCUAAGGGUAAGGAGCGAGGAGCGCCAAUGACUCUCAAUGUUGGCAAUUGGAGGAUCGCUAAUCGGCGUUAGCCAUUAGCUCUGAUACCAUGUACAAAAAUUUUCCCUUAGUCAUUCAUAUGAUCAUUAUACUAUAUAUAUACAAGUGUGUAGAGAAUAAUCUACAGUUACAGCAAGCCAUGAUCAUAAACUUAAAUAUGGAGUUAUGGCCUAAUAACAACAUAACUGACCAUUUUCUAUCAUUAGUAGGAUUAAUUAUUGUAACUCCCUAAUAAUAACAUAAAUCCAUUUAUUGUAGAAACCAUAGCUAGCUAGGUUUGGUUCUGUCACGUGCUCUCUCAUGAGUGAGUGGAGAUGGUUACAUGGUUAUUAGUUGUUGCAUAAUUGUAGGAGUUUGCAUGUCUUUAGUUGUUGAGUAGUUUUAGGAGUCAUGUUAUCCACUUUUAUAGUGGGCGUCAUGGGAAAAGUUUCCCCCUUUCUAAGCUUUCAGUUAGAGUCCUUGUUUGUAUAAAUUUCAGUGGCUUUUCAUUAAUGAGAUAUCAGAUAUUAUCCCUUACUGUUAGCUUGUCUAACUUGGAGGUUUUGGGUUCCCUCGAAGCAACCCUUAUCGUCUAAUUGUUAUCCCAACUGAGCCUUCUAAAUAUUGCUGCAGCCAUAGGUGGCCGUAAGAAGAAAACUACAUACCAAGUUCCUAUACCUAAUCGCCCAAUCACACGAGCGCUGUCCCAAGCACAUAACAACUUGGUAUCAGAGUUGGGCAUGGAGGAGCAACGGGUAGAAUGCUUGGAAACUGAAGUGGGCUCCCUAGCCACUGGACAAGAAAGAAUACUCAAGGAGAUGCAAUAGAUGUUCGCAGCCAUGAAUGCUCGCUUGGAUCAAAUUUCUCGAACCGGUGAUUGAUCCAGUAGUGCUUUCAAUGGUGGUGGAGGUCGAACAUUUGGAAGUGGAUCCACCACUCCAAAUUCUGGCAACUCUUACCUUCCUAAAAUGGUGAAGCUAGACUUUCCUCACUUCAACGGAUUGGAAGAUCCCACAAGUUGGAUAUGUCGUGCUGAACAAUUCUUUGACUUUCACCACACUCCAGAAACGGAGAGAGUUCCGUUAGCUUCAUUUAAUCUUGAAGGGGAUGCGCAAUUGUGGUUCCAAUUGAUGAAGGAGGAAACCCCGAUCACCACAUGGGCAACUUUUAAGCAGGGACUACAUGACAGGUACGGUCCCACCCAAUUUCAAGACUUCUUUGGUGAUCUGACAAAGUUGCAACAAACAGGUUCAGUACGAGAUUAUCAAACCCAGUUUGAGAAAUUAUUGAUUAGAGCAGGACGACUCACUCCAGAUCAACAAGUUGGCUGUUUUGUGAGUGGGUUGAAGGAGAAUAUCAAAACUGAUGUGCAAGCGUGUAAGCCGCAAACACUCUCUGCUGCUAUCGGUUUUGGCUCGCCUGUAUGAGUCUCGCAACCAAACAAAUAGGCGAUACUCACCUUCGGAUGUGAAGCAGCCCUCUACCAAUAUUGUUACGAAGUCUGACCGUCGACAAAAUUUCAUGCCAAUUAAGCGGCUGUCUCCAGCCGAAUUAAAGGAACGAAGAGACAAAGGACUUUGCUUCAAUUAUGAUGAAAAGUUUAGUCCUGGACACAGGUGCAAAAAAUUAUUUCUCACUGAAGGUUGUUGGCCUGAUGUAGAAGACGAAGCGGAGGGCGAAUGUAAUGCUGAAGUUGACUUGGCUGGAGAAGAAUUACCUGAAGUAUCUAUUCAUGCAAUAUAUGGUGCUCGGACUCCCCAGACAAUGAGGGUGCAUGGCAACGUGGGAAACAUCAAAUGACUUUCUUGGUCGAUUUUGGAAGCACACAUAAUUUUUUGAGUAGUAAAAUCGCUCGAAAGGCUGGCAUUAAUCCCACUGGUUUUGGAAAGUUUGAGGUUUCGGUUGCAAAUGGCGAAAAGCUUGCAAGCGAUGGGCUUUGCAAAGGAGUCUACAUUCUAGUUCAAGGUGUUCCUAUAACUGUUAAUAUGUACCUUCUUCCGUUGGAGGGGUGUGAUGCUGUUCUGGGGGCUCAAUGGUUGAGCACGUUAGGGCCAAUUCUUUGGGAUUUCUCUCAAUUGCAAAUGAAGUUCAAUGUGGGAGGGAAAACAGUGGUUCUUAAAGGGGUGACACCACAGGAUAAAAUUGUUAAUGAGCAUGAGAUUUGUAAGGAGUUGAAGAAAAAGAAAGAAGGCGUCAUUCUGCAAAUCUACUCACUUGUUUUGCAAGACCAUGACGGUACAUCAUUUCCCAAACUUGAUUUGAUUAAUUCUGAUUUAAAGCAUCUUUUGCUACUUUUUGAUGAGAUAUUUGUUGAACCACGUGGAUUACCACCACCAAGAUCCCAUGACCAUGUGAUACCGCUAAAGGAAGGUAGUAAUCCGGUGAGUGUGAGGCCUUACAGAUACCCACAAUUUCAAAAGAACGAAAUUGAGCGGUUGGUGGCAGAUAUGUUGAAAUCAGGUGUGAUUCGGCCUAGUCAAAGUCCAUAUUCUUCUCCUGUGUUAUUGGUUAAGAAGUAUGAUGGCUCAUGGCGACUAUGUAUAGACUAUCGAGCGUUGAACCAGAACACCAUCAAAGACAAGUUCCCUAUCCCUAUCAUUGACGAACUGCUUGAUGAACUUCAUGGUGCCAAAUAUUUCACCAAACUGGAUUUGCGUUCUGGAUACCAUCAAAUAAGGAUGCAUCCAGAUGACAUAUCCAAGACAGCAUUCCGGACACAUCAAGGGCAUUAUGAAUUUUUGGUGAUGCCAUUUGGCCUCACCAAUGCACCCUCCACUUUUCAGUCACUAAUGAAUGAAGUCUUCAAAGAAUACCUUCGUAAGUUCAUUUUGGUAUUCUUUGAUGAUAUUUUAAUUUAUAGCUCAACAUGGGAGCAACAUUUGGAGCAUAUAAAAAUUGCGUUGUCUAUUUUGAGGGCUAACAAGUUGUUUGUGAAGGAAGAAAAGUGUGCAUUUGGACAGGAAGAAGUAAAAUAUUUGGGGCAUGUUAUUUCUAGCAAAGGAGUUGCUGUAGAUCCAGAAAAAAUUGAUGCUAUGCUGGAGUGGCCCAAACCAACCACUGUCAAAGCUUUACGUGGGUUCUUGGGCCUAACUGGGUAUUACAGAAAAUUCAUUCAAGACUAUGGCAAGAUUGCUAGACCAUUGACUGAGAUGCUUAAAAAAGGAAGUUUCAAAUGGAGUCUCCAGGCUGAAGAAUCAUUUGAGAGACUAAAAGAGGCGAUGACGAAGGCUCCUGUUCUUGCUUUACCAGACUUUAACAAGCUAUUUAUUGUGGAGUGCGAUGCAUCUGGAUCUGGAAUUGGUGGAGUUCUAAUGCAAGAAAAACGCCCAAUAGCAUUUUUCAGCCAUGCACUACAAGGUAAGACUUUGUUCUUAUCUACCUAUGAAAAGGAGAUGAUGGCUUUAGUGUUUGCAGUGCAAAAGUGGAGGCCAUAUUUACUUGGGCGAAAAUUUGUUGUGCGGACUAAUCAAAGAAGCUUAAGGCAUUUGUGGGAGCAGAAAAUUACUACAACGGCCCAAGAAAAAUGGCUUGCCAAGUUGAUGGGCUAUGACUUUACCACAGAGUACAAGAAGGGAAAGGAAAAUUUGGUGGCCGAUGCUCUUUCAAGAAGGAAUGCAAGUGGAGUGGCAGCCAUCUCAACCCCUGUGCCGAAUUGGUUAGAUCCAAUCAAAGAUGAGGUACAAAGCAACCAGACCACGCAAGAGUUGGUGGACAAGUGUGAACAAGGUGAAGCGGUGGGUCCUUGAGAAUUUAAGGAUGGCAUACUCCACUUCAAAAAUAAAAUUUAUUUAAUGUCAGAUUCUUCUCUAAUACCUGUCAUAGUGGAGGAGAUGCAUUCAAACACACAUGAGGGUUACCACAAAACCUUGCAGAGAGCAAGGUCAGUCUUUUACUGGCAGGGAAUGCGAAGCAGUAUCAGAGAAUUUAUCAAGCAAUGUGACACUUGUCAAAGGAAUAAAGGAGAAAAUACUAAGCCAGCAGGACUUCUUCAACCUCUCCCAAUUCCUUUACAGGUAUGGACCGACAUCUCAAUGGACUUUAUUGAUGGCCUUCCUAAAUCCAAUGGGAAAACAACUAUUUUUGUUAUAGUUGACAGACUCUCAAAGUUUGCCCAUUUCAUUCCGGUCUCUCACCCAUAUACUGCUACAACCAUAGCUCAAAUAUUUUUUGACCACAUCUUCAAACUAUAUGGUAUGCCGCAAAGUAUUGUUUGUGAUAGGGAUCCCACUUUUACAAGCCUUUUUUGGAGGGAAUUAUUCAAAUUGCAGGGAACAAGCUUCAAUUUUAGCUCAUCUUAUCACCCCCAAACUGACGGACAAACUAAAGUGGUAAACAGAACUGUUGAAAUGUAUCUAAGAUGUUUUACAAGUCACAACCAAAAAGAAUGGGUGCGAUGGAUUCCUUGGGCUGCAUAUUGCUACAAUACCAGUAUACAUGCUUCUACCAAAAAGACUCCAUACGAGAUAGUUUAUGGGAAACCACCCCCGAAUUUAUUGUCCUAUGUUCCAGGAACCACUCAAGUGGAAGCCGUUGAUCAGGAGCUACGCAGCAGAGAACAAGUCCUCAAGGACCUGCGAGAACACUUGCUUGUGGCUCAAGAGCGCAUGAAAAAGUUCUACGAUGCCAAGCAAAUUGAUAAAAGCUUUGAGGUUGGUGACUUUGUCUAUCUGAAAUUACAACCUUAUCGCCAAAUGUCUUUGUCACUACGAAGAAAUCUGAAGUUAUCACCAAGAUUCUUUGGGCCAUAUGAAAUUCUCUAGAGGGUGGGACAAGUGGCUUAUAAAUUGAAGCUUCCUGAGGGGUCCAGAAUUCAUCCAAUCUUUCACGUGUGAUUGCUCAAAAAGAAGGUGGGCACUAACGUGGCAGUCCAAGACUCUUUGCCUGCACUUUCAUAUGGAGAGGAUACUCUUUUUCCCAUGCCACAAGCCAUCCUUGGUCAACGAAAAAGGAAGAAUCAAGAAGAAGUCUUGGUACAUUGGAAAGGCUUGUCUCCAGCAGAUGCAACUUGGGAAAAUUUGAAGGAGCUGCAACUCAGAUUUCCAGAUGUCAACCUUGAGGACAAGGUUUUUUCGAUGGGGAAGGAAUGUCACGUGCGAUCUCAUGAGUGAGUGGAGAAGGUUACAUGGUUAUUAGUUGUUGCAUAAUUGUAGGAGUUUGCAUGUCUUUAGUUGUUGAGUAGUUUUAGGAGUCAUGUUAUCCACUUUUAUAGUGGGCGUCAUGGGAAAAGUUUCCCCCUUUCUAAGCUUUCAGUUAGAGUCCUUGUUUGUAUAAAUUUCAGUGGCUUUUCAUUAAUGAGAUAUCAGAUAUUAUCCCUUACUGUUAGCUUGUCUAACUUGGAGGUUUUGGGUUCCCUCGAAGCAACCCUUAUCGUCUAAUUGUUAUCCCAACUGAGCCUUCUAAAUAUUGCUGCAGCCAUAGGUGGCCGUAAGAGGAAAACUACAUACCAAGUUCCUAUACCUAAUCGCCCAAUCACACGAGCGCUGUCCCAAGCACAUAACAGGUUCUCCUAAUAUUUGAUGGGCACAACUAUCAGAGGGUGAGCCAUCUGUAAACUGAGGCCAAACUUCUCUUCCAUGUUCAUUUUUCCCGGCACAACUCCAUCUUCAAGCUUCCAAUUAUCAAACGAGUUAAUAAGCGAACCCAACAUCAAAUUCAACAUUCUCAUCACCAAAGGCAACCCAAGACAUAUUCUCCUCCCGCCACCAAAUGGAAUAAGCUCAAAGUUCUGGCCAGUAAUGUGGAUAUUGAAUCCAAAAAACCUCUCAGGGAUAAAUGAGGUAGGAUUGUCCCAAAUGCUGGGGUCUCUGCCGAUGGCCUAUGUGUUGACCAAAACUUGUGCACCCUUUGGUACAAUGUAACCGUAGAUUUCUACGUCUACUUGGGCUCUGCGAGGAAGAAGAAGUGGGACAAUUGGGUUCAGCCGGAAGGUCUCUUUUAUUAUGGCUUGUAAGUAAGGGAGCCGAGUGAUGUCUGAUUCUUUCACUGGUUUUCCUUUGCAAAUGACCUGCUUCAGCUCCUCUUGAGCUUUUGACAGCUUUUCAGGGUUGCGUAAUAGCUCCAGCCAUUGCCCAUUGGCCGCACCAAAUAAAUCCUAAUUCACCAAAAAGUUAACUAGUCAAUAAAUUAAUAUGGGCACAUAGACAUAUAAUGAGCAAAUAAAAUUAUAUAUAUAUUUUUAUACAAGCAAUAUAGGGGAAUUCGAAUACAAAACAUUGAUCAGUGUAGACAUUGAUUAUAGUACUAUCAUAAACAAAAACAAGAACAACAAUAAUAAGUUAUAAUUAUAAAAUAUAAGCAGUUUAAUUAUGAAUUCAGACAAGGUCAUCAAGAACAAUUAGUAGAGCUGGAGUAGAGUAGUAAUAUAGCAAUAAGUAGCAACUAACCAGAAACAAAUGUUGAGUUUCAGACAUGUCCAUAUCCUCAUUUUUCUCUUCGCUCAUGUUUAUAAGAGUAUCCAAAUAUCAUUCCCUGUGACAUAAUCACGUGACUUCCUUGAUUCUAACCUGUGGACGAUCAUGCGGUCAAAAAGAUCAAUCAUCUUCCGGAAGUGCUUGCCCAAACGGCGCCGUAUCCCCAUGGGAUCAACCUCCUUAAGCACAGGAAAAUAAUCAGCCAAGUUUGGUUUCGCAAUAUCCUCCAUAAUACUCCACACCAACUCCUUGAACUCUCUAGCCCUCUCACUGUUCGGGUCCGCUAAAUCCACCGAGAACACAGUCCGCGACAUCAAAUUGACAACUUCAACCGCCUUACCUUUCACAAUGCUUUCCUUAACGUCAGCUAUGAGCUCCUGCACUUUUCGGUGACGGUUGGCUUGGUUGGAGUCGAGAACUCACUAUGCCAAAAAAGGCCUUUAGCAACGGAUAAAUCUGUUGCCUAUUACCCACGAGGUAUGUAAUAGGCAACGGAUAAUAUCCGUAGCCUUUUAUAGUUACAACAUCGGAUAUUUGGUAAAAUCUGAUGCGUAAAUGAUUUCCGUGUGCCAAAAAAAGUUGACUUCUGAUGCCUAAACCUGAAACAGCAUCAGUAGUUUCAAAAAGGAGGAGGCUAAACAGGUAUUAUAGCAUCAGUGGUAUCUGCUAUACUGAUGCAUACCACUGAUGCGUAUUAUCAAUUACAACAUCGCAAAAACAAAAUAGUGUUGUCACGAAUUAUAUUAUACGUCAUUGCUUUUUCUAUUUUGCGGACGUGAAAAGCCUCCAAUAGUGUUGGUUGUUAUAUAAAUGCUAUGCUACUUCUAGUUUUAGGCAUUAGUGAUCAUAAAUGUCUGGUUGUUAUUUUUAUCUUUCAACUUCAGUUAUUUCUGAAAAACUGAAGUUGUUAUAAACAUAGGCAUCACUUAUGUAAGGAAAAUGUAAGGAUUUUGCGUGUUUCACAUCACACUUUACUGGGUUACUGCCUUAAUAUAUCAAAAAGGCAUCAUUUCCAAAUCAUGUUGUGUUGCCAUUGCUCAUUAAAAAAAUAUAUUAUAUAAACAAUAAUUUAAUAUAUCCAUACUUGUCUAUAUAUAUAAGCAAAAUACUUGAAUGAUCCAUACUUGUCACAUCCAAAUCACAAUUUUUCCAGCCCUACACCACAAAUUAUCUGUACUUGUCUAUAUAAGAAAAUUACUAAUUAGAAAGACAUGUAAAAUGGAGUGUUUAGCUCAAUCAAAAAGCCAUUCUAGGACAUGAGUUGCCAAUUCUUUUCGCACCUCAUCCAAUUUCAUUUGGGUGUACGUGUCCUUCCGUCUAGCUCUAUAUGAAAAGAAGAAGAAAAACAUGUAGAAUGUAAACACAAACAAUGUGUAAUAUGAACAUAAGAUAUGUUGUCACUUCAAAUUGACCAAUAUGCAAAUUUAUGAAAUCAUAAUGGUGAACAAGAAAAUCUAAUUUGUCAACCAAUCUUGAUGUAGAACGGAUGGCAGAUUUUAUCGCGGUUGAGCUAGAAAAAGGACGUAGUGGGAAUUUGUAAAUUUGUUGUCCGAGCUCCGAUUAGGACGCAAAAUACCAUUUCGGAAAGGGAACGACGCCACGAGUUGAACACACAGCUUUGCUGUGAUGUACGAUGGAUUUUGGCAUUCUGAGGUCGUUUGGCCUUCCAAAACUGCAUUCAAAGUUUCAUAGUUAAUUCUCCGAAUAAAUUCUGUUUUUAAGUUUUAAUGUAAUAACUCCCCUAGCAGUUCAAGGGUUGAGAGUUGUGUAUUUAGACAGGUUUAUCUGACGUUUCUGAUUAUCUCAGAUUUUAAUAAAAUUAUCCCACAAGAAUUCAUCUUAAUUUCUGGUGGAAUCCAGAUUUCUUGUUACUCAAGGUUUCGCUUGAAACCCUUGUUGCUUGUGCUGCGUCAAAUCUAAUUAGAUAACAAGAAGUCAAUAAAUGGAUCCCACUUCAUGCUUCAACUAGCAAUUAAAUGAUCAUGUGAUAGGAUAGAGAGCUGGACAAGAACAGCUAGCAUUUCUUCUUAAUUCAAUGGCUAGGCAGGCAGUGUUAUCUUUCCUCUUGAUUUUAACAAUCUAUUUUUUAAAUAAACACAGAACAAAUUAGUUAAAUGACAUUUAACUAAUGUGACUAUUUUAGUAUUUUUAGUUUUUUUUUUUUUUUUUUUUUUCAUUUGACAAACUGAUCAUGAAGAAAUAGUGGACGCUCUGGGCAGUUGACAUCAUGCAUACCACAUUUGUCUACCUGCAAUCUACCAUAAUUACAUUAAAUCAUAAUGUACACAUAAAUUUCACGGGACAAUAAUGCAUCUACAUACCAGAUGGUUCUUCACAAAAUUCAUCCAGACCUGCAAGGUUUCUGUACUUAACCUUAGAAAGUAGCCUCACUUAUGUUCAAGGAAACACACUACACAGAAAUCAGAUUGAUAAUGAAGCUAUGUUUCCCUGUUUGUGUCAUCUUCAAAUUGCAAGAUGUUUUUUCAUAAGAAACCAAACCUGUAAGCAAAUAAAGAGGGACUCAACCAACUACUUGAUGAUCCUCAGCGUAUAACUCAUCAAAUCUAAAACUAAAAACUAAACAGCAAUCAAUAUGAAACAUAUACAGAAUUGAAAUUCUUAUGUAAUUAGUUUAAAAACCUAAAUUUCUGCCAAAUACCAAGAUAGAUUCGACCCCAAAAACCAAAAUAAAUUAAAACUGAAAUGAAAAAUAAAGAAUUCUUACCAGAAUGUGGAGCAGUCAGUGGUCAUGGGGUAGUGGCGUUGAUCCUUGGCAGCAGAGGAAGAGGAUUAAAAAAAUUAAAAUGGAAAAUUAAAAUCAGAAAGGAAAAAAAUUCUGAAUCAUAAUCAAAACAAAGCACCUGCCUCAAACACUGUGUUCAGACCUUUCAUCAUUUUCAGGCAGAUCCAUACGAUCAGUCGAACACCAGCUAUCUGCCUCGCCAAUCGCAAUUAUCUAGCUCAGAAUAACGAGCUUGGGGUUGAGGUUGCAGCUAAAGAAAAAUUGAAGUAAAUGACUACUAUGUUGCUACUCUUACUCUUGCCUAGUAUUCAUUGUUUUGUUUUUUUUUCGUUUUCAAAUAUUCAUUGUUUUUCAAAUAAAUGAAUUACAUUCCUAAUGGAAAUACUUAUAUUCAACACUUCCGAAAAUAAUGAGAAUACACCAUACACAAUAAUUCCAUUAAUCUUUUCAUAAUGAAAAUACAGAAAGUGUUGCAAGUGGUGGACCUAUCCUUAGGAGGACUAUUACAUUAAUAUUUUCAUACUGAAAAUAGACCAAGUAUUGCAAGUGGUCAACCUUUUUAACAAGGAUAUUACAGUUAUGAAAUUAAAAACUAAAAACUUACUUGGAAAAGAGAAAAAAAAUACAGAAUUUCAUUAAGCUCCACCUUGCUAUUCACCAUUAACUGCCAUUCAGCUCCUCCUUGCUUGACUUGAUUCGCCAUUGAGUUUCUCCUUGCUUGACUGGAUUUGCCACAAUCACUCAACUGAGUAUUGGCCUUCCUCUGGCCAAAAGGUAAUUGUAAGGUACUCUCAGCAUGCCUAUAAAUUGGAAACCAAACUAAUUUGCAUAUUAUCAUUCAUUUAAGUGGUUCUCUCAAGAUCUGGAAGUGAGUUUUCACAGUAUAACUCACCCUCGUAAGAACUUUGCAAGAACAGACAAUCUUUUAGCACCGGGUCUCCCAACUUGCUUGCAAUGAUCACAUAUUAGUUUACCAUAUAGUAAAAGGAUUAUUUCUCCAUUGUUACAAAAGAAGCACUACUACAUUUUACGAUUUGCGCGACGAAGACAAUUUCGUCGCGCAAAGUUGAAUUUCGUCGCACAAAAUCAAGCGUGACAGAAACUUCGUCGCGCGUAAUCUGUCGCUCAAAGAUCGUGAAGAAAGACUUUGCCCGACCGAUUGUAUCACUCGUCGCGCAAAUUUGUGUGACGGUUACCGUUCGUUACACCAAAGGUUCAGAGACGGCGCAAUAGUUCGUCGCACAAACUUAUGUGCGACGAAAGAGAGUUCGUCGCCACAACGAUGCGCGGCGAAUAAUAUUCGUCACGCAAUACGUCUCGUAUAUAUUUGCGGCACAAAGAGAUCUUCGUCGCGCAGUUCGUGUCUACAAGUAUUGCGCGACGAAAGAUCAUUGUCGCGCAUACGAAUUUUGCGCGACGAAAGUUUUUGUCGCGCAGAACGUGUCGUAGAUAUUUGCGGCACAAACAGAUCUUCGUCGCGCAUUUCGGGUCAACAAAUUUUGCGCGACGAAACACUUUUGUCGCGCAAAUCCUUUUUGAGCGACGAAAAUUUUCGUCGCGCAAAAUUAGUAUAUAUAAUUAUUAUUUAUUUUCAAUAUUACUUUUUAUUUUAUUUUAUAAAAAAAUAAAUUUGGUUUUUUUUUGGGAUAAUAAAAUGAAAUUCCAAUAAAUAAAUAAAAAAAAAUUGUAAAGAACAUAUUUAUUAUAUAAAAUAAAUGUAUACUGCAAGAGAAAUAUGUAAAAAAUAAUUAUGAAAAUAAAAAAACUAAUCAAAUAAUGUUCCAAAAUCUACAUUAUCGUCUGGCACAUGCGGUUCAGAGGUCUGGGGGUCUACAGGGGCCGUCGUCUGGCGGGGAUGCUCGGGAUGGACGGGCUCGGAGGUCGGCGCAUCAAAAUGCGGGACUGGAAUGCCGGACUGUGCGAGGAACUGCAGAAUGACCGACAUCUGACUCUGAAGAGUGGCCACCUGUACUGUCAAAGCAGUGACCUGACUGUUUGACUGCGCCGAUGAACGGGAUCUGGGUUCCCUCCGCCUGGCAUUCCCCAUCCCUCGACAAUAUGUCCCCGGUCUCCUCCCGAGAGUCUGAUCCAAUGUCUCCGUCAAGAUCUGAAACCCAGCAUCCUGUGGAGGAUCCACAGACUCGAUCGGAGUAUCGGGAGGAAGUUGGGAGGCGGACUCCUGAAGAACCAACUGGCUCUUCUCCACCAUCGUCGUCUGUUUAGCAUAACAUAAAAUAUAAAUUAAAACAUUCAUAUAAUAACCUUUAAACUUGAAUGCGUAACAUAAUAAUUAAAAUGAAAUAAUACUCACAUGAAGGGACUCGGCCAACUCAUUCCCAGGUCGAACAUAAACAUCGCCAAAGACGUCGAUCUCUGGGAAUUUGGACCCCCCCUAAAUUGAACAAGAGAAGAAAAAUAUUAGUACGAAAAUCAUUCUUUAUGAAUAAUUAAAAAUUAAAAAUUAAAUAAAAUUUAUUUUAUUAUUACCUGCCGACGUGCAUCCAUCCUAUAGGAGAAGGGCCUGGAACCGGAAUGAUGGAGAAGAGUCUUCUUCUUCCUAUUGCCCUUAUUGGCUUUAUUUUGUUAUACAAAAAAUAAAACGUAUUAGUUGAAAUUGAAAUUAAAUAUAAAACAUUAAAAAAGAACAUUAAUAAAAAAAUAUAUAAUAAAUUUGAAAUUAUAAAUUACCACAAAAGCGGGCACCUGAAAAUGAGUGCAGAGCCACGCCCAACUAUCCUCCCACCCCUCCAGCUCCUUCGGGCAACCCUCCUGAAGAGCGACUUCUGGAUCAUCAAACGCCUCAAAAUAGUGGUGCAAGUCGCUCUUCCACUGUUUGUACCUCUCAGCGAAGAGUCUGUUGACGUAUACCAACGACUCGUCGUCCAGGUCCUCCAAGUUAUAGUUCGUCUGCAAUAAAUUAAUUACAUACAUUUAAAUAAUAGAAAUAUAAAAUUUGAAAGAAAAAGAAUUAAAAGGCCUACAUACCGACAACUGGCCGCGAACCUCCGUCUUGGUCUCGUCAGGCAUCACCUUCUAAGACUUCCAUUUCAUCAGGCAAUGGCUUCGAAUGACAUGACCAAUGUCGUGGGCCAAGGAGCUAUGCAACUCUGCCGUCGGUGCAGCCCGAUGUCGCUCGUCGUAUCCGAUGUUGAUACGACUGUUGGUCACCCGGGGUAACCUUCGCCGUCUUCAACUGCCGACACGGCCCUCGGGUGUUCUUCUUGGCUGCAAAGAAAGAUGACAUUAAUGUUAAAUAAAUAAUAACUUUAACUAUAAAAUACACACACACAAAUAAAAACAAAAACAAAAACCAAAAUAUAAAUAACUGGAGUUUAAGGAUAUCUAUACCUGGCUGUGACCCCGACGCAUCAGUGGAUGUGGUGUCGGUGGUGCUGGCGGGCCGAUGACGCCGUCUGGCGCUAACAGGCUGUGCCACUGAUGAAGCUGUGCCGUCUGGCGCUAACAGGCUUGGGACCCCCCGGGACCAACUGCCAAGUGGUCCAUCAGUGCUGGCGCAGUGGCAGCAGCUGUCGGGUGAGCCGGGGGCUCCAAACUCUGCGUAGUCGUCACCGCCCUACGACGUCUAAUCAGGUCUGACAUCUGCACAAUUUCAUUAAUACACGUACAAAUUAAUAAAAUAUACGAAUAUUUGAAAGCACAUACAAUUUUAUUAAAAUUCUUUGACCUAGGGUUGGCGAGUUCGGAGUAUCCGAGACUCCGAUCCACGAUCCGUCGAAUCCUAGAUGAUCCUAGAAAUACAAGGUACACCAUACGUGAGUUUGAGUUCGAUCCAACGGUCCGAACAUAACAAACCCGAAAAUCGCACAAUAGGCAAAAUCCGUUCGAGACUCAAACGGCAACGAAAUUCCAAUCCGAAAACACCUACGCACUCGUGACAAAUAGGGGAUUGCACUGGGACCCAAUGCAGUGGUGCUACAGUACCCCACGUGCCACCACACGCGCCGGCAGCGCGUGGGUGUCCAAAGCGAUACCAAUCGCAGGAAAUUUCUAAAAACUAAGGGCCAAGGUUCCUACCCUAGGUUCACAACAUCAAUUGGAGCCACUUUUAUUCUCGGACCUACCCCGAAAAAUGGCCAGAAGUGGCCGGAAUUUAAAUUAAAAAACCGGCCGAAAUUAGGGUUUUGAAAUCGACUGACCUAUUGCAACAAUUACGUAAAUCCUACCCAACCAUCAGCUAAAGCAUGUAAAAUAGGACAGAAACCAUACCUCAAUUGUCGGAUUUGGUCGCCGGAGGAGAGAGAACGACGGCGGCGGAGAUUCGGUGAAAAUCGAGGAAAUAACGGCGGCUGGCUCGACGGUGACGGCGGGGAACCUCCGGGGUACCAGCGUUGCUGCGGCGCCGUCCAAAAUGCACUGGGGUAGGGGCUGAGCUGACGGCGGAGAGAGAGAGAGAGAGAGAGAGAGAGAGAGAGAGAGGCAGAAAACUGAAGCUGGGGAAGAAGGAGGCUGUCGCGUCGUUUCGGCAAUUUUAUUCGAGUUUGCGCGACGAAGAACGAAAAGCGUCGCGCAAAAUAUUUUAAUUGACACUUGCGCGACGACAUAAUUAUACCAUACGCCGCGCAAUAUUGUAAAUCCCAAAUUUUGGUAUCACAGUGGUUUUUGCGUCAUGCACACUAUAAUAUAUUUGUCGCGCAAUGUUGUCAAUCCGCCAAAAUUUUGGGACUUAGGGUUUAGUGGGCGAGUUUGAAAACUUUGCGCGACGCUGACCUUGUUUCGUCGCGCAAUGUUGUCAAUCCGCCAAAAGUUUGGGACUUAGGGUUUAGCAGGAGAGAUUGAAAACUUUGCGCGACGAGUAAUUGUUGUUUCGUCGCGCAAAUCCUGUUUCUGUAAACUCUCAAAUUUUUUUGGCUAAGUGUCCGAGGAGAAAAGGGUGGCUGAGAUUGCGCGACGAAGAACACUAGUUUCGUCGCGCAAAUCCUGUUUCUGUAAACUCUCAAAAAUUUUUGGCUACGUGUCCAAGGAGAAAGGGUGUGGCUGAGAUUGCGCGACGAAGAACACUAGUUUCGUCGCGCAAAUCCUGUUUCUGUAACUCUCAAAAUUUUUUGGCUAAGUAUCCGAGGAGAAAAGGGGUGGCUGAGAUUGCGCGACGAAGAACACUAGUUUCGUCGCGCAAAUCCUGUUUCUGUAACUCUCAAAAUUUUUUGGCCAAGUGUCCGAGGAGAAAAUGGGUGGCUGAGAUUGGGCGACGAAGAGAAACGUAACCUGUUCGUCGCGCAAACUCUUAACCCUAAACCCUAAACCGCGGAAAACAUAAACCCGAAACUAGUUUUAAUGAUCCAACCGGCAAACGUUUUUUUUAUAUUUCGAGAUCGUAUACGCUGAAAAUCUGACAAAAGAAACGUUAGGAAAUCAAGUAACGGUACAAAACUUUUCGACGGUUCUAAAUGAAAAGUUAUGAUUUAACGGUUAUUUUAACUCCAAUUUUGAUGAUUUUUUAAUGCUACUUUUCUUGACCCUAUAUGAAUACAAUUACUGAAUUUGAUCUUCAAUUUAAGAUGUUUACACUGGGGUGAUACCACAUAAUCUUAUGUUAUACUUAACGAAAGUAUAAGUAAACUAUUCAUUGUUGGUGAAUAUAUGGUUUUGAUGGCAUACGCAUUCUACGAAAGUAGUUUCAAUAAUCCAGCCGUCAAACGUGUUUGUUUAUAUUUCGAGAUCUUAGGCCCCAAAAAUCAGAAAAAAUAAACAUUCAGAGAUCAUGUAUCGGGACAAAACUUUUGAACAGUUAUAAAUAAAAAGUCAUGAUUUAACGGUUAUUUUAACUCCGAUUUUGAUGAUUUUUUUACAGCUACACUCCAUGACCCUAUAUGAAUACAAUGAACCAACUCGAUCGUCAAUUUCGAAUAUAUAUGUGUAUAUAACAUAUAUUAUAAAAGAAUAUAUAUUUGCGCGACGAGUUUCAUUAUUCGUCGGGCAAACUUCCAUCGCGCGAUGGAUAAGUAUUUGUCGUGCAAUGUUUUGCCUUUAGGCGACGACAGUUGUCGGUCGCGCAAACUGUGCGCAACGAGGGUUUCUUGGUCGCGCAAAAUUGCAUCGCGUGACGGAUAAUAAUUUGUCGCGUAAUUUUUUCACUUUGCGCAACGAACAUAUUACUGGGUCGCGCAAACUUUGCGCGACGAGGUCUUCAUCGUCGUGCAAGAGUUUUCAUUUUUGAAAAAUGUUUGGUGUCAAUAAUUUUCAAACUUUGUAUGAAAAUGGUUUGGAUAUAUUUAUUUAUCAAUGUUUAUAACUAAUGUUUUAUCAUUUUCAUUUUGUAAAUGUGUUUUGUCAAAAAAAAAAUUUAAAAAUUAAUAUUAAAAGGGUUUGGAUAUAUUGAUUUACCAAUGUUUUAUAACUAAAUUUAUUUUAAUAAUGUUUUAAGGUUUGGAUAUAACAACUACAUAUAUUCAAACUUUUGUAUUACACAAAGUCUGUACACUAACAUAAUAAAAUUACAAAAAAUUUAAUUAUUCAUCAUCUGAACUAUAGUAACUUUCGUUAUCGUCGCUAUCAUCACUUUCGGUCUCCCAAUCCUCCUCCUCCUCCUCUAUAACUACAUCAUCUGCGUUGCUCGGGCCCACUGCAACAUCGAAUCUUGGAAGAUCCCCAAGGUCAAUUGUAAUUGACUGAAUUGGUAUUUCGAUUGAAGACACUCCUUGUAUUUGAAACGGUUCUUGUAUAACAUGUGUAUCUCGAAGUGUUUCCACAUCAUUUUCCAUUGAAGAUUCUAAACGUUGGUCAGCCACAUUGUCGACGUCGUUGUCAGUUGGGUCUAGUUCUGGUAUAGCAUACACGUUCCUAUGAUCCAUCUUCUAAACAACUUUCCAACUGCUCCCAACUUUAGGGUCAUCUAGAUACACAAUUUGUGUUGCCAUGUUUGCCAAAAUGUAAGGGUCGUCAUCAUACCAAGUUCUGUUAAUGUUCAUAGACAGUAAGCCAUGGUUGAUUUUAACACUUCCCGUCCUAUUUGGGUUGCUAUCAAACCAUCGACACUUAAACAUGAUCACGUGGUAUCGAUCUUUGUAAAGCAAUUGAACGACAGUUGUAAGUUUGCCAUAAAAAUCAAUGUUCGUACUUUCGCCUCUACCUGGGACAUGGACACCGCUGUUUUGCGUACACGACUUGUCAUCUCGUGCAGCCCCCAAAAAUUUGACGCCAUUAAUAUAACAACCCGAAAACAAUUCAGCGCGAAUUGGGCCGAACGCCAAGUUAUAUAACUCAUCACUGUAAGUGGGGGAAUUCGAUGAUUUCAACUUAUUCACCUAAUAUAAUACAAAACCAUUCACAUGUUAGUCUGACAAAAUUAAAUACUACAAUUUAUAUUUGUCAAAUACAAAACACUUAUAACUUACAUAAUCCAAAAACCAUUGUGGAAACAAUUCACGGUGUUUCUGGGCAACUAAAUGUGAUGGAUGUUCUCGCGCCAUCGUCUCUUCAUGCUCAUCUAAGUAUGCCAUUAUCUCAUCACAAUUGUUCAGUACGAACCAAUGCGCUACCUCCAUGUCAUUUCUAGAAAACGACUCUCCUCGUCCAGGAUCUCCAAAUGGUCGUGCGCUUUGGGCAAAAACAGAAAGUUUUUCCUUUCUCAUACCUCCGUUGUUAUUGCGCUGAAGACGAUUGAAAGCCGUCUCUACAUCUUUUAAAUACAUUCCACAGAAAGUAAGCGACUCAUAUUGAACCCAUGCCUCUAUAAUUGAUCCUUCGGGCUUCGCCCUGUUGCGUACACUUAACAAGUCUCAAACUUGCAUAGGACUUGGACAAUGUCAUAGCGCAACUGAAACAUGUCUGUCUUUCGCAAUGUUUUUGCCGUCAGUUGGGAAAAAAAUCUGGACAACAACAUGAUUGGCUUCACAACAUCUUUCGGCAAUAGAUGUCGAAUACCCACAGGAAGUAGGCGUUGCAUAAACACAUGGCAAUCAUGGCUCUUCAGUCCAGUAAAUUUACCCCCGUCAACAUUCACGCAACGUGCGAUAUUAGAAGCAUACCCAUCAGGAAACUUUACAGACGAUACAAACUUUAGAAACUCUUUUUUGUCAUUCGGUUUCAUAGAAAAGAAUGCAAGAUCCCUUCUAGCUUUAUCACUGUCCCUGUUCAUCCAUAAACCCCUUCGUAUGCCCAUUCUUUCCAAAUCAAGACAGGCUUUGAUUGUGUCCUUUGUCUUGCCCUCGAUAUCUAGAAUCGUGCCCACCAAUGUGUCAAAUACAUUUUUCUCAACAUGCAUCACAUUUAGAUUGUGCCUCAAUUUGAGUUUCGACCAAUAUGGGAGCUCAAAAAACAUAGGCUUGUGAGUCCAGUUCAUAUGUGUAGAAGGUCUGAUCCGACUAACUGUUUUUCCGAACGGAGCAAAAUCCAAACGGUUAAGCUGUUCCAAGAUCUCAUCACCGGACCAUUCUCUAGGUCUGAGGCGACGCUCUGUGUUCCCGUCGAACUCUUUAUCUUUUUCCCGCCACUCGUGGUCCCAUGGCAACCAUCGCCGAUGACCAAGGUAACAAACUUUUCCCACAUGCCAACCAGAAGUUACAUCUUCCUUGCAUAUAGGACAUGCCAUAUAACCCUUUGUGCUCCACCCAGAAACCAUUGCAUAUGCUGGAAAAUCAUUCACAGUCCACAUAACUGCUGCCCGCAAAGUAAACAUCUUCACAGUUGAUUUAUCGUACGUGCGAACACCGUUUGUCCAUAAAUCCUUCAGCUUAUCAACCAGCGGCCUUAAGUAAACAUCGAUUGACCUCCCAGGAUCCUCAGUUAUCAAAACAGUCAUCAUCAUGUAUUCUUUUUUCAUGCAUUUCCAAGGCGGCAAAUUAUAUGGGAAUACGAAAAUCGGCCAAGUGUUGUGGUGUUGGUGUAGAACCUCAUACGGAUUGAAUCCGUCAGUGGCAAGUCCCAAUCUCACAUUUCGGGGAUCAGCAGCAAACUCAGGGAACGUUCGAUCGAACUCUUUCCAUGCCUCCCCAUUUGCAGGAUGCCGCAUCACAUCAUCGUCUACCCGUUUUUCCUUAUGCCAUCUCAUGUCUGUGGCAGUAUGCGUCGACAUAUACAAUCGCUGCAACCUAGGUUUCAGGGGCAGAUAACGCAUGACUUUUUGUGGGAUCUUAGUCAUUCUAUUCUGAGAUGUCAUUUUGAACCUCGACUCAUUGCAUAUAGGGCAUGUCUCCAACGUUUCAUGCUCCUUGUAGAAUAACAUGCAAUUAUUUUUGCAAGCAUGAAUUUUUUCAUAACCCAAUCCAAGACCAUUCAACACCUUCUGCGCGUGUUUAUGGUCUUUCGGCAAACAAUUGUCCGUCGGAAGCAUUCUCUUGAAAACUCCCAAAAAGUAAUCAAAACACAGGUUCGAGAUACGAUACUUUGUUUUUCCGUGCAUUAGCUCUACAAUGGCCGUGAGAACGGAAAAGCUCUCGCACCCCGAGUAUAGCUCUUGGUUGGUAUUUUUUAACAGUUUUUCAUAUUGUUCAAACUCCGCGCUGUCUAUUGGUGUAGGCACGUCAUCUUCCCUUUCGUGAUUGAUGUUGGUUGAUGCAAAUGGAAAAGCAUCCUGUAUAAUAUCCAUGACUUGAUCAUUAUGAUCCACAAUAGGUUCAACACUGUCCAUUCUUGUGGCAUUUGAAGACGAAGCAUGGUCUAAUUGUUCCCCAUGAAGGUUCCAAAUGCUAUAUGUCUCAAUCAUUCCAUUCCUUACUAAAUGAAAUCCAACAUUUUCAAUUGUCUCCCACAACGUGUUAUUACACCUCCUACAAUGACAUCGGAUUCUAGUUGCACCCGGGUUGUGUCUACGUGCAAACUCAAUAAAAUCCUCGAUCCCAUCCAAGUAUUCGUCUGCACAUCUAUUCGGGUUCUGUAUCCACCUUCUGCUCAUAAUUCCUAAAACCACAAUCACAACAUAACAAUCACAACAACUUCAUACGAAGUUAUAAUGUCACCUUAUGCCUCCGGUAAGGGCCCUAUCCCAUUCGGGAAUGCAUAGUCCUGUCACGUAACCUACGGCUACAUGAGAUUAGAUUUCGACAUGGAUGAAUUUCGACAGCAUCUCGAUACAGUUCUUGAGGUGGGCAUAGGUAUAAAUACCUACGUACCACCCGAAGAACGUACUGAGAUGACACCGAAAUCUCCACAAUCGAAACCUAAUCUUGUAGCCGUAGAUUACGUAACAACACUAUGCAUUACCAAACUGUCCAAAUAGUGGGACAAUUCAAGAAUUAAUUGGACCGCAGUCAUGCUUUACUCAUCCAUGCACGAAAUCCAACUAAUCUCGAACGGGAAACUAAAUGUUACAAAACAUACAAAUAAAAGUACGAAGUUAAUUUCAAUUAACUUCGUACAUCACAACACAUUGUGCUACGUCACGUACAAUUUAAUAACAUAAUAUAAAUAUAACUUCACAAAAAAAUAUACACAUAACAAAUUAACUUUAACAUUUUUAAUAUAUAAAAUGAAUAAAAUACCUUAUCAAUCGUUCUCCACAAAUUGCUAAUUACAAAUAUCCCUAACGAGAACAAAAUUAAUAGCGUUAGUACGAAUUUACAUUAAUACUUAUAAAUUAACGAUAAAAAAAACUUACCCAAUCAACGUACUGAAUGUCCAGCAGAGGCAGCAACAGAGAGGUUGAGAGAGACGCAGAGGCAGAAAGGAAAUCUGUUUCCUUUCUGCCUCUGCAAUGGCAGAAUUCUGAUAUGAAGAAGGACUUUGCGCGACGAAACAUAAAUUUCGUCACGCAAAAUACCGUCACGAAAAACCAUUUUUCCGUCACACAAAACGUGAUUUUCCGUCGCGCAAAAACUUGCCGACAAAAAAACUUUUGCGCGACGCCAUAAAUUUUCGUCGCAAAAACAAUCGUCGCGCAAAUUCUAGAUAUCAUCGCGCAAAAACAAUACUCCGUCUCGUAACAUUACAUUUCGUCGCGCAAGAAUGUACCGACAUCUGCUUUACGCGACGAAAUAUAAUUCGUCGCGUAAACAAAAAUAUCUCCUCCAUUUAUUUUUGCGGCUAACCUUUACGCGACGAAGUUUAAGAUCGUCGCACUAGGUUUUCUUACGCGACGAUUGCUCUCGCCGCGCAAGUGUUUGGCACCAAAAAAAAACUUGGGUGUUUUGUCGCUCUCUUUGCGCGACGAAAGUAUGUGUCUGUCGCACGAAGAGUGUUUGCGCUUCGAAAGUUUUGGUCGCGCAAGUUUUCACUUUUUUGCACGACGCAAAUUUUUUCCCGUCGCUUUAUUGAAUUUUACGCGACGAAUUUUGAUUCGUCGCGCAAAAGCUUGUCGCGCAAAUAGAAAAACGUAGUAGUAAAGUAACUUUCUGAUUUGAAUGAGUAUGACAAUAUAGCAGUUAAAUUUCGCAUUGAAGAAACAAAUGGGAAUCAAUGUAGAUAAUCUCUUGGAGUUAUUUAAGUCAAUGAUAUAUCAAGAUCACAUAAGCAGUCAAGAACCAAUAACAAUUUGAUAAACCCAUGUCAAAACACAGAGAUAUGCACCAACCUAGCUGUGGUUUUCAAACAGAACAGCCUAUAAAGCUUUAGCCCAUGGCCUUAACUAUCUGUCCACUGAACAGCCUAAUAAGCAGACUAAUUCAUCUGAGUUAGCUUACUGUUAAAAUUGUUGAUAUUUAAUGGUUAGGUCCAAGUCAGCUUGUUUAACCUCUCUUUCAAGUCUGUCACGUCACACUGUUUACACUAUUGGGUAGCAGUUAAAAUUAAAAUCAGAAGUACACCCCACCUGUUCGACCAUAAACAUAGUAAGCAAGACUUUGGAACUGCCCCUGGCAAGUAUAUGUUUCGCAGUUAAAACUAUAAAGAGUAUAGAUCAAAGAGAUAAGCAACCAGAUGGGCCAGAAUUACCAUUUUCAUGAAUGAGCAUUCAGUGGUUUUUUAUUAUCUACACCGUGUAGGCAACAGAGGAUUCUAAAAAAAAGUCCAAAAAUAAGAACAUUUAGGCAGAUAUUUCCAAUGGCAUUGACCAAAAGUCCCAAAGGGUUUGCAUAUGACUUCAUAUAAACUGGACACCAGUAAUUAGUGAAAUUCAAUAUUUACAAGAUCUUGCUGAAAACCUUUAGCUAUACUUUCCAUUCUAAAAAACAAGAGGAAGCUGUAUUCAGAUUUCACAUGAUUUUUAUCAAAACGUUGAUGACUAACAAAGCCAUUAUUAUCUUAAUUUCAUAAAUAGAAAUCUUUAAUGCUAACAAGAGCUCAGCAUAUAUAUACCUUGCUUGCUAGAGUAAAUAUGCCCAAAAGGAAAAGAUAUGAAUCUUUCACAAUCAUCAGUUAAAGCUUUCAUUUCAAAAGAAAUCAGUACUCAUUAUAUGCAUGUCUGUAGAGUACUCAAAGCUUAAUCAUAAUAAUGAUUGAAAGUUAUAUGCGUAUGAUGUAGGCUUAAAUGUGGACUGUUACUGAGAACACAAUAUAACAAGAAAAACAGAGUCUUUGACUAGUGCAAAGAGAGAUACAAAGCAACGUCAAGCAAAUAACAGUACAGUAAAUCAAAGCUUAUUUGUGUUUGCUUUGAGAAACAAAGCUUCUUUUUAUUCAACAAGAGGAACGAAAAAUCAAAGUAAUAGUCAAAGCAAAUUUGGGUAGACUAAAGGCUAGUUUGGUAUGGCUAUGUUUUUUUUAAAAAUUGCUUCUGCUAUGCUGCGAGAAUAAAAAGCUGUGAAAAAAAACAGCUAGACGUUUGGCAAAUUGUAUUAGAAAAAGUGCUGUGAAGAAUCAAAGUGUUUGGUAAAUUUUUAUUAGAAGUGCUUUUAAUAUGUAUAUUGACCAAAAAGGAUAUCAUGAUGAAAUUGUUACUUAUUUUGCCACAAAUUCUAAAUUUUUAAAGUAACAAAAUUAGUUCCAAUUCCAAAUAUUGUUACCAAAAAUAUAAAAAUAUAAACAAAAUUAAAUUAAGAAAGUAACCUGAAAAAAUCCCUUCCCACACCGUACCCACCUGCAUCUCUCUCUCACUCUCUCUCUCUCUCACUCUCUCUCCAUUGCCCCAAAACACCAAGAGAAGAAACCCAGAUCAAGAAUUUUGAAACUCAACCCAAACCGAGAUAAAAACUGUGUUGUCAUCAAAGAAAACAAGGAAAUCAAAUCCAAAUGAAAAUUUUGUUUUCCUGUGGUUUUGAUUUGAGUUUCAACUUUCCCUUGAUUUUGGUUUCCAAGAGAAGGUCAACGAAUUGUUGGUGGAUUCAAGAUUCAGUUUUUUGUGAAAAUCGUUGAUCAAGGAGGGUAGAUGCAGUGAAUGAUUGAAUCUGUGUUGCUAUCGAUUUUGGUCCUCCACAAUUCGCAUACCGAUGUUUGAAGAUAUAUUUGGGGUUUGGAUCUUUUGUGGUUGGAGUGGAGAUCAUUGACUGCGGAGCUAGGGUUGAGGUUUUUUUUAAGCUGUGGUUUGGAUUUUUGUGGCUGGAGUGGAGAUAACAGCAUGGAGAGCUAGGGGCUAGGUUUUUUUUUUUUUUUUUUGGUAUGAAUCGAGUUGCAGACAGAAGUCGAUUUGCAAGAGAGGAGAAGAAGAAUCGAGUUGCAAGAGGGAUAAAAGCUGUCAAUUUAGAAAAUUAAUAGGUGUAUUAUGGGAAACGUGAAAAUUCAUUUAAAAGAACCGGCUGUUUUUUUUCAAAGCAACUUUAAGAAGCAGCGUGUUGGCUGCUUCGAGAUUCUGCUGUGGAUCACCGCAGUUUUUAAAAUAAGCAGCCUUCAAUUGUUUUACCAAACGCUUUUGUUUCCAGAACUUUUUUUAUAAGCUGCUUAUUUAUUAAGCGCAGCAAUCCCAAAUGCCACCUGAACAUUAAAGUUAAUUUUUGUUUUCUUUUAGAAACUGACAUAGUCCAAACCAUCAAGACCCCAGCCCAUGUAAAGUGGGUGAUACCAAUUGCAUCUCAAGCAGCAAUAUAACUGUUGUCUCUCGUGUCAAAUGUGAAUUUGCAAACGCUGGGGGGGGGGGGGGGGGGGGGGGGGGNNNNNNNNNNNNNNNNNNNNNNNNNNNNNNNNNNNNNNNNNNNNNNNNNNNNNNNNNNNNNNNNNNNNNNNNNNNNNNNNNNNNNNNNNNNNNNNNNNNNUGGGGGGGGGGGGCGGGAAGAGAGAGAGAGAGAGAGAUACAGACACAGCUUCAACUAACUGCUUAGCUCUAAUACGUUUCAAUUAUAUACAUAAAACCCCAGAACAACUAAUAUGGCCCCAUCAAAAAUUUAUUCAUCUAUGAAUUCAGCUCAAGUUUUAUGGUCCUUGAAACAAGAACUCAACACCACAAAUUGAGAACUAUUAUGCAAUAUAAACAAAGCUCAUGCUCCCAUUUUCCAGAGCACAAUUCUUAUAUGUUAAUUCAACCCCACGGAAAUCACAUGCAUCAUCUCAAAAUGUAGAUUAAUAAGAAUUGAUAAAGCACUCUGAUUGAGCGUCCUCUAAUCUGUACUACUAGCUACUGCCAAAAUAACAUAAUGCAUAAAAUUUAGAAUCUCAUUCUCUUUUCAUUACCACAGCUUUCUCAGCUAGCAAACAGAAAAAUCGUACAUUCAAAACUAAGAAAGAGAAACAAAAAUAAAGCACAAUAAACAAAAAAAUCUGUGAACUUACUCUCAUUUUUCUCUCCACCAGAUGUAGAACAAACCCAAGAAAUUAAUGUCAGAGGACAAUCUUUUGGGGCAAAUUCAAGUGCUGCAACCAAACCCACCACAAAAAUAUCACAACCCCAAAAGCUCCUCCACGAAAUCCCCAACGACUCACCAAGACAAAAAUUAUUUUAGAGAGCGAGGGAGCUGUAGAGAGAGAAGGGAAGAGUUCCUAGAGGGGUUUAUCAACCAUUGACGGACGCUACCCGACUAGAAAGACUCUACUAAAAUUUGAAGUUUUCUCAUGCAUCAUCAUGGCAAACUAUAUUAAGAAUAUACAGACAAUAGGAACAGGAAUAUGCCUUUUUUCUUUCACAUAUCUUUUUCUUUCACUAACUCUGGUUUUAAAAGCUUACAAAGUAGCCCCAAAAAUCAAACUUGAAAACUUAGAAAUUAACCCAAACUAAUUACACUAACAGCUAUAGCGUGAAGAGGAUAUGGAUAUCCAUACCUCACUCGAACCUUUCGAAGGUCGCCGCGGCUCAGGGAGGAGCAGGGGUGGCAGGGCUUUAGCCCUGACAGAAACGCCAGCCUUGAUCAGAGCUUCUGUGAGAGAAAGAGGCAGUGAUGGAGGAGAGAGAAGAAAGAGAGAGUUUGAGAGGGACUGGAAAAAAAAUGUGAGGGAGAGGGGACUGAAAAAAUUGAGAGGGAGAUGAAAUCUAGGGAGAGAGUUUGAGAGGGAGAGCGUGAAAACUUUUAAACUAGCGUUGACUACCCUUUAGGCACAGGUGGCUUUUAAAAAAAAAUAAGGUCCCUCUUAAAAAAAAAAAAAUAGGCAAAUCACUUUAGGCAUCUAUGAUUAUGAGAGAUGAUGCUAUAAGAAUCAAAGGCAUCGUCAUAAAAAAAAUCAAAAAUUCAUACUAAUGUCUUUGUACCUGUUUAAUUUCGUUAUUUAUAAAAUCAAUGUCUAAUGUACUAAUAGCAUCGAUUUUCCGUUUUAUUGAUGCCUAUGUAGUGUUGCUGACAGUGAAAUUUGGCAUAAUGACUUUGGCUGCGAAAAGCUGGGAGUUGCAUAUUUUGUAGAGGUUUCUACAAGGGGGGGAAACCGUUGGCCAGGGCAUGCCGUACUUAGCAUGCUUGCAGGCUUGGACUGCAUUUGGGAUAGUUCGGUUGCAGAAGAAUUGGUUGUGGGUGCAGAGGCCUUGUUUGGCCACGGCGGAUGAAGAAACUACAACUGUUGUUAUUUGGCCGAGUUGUAAGUCAUAAUGGGGCCAUAGCAUUGUGAAAGCUUGGUUAGAGAGAGAUGUGGUUUGUUUCCUGUUGACAUGAGUCUCCUAAUUAAUCAAGGAGAUUUACUUCCUUGAUUAAUUAAGGGAUUUACUUUCCUAUUUUUUAUAGUUGAUAAAUCAUUGUAUAAUUAAGAGAUACUUUCCUAAUUCUUUACUAUAUCUAAUUCCUUGUAUAACACCCUGUAAACUCUAAACACAAUUUUUUUACUGAGAAGAAUAAAGUUAACCUAAUACAUUCAAACCAUAUUCAUAUUUUAGCAUGGUAUCAGAGCAAUCAAUCCUCGAUUGUCUCUAAAUUCUCAUAUCAAAUUUUUUCUUCAAACACACAUCCUAAAUCCUCAUAUCAAAUUUGUUAAUGUAUGCAUUUUGGGUUUUUCUUUUGCUUCCCUUGACAACUUUGUAAUAGGAUUUCUAUUGUUAUUUAUCAAGCUCAAGUUUAGAUUGAGAAUAGCUUCUCUAGGUGUUCUUAACUAACAACUAUCAUAUGGAGGUUCAUGCAAAUUGGCAAAGGUAAAUUGUGCAUUGCAUAACAAUGCAUUAUACUGUUUUCAUAAAAUGAUGACUAGUCAUCUGUUUCUUGGAUGACUAGUCAUCCUUGCUCUCCAGCUUGAUAACCAACUUUUUUGUCCUAUUCUUUUUUCUCUCUUGGCUGCCACAUGGGAUUCUGAUCUAAGGGAAUUUUUGGUCUGUAAAGGCCUUGCGAUUCCUCUUUGGGAAGCCGUCACUUUUGGGGACAAGUUUUGGAAAGUUUCAUAGCAACCUUCCUCAAGAGUAACCUUCAUAUUUUUCAUCUUUGAGUUUUCCAAAUUGUUUCUUUUUGAAAACUGCAUUUGAAAUAUGAAAACUUCAUCUUGCUAGAUCAAACACUCUAUCAUAUACAUCUAGGUCAGAUUCAAGAUUGAUUUCUUCAAGAGUAUGGUUUCUUGAAGAAAUUGGUCAUUUUCUCCAUGAAUCCAAAUUUCAUUUUUGUCUGAGUUAGAGCUUGCAAGCUAGUGCCAUGGGAUGAAAGAGCUGGAGAAGGAGCUGUCAUUGCCAUGAAGAACUGAGAUUCAAGCUUUGCUAAGUUGGAGAAGAAGAUUGCACAAAGGAGGUAUAGCUCAUCUUCCUAAAUAGACCUAGGAAUUUCUUGAGCUUGCUAGUGUUCUUUGUAAGAAUCAUUUUGCUUAGUGGAUUGCCUAGUCGGUUGAUGACCCCCAAUUUUUCCCAAUGGUGGGUUUCUGGGUAAACAAUUUCUGGUUUCCAUCUCUGUAAAUUUUCUGGGUUUGUGUUCUUGAUAGUUGACUAGUCAUCUGAAUUUGUGCGGUUGACUAGUCAUCUUUUUCUGCUGUUUGGUGUUUGUUUGAUUAUGUUGUCUUCACACACUUUCACCAUAGUUGUUGCUAGCACAGGGGAUGCCUAGAUUGAUGGGUCCUUCUGAGUGCCUAGGUUGUCACUAGUAAUUCUCUAGGCCUGCAGGUACAUCUUGGUAUGCUCUGUUUAUGUUAUUGUUUGGUAUAAUUCAUAUCUAACAGUUGACUAGUCAUAAGAGUAUUUGGUCAAGAUCUAGAGUGUGUGAAGGUUGUUGUGUUCUUGAUUGAAUAUCUUUUAAAUUUACCCCUCGUCACCUAAGUACCAAUUUCAAAAUUUCUUCACACCCAAACCCUAAAUCAAAUUCCUCAUAUUUCCAGCUUCAGAUUCAAAUCUUCAUACCCGAAUCCUCAUAUCCUCUUAUCACCAAACCCUAAACACAUCUUUUUCCUCUUCUCUUAAAUCCUUCCGCUGCCAUGAAUAUCGUCUCAUAUUCCCAAACCACUGCCUCCACUUCGCCAUCCUCUAAAUUGCCACAACAGGUUCUCACGGUUAUGUUUUGCAUAGUUCUUCAAAGAAACACAUUUGAGUCAUUGACACUAGAGCCACUGAUCACAUGACCUUUGAUCCUGGACAAAUUACCUCUCAUACACCGUCUUCUCAACCGGUGGUGUUUAAUGCCAAUGGUACCCCCUCCCCAGUAAUUGGGGAGGGUUCCCUCUCUCUCUGUGACUCCCUCACUUUGGAUUCUGUAUUGAUUGUUCCAUCCUUACAUCAUAAUCUCUUAUGUGUUGCCCAAAUUACUACGGCUUUGAAUUGCACUGUAACCUUUUGCCCUACUCAUUGUGUUUUUUAGGACAUUCUCAACAACAAGACGAUUGGUUGUGGUACUAGGAGGGGCAAACUCUACUAUCUGGACUUGGCAUCUAACAGUGAAGCCAGCCUCAGUCACGCUUACAAAAUUGGGGGUACGAGUGUUGAGAAGCAAACUUCCGAAGUAUGGUUAUGGCAUUGCCAUCUUGGACAUGCUUCGUUUGGAUAUUUACAUAAGCUAUUUCCUUCCUUAUUUUCCCAAUUAGAUAUUUCCAGUUUUACGUGUGACAUCUGUGAAAUAGCCAAGAGCCAUUGGGUUCCUCUUCCCUUAAGUUCACAUAAAAGUUUGGUUCCUUUUUCUCUUGUUCAUUCUGAUGUUUGGGGCUCGGCUAAAAUUACCACUCUAGGGGGAGCUAGAUGGUUUGUCACGUUUAUCGAUGAUUACACACGUAUGAGCUGGGUUUCCCUUCUCCAAGCAAAAAGGGAAGUCAGUUCUAAGUUUCAAUAGUUCUAUCACAUGGUGGAGACCCAAUUUCAUACUAGAAUUCAAGUUCUUUGGUCUGACAAGGGAGGAGAAUUUCUCAACCAUGAUCUUAAUCAGUUCUUACCAGAUCAUGGCAUCAUACAUCAAAGCUCAUGCCUUUACACUCCCCAACAGAAUGGUAUGGCUGAAAGAAAGACACUUAUUGGAAGAGGUUCGUGCCUCUCUCUUUGGUGCCAAUAUGCCUCUGUCCUUUUCGGGAGAAGCCGUCCUCUCUGCAGCAUAUCUUAUCAAUCGGACUCCCUCCAGUAUCCUUAAUUUGCAAACCCCCUUCAAACACUCUACCACCAUAUCCAAAUACCUCAUACCAAAAACCUAGAACCACAGAUUUUUGGCUGUGUGGUCUUUGUCCACUUAAAUGAUCACCAACGCAGCAAAUUGGAUACUCGCGCCGAAAAGUGUGUUUUUAUUUUGUUACGCACCUCAUCAGAAAGGUUACCGGUGUUAUCAUCCUCCUAGUCAAAAGGUCUAUACUUCUAUGGAUGUUGUGUUCCGAGAACACGACAUAUAUUUUUCAGCCGUACAAGAGGAGCAUCGUGAUGCCAACACUUCUCAAAUUUCAAGACUGUUUCCUUCAGAAUUGUCAUAGACUGAAAAUGACCGGUCGCAGAAUACAAGUGACCGGUCGUCGGAGACUCUGCUUGAAAAAGACCGAUCGCCUCAUGAAAAUCUGAAUCUACUUCAAAACGACCAGUCGUCAGAGUACCACGAUCGGUCGUCUCCCUGCUGUCAAACUAAGGAGGAGAACAUUGAGUAGUUUUUGCCCGCUCAGUAAUUCUUCAGCUCCAGUACCACACUAAUCACCUGCUGAGGAUGUCAUUCAUGUAACAUCUUUUUCAAAAACUUAUAACAUUAAUGAAAUAUCCCGUGAUGAUUUAAUUUCAUAAGGCACAGAGCCUGCAUAUCAGAUUCCAAAACGGAAGAACUAUGGAAAACCUCCAGUUCACUACGAAGCAGACCUUAAUGCAAAAGGGAAAUAUCCUAUCAACGAUUAUGUAUCCCAACAACAAGGAGAAUCAAGUUUGCAAGCUUAGAAAGUCAUUGUAUAUGUUAAAGCAAUCCCCUAGAGCAUGGUUUGGCAGAUUCACUAAAUCCAUGAAGAAUUUUGGAUAUAUAUAGAGUAAUGCAUAUCACACCUUGUUCUUGAAGCGUGAUGUAAGAAGACUUAAUGCAUUGAUUGUUUAUGUGGAUGACAUAGUCGUAACUGAAAACGACACAGAAGAGCAAUUGAAACUGCAAAAAUAUUUGUCUCAGGAAUUUGAGAUGAAGGAUCUAGGAGAUCUGAAGUACAUUCUAGGAAUUGAAGUAGCCAGGUCCACAACUGGUAUAUUUCUGUCUCAAAGGAAGUAUGUAUUAGAUCUGCUCACUGAAACAAGAAUGCUUGGAUGGAAACCUGCUGAUACAACCAUCGAGAUGAAUUACAAGUUAUGUGAAGACAUGGAUCAAGAACCAACCAAUAAGGAACAGUACCAACGCCUUGUUGGAAGGUUGAUAUAUUUAGCUGUCACAAGACCAAAUAUUGCAUAUGCUGUGAGUGCGGUUAGUCAGUUUAUGCAUUCACCCAGUGUGUCCCAUAGGAAUGCAGUUGAUCGAACCUUAAGAUACUUAAAGUCAGCACCUAGGAAAAGGUUAACGUUCUCAAAAAAUAGAGAUUUCGAAGUUGUUGGAUAUACAGAUGCUGAUUGGGCUGGCUCCAUUACUAACAGACGCUCUACUUCAGGUUACUUCACUUUUAUGGGAGGUAACCUAGUCACUUGGCGGAGUAAGAAACAAAAUGUGAUUUCUCGAUCUAGUGCUGAAGUAGAGUAUCGAAGAAUGGCUCACGGAGUUUGUGAAUUACUAAGGAUCAAAAGACUAUUGACAGAAUUGGUGUUCAAGCCAGAAAAUCCAAUGGAGUUACAAUGUGAUUACAAGUCAGCCAUCGAUAUUGCCCAUAAUCUAGUUCAACAUGAUCAAACUAAACAUGUUUAGGUGGAUAGACAUUUUAUCAAAGAAAAAUAUGAGAAGAAAAUCAUCCGCCUAUCAUACGUAAAAUCAGAAGAUCAGUUGGCAGAUAUCUUAACCAACGCUGUUUGUGGAAGAGUAUUUUAUGACUCACUUACCAAGUUGGGCAUUGGUGACAUAUAUGCACCAACUUAAGGAGGAGUGUUGACGUGAAUCUCCUAAUGAAUGAAAGAGAUUUACUUCCUUGAUUAAUUAAGGGAUUUAAUUUCUUAUUUCUUAUAUAGUUGAUAAGUCAUUGUAUAACUAGGAGAUACUUUUCUAAUUCUUUACUGUAUCUAAUUCCUUGUAUAGCACCCUGUAAACUCUUAUAUAUACCUCCUUAUGGAGAAGAAUAAAGUUAACCUAAUACAUUCAAACCAUAUUCAUAUUUUAGCAUUUCCAAGCUCUAGAAGAUUGCCAAUGAAAGGAAAUGGGUUUGGUCCAGGUGGAAGGCUUGUGGGAUUUGAUGAUCUUCUUGCAAAGGAAUAAAAGAGGGCAUGGAUUGAAACUCAAGAAAUCCAUAAGACACAAUAGUAUGAAACUCAAGAAAUCCAUCUCUCUCUCUCUCUCUCUCUCUCUCUCUCUCUCUCUCAGUUUCUUUUCUCCCAACUCAUCUAAUUUUCUGUUACAUAUUAUGCAUUAUAUAUAUGUGUGUAAGGGUGGGCAUCAAAACCGGAAUACCCAAACCAUCCCAAAACCGUUCCAAUCUCGUGCCGUCCUGUUUGGUGUUGACGUGUAAACGGGAUGAUAUUGUUGGCGUGACUUGUGGAUAUUGACUUACUUUCCUUACACACCAAGAAUUCCUAUUAUAAUUGUAAUUGAUUUACUUUAAUUCCUGAUUUCCUACUGUAAAUAGAUUUAAGAAUUUAUUAUUUACUUGCCCAUUCAGGUUUCGUUGUAUUAUAAAUAUAACCUCCUACAAGGAGAAGAAUACACAGAAAAUUCCCACAAACAAAUAUUCUCUCAUAGUUUUCAUAUUUUAGCAUGGUAUCAGAGCCAGGUUCUUGGAAUUGCUGACUCUAGUUUCAAACCCCCGCCGCCGCUAUGGGGGUUGAUGAUUUUUUCAAACCUUAUGGAGGUAGUACCACCGACUCCUUCUCUCAUUCUCAACCAACCAUCGUUGAGUUGAAUGCCCAGAUGGCUCCGCCCAUACAGAUGCAGACUUUGACCCUGAACCCGAUCUAGAAUCAGGAUCCUCUUUUGACGACCCCGACCCCGACCCCGACCCCGACUAUGACUACGACGACGAAGACCCCGACCCCGACUACGAAGACGACCCCGACCCCCACUCCGAUGAUGACCCCAAUCCCGAAUUUGUCUCUGAUUCAGACCCCGAUCCCAAUUUCGACUCCGACUCCGGCCCCGACUCAGGCUCAGAUUCCGAUCCAAAUUCCUACUCAACCUGUAUCCUAUGCAUCUUCCGCUGCACAGAUUAUGACUUCUAGACUAACGACCCAGACACAUGGACCAAAUUGCGCAUAUUGUGGUGAUCCGAGACACACUUGUGAGACUUGUUUUAAAUCGCAUGGCUACCCCGAUUGGUGGGCUACUCUUACAGAUCGAGGACAAUGCAAUAUGACCAGUAAUGGUACUAGUUAUGGAUUCCAUACUUCCGAUAAGAUUGAUUCCAAGAGCUGGAUAAUUGAUUCUGAUGCAACUGAUCAUAUGACGUUUGACCCUGAUGAUUUUCUGAAUACUACACAACCUCGACGAACCUGUAUUGCAAAUGCCAAUGGUGUUACUUAUCCUGUGAUAGGGGCUAGCACUGUUGCACUCUCAUCCUCUCUCACCAUGUCUAAUACUUUACUUGUUCCAUCUUUAUCCACUAAAUUGUUGUCAGUUAGUCAGCUUACUGAAUAAUUGAAUUGUUGUGUACUCAUUUACCCGAGUUUUUGUUUGCUUCAGGAUAUUCACACUAAGGAGAUUCUUGGUCGUGGUACUAAGAGAGGGGGGCUAUAUUAUGUCGAUGACUUCAGUCCCGGCGUGGCUAACAGUGUGACACAUCCCUUUGAUAGCAAACAAAAGCAAAUCUGGUUGUGGCAUCGUCGAUUGGGACAUCCAUCUUUUAGUUAUAUGAAGCAUCUUAUACCAGAUUUAUUCUCAGGUUUCAAAGACUCCGAUACUUGUAUUUUGGCCAAGAGUCACCGUGUGCCGUACCCGUUGAAUACGAACAAGUGUACUACUCCAUUUACGUUAAUUCACUCUGAUGUCUGGGGACCUUCGCCUAUCACUGCUCCUUCUGGUGUUUGAUGGUUUGUCACAUUCAUCGAUGAUUGUACACGAAUGACAUAGCUUUAUUUGCUGAAGAAUAAAAAUGAAGUGUUUUCCCGUUUUCAGUCCUUCCACAAACAGAUGAAAACUCAGUUUAAUGCUCAAAUCCAGAUUCUUCGCUCAGACAAUGGUGGAGAAUUUGUCAAUCAUGACUUUCAGACUUACUUUCAACAACAUGGAAUUAUCCAUGAGACGACUUGUUCUCAGACACCACAACAAAAUGGUGUUGCUGAAUGAAAGAAUCGACAUCUUCUUGAAACCGCCUGAGCACUUUUGAUUGGCGCUCAUGUUCCUCGCCAUCACUGGGAUGAUGCUAUUGUCACUGCAGUUCACCUAAUCAACCGCAUGCCUUCUGGUGUAUUGACCUUUAAAACUCCCUUAUAGGUGCUUGCACAACACAGACCUCUGCCCUCUGUUUUGGUACUCACACCCCGAAUCUUUGGAUGUGUGGCUUUCGUUCAUCUCCACAAAAAUCAACGUAGCAAACUUGAUCCCUGUGCGCUUCGUUGUGUUUUUGUGAGUUAUGCCACUCAUCAGAAAGGUUACCGUUGUUAUUACCCUCCUACCCAAUGAACCUAUGUCACUUUGGAUGUGACCUUUUUGGAAUAUGAACUGUUCUUUCAUAACCCAUCAUCCAAUUCUGCUCUUCACGGGGAGAUACGAAGUGAAGAGCAGAAUUGGAGCAACUUGGAAAACAAAGAAAUUCUUCUAUGUACAGAAAUGAUUGAUCAUCCCGAGUCUGGAGCACGAGAUUACUCUCUGUUAAAAAGCGACCAAUCGCCCAUUCAUAGCGAUCAAUUGCCUGACCCACCUGAUCCAUGUGAAGAUAUUUUUGAUCCAAGUCUCACACCUACAGACAAUACAGAACAACAAGAUGAAGACCCCCUUCUAACUUAACAGUACCAACAGACCAAUCUCCUGAGAAUAUCCUUGAGGUAACUACUCCUACUAGACUUGUCCAUUUAGAUGAUAAAACUCUUGGAUAUCAAUUACCUUUCAGGCAAAAUCGUGGGAAGCCACCAAACCGUUAUUCACCUGAUAUUGGCAAGACAUCCAAGUGUCCAAUUGCAAAUCAUGUAUCCACUGAGAAGCUGUCUGAACCACUCAAGGCUUUUGUGCAUCAGUUGUCUGCUAUCCAUAUUCCAACCAAGGUUUCUGAAGCAUUGAAAGAUCCUAAGUGGGUCCAAGCUAUAAAAGAGGAGAUGAAAGCUCUUGAGAAAAAUCAGACUUGGACAUUGGCGACUAUACCACGAGGAAAAAAGACUAUCGAUGUAGAUGGGUGUUUACUAUAAAACACAAUACAGAUGGAUCUAUCGAGCGAUACAAGGCAAGACUUGUGGCAAAAGGGUACACACAGACCUAUGGUAUAGACUAUGAAGAAACUUUUGCACCAGUUGCAAAGUUAAACACCGUCAGAGUCUUAUUGUCCCUUGCAGCUAAUUUGGAUUGGCCACUACACCAGUUUGAUGUAAAGAAUGCUUUUCUACAUGGCGAACUCACGGAGGAGGUGUACAUGGACAUUCCUCCUGGAUAUAAUACUACUCAGACUGGAACAGUUUGCAGGUUACGAAAAGCAUUGUAUGGAUUGAAACAGUCACCACGUGCAUGGUUUGAACGGUUCACCAUGGCAAUGAAGAACAAUGGUUUCAAACAAUGCAACUCAGGUCAUACUCUAUUCUUGAAACAUCGAAAAGGGAAGGUAACAGCAUUAAUAAUCUAUGUUGAUGAUAUGAUUAUUACUGGGAAUGAUAAACAGGAAAUAUCACAGCUACAAGACUAUCUGGCUACGGAGUUUGAGAUGAAGGAUCUAGGUGGACUCAAGUAUUUCUUGGGAAUUGAGGUGGCUCGAUCGCAGCAAGGCAUAUUUCUCUCUCAAAGGAAAUAUGUCUUGGACUUGUUGACAGACACAGGAAUGCUAGAUUGUAAACCUGCGGACACUCCUAUUGUUCAGAAUCAUCAUCUUGGAGAAUAUCUGGAUCAAGUUCCAACUAACAAAGAAAGAUACCAAAGGCUAGUGGGAAGAUUGAUCUAUUUGUCACAUACUUGACCAGACAUUGCUUAUGCGGUGAGCGUUGUCAGUCAAUUUAUGCACUCUCCAAGUGAAGACCACAUGAAUGCAGUUCUUCGGAUACUUAGAUAUUUGAAGUCUGCACCUGAAAAAGGACUUAUGUUCUCAAAGCAUGGUCAUCUAAAUAUUGAUGGUUAUUCAGAUGCAGAUUGGGCAGGUAAUGUAACAGAUAGAAAAUCCACAUCGGGUUACUUCACAUUCGUGGGAGGUAAUUUGGUGACAUGGAGGAGCAAGAAACGGAAUGUAGUAGCUUUAUCCAGUGCAGAAGCCGAGUUCAGAGGCAUGACUAAAGGGAUUUGUGAACUUCUUUGGUUAAGAAAGUUGCUUAUUGAACUCGGGUAUAAACCUACAUCCACAAUGAAUCUCUUUUGUGACAACAAGGCUGCUAUAGCCAUUGCACAGAAUCCGGUUCAACAUGAUCGUACUAAACAUGUUGAGGUGGAUCGACACUUCAUCAAACAGAAGCUUGAGGCUAAAGUGUUUCAGUUUCCUUUUGUGAAAUCCGAGGAUCAAUUGACAGAUAUUUUGACAAAGGCGAUUUCCAGUAAAGCAUUCCACAAUUCACUGGAUCAGCUGGGCAUUGGCGACAUCUAUGCACCAACGUGAGGGGGAGUGUUGGCGUGACUUGUGGAUAUUGACUUACUUUCUUUACACACCAAGAAUUCCUAUUAUAAUUGUAAUUGAUUUACUUUAAUUCCUGAUUUCCUGCUGUAAAUAGAUUUAGGAAUUUAUUAUUUACUUGCCUAUUCAAGUUUCGUUGUAUUAUAAAUAUGACCUCCUACAAGGAGAAGAAUACACAGAAAAUUCCCACAAACAAAUAUUCUCUCAUAGUUUUCAUAUUUUAGCAGACAUCGUGUCAUCCUGUUACUGUUUGGCACGACAUUGGUUUCACAUUUGUGAUCCCGAUUGGUGUCAUACCGUACCAAACAGUACAUUUGUUUUAUUAAUCCUAAUUUAAUUUCAGCCUACUCUCCUCCACAGAUUUCUUCGACUCCUCUCUCUCUUUGUUUCUCUGCGUCCCUUCCUCUAUCUAAUUCUAAUUCUUCUCUUCUCUUCUCUCCUCCUUUCUCAAUCUUUCUUGAUAGAAAUGAGGUCUUUUUGUUCUCUUUUCCUUUGAUGGGUUUUUGAAAGAAAAAAAGGUUUGUUCUCUUUUUGUUCUCUUUUCCUUUGAUACGCAUCCUUCCUGUUACAGUUGGAUCCUUUAUCCUGGAUUAAAUUGAUUGUCUUCAUCUAAUGAUAUAUUGCAAAUAUCUGGAGACUUUCUUUUAUGAAAUUUAGGUAGGUAUUGGAGGUUUCCUGUGCAGCUGCCAAAUUUCACUUCUUUGGUUUCUGGAUUUGGACUUUACGUUUUCAAUGACAUUUUACACGCAUUAGCAUUUUGGGGUUAUCUAGAAGUCGAGUUUUCUGGAUAUGAGAAGUAAUGGUAGUUGGGUUUUCUCUUUUAAUUGAAAAGAACACUACUUUAUUACAGGUUUAGGUGUUUGGUUAAGUUUAGAUCUUUAACAAUAUCAGUGGGACUCUUGCUCCUUUUAAUCCAUCACUGCCAGUGUUUGGUUAUGAAAUUUUGCAGAUUGUUUACGGUAUCAGCAUUGAUAUCGAAUUAUAUCGAUCUCGUUUAGGUUUGGUAUAGUUUGAACGUGUUUUCAAAAACAACCAUCAUGUCUCAUCCCAUUUCGAUUCCCCUAUUCAAGAUUGACACCGAAAUAACCUCUAUUCUGUGUCAUCUCGUAUCGUGGCCAGCCCUAUAUGUGUAUAUCUUUUAGGAGACAUAUAGGGAAAGUCAACUAUUUAUAUCUUUUAGGAGACAAAUAUGAAUAGCCACUUGGCGUGACAUCAGGAAUUUGACGGUAUAUCUACUAGUUUAUUGGUAUAGUUCAUGGCCGUGAAUUAUUGAUAAAGGAAAAAGACAAGGAAAAAUGUAUAAAGUAAUUUCUUUUUGUUGUAAAAUAACUGGGAUAUGUGCGAAUAUUGAGCUGCACGUAAAGUAGAUGAGACACAGUAUUUAAAGAGGUUCGGCUAUGCCUACGUCCCCGGAGAGCAGCAGUAGUAACUUUUCCACUAUGUAAUAUAAUAGGGCUACAACUUUAGUGUUUACAAUAUGUAUGGCUCACUCAAUUUUCUCUCUUGGAGAAUUUCUCUCUUGCUCUCUUUCCUCUCAACUCACUCACCCUCUUUCUUCCUUCUCUUCCUCUUCUCUCAUUUCAUCUUCUCAUUACAAGCAAAUAUAAUGCCUAUUUAUAGGCAAAGCAAAUGGCUUGGUUUGGUGGGUGUGUGAUUUGGUUUGGUAGGUGUGUGGUUUGGUUUGGUAGGUGUGUGGUUUGAUUUGGUGGGUGUGUGGUUUGAAUGUUAGAGCAUGUGGGCUUCACCCAUUCUUCUUUACAACACUCCCCCUUGGAGACCACAUGUCCCUAGAUUGGUUGCCUCAUUAAAACCUUGCUUGGAGAAAAACCCAGUGAGGUAGAAAACUGAUGGAAGGAAGAAAAAAGAGUACAGCAAUCUGUAUAGCAUACUUCUGGAUGCUCCCCCUGAUUAAUAUCUCCCCCUGAUGUCUUCAUGACUAUCUUUUGGAGUGAGAAUCUUUCGGAGUGAGUGGAGGAUAUAGCCAUUAAUAAUUCUUGUAGUUGAGUAAAUAAAUAUAUUUCCAGUGAGCUAUCUCUAUGUAAAUCAUAGAAAUUUUCAGAGUCCGCGUUUCUAACAAAACUUGGGCUAUUUGUAAGUUCACUUGAAAGAAUAUGCCCGUACAUGGUGUUAUGCGGAGAUAGCAUCAAAUAUACCUCACAUCAUCCCAAAAUGAUGGUGAUGGAGUUGAGCCCUAUCUGGAAAAUAUGAUGUCCGGUCCAAUAUACUUCCGGAAAAUCAUUAAAAUGUCCAACGGAUAAUCCUCAUAAAAAUGCUUCAAUACUUUCUUAGUAUAAGCAAGAAUCUCGUUGGCAUAAUGCUCGAUCCUUAAGUCGAGACAAAUAUUUCUUGAACUCUUCAGAAGCUUUAAUGUGUUGCAAACACAUUAUAAUCCAUGUACUCACUGAGACAAUUUAUGCACAUUAGUAUUGAGUACAGAUUUUGUGCUUCAGGCACAUGUCCUUCAGGGACUUGCUUCAUGCAAUUUCAAUCCUUUCAAGGAUUUUGUUUAAAGGGAUUAAACUUUAUGACACAUUAUAUAGCUUUAAUCCAGCUAUUUAUACAUCUUUAGGGAAUCGCUUCUGGCAAUAUGCUCUGUGCAUUUAAUACCCCUUAAAGAUAAUAUGUUGGUCUCCGUAAAUGUGUAAUAAAGGGGCACAAUUGAAUCUAUAAAUAUGGAGAAAAUCCAACGUUCCUUAUUUAUGCCAAAAAUAUUGUGUCAUACAAAGUAGGUAUAUUCCCUUCUAUUCCGAACACCCAAGUAUAACUUUCAGUAUUAACAUCUUUUGGGGUUCGUAAUGUGGGUUUGUUCUUUCACGUUCAUUCUCAUCUAUAAUGGAAUUACCUCAUUCCAUUUUGGCCAAUGAUAUUGUCGACAUUUAAUAAUUGAACGUGGUUCCAAUUAACGCAGCCCAUUGAUGAUUUGAGUAGCUACUCUAAAACCAAAAAUUGUCAUUCAUCAAUUCAUGAUCUCACCAUUCUCAUUUGCAUGCGCAUGCAUCAAUUAUAAGCAUUUCUUUGCUUUUGGGUACCCAAGCCACUUCAUGGGGCUUUUAUUAUGUGAGAAUGUGGAUUAUAACCUCCAAUGGAACGUUAUUUUACAGUAGGGCGUGGAUAAUCUCUAUUUAGGGAGUUGGAACAUUUAGAACCCAUAUAUCUGUCAUGCUGCAGGCAUGCCACAGAUUAAUACAUACAUGUCAAUUAAUUUCUGGGACUUUAACCCAUACUAUUUGCUACGCAUUAGGCGUGCACAAUAUCAAUAUUGACAUGUCAAAGGAUUGUCCUUUCGGGACUUCAAUCAACAUCAUUUGCUACGCAACAGGCGUGCAUCAUAUUGAUCACUGCUAUACCCAUGUUCUGUUCUUAUGGGACUUUAAUCUGUGCAAUGUAUUAUCAAUGUAUCCAACUUGCAAUCUGUAAAAUUUGCAUUAAUAAUUCAUGGAUACAUACAAGCCAUUCUUUUAGAACAGACUUAUCUCCCCAUUUGGUUACCUUUCAAGAUAAAAUAUCAAAUAAGUAUAUAAGCAUAUAAUAACACAAAUAUUGCUUACAUCCUUAGGUGGGAGAAACUUUUCUUAAGUAUCAUUCAAGCUCGUAUCGGCCCAAUAAAUAUAAUGUAGCGCUUGAUGAUCUAGUUAUAUCCUGCAAGAGCAAAAUCACAACUCUUUUCUCUGUCAAAAACAAAUAACUCUCAGGGUUAGGAUCACUCCAUGGAUUCUUUCUUCAGAUGUUCAUUCUAAAGAAAUAAAAUCUCUUAUGAACAGAGAGUUACAAAAAGAGAAAAAAUGCAAAAAAAUUGUGAUAUUGAUUGCAAGAGAAGGUAAGCAAUCAGGGAAGGAAGCUGGUGGGAGCAGACAACAAGCUCAGCAAUCAAGGAAGGAAGCUGGUGGGAGCAAACAACAAGCUCUCAUUUCUUCUAGUCUAGAAGAACUUCCGGAGAUUAGAGCAUAAGGUUGCCUUCACAGUUCCCUGAUGUGGCGAAAACGUGAUCAAGGAUAGUCUCGCUUCCUGAAUGGAUGAUCAGAGAUAGUCUUGCUUCUCGGGCAUGUUAAGUGCUCACUGAUAAGAAAAACAAGUAGAUAUCGCAUCACUAGGUAUGGAGAAAACUGGAUGUCUUCUGCAAAGAAAAUUUCGUUAGUAACAUAUUUAUACACAAAUAAGAGGAAUAGGUAGAACCGGUGAAUUUCAAAUUAACCAUAAGAAAAUUGCGAGAUUCUCGGGGUGCUUUUGAAAAAAUAGCUCUGUGAAAUCCGCAAAGCAAGAUCGGCUUUUGACGAAAAUAAUACUUUGAAAACGCCGAAAGUGCCGACAAACAUUAAUGGAGGCCACGUGAAGUUUUGGAAAAAGAGAAUAUGGGGAUCCGAAAAGAUAUUGGGAUCCUGAAAAACUGUAGCCAUAUUUCCUCCUAUAGAUAUUGCCUUUGCAAAACUUGAUUGGAGCAACUGCGUUUCAACUUAACUUCCUUCAUUUUCUGAAACUUUAGUUUUCUUAAGACUUUCUUCGAAACCUUCUUAAAAAUGGCUUCCUCUUCUUCCUGCCCAAAUUAUUUCAAUUUAAAUGAUGCUCCCACAACAAAUAGUGACGCCAAAGUUUGGCGUCCAUCCUUUGUAUCCCAAAAUCGUCAUCUCACAGUUAAUGAUUCUGUGAUGAUGAAUGAUGCUACUGCUGUCAUAGUAGCUAGGAAUUUCAUUACUCCAAUGGAUGAAAUGCUGUUAACAGGGAGAUCUGAGGAAGAGGCUAUUGAUGACUCAAUGGCGUUUAGCAUUCAGAGUGCUGCUUCUGUUUCUAACAUGGCUGAUCGUUUGCGUGCCAGAGCAAACGAGGUUGAGAGGUUAACAACUGAAAAUUCGUCUCUCCAAAGAAUGCUUCAUGAGUCUCAACAGGAGGUUGAGAAACUUAAAGGAGAGAAUAAUGCCUUGUUGAAACUGGUGAGUUCGUACUCUGUUGAUACACUGAGAAGGCUAGACAUGCUGCAGGUCUCCAAUGAAAGAAUUUUGGGAGACCACGAGAGGCUCAUGGCUAAGCUUAAGAGGCGUCGUCCUCUUCCUUCAGAGGCUUCCAGAACAUAAUGUAAUUUUAUAGAUUUUACAGGGCCUGCACCUUCAUGGCAGGUGGAAAAAAUCUAUCUGUUGUAUGUUCCUGUAAUAAUAAUUGCGCACAUUCUUAAACUUGCACCUGUGGUUUUUACGUCUUUUCAAAAUGACGGUUUGGAACCUUGUGCCUUAUAAGUUCAAAUAACCACAUUGACUCUCCCAAAUUUCAUAUUUCAACGUAUGGGAGUUUUGGCCUGGGCUAAACACAAACUCAGAAUUUAUUCGCCCUUUUCAAAUGGACAUGAAAUAUGAAUUGAGUAAAAGCCACGAUAAUAUCGCAAUAUAGUAGUGAAGAGCAUUAACUACUACACACCCACAAACUCAAGUUCGGGAUCUCUCAUACAUUUGGAUCCAUGGGCUUCUGGCCCAGAUAUAACAAAAUAUGUGGGGGGGCCUCAAUUCAUCAUUUGAGGUUUAUACUGAUAUUAUCCAUUUCACAGUGUAUUCUUAACAACCGAAAUUCACAAAAUAUAUUUCUUCCUUGAGGUGUCGAUUAUAACAUAAUCGAACUUUAUUAAAUUCAUCAUUUUCUUAUGCCAAAGAAAUAUGUGGCGUACCACAAUCUGUAAUAAUACCUCAAGGGUUGUUCAUUUAACUGUUGGAGCUUUAGGUUCUUAACACUGUUAGAUUUUGAACUUCAGGCCAAAAUCACAUAUUCUCAUGGUAUGGACAUUCAAUCCCCUUAGAUUUUGAACUUCGGGCCAAAAUCACAUAUUCUCAUGGUAUGGACAUUUUACAAUUUUUUGUACAUAUUUCUGGACUUCAAGCCCUUACAUAAUUGUCCAUAUUUUGAGGAACUUCUGGCAUCUCAUUUAAUUGAUCAUCCAUGAGUUUAAGAAACUGCAGGUUCCCUUUUGAAUAUAGUGACGGUUUACCCAAAAUGGUUAAUAUUUAUGCAUACGUCACUAUUCAUGUAUACGGUACUAUUCAUCAAAUCAUGAAUACGUAUCUAUUCAUGUGUACAGUACAUUUGCCAGUACAGUUAUUAUUCAUGUGUACGGCACUUUUAACCAAUACGGUACUGUUACAUCAUCAAGGAACUCUAGGUCCUUAUUUACAUGUCAAGGAUCAAGGAUCUUCAAGUCCGAUCUCUUGUUUACAAGUAUAGUACCGGAGAGACUGCCAGCUCUCAUAUCAAUAUCAUUAUCAAGGAUCUUCAAGUCCUAAUGUAAUUGUAUGAUGAGGAUCAAGAAACUUCCGGUCCUGAUCUGCAUACUGUAAAAAACUCAUCAUACAGAACAAUUAAUCCAUAAAAUAAAUUGUUGGUAAAUAAAUUACUAGUAUGGACGAUAAACUCGCACCAUACUUUAAAUAAAUGUAAAUAUGCGGUAAAAUAAAUUCAUAAAUUAAAUUGCUUGUUGUAUGGACGUUAAUCCCGCACCAUACCUUAAAUAAAAUUAAAUGUGUGGUAAAGUAAAUUCAUAAAGUAUGAGGGUUAAUUCCACAUCAUACUUUAAGUAAAAGUAAAUUUGCGAUAAAGUAAACGUGCUUGUAUGGGCACUAAUUCUGCUCCAUACAUUUAAAUAAAAGUAAAGGCGUGGACGAUAAACCCGCACCACCCUUUUAAAUAGAUAAUGUUGUAUGGGUAAUAAACCUACACCAUACAGUAAAUAAUGUACAGUAAAGUAAUUUCAUAAAGUAUGAGGGUUAAUUCCACAUCAUACUUUAAGUAAAAGUAAAUUUGCGAUAAAGUAAACGUGCUUGUAUGGGCACUAAUUCUGCUCCAUACAUUUAAAUAAAAGUAAAGACAAUUAUUUGUGGAUUCAUAUCAACACCACAAUCAAAUAAUAUAGUAGUUAAUGCUCUUCACUACUAUAUUGCGAUAUUAUCGUAGCUUUUACUCAAUUCAUAUUUCAUGUCCAUUUGAAAAGGGCAAAUAAAUUCUGAGUUUGUGUUUAGCCCAGGCCAAAAGUUCCAUACGUUGAAAUAUGAAAUUUGGGAGAGUCGAUGUGGUUAUUUGAAUCUAUAAGGCACAAGGUUCCAAACCGUCAUUUUGAAAAGACGUAAAAACCACAGGUGCAAGUUUAAGAAUGUGCGCAAUUAUUAUAACAGGAACAUACAACAGACAGAUCAAAAUGGAAGAGAACAAACAUUCAAUAGAGAUCAGUUCCUAUACUUCCUCUAUAUCUCAAUUCCCUCUCUCCAAUUCCUCUUGAUUUAUAACACGUUAUCAGCACGAUUAUCUCUAAAAUACCAGCUGGGAAAUUCUUCAAAGCUUCCAUCGUUUUCUUCCGCAAAUGAAGACCUUGCUGUCUCAGACUCUCGUCCAACCGAGCCCACACCUUCUCAGCCAUUUGCCAUUGGCCACCACCCUCACUAAAUUUUAAACAAUACUUGGUCUUUAUUCCAAAGUUGCUCAACUUUGCUUCCACACAUUCGAAGCUCAACAAGAUUUUCUGGAGAAAAUUUUGAUGGCAAAGACUUCAAAGGAUAUUCCUCCCAGCAAAGAUAGCCAAUAGAAUUGGGAAGAGGAACUUUUAAUUUGCAGUACUUUCCAAAGCUAGAAUCAACAUUGAGUAAUCUUACAUCUUUUUGAAAUCUGCAUGAUCCAAGCGUAGUUGUCCACUCUUAGAGCUGUUAAAGAAUAUUGCUUGAACCGUUUCAGUCCCCUGACAAUCAAAAGCACUCCAGGCCUUCUUCAAAGGCCAUCGCUCAGACCAUCCUCACCUAGGACCUGGCCGACGAGCUCGUCCUCAUCAACGCCAAACCAGAGACUAGAUAGCACGACGUGGAUGAACACGGAGAUUCUGGUGACGUGCAUCAAAAACUUCAGGCGAAACCGGGGACCCGUUUCGGGGAUUUUGAAAGGUUAUGUGGGUCUGAGCACCGUCGCCACCGACCUCGUCGAGAUCCAGAUCAACUCGUCCGUGCUUAACUACGAGUUCAUAACCCACAGACUCGGCCUCAUCCCAUUGACAUCCGACCAGCAAAUAGGUUCUUGGGGCUGUUGUCAGAUAUGGAGGUUUCAAACAAUAUUAAUUCUUCUCAGAGCAAAAGCUUUGGGGGCCUUGAAACUGCUGUGAGGUUAUAAAUAUUUUUAAAAAAAAAAAAAAAAAAAAACCAGAUAUGCUUUCAAACGAGGAGCCAAGUUGAUAUCCUUGAUGAUGGAUAUCGAUGGAGGAAGUAUGGUCAAAAAGCAGUGAAGAAACAUUUUUCUAAAAUGGAGGUAAGCCACUAAAAGUUGUUGACAGGUCGGUGUUGAUUUGAUGCAAGGCACUGGAGAUCGAGCCUAGUGGGAUACAGCAAGAUUGAUCAGCCUAGUGGAAAGAAGAAAAGCCAACGUGACAUAUCUAGCUUUCCACUAAUAUAUCAGUAUAAUAAUAUUAUACUAUUUGAUCGUGGUGUUGAUAAGAACCCACCAAUAAUUGCCUUUACUUUAUCGCAAAUUACUUUACUGCACAUUAUUUACUGUAUGGUGUAGGUUUAUUACCCAUACAACAGUAUUUAUUUAAAAGGGUGGUGUGGGUUUAUCGUCCACGCCUUUACUUUUAUUUAAAAGUAUGGAGCAGAAUUAGUGGCCAUACAAGCACAUUUACUCUUACUUAAAGUAUGAUGUGGAAUUAACCCUCAUACUUUAUGAAUUUACUUUACCGUACAUUUACUUUUAUUAAAAGUAUGAUGUGGAAGAUGUGGAAUUAACCCUCAUACUUUAUGAAUUUACUUUACUGCACAUUUACUUUUAUUAAAAGUAUGAUAUGGAAUUAACCCUCAUACUUUAUAUUUCCUUUUAUUUAAAGUAUGGUGCGGAAUUAACGUCCAUACAGCAAGCAAUUUAAUUUAUGAAUUUAUUUUACCGCACAUUUACAUUUAUUUAAAAGGGUGGUGCGGGUUUAUCGCCCACGCCUUUACUUUUAUUUAAAUGUAUGGAGCAGAAUUAGUGCCCAUACAAGCACGUUUACUUUACCAAUUUAUUUUACCGCACAUUUACAUUUAUUUAAAGUAUGGUGCGGGUUUAUCGUCCAUACCAGUAAUUUAUUUACCAGUAAUUUAUUUUAUGGAUUAAAUGUGCUGUAUGAUGAGUUUUUACAGUAUGCAGAUCAGGACCAGAAGUUCCUUGAUCCUCAUCAUACAAUUAUAUCAGGACUUGAAGAUCCUUGAUGAUGAUGUUAAUAUGAGAGCUGGCAGUCUCUCCGGUACUAUAUUUGUAAACAUGUGAUUGGACUUGAGGGUCCUUGAUCCCUGACAUGUAAAUAAGGACCUGGGGUUCCUUAAUGAUGUAACAGUACCGUAUUGUUUCAUAAUGCCGUACACAUGGAUGAUAACUGUACUGGAAAAUGUACUGUCCACAUGAAUAGAUACGUAUUCAUGACUUGAUGAAUAGUACCGGAUAUAUGAAUAGUGACGUAUACAUAAAUAUUAACCAUUUUGGGUAAACCAUCACUAUAUUCAAAAAGGGAACCUGCAGUUCCUUAAACUCAUGAAUGAGCAAUUAAAUGAGAUGCCAGAAGUUCCUCAAGAUAUGGACAAUUAUGUAAGGACUUAAAGUCCAGAAAAAUGUACAGAAAAUUGUAAAAAUGUCCAUACCAUGAGAAUAUGUGAUUUUGGCCUGAAGUUCAAAAUCUAACAGUGUUGAGAACCUAAAGUUCCAACAGUUAAAUGGACAAUCCUUUAGGUAUUAUUGCAAAUUGUGGUACACCACAUAUUUCUUUAGCAUAAGAAAACGAUGAAUUGAGGCUUCCCACAUAUUUUGUUAUAUCUGGGCCGGAAGCACAUGGAUUCAAAUAUAUGAGAAAUUCUGUCAGUGUAAACACUACAAAGAGAAAUAUAAUCCCACUCCCAAUAUUACAGUGGUACUUCUCAUCAACUGAUUAUUCUAGUUUUAUAACACGUUGUAAAAUAACUGGGAUAUGUGCGAAUAUUGAGCUGCACGUAAAGUAGAUGAGACACAGUAUUUAACGAGGUUCGGCUAUGCCUACGUCCCCGGAGAGCAGCAGUAGUAACUUUUCCACUAUGUAAAAUAAUAGGGCUACAACUUUAGUGUUUACAAUAUGUAUGGCUCACUCAAUUUUCUCUCUUGGAGAAUUUCUCUCUUGCUCUCUUUCCUCUCAACUCACUCACCCUCUUUCUUCCUUCUCUUCCUUUUCUCUCAUUUCAUCUUCUCAUUACAAGCAAAUAUAAUGCCUAUUUAUAGGCAAAGCAAAUGGCUUGGUUUGGUGGGUGUGUGAUUUGGUUUGGUAGGUGUGUGGUUUGAUUUGGUGGGUGUGUGGUUUGAAUGUUAGAGCAUGUGGGCUUCACCCAUUCUUCUUUACAACACUUUUUUCCUUUUUUGUCGAAAGCAUCAAGUAAUUUAAUGUUUAAUUAGAAGGGAGAUAAGACGAAAAUUGUAAACGAGCUCCACAGCCGCCAGGAGGCUAUUCAUAUUCAAACAAGCACCGCCUCCCUAGUGUUCAAGUUCAAUUGUUUUACUUCUGCCAUGUUAGAGCAUCUCCACCCCAAAGGGCUAAAGCAAAGGCAAGGACCAGAUAAGAGUUGUCAGCUUUGUUAUUUGUAGUUCUACCCUAAAGGGCUAAGGUUAAGGCUAAGGCAAUUACUAUUCAUUAAACUUUAUUUCCUAUUUUUUUGUACUUUAAACCAUUAAUUUUGAUAAUCUUUUGUACUUAAAUUUUUGGAUAAGAUUUUUAGUUGCCACGUGUCUUAUUACAGAUAAACUUUUUUGGAUAUUCAUUAAAAAAAAUUAUAAUCUCAUAUUUCAGAUAAAAUUUUCACCAUUUAAAAUUGUGCCACAUGUCCCAUGUCAGAUAAGAUUUUCAGAUUUUUAAAAAAAUAAUUAUGAUCUCAUAUUUCAGAUAAGAUUUUCAGAUUUUUAAAAAAAUAAUUAUGAUCUCAUAUUUCAGAUAAGAUUUUCACCCCCUAAAAUUGUACCACGUGUCCCAUAUCAGAUAAGAUUUUCAGAUAUUUAAAAAAAAUUAUAAUCUCAUAUUUCAGAUAAGAUUUUCACCCUCUAAAAUUGUGUCAUGUGUCAUCUCUAUCUUCUGAAUCCCCUAUAAAACUACACCAUCAACUCAUACCUCUCACACCAUCUCUUAUCUGUUCCUUCAUUUCUCAGAUUUUACAAAACGCAUUCUACUCUCAAUGUCAAACUUGAGGAAGGUGUUGGACAGGCAACAGAAAGAAAAGGAAGAAAUCUAGCGCAGACGUGCUGAUGAAGAUUGGGAGGCCGAUGAAGAAGAGGAAGAAAUGCUUGCAGCAGCGGUGUGUAUGCUUAAUCAAUCAAGGCAACACCGCCAUCGUCGUGCCCCGAAUGUGGACAAACAUAGGGAGUCUCGGGGUAAGAAUCUCUUGGAAGAUUACUUUAUCCCAAAUUCGUUAUAUCUUGUUUAUAAGUUUCGAGAAAGAUAUAAAAUGCAGCCACAUUUGUUCCAAAAAAUCAUAUAUGAUAUUUGUAAUUACGACACAUACUUCAUUCAAAAGUACGAUGCUGUUGGAGUUUUGGGUCUUCUCCCGGAGUGAAAACUUACAGCUGCUUUGCGGAUGCUUGCUUAUGGGGCAUCUGCAGAGCAGGUGGAUGAGAUUGCAAAGAUGGGAAAAUCAACUAUUCUAGAGUGCUUGGUGAGAUUCUGUUAUGCGGUGAAAAAUUGGUACACGAGGGAGUACCUUUGCAAACCCACGCCGAAGGACCUGCAAAGGCUUCUACAAAAAGCUGAGGCUCGAGGUUUCCCAGGAAUGAUUGGAAGCAUCGAUUGCAUGCACUGGUAGUGGAAUAAUUGUCCUACUACUUGGCAAGGAGACUAUAGGAAUCGAAAGGGCCAAAAAAGUAUAAUUUUGGAGGCCUUAGCUUCAUUCGACUGUUGGGUUUGGCAUGCCUUCUUCGGGGUUGCCGGAUCUCAGAAUGAACUCAAUGUCCUUGGUCAAUCCCCAGUGUUCGACGAGGUAUUGCGAGGUCAUUCCCCCAAAUCACGUACCAAAUCAACAAUACCUUAUACUCUGGUGCGUACUACCUUGCCGACGGAAUUUAUCUUAGGUGGACGACAUUCGUGAAAACAAUUCCAAAUCUCCAAUCUGAGAAGGAAAAAAGCUUUGCUGCCUUUCAAUAAGGUUACAGGAAAGACGUGGAAAGGUGUUUCGGUAUCUUGCAAGCUCGUUGGGCAAUUAUUAGGGGUGCUGCGGAGCAUUAUGAUGACUUGCAUCAUCCUCCACAACAUGAUUGUGGAGGAUGAUUAUGAUGCUCCAGAGGUGUUUGAACCUGAUCCCAUGAACACGACGUUGACAAGAAUAUAUGAAAGGUCGAUGGGACCAAAUGGACAACCAAUGGAGCCCGAACCAUUACUUCGGGAUGGUCGAUACAACAACCCCAUGAUUGAUCGUUAUCAAGAAAUGCAAUCUUCAUAUGUUCACGAGAGAUGUCAACUUGACUUCAUCGAGCACUUGUGGGAGAUGAAAGGCAAUCACAGUGGUUGAGGUCAAUUAGUGCUUUGUUUGGAAUUAUGCUUUGUUUUUAAUUAUGCUUUAUUUUGUGUGUGGUGUUUUUUGGAAUUAUGCUUUUUUAUUAUUAUUAUGCUUUUAAGUAUGAUUUGUUUUGUUUGUUGUUUGCAAUAAAUUAAGGUUUGUUUUUAAUUAAUCUUUGUUUUGAUGCUCAAAUAUUUUUAAUAAAUAGUCAUAUUAUUUAAUGCUUUCUUUAUUGAAUAAAAAGGAAACAAUACAACAAAUUAAUACAUAUGGUAAAGGUGUUUCAAUACAACCUAAUGGUUUUCAUCAUUUAACCAAUCUAUAUGGCUGGGUCCGUCGUCAUGGAAAAGUUUUCUUCUCAUCACAUCCCUUCGUCUUAACUUCUAAUAGGCCUUUGUUUCAGGAGACAUAAGGCUCGUAUCCAUGGCCAUGAUUUUCAUCUCUCUAUCAUCCAUGUCUUUUUCUUAUGCAUGCUGCUGUUGAAUUGCAAAUGCUUCCUGUGGUGCCAUGUCCGCUUCAUCUCUUUUCAAGUCUCUCUCAAUUCUUAGUGCUGUGUUCUUAGCUAUUUGCUCCAAUAAUUGCACACAUUCAUUGUUCGAAGUGCUCCCUCUCUUGGCCUUCGUCGCCUUUCUCCCAAUAGGUCUCUGUGAACGUGGGAGUCGUGACUCCGUUUCCAUUGGGGGGGUCCAAUGGCGAAUUGUGGAGCGGCGUCUCAUUCAACACAACUGGCGGACCUGUGGGAAUAAUGUUGAAUCUCGAACAAUCCUUCACAACUUCCCAACAUUGGAAAUGCAAGAAACUUUUUUUGUCUUGCCCUAUGGCAUUGAACCAAAGUUGUGCUGGUAUGAUCUAUUAAAAAUAAAUAAUUAGAAGUGCAAGAAAAGAAAAAAAAGAUUAUGCAAGAAAAUAUAAACAAUUUUGAAAUGCAAGAAUAAAAUUGAUUAUGCAAGAAAAUAUAGACAAAUUGGAAAUGCAAAAAGCAAAAAAAAAUUAUGCAAGAAAAAGAAAUAAAUAUGCAAUAAAUAAAAAAGUUUAAAAUGGCAAUUAUAAAUAUUUCACCUCAUCGGAUAGAUUUUGACCGCUUCGAAUGUUCUUCCUUGCUUUUGUCAAGGCAUUUCUCCGUUUUCCUAACUCUUUAUUCAGAAUUUUCCAUCUACUAGACAAGGCCAUUUUGAUCCGAAUGGAACCUGAUUUUUGACAAAAUUCUCCAUGAAUUUUGCUCAACAUAUGAGGGAACUUCAUCUUAUUGCCUGAGACAAGGCAAUGACUAACGAUCACUCAAGACCGACACAACGCAAUAUCUUCCUAAGUUGUCCAUGCGCCUCCAGCUUUGACAGAAGAUGCCAUUUAUUUUUUGAUACAAAUGGAAAGUACUAGAAAAAUGUGAGUGGAGAGUAAAAAAUAUUGGAAGGAGAAGAGUUUGUAUGAAGAAUCGGUGUGGAAAGUGAAUAAUGUGAGUGGAGAGUAAAAAAUAUUGGAAGGAGAAGAAAUUGUAUGAAGAUUUGGUGUGGAAAGUGAAUAAUGUGAGUGGAGAGUAAAAAAUAUUGGAAGGAGAAGAGUUUGUAUGAAGAAUUGGUGUGAAAAGUGAAUAAUGUGAGUGGAGAGUAAAAAAUAUUGGAAGGAGAAGAAAUUGUAUGAAGAUUUGGUGUGGAAAGUGAAUAAGAUUGUUAGGUAUUUAUAGGGAAAAAAUUCAGAAUUUUUUGGUAUUUUUAAAAAAAAAAUUCAGAAUUUUUUCGAAUUUUUUUAGCCAAAAAAACGAGGAUUGUCGGAUUUCUGUAAAAAAACCGAUCGAAGCAUCUGGGUUCAGACACGUGGCGCAUGCCCGUUGGAUUCUGUCAGGGAUGACAUCAGCGCUGUGCUGACGUCACCGCCCUCUGGCUGAAGCCCAGGCAAAACCUGCCCUUGGGCUUGCCCGAGCUGGUGGGAGCCAGGGCUUGCCAGGGCCUCUUCUCUCGCGCUGGAGCCGUUUUGGGCUUGCUCAAGGGGCCUCCUGCCGGUUUGCAUGCAUUGCUGGAGCUGCUCUUAGAGUAUGGACGUCUCAGCAAAGGUCAACUAUUUUAUACUAAAGAAUGGUUUAGGUGUAGACAAAACUGAGUGGGGAUAGUGCCUUCACUGGCUUACAAGAUCCACCACUGCUUGUAGGUAAAAAUCCUCUCUUUUUUUUGGGUCAAAAGUACCCUAAGUUCCCUUCAAAACUUUUCUUAACAGUACGGAGGACUUGAAUUUGGCCCACAACUUGGCCAUCAUGAAGGUAUUGGACCUUUAGACAUGCGCUUCAAGCGCAAGCCUAGUUUUUCUAAGUUUUCAUUUUGCAUCGCUAUUGAUUGGGAACUGCCAUCUAAGGUGGUUUCCCGGUGUAUAUCUGAUUGUUUUCUGCCGUUUGUUGUGGUUUUGGGCUUCGUUUCUCCUUGAAGGAAGGCUCGCCUAGAGUUUUUCUUAGGAUUACAGAUUACCCAAGCGGAGUCGCGCUGCGGAUGUUGGGGAUGCGGAGAGUGAGAUGAUGUAUGCGUCCAAUAUGGCUGCGCUGCCAUCUACGGACACAGUGCUACCCAAAUCGGCUUCUGGUUCUGAGAGCUUUAGGGAUAAGCACAUGAAUAAGGUAAAUUUGGUUCGAAAUGUUGGAAUUGAUGUUAAUUCUGUAGAGGCAGAAUAUGAGGGUUUGAAUGACGAUGAGGAUGUGAUUGUUUCUCGUGGAGAUCGUGGGCCGUUUAUCCAGUUUUUGGAUUGCGCCAUUGAUCGUCUUAGCAAACCUUGGUAGAAUGCACUUAUUAUCAGGCUCCUUGGGAGAUCACAUACCUACAACUAUCUCCAUGCUCGACUGCAACAAAAGUGGAGCCUAAAUAGAGGGUGGAAACUGGUUGAUUUGGUCAAUGAUUACUUUGUGGUUCGUUUUGAGCUUGAGGAGGAUCUCAAUUUUGUUUUGAUUGGGGGACCAUGGAUCAUUGCUGGUCAGUAUUUGGUUAUGAAAAAAUGGAGGCCUGAGUUUUGUCCUGCAAUUGAGAAGAUCAAGCAAGGUUGGAUCAACUCAACGACACCUUCCGACAGAUUCUUAUUAGUGAAGAUGACAAAAGAAUGACUUUUUACACUGGCCGCUUGGAUUCGUGUUUCUACUAUUCAAUUGGAGUGUUUCGAUGUGUGGACUUUGAAAAGAAUUUGGAAUUUUUUGGGGAAGUUGUUGAAGAUUGAUGCUCUCACUACUUCUCUGAAUCAGGGGAAAUUUGCACGACUUUGUGUAAAGUUGGAUUUGUCACGGCCUCUUGAGGCAUUUAUUCAAAUUAAUAAUGUUUGGUACAAUGUGGAGUAUGAAGGCCUUCCGGAUACUUGUUAUAUGUGUGGUCGAUAUGGUCACAAAAGGGAACACUGUGAUGUGCAAGAUGUUGCCCCUGUGGAGAAGACUGGUGUGAAGAACGUAUUUUAAACGGAUAAAAGAAGAUAUUUAUCAUUUGGAUAAACUUGGACAAUAUUAUUUUUUUAAGAUAUUUAUCUUUUGGAUAAACUUGAAUGAUCUUAUCUUGUUAAGAUAUUUAUCUUUUGGAUAAAUUUGGAUGCUAUUAUCCUUUUAAUAUUGAAGUUUAUCAUAUCCCUAUAACCACUAUAAAUAGGAGCAUAACCUUAUAGUUUCAAAACAUGAGAAAUUAAAGAGAAAUUUAGAGAGAAGAAGAAUUGUUAAGAAAAAGAGUGGGAGACUGAGUUUGUGGAUGCGGUGGAAAAUUGGAAAAACACCUUACAUUUCUAGCAAAAGCUUUGGUGUCAAGGCAAGGAUUUCUUGGGGAGCCUUUUACAAAGAUUGAUUUAAUUAAAUUUCGUGAGCAUUAUAUUAUGCAUGGCAUUACAGUUUGGUUAACAUUCCUUGUUAUGGGUGUUUACUUUUUACUAAUUAUGUGAUCAAUAUUGGUGUGAUUAUAUUUUGAUACAUGAGAUAAAUGAAAGAUAGAAUUAUAUCAUGUCAUGGAAAUUAGUUGGAGUUGUUGGUUGGAGAAAAUAAUGAUGGAAAAUAGGGUAAUGGAAAUAGUCUUUUAUGUAUUUUAGUCUAACUCUUGGAAGGUACUAAGUCUCAGGGAUCCCACAGUGCACAUAGUUUUAUUGGGCGAUUCGGGACUGACGACAGAGAGUUAGACAAGAUUACUAACAAAAGGGGAAUUGUGGGAUGAUUGAGAUGGGUGUUAGUCCAUAUAAAUGGGCAUUCGGGACCAAGUGGUAUAAGCAUGGUAUGGGACGUGCAGGUCUGCUUGUCCAGUUAUUUGAAUUAACAAGAAUAGAUGAAGAGCAUUGAUAAGUCUAUAUUAUAUAUAUAUAUAUAUUUUAUGCCUCCUUUGCUUAUUUAUUUAUUAAUUUCUUGGAUUAAAUUGGUUGUUUUUAAUUGCUUUUGUGAGAUUUGUGAAGGAAUUGUGAAAUAGGAGAAAGUGUGCUAAAAAAGGCAAGAAGAUGAAGAUCAAUUAAAAAGAAGCCAAGUCAUUCUUUUUGUUGCAAGGAAUGUUGUCAAAUUUCCUAGUUCAAGAUGGUGCAAGUCUUAUCAAGUCAAACAAGGAGAAAUAAAAAAGACCUUAUUUUAGAAGGAAUCCUAUUUUUAUAACAAUUGUAAUUAUUCCUUAGGUAGGAUUUCUAGGAGUUUUAUAAAUAGGGAGUCUAGGUCAUUGUUGAAAGGAUCCAUUACCCAUCAUCAAUCCUCCAUCAUCUACCCUAAAAUUCCUACACAUUCAUAAGCAUAGCCGAAAUACUCAAAAGAGAGAGAGAGUGUGUUUUAGAGAGACAAAGAAGACAACCUGGAGCUAAAGUUGCUGUCGUGCAGAGAUCAAAUCUUCAAUUGGUUACUUCUUUCCUAUGAUAUUAUUUGUCAUGGUUUUUAUUAAAGUUGUCAUGAACUAAUUUCUUCUUGCUAGGGCUACAAUGUAGCCUAGCCAUGAAUACUCAAUUACUUUAGUCAAUGUUAAUUCUAAGUAUUUUUCCAUGUUGAGUAUCUAUUACCAUGCUUAAUGCUUUGAAUAUUUGGCCAACAUUUAAUUGUUUUGAUGCUAAAUUGACGAUAGGAAUAUCCAAUUUGGGGUUGCUUCUUGUAAUAGAUGCCAUGAGUUACAUGAUUAGACAGGGAUGUUUGUCAUGACUUAUGUGGUUGUUUUGUAGGUUUUCCAAGGAAUUUAAUGGGUUCUUAUUAUCUUAAUUCCAUUACUAGGGAUAGAGUGGGUUGGUAAUAAGAAUACUUUUGGUAUAACCAGGGAUGGAGUAUCGAAUAAAGUAGGGAAAAUCAACUGUUAACAUAGAGAAUAAUUAGGAUUAACAUGCUAAGGGAAUUGGGUAGAAUUGGCUAUGGUGAAAUCAGAAGCUCUAGUGCUCUCAUAACUUGAAUCUCACUACUUUAUUUUUCUACGCUUGUUUUUAUUCAUUGUUUUAGUUAAUUAAUCAAUCAAAUCUCAUCAUCAAUUGUUCAAAUAAAGUCUUGGGUUAAUCACAAUCGGUACUUGGUAAAUUAAAUCACUCUUCGUGGAACGACACUUCACUCAUCACUAUAUUACUUGUGCGAAUUGUGCGCUUGCAAUAAAUAUCUCAACAAGUUUUUGGCGCCGUUGCCAGGGACUGUUUUAAAUUUUCUUAAUAUCGAUAUAGAUUGAUUUGGAUUUUAAGUUGAAUUUUUUUUUGUUUUUUUAGGUACUUCACCUAGUGCAUGAGUUUUGGGAGACAUUCGCAGAGUCUUGUGCUUGUACCAUUAGAUCCGGAGAUCGAGCGAACACUUCACAAGCUUAACAAACUCAAAAGGGGGAAGGACGCAAUAUUGAAAAGCCAUCACCUAUGGCUGAGGAAGCAAAACCAGUAAGGGACUAUGAUGUCUCAUCUGUAGUGGCAUCACCAUCGAGCAUUCGUCGUCCAAACAUUGAUGCCAAUAAUUUUGAAAUCAGACCAGCCAUAAUUUCAAUGAUUCAGCAAUCCUCCAUCUUUUGUGGUUUACCUCAAGAAGACCUUAAUAGCCAUACCUCUAAUUUCUUGGAGAUAUGUGACACAUUUAAGUGCAAUGGAGCUACCAAUGAUGCUGUUCACUUAAGGCUUUUUCCUUUCUCAUUAAAGGAAAAGGCAAAGUCAUGGUUGAAUUCUCAACCACCUAAUUCGAUUACUACAUGGGACGACUUGGCCAAGAAAUUUUUAGCUAAAUUCUUUCCUCCUGCAAAGACUGCGAAACUCAGGAAUGACAUCAUAUCAUUUGCUCAGAAUGACAUGGAACCUUUUUAUAAAGCAUGGGACAGAUACAAGGAUAUGCUAAGGAAGUGCCCACAUCAUGCCCUACCUACUUGGAUGCAAGUUCAAGCGUUCUACAAUGGUUUGAACAAUACAAGCAAAACAACAAUUGAUGUUGCAGCCAGAGGAGUUUUGAUGGGAAAAACAGAAAGUGAAGCGUAUAACUUGCUGGAAGAGAUGGCGUCAAAUAACUAUCAAUGGCCUAGUGAGAGAUCAACACCAAAGAAAGCUGGAAUUCAUGAGAUUGACGCCAUAUCUGCAUUAACUGCGCAAAUUUCUACUCUGUCUAAACAACUUGGUACUUUAAAUGUUAAUGCUAUUCAGUCUACUAAUUUAAGUUGUGAAUUUUGUGCAGGACCUCAUCAUGGCAAUGAGUGUGGAGCUAGUCCCUUCACAUCACCAUCUGAACAAGUGAACCAACACUACUACAAAAAGUGAAAAAGACGACCAGAAAACAACGACGGUCUAAGUGAAAACCAUCGUGGUUUAUAAAAAGACGACGGUUCUAAAAACACCGUCGUGUAAUACAACCUUAGACAACUAAAAAAUGGAGUUUCAAAUGGCUGUUCAAAAACAACGACGUACAUAAUUAAACAACCGACGUCUAUUUGAAACAGAUUUCCGCAGUGUAAAAUCAAUGCCAACAAAGAACGGCAGAAGUUAUGAAUCGACCGACGUAGAAAGUAAAGACGACGAUUUCAAUAAAAACUGCCGUUUUUACUCAUAAAAUAACACGACGAGGUUUUCGUAUAAGACGCCGUAUAAUUACAAACAAAUCCACGGCUUUAAAAUACAAAAUAUCGCCGUAUUAAAUUAAUUUACAACGACGGAAAAUAUAAAUAUAUCGACGUCAUUCUCGUAUAGUUCUACGACGUUAUCUUUAAAUCGUACAAUAAAAUUUAUCGUCGUAUUUAUUCAUUUUAUACGUCGUACCUUUAAUUUUAACGGUCGUCUUAAUAAGAAUUUUUGUUAACAAUUUUUUUCUUUGAUUUUCUUAUCCUACGUCGGUAGAUCUACUUAAUGACAAGAAUUGAAAUAACCACGACGGUUUAUAUAGAACACCGCCGACAUAAUCAGAUUUGUCUGAGAUCCCAAGGGUUACGAAAUCUUACCAGAUGGAACUCUGUUCCACAUCAUAAUCUUAACAGAUGACACAGAUUUGCAAAUAUUGCGUCGUGUUAGUUUACAAAUUCUAGAACAUUAAUUUCCCUCAUUUUAAAUUUCCUCGGGAAAGAAAAAUCUAUUUAUCACGCUUUGGAAUUGAAAACUAAAACUGAAAGAAUACGGGAAAAAAAACUCUAUUUAUAAUUUAAAAAUAAAAUCCACGUCGGUUGUAGUACACUUAACGACGUUUAACAAAAUAAUCUACGUCGGUAAUUAUAAAUCUACCGCCAUCUUAACUUAAUAUAGACGACGAGAAAAGACGACGGUAGAACAGAAAACCGCCGUUGUUUCAGUUUCUUUAACAUAUCUUUCUGCAGGACUUGUAUAGUUCAAAGCAUUGACAAUGUCUUCAUCAUAUCUCCCAGAAACUACUGAUUCAAUUGCUCAUGCUUUAGAGGCCAUCUGAAGCCAUUUCUAUUCUUUAUCGCAUUCUUGAAACCCAUCUUCUUCUUCUGAAGCUCUACGGAUAAAGGAAGAGGCUAUCACAAAUCCGACGGAUCUUCUUAGGCAAGAAAAUCAAGCAGAGGAUCAGGCACAUCUGAUCUUCAGAUUUCCCUGAGAAGCGAACUUUCCUUCGACAGCGAGUGGAGGCCAGGCUUGCAUCUCUUUUGAUGGAAAGCAAGGAGUAUUCAGAAGCACUAAGUGUCCUAUCAGGCUUGAUCAAGGAAGUGAGAAGGCUAGUUGACAAGCUUCUUCUUGUGGACAUAUAUUUGAUGCGAGUAAGCUCAAUUUCUCUUUGAGAAAACAUCCAAAUUAUUGUCUUUGAGACAUGAGAGACUGAGAGAGGAAGAACUUGGAACCUUAAAUGUAAACCGAAAAUGAAUGAAAGCGACAAAUUUAUAGAAUAAAUUUUUAAAACCAACGGCGGUCCUUACAAAAAAACCGCCGUUUAAAUUGUAAAAUCAACGUCGGUAUGAUCGACGUAUAUUACAGAAAUCCACGUCGGUAAAUUAAUAAAGACGACGUGUUAAAUAAUCUACCAUGACGCGAGUUAUUACUUAUGUACUUUAAUUUUUGAGUUUACUACGACGGUACCUACAAACUACUGUCGUAUUUAUUUACCACGUCCGAAGUUAAAUGUACCGUCGUAUUUUGUAAUUUAUACGUCGUAGUUAUAUGUAACCGCCGUAUUAUUUUUUUGAAAUGGUUUUAUAUGUAAGCAACUUUUCGUCUACUUGACUUACACAUUCGUUGUUUUUAUAUUCUUAUUUUAUUUAAAUCUGUCAUCCAAAAAAGAAACUUUACAUAUUGCAGAAUAUUAAUUUCCUUCGUUUUAAAUUUCCUCCGGAAAAAAAACUCUAUUUAUAACGCACUGUAAUUGAAAAAUAAACUGAAAGGUCACGGGAAAAAAAAUUCUAUUCAUAAUUUAAAAAUUAAAAUCCACGUCGGUUAUAUUAAACCUAACGACGUUAAAUGAAAUGAUUCCACGUCGAACGAAAAAUAUUGUGUCGUGUUAGUUAAAAACGACGUAGUUAAAUGUAACCGCCGUAUUAUUUUUUUGAAAUGGUUUUAUAUGUAAGCAACUUUUCGACUUACACAUGCACUGUUUCCAAACCCGAUUAAAAAUUUCAAUCUCCCAGAGAAACCUUUUCGUCUUUUUUCCUUGUCAGAGCAUUGUCAGAGUUUCUCAUCGCCUUCCUCUCGUCUUCUUCGUCGUCUCUGAACUUAAACAUCGAUCAUCUUCCUCUUGCUUUCAUUGCACGCAAAAGGUAAGCUUUCAUUUUCACUAUUUUGGUUACUGUUUUGCAUGCUCAUACGUUUUUUGUUUGAAAAAUCUUUUUACCUUUUUUCUGGCCAAAAUCAUUUUACUUCUUUCCAAGUUUGAUAAAAUAUACAGACAAAGAGGGAAAGUUUCCAACUUUGAAGACAACUACCUCAACUAAAUAAGACGACGGUAGACCACGACGGUUCGUCAGUUGUUCUAGCGUCGUCUGAAAAUUGACAAAGUUGUUUUUAAAAUAAUAGUCUUUUUUUAUAUGCUUGUUUAAUUGCAGGUUUGAUUUCUCUGAACAAUGGUUUUUGUUUUUCCCUUAUUUGAUAAAAUAUAAAGAAAAAGAAACUAGGGUUGGUAUCUAAUAUAGACGACAAAAUAUCUUAUUGUUUUACGUCGUGUGAAUGUUAAUACCACGACGGUGUAUUACUAUUGACGUCGUAUGAACAUAAAUACCACGACGUUAUAUAAAUAAUAGUUUACCACGACGGUGUAUUACUAUUGACGUCGUGUGAACAUAUAUACCACGACGUUAUAUAAAUAAUGGUUUUAAACAUUUAUUACGUCUGAGAUUAUUUCAUUGCGUCGUCUAAAAUCAUAUCAUACGUCGUAUUUUUUUAAUACCGUCGUUUGUGUUCUUAAUGUUUUCCUGAAAUAUUUUCACUUGCAGUUUUGUCUGUUAAAAUGGUUUCUCAACAACAAACUAAGGAUUCUGGCUCCAAGAAGCUUGGAAUGGUAGCUCCUCAAGACAAGUCUUCGAAGGAGAUGAAGUCUUCGAAGAAGAUGAAGUUUGCUUCAUCAUCUGCUGAGACAGAACAAACCAGCCAGACAACAAUAUCUGAUGAUUCAAAGACUGGUCGAGGUAUGAGCACAAUGCCUCGUGUUGUGAAGAGAAAGCUUCAGAAACUGAGGCCAAUUGUUGAGUACAAUAAAAGGGGGAAAGGUGUUGGCCAAGCACAUAUUGAGAUGCAGUCGUAUAUUGGUGUGUUGGCACGCUCCAGGAUCCCACUUGUGGACAAGAAAUGGUCCCAAAUCCCCAAGGAUAUAAAGGAGCAGAUUUGGGAAGCAGUUGACAUGGCUUUUGUCGUAGGCCAAGGGGGCAAGAACUCUGUUUUAGCUUCUGCUUCCAAGAAAUGGAAGGAUUUCAAGUCUACACUAACGAGGCAUUAUAUCCUUCCAUACACCAAUGACAGGGAGAAAUUAAGCCAACCCCCUGAAACAUAUAAAUUCAUAGAGAAAGCACAAUGGGAUGCCUUUGUAGCUUCAAGGCUAUCCAAAGAUUUUGAGUCUGUGCAUUCUCAACAUGCACAGAUUAGGGAGAAACUCGAGUACAAUCAUCGAUUGUCUCGAAAAGGAUAUGUUGGAUUAGAGGAUCAAUUGGAGGAAACCAUGCCUGGGGUAGAAAUUGAUCGAUCUACCUUAUGGAAGAGAGCUAGACAGGACAAACAUGGUAACAUCCCUGAUCCAAAGGUGGCAGAGAAAGCAAAAUUAAUUGUAAGCCUACUAUCACUCUGUUUUAAAUUUUUAUUAAACUGUGAAUUAUUCUUAUUACGUCGUAUGUUAUAUUUUCCGUCGUGUGAAUGAUAUUACCACGUCGAGAAGUUUUUAAAAACGCCGUUAAAGGUCUAAAUAGGAAUCACUACUAUGUUUUCUGUAAUUAUAGCAUAAGACGUCGGUGGUUCAUUUUGGCGUCGUUUGAAUGAUAUUACCACGUCGAAACUUUUUUAAAAACGUCGUUAACGGUCUAAAUAGGAAUCACUACUCUGUUUUCUUUAAUUAUAGCAUAAGACGUCGGUUGUUUAUUCAUUUCGUCGUUUUAAAUAAAUAACCACGUCGGUAUAACUACCGUCGUGAUAAGUUAUAAUAACGUCGGUUUAUACGUUAUUGCGUCGUGUGAAAUUAUAUAAUACGUCGUUUGUACAUAAAUAACCGUCGUGUGUUUUUUUGUUUAUCUUAUUUUAGGAUGAAUUGCAGAAACAAGUCUCGGAAGGCAAAGUCAGAGUAGAUGGCAGCAAUGAUGUGCUGACCAUGGCUUUGGGCCCCGAGCAUCCAGGCAGACUGAGGGGAGUUGGUGCUGGUGUUUCCCCAAGGCAAUAUUUCAAUUUGCCCAAACCACAGAGGGUGAGCUUUGACGACCGUUUGAAGGACAGUUUAAGAGUUCUCCUUCAAGAAGAGACUAAAAAGAUGGAGGCUAAGGCAAGGGAAGAGGCCUUAAGGAUGGAGGCUAGGACAAAACAAUUGGUAGAGGCUGAGAGGGAGCAUUUCCUGAGUCAGCUUUCCCAAUUAAUUCCCAAUUUUGAUCCAAGCAUGCUUAAACCAAGAAUUAGCCAAAGCCCCAAAAAUCCAAUGUCUGACAAAGCUAGCUGCUCUGGAGGUGAUGUGAGAUCCCUACAUUUGGAGGAUGAUACUGCCAAAAUGGGGAAACAUCAGCCAGAUGAAGAGAAGGAAGAAGAAAAAAGAGAUGAAGAGAAGGAAGAAGAAAAGGAGAAAGAAGAUGAAGAAAAGCAUGACGACAAGGUAUGUUCACAUAACUUUGCCUUUUUUAUUUGUUUUUCAAAAUUUCAGACGUCGAUAUUUUUAUUUAAUCCGUCGUUUGUUUAAAACUUAGACGGCGGACUUUUUUUAAGACGUAAUAAAAUAUUUAAACGACGGUUUUUGCACCGUCGUUUAAAUGGUUUCAGACGACGCUUUAUUCAUAAAACCGUCGUCUUUAUUGAAUUACCACGACAGUUUUUUCACCGUCGUUUAAAUACUUUUAAGACGACGUUUUAUUCCUUAAACCGUCGUCUUUAUUGAAUUACCACGUCAUUUUUUUUAUUUCUUUAAACAUGUUAUUGAAGUUGGUGAUUAUUCAAAUAUGGAGGCGANNNNNNNNNNNNNNNNNNNNNNNNNNNNNNNNNNNNNNNNNNNNNNNNNNNNNNNNNNNNNNNNNNNNNNNNNNNNNNNNNNNNNNNNNNNNNNNNNNNNNNNNNNNNNNNNNNNNNNNNNNNNNNNNNNNNNNNNNNNNNNNNNNNNNNNNNNNNNNNNNNNNNNNNNNNNNNNNNNNNNNNNNNNNNNNNNNNNNNNNNNNNNNNNNNNNNNNNNNNNNNNNNNNNNNNNNNNNNNNNNNNNNNNNNNNNNNNNNNNNNNNNNNNNNNNNNNNNNNNNNNNNNNNNNNNNNNNNNNNNNNNNNNNNNNNNNNNNNNNNNNNNNNNNNNNNNNNNNNNNNNNNNNNNNNNNNNNNNNNNNNNNNNNNNNNNNNNNNNNNNNNNNNNNNNNNNNNNNNNNNNNNNNNNNNNNNNNNNNNNNNNNNNNNNNNNNNNNNNNNNNNNNNNNNNNNNNNNNNNNNNNNNNNNNNNNNNNNNNNNNNNNNNNNNNNNNNNNNNNNNNNNNNNNNNNNNNNNNNNNNNNNNNNNNNNNNNNNNNNNNNNNNNNNNNNNNNNNNNNNNNNNNNNNNNNNNNNNNNNNNNNNNNNNNNNNNNNNNNNNNNNNNNNNNNNNNNNNNNNNNNNNNNNNNNNNNNNNNNNNNNNNNNNNNNNNNNNNNNNNNNNNNNNNNNNNNNNNNNNNNNNNNNNNNNNNNNNNNNNNNNNNNNNNNNNNNNNNNNNNNNNNNNNNNNNNNNNNNNNNNNNNNNNNNNNNNNNNNNNNNNNNNNNNNNNNNNNNNNNNNNNNNNNNNNNNNNNNNNNNNNNNNNNNNNNNNNNNNNNNNNNNNNNNNNNNNNNNNNNNNNNNNNNNNNNNNNNNNNNNNNNNNNNNNNNNNNNNNNNNNNNNNNNNNNNNNNNNNNNNNNNNNNNNNNNNNNNNNNNNNNNNNNNNNNNNNNNNNNNNNNNNNNNNNNNNNNNNNNNNNNNNNNNNNNNNNNNNNNNNNNNNNNNNNNNNNNNNNNNNNNNNNNNNNNNNNNNNNNNNNNNNNNNNNNNNNNNNNNNNNNNNNNNNNNNNNNNNNNNNNNNNNNNNNNNNNNNNNNNNNNNNNNNNNNNNNNNNNNNNNNNNNNNNNNNNNNNNNNNNNNNNNNNNNNNNNNNNNNNNNNNNNNNNNNNNNNNNNNNNNNNNNNNNNNNNNNNNNNNNNNNNNNNNNNNNNNNNNNNNNNNNNNNNNNNNNNNNNNNNNNNNNNNNNNNNNNNNNNNNNNNNNNNNNNNNNNNNNNNNNNNNNNNNNNNNNNNNNNNNNNNNNNNNNNNNNNNNNNNNNNNNNNNNNNNNNNNNNNNNNNNNNNNNNNNNNNNNNNNNNNNNNNNNNNNNNNNNNNNNNNNNNNNNNNNNNNNNNNNNNNNNNNNNNNNNNNNNNNNNNNNNNNNNNNNNNNNNNNNNNNNNNNNNNNNNNNNNNNNNNNNNNNNNNNNNNNNNNNNNNNNNNNNNNNNNNNNNNNNNNNNNNNNNNNNNNNNNNNNNNNNNNNNNNNNNNNNNNNNNNNNNNNNNNNNNNNNNNNNNNNNNNNNNNNNNNNNNNNNNNNNNNNNNNNNNNNNNNNNNNNNNNNNNNNNNNNNNNNNNNNNNNNNNNNNNNNNNNNNNNNNNNNNNNNNNNNNNNNNNNNNNNNNNNNNNNNNNNNNNNNNNNNNNNNNNNNNNNNNNNNNNNNNNNNNNNNNNNNNNNNNNNNNNNNNNNNNNNNNNNNNNNNNNNNNNNNNNNNNNNNNNNNNNNNNNNNNNNNNNNNNNNNNNNNNNNNNNNNNNNNNNNNNNNNNNNNNNNNNNNNNNNNNNNNNNNNNNNNNNNNNNNNNNNNNNNNNNNNNNNNNNNNNNNNNNNNNNNNNNNNNNNNNNNNNNNNNNNNNNNNNNNNNNNNNNNNNNNNNNNNNNNNNNNNNNNNNNNNNNNNNNNNNNNNNNNNNNNNNNNNNNNNNNNNNNNNNNNNNNNNNNNNNNNNNNNNNNNNNNNNNNNNNNNNNNNNNNNNNNNNNNNNNNNNNNNNNNNNNNNNNNNNNNNNNNNNNNNNNNNNNNNNNNNNNNNNNNNNNNNNNNNNNNNNNNNNNNNNNNNNNNNNNNNNNNNNNNNNNNNNNNNNNNNNNNNNNNNNNNNNNNNNNNNNNNNNNNNNNNNNNNNNNNNNNNNNNNNNNNNNNNNNNNNNNNNNNNNNNNNNNNNNNNNNNNNNNNNNNNNNNNNNNNNNNNNNNNNNNNNNNNNNNNNNNNNNNNNNNNNNNNNNNNNNNNNNNNNNNNNNNNNNNNNNNNNNNNNNNNNNNNNNNNNNNNNNNNNNNNNNNNNNNNNNNNNNNNNNNNNNNNNNNNNNNNNNNNNNNNNNNNNNNNNNNNNNNNNNNNNNNNNNNNNNNNNNNNNNNNNNNNNNNNNNNNNNNNNNNNNNNNNNNNNNNNNNNNNNNNNNNNNNNNNNNNNNNNNNNNNNNNNNNNNNNNNNNNNNNNNNNNNNNNNNNNNNNNNNNNNNNNNNNNNNNNNNNNNNNNNNNNNNNNNNNNNNNNNNNNNNNNNNNNNNNNNNNNNNNNNNNNNNNNNNNNNNNNNNNNNNNNNNNNNNNNNNNNNNNNNNNNNNNNNNNNNNNNNNNNNNNNNNNNNNNNNNNNNNNNNNNNNNNNNNNNNNNNNNNNNNNNNNNNNNNNNNNNNNNNNNNNNNNNNNNNNNNNNNNNNNNNNNNNNNNNNNNNNNNNNNNNNNNNNNNNNNNNNNNNNNNNNNNNNNNNNNNNNNNNNNNNNNNNNNNNNNNNNNNNNNNNNNNNNNNNNNNNNNNNNNNNNNNNNNNNNNNNNNNNNNNNNNNNNNNNNNNNNNNNNNNNNNNNNNNNNNNNNNNNNNNNNNNNNNNNNNNNNNNNNNNNNNNNNNNNNNNNNNNNNNNNNNNNNNNNNNNNNNNNNNNNNNNNNNNNNNNNNNNNNNNNNNNNNNNNNNNNNNNNNNNNNNNNNNNNNNNNNNNNNNNNNNNNNNNNNNNNNNNNNNNNNNNNNNNNNNNNNNNNNNNNNNNNNNNNNNNNNNNNNNNNNNNNNNNNNNNNNNNNNNNNNNNNNNNNNNNNNNNNNNNNNCCAUGACAUUUUCAGGACUUGUAAACUUAUCUCCUAGUAUUAAGCAUUCCUGUGAAGUCAUCCUUCAAGUUUCGAAUGGGAGAACUUGGUCUGUUGGUUUGAGCAAAGGAAGGCCCAGAUUCAGGCGUGGUUGGAUGGACGUUGUGCGUGACAAUCAUUUGGAAGUUGGUGAUCUGUGUCUUUUUGUGUUGAUUUCCAGCAAAAGUACACCUUUAUUUGAUCUUGUCAUUUUCCGCUCUGGAGAAGGUGCAAAGUGCACCAAUGAUGGGGAGCAAAUAGUACCUACGAAGGAAGAAACUGAUAAUGAAGAUGGAGAUUCGAGUGAUGAUUCUAGUAACGAUUCGAGUUAUAUUAGGUUGUUUUGUUAAAGGGUUUUAUGUGUAUGCUUUGCGAUCUGUUAAUAAUGUGCUUAUAGGUAUGGGUUCAUGGAUUUUCUGUUUAAUGGGUUCAUGGAUUACAUUAUCUGUUAUGUUGAAUUGGGAAUGGAUUUAAUUUUGUCGUAUCUUUUAAUCACCCUAUGUUAUGUUGAAUUGGGAAUGGAUUUAUUGUUUUCAUGCUUGGUUUCAUGUAUAUGUUGGUUUCUUGCUUGGUUUCAUAUAUAUGUUGUGUUCUUAAUGGGUUUUGUGUUCUUGAAAAUAAACUGAGACACGACGAAUUUUAGGGCAUACGACGACGAUUACACGACGGUUUUUUUAAACUACCGUCGUUGUAUUACUUAUACACGACGGUUUUUUCAUAAACCGUCGUUUGUAUUACUUAUAAUAGACGACGUCUGUUGAAAAUCCGUCGUCUAUAUAUGCCAAGUACGUCUGUUUUUGUUUAAAACCCGUCGUCUCUGUUGUGUAUUACUUGCGAUUAGAUCAUUGUAUAAUCUGCUAUAGUGAUGGUCAUUGCCUGUAUUUUCACUUUAUUAUAGAUAAUAGGUUAUAGUGUCGGAGAUGGAUAAGUCAUGGAUGCACUCGGAUAGAAGAUCGAAGGCAUAUGAAUUUGGGGUGGAAGCAUUUUUGAACUUUGCUGUAGAAAAUCUUCUAACUACAACACAUAUCCGUUGUCCAUGUGUUAAAUGUGUUAAUUUGAAGUUGUUUGGGGUUGGAAUUAUAAGGGAUCACUUAUACUUUAAUGGAAUUGACCAAAGCUAUAAGAAUUGGACAUUUCACGGAGAACCUUGGGAAGCAACUACUAAUGCUAGUAGAAAUGUUGAAGAAGAUGAUGGCCAUAGUAGGUACAGUUUUGUGUCUGAAGAAAUUGAUAUGGAUGAUAAUGAUUUUGGUGAUUUUGGUGAUUUUGGUUCGGAUCCGUAUGAGUUUGCCAAUGUGAUUGGGGAUGGAGAUCAACCAGUGUACCCUGGUUGUAGAAAGUACACGAAGUUAUCGGCAUUAGUGAAGUUGUAUAAUUUGAAGGCAAAACAUGGGAUGAGUGAUGUCUGUUUUACAGAAUUAUUGAUACUUCAAGGCGAUUUGCUUCCAGAAGGAAAUACAAUACCAACCUCCAUGUAUGAGGCUAAAAAGACUUUGUGUGCAUUGGGGCUGAGUUAUGAGAAAAUACACGCAUGCCCCAAUGAUUACAUCUUGUAUAGGAAGGAGUAUGAGGAUUCAACUAAUUGUCCUACUUGUGGUAUCUCAAGGUGGAAGGAAGGCAAAGAUUCAAUCUUGAAAGAGGGUGUGCCAGCGAAGGUGGUGUGGUAUUUUCCCCCAAUUCCAAGGUUUAAAAGGAUGUUUCAAUCACAUGAGACAGCUAAGAGUUUGACUUGGUGGCAUGCUGCUAGAAAAUCAAUUGACGGUCAGAUGUCUCAUCCGGCGGAUUCCCCGUCUUGGAAACUUCUUGAUGAUAAAUGGCCUGAGUUUGGUAAUGAGCCGAGAAACUUGAGAUUGGCUCUUUCAUCUGAUGGAUUCAAUCCCCACAGUUCUCUAAGUAGCAGAUAUAGUUGUUGGCCGGUUAUCUUAGUUACAUAUAAUCUCCCUCCAUGGCUGUGCAUGAAACGAAAGUUCAUGAUGUUAACCUUAUUGAUUUCCGGUCCUAAACAACCCGGAAAUGAUAUAGACGUCUACUUGGAGCCUUUGAUUGAUGAUUUAAAAUCCUUGUGGGUUGGGAUUAGAGGAGUGUAUGAUGCACAUAAUGGAGAAUACUUUACACUCAGAGCUGCAUUAAUGUGGACAAUUAAUGAUUUCCCCGCCUAUGGAAACUUAUCUGGUUGUGUUGUUAAAGGAUAUAAAGCUUGUCCAAUCUGCGGCGAUGAUACACCUAGUCACAGGUUGAAAAAUGGCCACAAAAUUUGUUACAUUGGGCAUAGAAAAUGGUUACCAAUCAAUCAUCCAUAUAGGAGGCAACGUGCAGCUUUUAAUGGGAAACCUGAAUAUGGCAUACCUCCCGAGCCAUUAACCGGAGAAGAAGUGCUGCAUAUGGUUGAAAAUGGUGACAGAGUUUGUUGGAAGAAGAAAUCAAUAUUCUUUGAUCUCGAGUAUUGGAAAUACCUUCCUGUGAGGCAUGCCCUAGAUGUUAUGCACAUUGAGAAGAAUGUUUGCGAUAGUAUCAUUGGUACAUUGCUGGAGAUCCCUGGAAAAAAUAAAGAUGGGAUUGCUGCUCGAUUAGAUUUAUUGAACAUGGGGGUCAAAACUGAUUUGCAACCCGAGUAUGGAGAAAGACGUACUCGUUUGCCUCCUGGGCCUUGGAAUUUGUCAAGAGCAGAGAAGAGAGAGGUUUGCAAUUCUUUCUAUGGUAUGAAGGUCCCUGAAGGUUAUUCUUCAAAUAUUAAAAAUCUUGUAUCUUUACAAGAUUCAAGACUUCUUGGCCUUAAAUCACAUGAUUGUCAUACCUUAAUGCAACAAUUGCUCCCUGUGGCAAUUCGUUCUGUUUUGGAGAAGCCUGCAAGGUAUGCAAUAACUCGUUUGUGCUUCUUCUUCAAUGCUAUAUGUGCAAAGACUGUUGAUGUUUCCAAGCUAGAUAAGUUGGAAGAAGAUGUAGUAGUUACUCUGUGUUUGCUUGAGAAGUACUUUCCCCCUUCAUUCUUUGAUAUCAUGGUUCAUCUAGUAGUACAUCUUGUCAGAGAAGUUCGUCUAUGUGGGCCAGUAUAUUUUAGGUGGAUGUAUCCGUUUGAAAGAUAUAUGAAAGUGCUGAAGGGGUAUGUUCAGAAUCGUACUCGUCCCGAAGGUUGCAUUGCUGAGCGGUAUAUAGCUGAAGAAGUGGUAGAGUUUUGUACUCAGCAUUUAUCUGAUGUUAGUACAGUUGGAGUGCCUUCAAGCCAAAAGAUGGGACUUUCAAAGCCAUUAUCAGGUUGCACAGUGAGCGUAGUUGAUCAGGACCUGUUGAAUCAAGCACAUCUAUAUGUCUUGGAGAAUACGGAGGAAGUCCUACCUUAUAUCGAGUACGUAUGAGCUUUAUUCUUUAAGUUUCCAUUUUAAAUUAUUUCUUAUGUUUAUCUUCUAUAUUUGGGACCGUAAUGCUUGAAUUUUUCGUGUCAUGUAGGCAACAUAUGAUCCACAUCAAGAUUGCUUAUCCAAAAUUUAGAAAGAGAACAAAGUGGCUGCAGGAUAAGCACAAUAGCACUUUCAUUCAAUGGCUACGCUUCAAGGUAUAUGUUGUUGAAUAACAUAUUUCUCUUUUAAUUUUCUUCUUAUUUAUAUGUUAGAUUGAAUUAAGAUAUGAUUAAUUUGCAGGUUCAAAGUGAACUUGAGGAAGACAAUCAUGGCGUAUCAGAAAAUUUAAGGUGGCAAGCAGCUGGUCCAAACAUGUCAGUGCCAUUAUAUAGGAGCUAUCUUAUUAAAGGUAUUAAAUUCAAUAUCAAGGCACAAGAUGAUGUGCGGACAACUCAAAAUAGUGGAGUUUAUUUACUUGCACAUACCAUGCAAGUUGCUAGUGCCAAGGAUAAAAACCCAAUUCUCUCAAAUAUGGGUUUCUAUGGUGUCAUUCAAGAAAUUUGGGACCUUGACUACCAAAAGUUUACAAUCCCAGUCUUUAGGUGUGAUUGGAUAGAUAGUUCUGGUCUUGUAGUCGACGAACUUGGAUUUACCCUUGUAGAUUUGAGUAAAAUUGGACAUAGGAAUGACCAAUUUGUUUUGGCUUCUCAAGUCAAACAAAUAUUUUUUGUUGACGACCCGAUGCAUCGUGGUUGGUCGGUAGUGUUAUCAAUGCCUAAUAGAGAAUAUAAUGAUGUUAUUGGUGAUGAAGUCUUAGGUGAUGUGAUAAUUGAGUGUGAGCCAUUUACUAGAGGGAUGCCAAAUGUUGACACAUUUGAUGAACUGGUGGGUGAGUUAGGCGGUCAAAAUAUUCGAGAUGGGUGUGAAGAUAUAUGGAUUGAAUGAUGCUUAUGUAAUUGGCAGUGUAUGACAUUAAUUUUGUAAUAUAUUGUAAUGUGAUUUCUUCACUUUCUACGUUCAAAUAAAACACGACGUUAUUGUGAACCAGUUAUUCAGCAUAUUUACCGACGUCUUAAAGCAACGUAAUAAUGAAGAACCACGACGCAAUUGUGAAGCAAUUAAUCAGGAUAUCACGUCGGGGAAGGAUUAAGAACCGCCAUGUAAUUCAAAAUAACACGACUCCAAUCCCAUAAUACCGACGUCUAAAAAACGAGAUAUAUAAUCUGAACGUUAAAAAAUACGACGUCAUCAUACAUUUUCCACGUCGCAAGUUCUUUUAUAAACGAAGAGGAACGAAAUGAAUUCCGACGGAAAUUCAUUAUAACCGCCGUCUAAUAACAAUUAAACGACGUUAUUUGUAAUACGGCUCUCAUCAUAAUCAACGCCGUCUAUAUGUUCUGUAAUACGGCUCUCAUUUAUUUGGAACCGACGUUGUUUAGAAGUUCAACGUCGUCUAUAUUAUUAAGUGCGUCGUGAGUAAUGAUGAUAGAUAUAAAUACAACGUCGACUAUAUAAAUGCCACCGACGUUGUUUCGCAUUUCAACGUCAACUGUAUAAAUACAUACGUCGUAAAUAAUGACACUGACAACUAUUUCCACGUCAUCUUUUUUAGAAAAAUCGAAGUGGAAAAUUUAUUUCACGACGGUUGUUUGUAAAUAAGAGACGUAGUAUAUUUCAAUAACGUCGUCUUCUCAUGUAUUUAAAGACGUCAUAUUUUUUCUUGUCAUGUAAAUUAUAUUUAACGGCGUAGUAUUUUAGUUGUCGUCGUUGUAUGUAUAUCUUGCGGCCUUGUUCUUUUAACAUGUGUCAUAUUUUUCCUUUUUAACGACGGUGAUUUGUUUGAGUUGGUCGUCUAUUCUCAUCCUCGACUAUUUUCUAGAACUUUAGCAGACUAAACACGUCUGUUUUUAUUGUUUUCCGACGUUGUUUUAUUUAACAACGUCUAAUAUUUAUCGUCGUUGUUUGUUUCUGAAAAUAUGACGUAUAAAUUUUGUAAUACGACUCUCAUAUAUUUGUAACCGACGUUGUUUCGUUUUUCAACGUCUACUCAAUAAAUACAUACGUCGUAAAUAAUGACACUGACAACUAUUUCCACGUCAUCUUUUAUCGAAAAAUCGAAGUGAAAAAUUAAUUUUACGACGGCUGUUUUUAUAUAUGCGACGUAGUAGGUAUCAAUAACGUCGUCUUCUAAUGUAUUUAAAGACGUCAAAUUUUUUAUUGUCGUGAAAAUGAUAUUUAACGGCGUCGUAUUUUUAUUUUCGUCGUUGUAUGUCUAUCUUGCGGCCUUGUUCUCUUAAUAUGUGUCAUAUUUUUCCUUUUUAACGACGGUUUUUUUAGAGAGUUGGUCGUCUAUUCUCAUCCUCGACUGCUUUUUUAGAUCUUUUUGCAGUACAAAGACGUCGUUUUGUAUUUGUUGAUGACGUUGUAUAUUUUAACAAUGACGGUGAUUUAGCGUCGUGGUUUAUGAGGGAAAAGAUGACGGUGGAUUCCACGACCAUUGAAAAACCGAAUACACGACGGUGAUUUACCGUCGUCUUUUUGCUUUUUUGUAGUAGUGCAAGUCUCUAAUUUUAAUCGACAACGGAAUAAUCCUUACUCCAACACUUAUAACCCAGGAUGGAAGAACCAUCCGAAUUUUUCAUGGAGUAAUAACCAAAAUGUACAGGGACCUCCACCUGGUUUCACACCUCAAGAAAAGAAGCAUGGAUUGGAGGAUAUAAUUACUCAACUUGCUGGAAAUGUCAACACUCUCUCUGUCAAUACAAAUCAAUUUAUGAGCAAAAUCGAGACGACCCUUCAGAACCAAGCUGCCUCUAUUCGAAACUUGGAGGUUCAAAUGGGCCAGCUAGCUAAUGUAUUGACAGGAAGAGUAAAUGGAGCUUUGCCAAGCCAAACAGAGAUUAAUCCGAAAAACCAAGAACAUGCGAAGGCGAUAACUCAUCGGAAUGGAGGCCAAUAAAAACAGCAGUAGACUUGGAUGAAGAAAAGAAUAUCCAGCAACAAACUGCAGAGACAUCAGAAAUUACUAACGGGCCGUCGUCGUCGUCUAUCACUGCUGGAACUGUUGCACAACUUGAUGAAAUUUCUCCAGAAAUUGAACCUGCUACUGUAGAUAAAUUAUCUCAACCUGCUGCCCUUGUAAAGCCAUAUGUACCGCCAAUUCCGUUCCCUCAACGUCUUCGAAAAAACAAAGUGGAUGCCCAAUUUUCGUAAUUUCUUGAUAUCUUCAAGAAAUUACAAAUAAAUAUUCCUUUUGCCGAUGCUUUGGUGCAAAUGCCGAGUUAUGCCAAAUUCAUGAAGGAUAUUAUAUCAAAGAAGAGGAAAUUGGGCGAACAUGAGAUAGUGAAAUUAUCCGAAGAAUGCAGUGCUAUUUUGCAGAGGAAGCUACCACCUAAGCUAAAGGAUCCAGGGAGUUUUACUAUACCUUGCACUAUUGGAACCAUUUACUUUGAAAAAGCUUUAUGUGAUUUAGGAUCCAGUAUUAAUCUAAUGCCUUCUUCUGUUGCUAAACAUAUUGGGUUGGGGGUAAUUAACCCAACCACUGUUUCUUUGCAGAUGGCAGACAGGUCCAUAACAUAUCCCAGAGGCAUAAUUGAGGAUGUGUUAGUCAAAGUUGAUAAGCUCAUUUUUCCAGCAGAUUUUUUGAUUUUAGACAUGGAAGAAGAUGUCGAAACCCUUAUUAUCUUAGGCCACCCCUUUCUAAAAAUCGGGAAGACAUUAAUUGAUGUGGACAAAGGUUUAUUAAUUUUUCGAGUGGCUGAUGAGCAGAUGACCUUCAAUGUCUUUGAAGCAACAAAGUACCCAGUGGAAUCAGACUCUUGCUUCCGAGUGGAUAUAGUGGAAAAAGUUGUCUAUGAACAAUUUAAAGAAGAACAUCCAUGUGAUCCAUUGGAGGCUUGCCUUGUGCAUUCCGUUACUACUGAGCAUGAGGAUCCUAAAAUUUCUGAGAUGGUGUACUUUUUGGAAGCAAUGAAACCGCGCCCCCCUGGAAGGUGGCGCGAAUUUGAGGAGCUUGGCGUCACAACCUCCAAGCCACAACCCAGUGUCAUUACUGCACCAACCCUCACAUUGAAGCCCCUACCUUCCCACUUAAGAUAUGCAUACUUGGGUAAUUUUGAAACUCUUCCUGUGAUCAUUGCUGCAAAUUUGAGUAAACUAGAAGAAGAUAAAUUACUACGAGUUUUGAGGGAGCAUAAAACGGCAAUAGGGUGGACUAUUGCAGAUAUUAAGGGACUUAGCCCUUCCAUGUGUAUGCACCGUAUUCUGAUGGAAGAUGAUUUUAAACCUUCAGUUGAGCAUCAGCGCCGAUUAAAUCCGAAUAUGAAAGAAGUUGUGUGAGCUGAAGUAUUAAAGUUAUUAGAUGUUGGAAUAAUUUACCCGAUUUCAUAUAGUAGUUGGGUGAGUCCAGUUCAAGUCGUACCGAAAAAAGGGGGUAUUACAGUGGUGAAAAAUGAUAAGAAUGAGUUGAUCCCGACAAGAACAACUACAGGAUGGCGUGUCUGCAUAGACUACAGGAAAUUGAACAUUGCGACAAGGAAAGAUCACUUUCCCUUGCCUUUCAUUGAUCAGAUGUUGGAAAGACUUGUUGGGCAUUCAUAUUAUUAUUUUUUAGAUGGAUAUUCUGGGUAUAAUCAAAUUCCAAUUGCACCUGAAGAUCAAGAAAAGACGACGUUCACAUCCCCAUUCGGCACUUUUGCAUACAGGCGCAUGCCCUUCGGGUUAUGUAACGCCCCUGCCACCUUUCAACGUUGCAUGAUGAGCAUCUUUUCGGACAUGGUGGAGCGCUUCAUUGAGGUUUUUAUGGAUGACUUUUCUAUUUUUGGCUCAUCAUUUGAUUCUUGUUUACAUAAUUUGGCAUUAGUUUUGAAAAGAUGUGAAGAAACCAAUUUGGUUUUGAAUUGGGAGAAAUGCCAUUUUAUGGUGCAAGAAGGGAUAGUCUUGGUGCAUAAAAUUUCAGCUAAAGGCAUAGAGGUUGAUAAGGCAAAAAUUGAUACCAUAGAGAAAUUGCCACCGCCCACUAUAGUAAAGGGGAUUCGAAGCUUUCUGGGUCAUGCUGGAUUUUAUCGGCGGUUUAUCCAAGAUUUUUCCAAAAUCACGAAGCCCUUAUGCAAUCUCCUUCUUAAAGAUGUAGAAUUUAAUUUUGAUUCAAGGUGUUUGGAAGCAUUUAAUGUCUUGAAAGAGAAGCUUACUUCUGCACCUGUCAUUGUCGCACCGGAUUGGGACUUGCCUUUUGAGAUUAUGUGUGAUGCUAGUGACUAUGCGGUAGGGGCAGUUUUGGGUCAAAAAAGAAAUAAAUUACUUCAUGUAAUUUAUUAUGCCAGUCGUACUUUGAAUGACGCCCAGCGGAAUUAUACCACCACGGAGAAAGAAUUGUUAACAAUAAUCUUCUCCUUGGAUAAAUUUCGAUCCUACUUGAUUGGAGCGAAGGUGAUAGUGUAUACCGAUCACUCAGCUUUAAAGUAUUUACUUUUGAAGAAGGAUGCAAAACCACGAUUAAUUCGCUAGGUACUACUGCUCCAAGAAUUUGAUCUUGAAAUUCGAAACAAAAAGGGUCCGAAAACGUGGUAGCUGACCAUCUUUCGCGGCUGGUUAGUGAGGUCAAGAUGAGUGAUGAUGCUGCACCCAUUAUGGAGAUGUUCCCUGAUGAACAAUUGUAUGCCAUUCGAUCAUCCGAAGCUCCCUGGUACGCUGACUUUGUGAAUUAUUUAGCUAGUACUAUCAUUCCAACUGAUUUAUCAUUUCAUCAGAAGAAGAAGUUUUUCUCCUUGGUUAAACAUUAUUAUUGGGAUGACCCAUAUUUGUGGAAACAUUGUCCUGACCAAGUUAUACGGAGAUGUGUGCCUGAGGAGGAGAUGGAAGACAUAUUGCGACAUUGCCACACAUUGGCGUGUGGGGGGCAUUUUGGUGCCUCCAAAACAGCAGCCAAGGUAUUACAAUCUGGAUUUUUUUGGCCAACUUUGUUCAAGGAUGCCUAUGCAUUUGUAGCUGCCUGUGAUCGAUGCCAACGCACUGGAAAUAUCUCUAGCAGAAAUCAGAUGCCAUUGAAUAAUAUUCUAGAGGUUGAAUUGUUCGAUGUCUGGGGAAUAGAUUUCAUGGGACCUUUCCCUGAAUCUUGGAAGAACAAGUACAUAUUGGCGGCUGUUGAUUAUGUGUCGAAAUGGGUUGAAGCCGUUGCUCUCCCUACCAAUGACUCCAAAGGGUGUUGUCAAAUUUGUCCGAAAAAAUAUUUUCACCAGAUUUGGGACUCCGCGUGGAAUCAUCAGUGACGGAGGUACACACUUUUGCAAUCGUCAAUUUAAUUCUCUUUUAGCUAAAUAUGGUAUUACCCACAAGGUUACUACUCCCUAUCAUCCACAAACUAGUGGACAAGUUGAAGUUUCCAAUAGAGAAUUAAAACGAAUUUUGGGAAAGACGGUGAGUGCUUCAAGAAAGGAUUGGUCACUGAAAUUGGAUGAUGCCUUAUGGGCCUAUCAAACGGCGUUCAAAACACCAAUUGGCAUGUCUCCUUAUCGUCUAGUUUUUGGGAAAGCUUGUCACUUACCGGUUGAGCUCGAACAUAAGGCACAUUGGGCACUCCAAACACUCAAUUUUGACAUGAUUGUAGCAGGAGAAAAACGGGCAAUUCAAUUGAAUGAUAUGGAUGAGUUUCGUAAUGAAGCUUAUGAGACUUCCAAGAUAUACAAGGAGCGUACAAAGAAAUGGCAUGAUAAGCAUAUUCUAAGGAAGGAUUUCUUCGCUAGUCAGAAAGUUCUCCUAUUUAAUUCCCGCCUCCGACUCUUUCCCGGGAAGCUGAAAUCACGUUGGUCUAGACCAUUUACAAUAGUGCAAGUAUUUCCUUCUGGAGUUAUUGAGGUUAGGCAUGACGAAUAAGGUACUAUUUUCAAAGUAAACGGCCAACGAGUGAAGCCAUACUUGGAAGUCAAUUUUGAUCAACAACGGGCUUCCAUUCCUCUGCAUGAUCCAAAGUGAUGACCUCUCAAGUCGGGCUGGGGACUAUAAACCAAGCGCUUGUUGGGAGGCAACCCAACUAGGUACCUUCGUUUGUUUUUAUUUUAUUUUGUUUUGUUUUCCCUUUAUUUUCCAUCCUUCUAUGCCUUUACUAAUUGUUACAUGCAUUUACUUUAAACAUUGAGGACAAUGCUUAGUUUAGGUUUGGGGGUGUGGAGUUUUGUUGUUUUUGUUUGAGUUUUGAGUCAUAAAGUUGUUUUUUGUUUGAGGUUUGAGUCAUAAAGAAAAAAAAAAAAAACAGAUUUUGUGUUCCAAAGAAAGGAUUUUGUGUUUCAAACAACAUUUCUCAAUUUUUUCUAGCCCCAUGAUGAUUGCAAACAUGUUCCAGAUGUGUUACAGAUGUUGUUUUGGCCAUUAGAUGACUUUAAAACCCAGAAAAUAGCAAAAUAGGUUAUUAUGUUCUUAUUUUGGUCAAAAUCAAAAAUUUUGCCUAUUUUCCUUUUUGAUGUUUUUCGGCAAAUUUGAAGCCACCAACAUGUUUAGAAUGGUUAUUAUGAUGAUUUGAAAGUGUUUUGGGGGUCUCAAGUGCUUUACAUGACGUUUUAGGGAGAUUUGAAGUUAAAAAAGUGGCCUAAAACCCAAAAAAGACUAGCUGCUAUCUACCCAGAAAUAUGAAGCUUAGCGACGGUGUUCAUCAGAUUUUUCGUUGCUAAAGGGUUUUUAGCGACGGUGUUCAUCAGAUUUUUCGUCGCUAAAGGUCGAUUUUUCGUCGCUAAAGGUCAAUUUUCCAGAAUUUUCUAAUUUCAUUCCAAAUCAAUUAUGAUCCAUUCCAUUUGUGAUCAGAGGUUUCUAUGAGCUAUUCCAGGUGUGUCCUCUUCCUUUUGAUGAAAUUUCUUUAUCCCUAAGCAAUUAUGGCCCAUACAUUCACUCACAUUUGUUUGGAAAAAAAAAUCACAAAAUGCCUUUAACUUUUAAAAAUAAAAAUUUUGUUAAAGCUUUUACUUUCUCUUACUAAUAGUGAUGUAUAUGUGAUGUUUGAUCAUAUUUCUUCAACUAAAGUGUUGCCAUGAAAGUUUAUGCACCAUAAGUAUAGCACUUCACAUGGCCAUGCUUCAAGUAUUUUAAUAGACAAGCUAGCUAUACUUGGAUGAUUGUGGAGAAAUAGUGGAGACUACCAUUGUGAGAUACUUGAGCCAAAUUGCCAUUCAUUGAGAGAGUAUUUGGGAUUAGUCUUAUUCACUAUUUUCUUUCUUUCUUAUUUAAAUUGAUCUCAAUUAGACUUUUGAAUUGAAUAGUAAGAACUAAUCUCUAUUUUUGGAAUCAUCUCAUGCUUUUACUUUUGAGUUGGAUGGACCUUGAGAGAUGAUGUUAGGCUAUGCAUGUUCUAACCACUAAAUAAAACAUCAUGUCCUACCCAUUGUGUGUGCCAUCAACCCUUUGAAGCCAAACACUUAGCCUUUUCUUUCAUCACCCACAAUAUUUCCUUGCCCUUUUCACCCUAUUUUUAGCCAUACCCUAUAACUUGGGAUAUGCCAUGGCAUGAAAACAAGGAUGAAGGUUAAGAGGUGGCGUGUACCGAGGAAAUAUGUGCUUAAAAAUAAAUAAACAAAUACAAAGAAAAAAAAAAGAGAAAAAAAGAAAAGAAAAGAGAAAUCUAUUUUUUAAAAAAAUGUGAAGCAUAUCAAAAAUCCUAGAAGCCUCUGUGAAGUAAAUUUAAAGGCCGAGCCUUAUAACGUGAUAAAUGCCUUGGUAUGUCUCAAGUUCUAGUAUUUCCUUCCCUUUCUUUCAUACCCCAUAACCUAGCCCUUCAUUACAACCAUAGUAAAGACCUAACGGAUUUUUGGGGACUUCUUACUCAGAAGUAGAGGUAUGUACUUCAUCUAUGGUUUUUAGUAUUUGAUUUCCUUUCCAUGAGAUCUAUUGUUAGAAAUUGCCUUUUAUUCAUUCUUGGAUGCAUAUGUGUCUUAUAUUUUGAAUUCUUCACCUAACUUCAUUCACAUAUACGGGGUAAGAGUGCAACCCUAGGUUCUGUGAGAAAAUUGAGAGUUAUCCAGUGAGGCCUAGAGUUGAGGCGAAUUUGUACACACGCCGAAUGUGGUUAUCUUUUAUGUUUGAAUGCUUGGAGUUUUGGUUUUACACUUUACACUAUGGUGCAUUUUAUUUGUAGUGGCAUAACUUUAGUUUUUAAAUUGUGAUUGGCAUUCAUUGGUUAUUAUUAGUUUGUUGGACGUAUUGCUUUAACGAAUUUAUUUUGCAAGAAGUGUUUGUGGGUGCCGUGACUGGUAAACCCUCAGGAGACACAACUCCUCCUACUAGGGACACCUAGAGGUUUAAAGGCUUGUGGCACAUGCUAAGUGCCAUCGAGAUUACCUGCGAAAGUGGUUUAAUUUAGUUUGUUUGUUUUAAUUUAUUUUUGAUUUUCAGUUUUGCUCGAGGACUAGCAAAAGAUAGGUUUGGGGGUAUUUGAUAAGUCUAUAUUAUAUAUAUAUUUUAUGCCUCCUUUGCUUAUUUAUUUAUUAAUUUCUUGGAUUAAAUUGGUUGUUUUUAAUUGGUUUUGUGAGAUUUGUGAAGGAAUUGUGAAAUAGGAGAAAGUGUGCUAAAAAAGGCAAGAAGAUGAAGAUCAAUUAAAAAGAAGCCAAGUCAUUCUUUUUGUUGCAAGGAAUGUUGUCAAAUUUCCUAGUUCAAGAUGGUGCAAGUCUUAUCAAGUCAAACAAGGAGAAAUAAAGAAGACCUUAUUUUAGAAGGAAUCCUAUUUUUUUAACAAUUGUAAUUAUUCCUUAGGUAGGAUUUCUAGGAGUUUUAUAAAUAGGGAGUUUAGGUCAUUGUUGAAAGGAUCCAUUACCCAUCAUCAAUCCUCCAUCAUCUACCCUAAAAUUCCUACACAUUCAUACUCAUAGCUGAAAUACUCAAAGGAGAGAGAGAGUGUGUUUUAGAGAGACAAAGAAGACAACCUGUAGCUAGAGUUGCUGUCGUGCAGAGAUCAAAUUUCAAUUGGUUACUUCUUUCCUAGGAUAUUAUUUAUCAUGGUUUUUAUUAAAGUUGUCAUGAACUAAUUUCUUCUUGCUAGGGCUACGAUGUAGCCUAGCCAUGAAUACUCAAUUACUUUAGUCAAUGUUAAUUCUAAGUAUUUUUCCAUAUUGAGUAUCUAUUACCAUGCUUAAUGCUUUGAAUGUUUGGCCAACAUUUAAUUGUUUUGAUGCUAAAUUGACGAUAGGAAUAUCCAAUUUGGGGUUGCUUCUUGUAAUAGAUGCCAUGAGUUACAUGAUUAGACAGGGAUGUUUGUCAUGACUUAUGUGGUUGUUUUGUAGGUUUUCCAAGGAAUUUAAUGGGUUCUUAUUAUCUUAAUUCCAUUACUAGGGAUAGAGUGGGUUGGUAAUAAGAAUACUUUUGGUAUAACUAGGGAUGGAGUAUUGAAUAAAGUAGGGAAAAUCAACUGUCAACAUAGAGAAUAAUUAGGAUUAACAUGCUAAGGGAAUUGGGUAGAAUUGGCUAUGGUGAAAUCGGAAGCUCUAGUGCUCUCAUAACUUGAAUCUCACUACUUUAUUUUUCUACGCUUGUUUUUAUUCAUUGUUUUAGUUAAUUAAUCAAUCAAAUCUCAUCAUCAAUUGUUCAAAUAAAGUCUUGGGUUAAUCACAAUCGGUACUUGAUAAAUUAAAUCACUCUUCGUGGGAACGACACUUCACUCAUCACUAUAUUACUUGUGCGAAUUGUGCACUUGCAAUAAAUAUCACAACAAGCAUCCAUGCAUUGUUAUUAUUAAUCUGAUAUUUAGCAGUAUGAUUGUAUGUCACUUAAUAUAGUUAUAUCAAUUUCCUGUAGUAAGGUCUCAUGUCCCUACCGAGCGGUAGUUGCUCAUCCAUCACCCUGUUUAAUUUUUCAGAUGAAUUAGUGGGCAAGACAAGAACUAAACCAGUUGAGGCUGAAUUAGAUGAGAGUGAUAGAGGUUUAUUCAUUUCUUGUAAAGUUGUAAGAUUUUGGAGCUAUUUUUAUAAAGGAAGUUUAUUUUAAACUCAUGUUUUGGCUUUUUUUUAAAAAUAAUUUAUUUAUUCUUUUUAUUUUAUACUUUUUAUUUUCUCAUGCAUUGGGCGCAAGGUUUUCACCUAUCCCCGGAUCCGCGGCAUGACAACUAGUGCUGGAUCCAAUAUGCGUAAUGAUGGUUUGGUUUGAGGUGAUACUGUAUGGGGAAAGAGGGUUUUGAUGAUGGUAUUGAGAAUUUGCGUGGGGCAUGGAUGAAUGUUCCAGCUCGAAGGACACCUAAAGGUGUGACUCAGGAAGUUGGAGGCAAGGGAGGUCGAAAUAUGGGUUCUAGAUUUGAUGCGUUGAGACAGGUGGGUGAAAAUUUUGGGAUUGAUGGUAGGACUGAGAGGGUUGAGGCUACUCAAACUUUCACAGAGCAGUUGGGAUCAUCGAUUAGAGAUGCUGAAAAGGGAUAUAAAGUUUGGACCAAGUCUAAGGCUAAUAUCAUGGUAAGGCUAGAAUUGUUAUGAAUGACAUUUCUAAUAUGAAUCUCAAGGAAAAUGUAAAAGUGUGUGCUACUGUUGAUCAGUUGCUAGCUGUUCUAAAGUUAGUCAGUUGGUGAAUAAAAGUAAUCUGGUUUAUGAGGAUAAGAGAUUUGGUGGGAAAAUAUCUUUGAAUGACCAAUUGAAUAAUUGGACGAAGGGUCAGAAUUCGUAUCAGGCUAUAAGGGUCUAUCACUUUGGCCAUCAACCACCCAACAUAGCCACUAAUUGUUCUGAUACUGAGGAGGAGGUGGAUACUGAUGUCGAUGUUGAUUCUCUGGCUUCUUCUACUCAUGAGGGCUUGAUUCCAACAGAUACAAGGGACUUGGCUGCAGUUAAAGAUUCAGUUGUGAGAAGGAAGGAUGGAUGACAGGACCCGCCCCGGAAUUCCUCGGAGACCUGGACUGACCCCGUCUUGUUACCGACAUCACUCUUAUGCCGGGCCCACUUACUAAAAAUCGAGACAUUCUACCAAAAAUUUGGCAGAGUCUCCCCUGUAAAUUGAACAUUUCCCAAAUUCAACCUGCUCAAAAUUCACAGUUUAAUAAUACCCAACCGGCAGCAUGCUUUAAAGCGAAUAAACAGUUUACAACAAAGGUCUCUGGUCUCAUAAAUCAACCCUAGCAAGGGCAUAAUAACAGAGCAUAUCUAAGGAAUUCGAUUACAACAAAAACAAAGUUCAAAAGAAAUUAAAUGAACAAGGAGUCCUACGAAAGCUCAAGACUCGUAAGCACACGAUACGGCUCGACUGCGAAGCUCAAUCAACUACUAGCUAGGGGUGCAAAAUAGAAAAAUGUGAGUGGACAAACAUAAAGUUCAGUUCAGUGUAAACCAACAUAAUAUAACCCCACUGUUUAAUAAACCAUGCAAGAAAUCCAAAUGUAUCCCAAAACCAGCAUAACCAAGUAUAUUCAUAUAAAGUUAAAACAACACCGGAUGCCAAGUCCGAAAUCCAUAAAGAACACUUUACAAACCCACCAUUCAAAUAUUAAGUCCCAAACUAAACUCUCGAAAGCGUACCCCUUGGCACGACCGGCAAGGAAGUAUCCUCACCGAGAAACAAGAAUGAAUGAAUAGUUAUAUAUAUGUAAAUCUAUAAUAUAAGAUAUAUAUAUAUAUAAUAUAAAUAUGACCAUCACCUCGUUGUACCGGGGAAACAAUCCAACUGGGGGAUUGUUUGACAAGUCACCAUGACAGAGUCCUCAUGAAGAGUCCUUAAUUCACCAUGUGACUAGGGAACGAGCCGUCCAACUGGGGGACUAACUCUCAGCCAGCAUGUACAGUCGAUACCCUUAAAACUAGUACGUCUGUGACCAGUCCUACGCUCGCAGACUACCCAAUCAAGGGUCUACAACAACAUCCCUCAAGGAUGCCCCGGAUUCCGACAUCUCCAAGUAUCUCAAGUUUCCGUAUCCAAGUUCCAAAUCCGGGGAGGUACAUAGGGUAGUGCUUAUAGCAUUCCAAAAUGACAUUAUAGACACAUCACUUUCCACAAUCUCAUCUUAACAACCCAAGUACCCCACACAUAUCCAAACAUAUAUAAAAAUUCUCAAAAUCCAUAUAUACAUACUCAAGAUACUCAAAUAUGCCAAAACCCAAAAUAUAUUGCCAAUGCAUCAUAAAAAUAUCAAUUUCAACGAUUGAAUAAAUAAUAUAUCCAAUAUACCAUUUAAAACAUUAUGCAUAAGAUUUCCCAUCACAAAACCAUGCAUAAGAUUUGAAAACAAAGUCCACUCACAAGUAGUCCCACACUGCUUGACCCUGAGAGUGUCCGUCCUGCUGCGUACACCUGGUCGGAGUACCUAUUUCAGAAUACGAAUACGAGAUUAAUACAAAGCGUUUCAAAUGAGAACGUUGAAUUAAAUAUCCUAAUUUCUCAGGUUUAUAGCGAGUGCAUGAGGAACGGAACAAUUUGAAAGUUCCUAAGGCUUCCCCAAGGUUUAGGAUACACGUCCCGUAAGUCUGGUCCGAAACGGAUCGUUAGAUUGCUCAUGAUCGGACGGUUAUCGUAAAAUCCCAAACUUUAAAUUAUUGAAUCGGAACAUCCGGGGCUCCAAUUCACGAUCCACGAAUUCUUAUACGUUCCUAGGAAUGUCUAGAGUAACAUAUAUUGGAAUGGAGUCGAUCCAACCGUCCGAACAUGUCGAACCCGGAUAACUCCUAAUAUGUGAAAUUCGUUCGGGGUUCGAACGUCAACCAAAUUGGAAUCUGAAGGUACCUACGCACUCUUGUGGACCAAGAGAACACAUUGGCAUAAAAAUGCACCUUUGCUACAGUAUCCACAAGCCGGCAACGCGUGGGUGUUCAAAGCGAUAACGCUUCACCAAAAAAUCUCAACAUCUCGGCUCAAGACUCCUACCCUAGGUGUAACACUCUAAUUGGAGUCACUUUAUUUCUUGGACAUACCCCAAAAAGUGACCGGAAGUGGUCGGAAUCGGAAAUCCAAAAUGGGCCGAACCCUAAAUUGAAAAUCAACUAAAUAGGCUCAAAAUCAAAGAAAUCCUACCCAACCAUCAGCUAGAGCAUGGAAAAUAGUCGAAAAUUCAUACCUUACUCAACUGAAUCGGUGAAGAAAUGAGAGAGAACGAGAGGCUGAAAGUUUACAAAAAUUAUGCCCAAAACCGCCUGUUUUGUGGCUGUUUCCGGAGACCACGACAGCGGGUCGAGGCUGGGACCAGUUGAGAAUUGAAGAGGGAAGUGAGGCAGUUCUAACGGGACAGAGUGGCGACGAGUGGUGGCGGUGGCGACUUGGAGAAGUUGCUACUGUCGCACCAAAGGUGGGGUGGCUGUUUCGCGAGAGAGAGAGAGAGAGAGAGAGAGAGAGAGAGAGAGAGAGAGAGAGAGAGAGAGAGAGAGUUUUGAGAUUUGUAACAAAACAACUUUGAAGAAAUUACGGUUAUGCCACUGAGCUUGUUUUGCCUAUAACUUCUUCGUUACAACUCCGAAUCGAGCCUACUAUGUGUCUACGGACUCAUCUCAGUACAAUCUAUCUAAAAAUACCAGUCGUUGCUCCAAACUCUUUCUGGAUAAGAAAAGACUAAAAUACCCCUACCCCAAGAGUAAAUUCGUAAUUUCAUAUUUAAUUAACUUAAGUAAUUUAAUUUAGGAAUUUAAUUUAGAGUCGGGGUGUUACAAUGGAAUUGCUCAAUACUUGCUUGAUGUUAAGGACUUACAAUUACCUUUGCAAGGCCUUGCCUUAUGUAUUUACACAGAGCUUGGAUUUGGAUUCAGGAAUGGAAAUACUGUUGAGUUGGAACAAUAUGGUGUAAAAUUGGCUAAUAUAAUAUUUUAAUGAUUUUUUAGAAAAUGAAAAGUAAUUAGAAAUUGUUAUUCUUUUGAGGAAUAUAAUACACAAGCUAUACACUUCUUAUACAGAUACAAAUACAAAUACGAUAAUUAAUAUAUGUGAGUCAAAUCAAACAAAGUAAUAAAAAAUUAUGAUUCGACAUGAUGUUCAACUCUUAAUUGCAGCUCUAGAAAGUCAACAAUUUGCGUCACCAAACUCUCUCAUAGAGGUGUCAAAUGAACUGGGCCGGCCCGACAUGGCACGAACAUGGUCCACUCAAGUAAGACACGAUACGGCAUGAUUCAUAUCUUUGGGUCGUGCCGAGACUAAGUAAUUAGGUCUAAUGGUUCGGGCCGGCUCCUAACCUGUCGCAAACUAUACCAGCCGUAAAUCCAACAGAGCGGCCUAUUUAAAGCCCAUUUAUUAAAUUAUACUUAUUUUAGAGAAAAAUAAUACGUAAUAUUAUUACAUAUAUAUCUUAAAUUCAAGACUAUUUUUUUCCCUAAUAAUCUAUAUAUAUAUAUAUAUAUAAAAAGCAAAAGGUAGAGAAUGGAAAAAUAUUCAAAAUAUCAGAAAAUGCCCUUAGUUAAUGCAAACAUUAAGAAUUAAAAUUAUUAAUUAAAUGAGGAUAAUAUGGUAAAUUCACACUUUUUCAUAUUAAAAAAUUUUAUAAAAAAAAAUUAGAUAAUGGAUCCUAUUUUUAUAGAAUACAACUACCCAUUAUCUUUUUUUAUUCUAAAAUAAAAAAUAAAAUUUUUUUUAAAAAGCCUCUCGCAAGCUCGGAAGCGUGUGUGGAGUGGCUAGUAUAUAUUAAAAAUUAAUGUUUUCUUUAUAUAUUUUUAUUUUUUCAACUUUCAAUUUUUAAAACCCAAACAAUAAUCUAGCAAUUUUCUAUUUAAAUGUACUUUAAAUAAAGUUAUUGACCUUUUUUUGUUAACAAUAAUAAAUCUUAUUAGUAUAUACAUAAUUGUAAAAAAAAAAAGAUUUAAAUUAAGUUGUAAAAAAAAUUACAAAAAAAAAAAUGCAAUGCAUAAGUCAAAUUUGGCGUAUGCCCAUAUCGAAAAUGGCCCAACACAAGUGCGGCCCAAGCUCAUAUGGACUUGGGCCAUGAGCUCAAGCCAAAAUUGAUUUCUUAAAUGGGCAGGAUUGAUGAUUAUACACCACUACAUGUUGGUUUUAAGCCGUAGACGUCUUUUUUUUGUCGACUAAAAGCACUUUUGUGUUGUAAAAUAAACGAGAUUAUGCGAGAAUAUUGAGAUGUUUGUAAAGUAAAUGAGAUACAAUUUUUAACGAGGUUCGGCCUUGCCUACGUCCUCAGAGAGCAACAGCAGUAACUUUUCCACUAUGUAAAAUAACAAGCUACAACUUUAGUGUUUACAAUAUAUAUGACUCACUGAUUUUCCUCUGCUCUCUUUUUCUCUCCACUCACUCACCCUCAUUCUUCCCUUCCUUUCGUUCCUCUUUGCUUGGGCUCUCAUUUCUUUUCAGAUGGUUGGUGUGUAUCACGCAAGGGAAGGAUGAAGCCUUUUUAUAGGAAAAGUUGAUAGCUUUCCGUGAGUGUGCAAUAAACUCAUGCACCAAAGUCUUCAAACAAAUAGUAAGUGGGCUCCACUAAUUUAUUCUUUACAAUACUCCUCCUUGAAAACCACAAAAAAUAUGUUGGUUGCUUUAUCAGACUUUGCUUGGAGAAAAACUUAGUGAGGUAGAAAACUAAUGGAAGAAAGACGAGUACAACAAUCAGUAUAGCAUACUUCUGGAUGCUCCCCCUGAUGUCUUCAUGACCAUCUUUCUAGAGGGAGAAUCUUUACGACUGAGUGAGGAAUGUAGCCAUUAACAAUUCAUGUAGUUGAGUAAGUAAAUAUAUUUCCAAUGAGCUAUCUCUAUGUAAAUCAUAGAAAUUUCCAGAGUCCGCGUAUCCAACAAAACCUAGGCUAUUUGUAAGUUCACUUGAAAAGAAUAUGCCCGUAUAUGGUGUUAUGCAGAGAUAUCAUCAAAUAUGCCUCACAUCAUCCCAAAGUGAUGGUGACGGAGUUGAGCUUUAUCUGAAAAAUACAAUGUCCGGCCCAGUAUACUUCCGGAAAAUCAUUUAAUUGCCCAACGGAUAAUCCACAUAAAAAUGCUUUAAUACUUUCUUAGUAUAAGCAAGAAUCUCGUUGGCAUAAUGCUCGAUCUUUAGGCCAAGACAAAUAUUUCUUGAACUCUUCAGGAGUUUUGAUCAAUUAUCAACUCUUCAAGAGUUGUAAUGUGUUGCAACCAUAUCAUAAUUAAUGUACUCAUUGAGGCAAUUUAUACAUAUUAGUAUUGAGUACAAGAUUUGUGCUUCAGGCACAUGUCCACGAACUUGCUUCAUGCAAUUUCAAUCGUUCAAGGAUUUUAUUUAAGGGAUUACACUUUAUGACACAUUAUAUAGCUUUAGAUCUAGCUAUUUGUCAUGCUUGUACAUCUUUUAAUUAGGGAAUCGCUUCUGGCGAUAUUCUCUGUGCAUUUUAUAACCCUUAAAGAUAACAUGUUGGUCUCAUAAGUGCAAUAAGAAGGCACGAUUGCAUCUGUAAAUAUGGAGAACCUCAACAUUCCUUGUUUCUACUAGAAACAUUGUGUCAUACAAAGUGAGUAUAUUCCUCUUUAUUCUAAACACCCAAGUAUAACCUUCAGGGUUAACAUCUUUUGGGGUUCGUGUUAUGGGUUUGUUCUUUCACGUUCAUUCUCAUAUGUAAUGGAAUUGCCUCUUCCAUUUUUGGCCAAUGAUAUUGUCGACAUUUAAUAAUAGAACGUAGUUCCAAUCAACAUAGCCCAUUGAUGAUUUGAGUAGCUACUCCAAAACCAAAAAUUGUCAUUUAUCAAUUCAUGAUCCCACCACCGCAUGCAUCAAUUAUAAGUAUUUCUUUGCUUUUAAGUACCCAAGCCACUCAAGGGGGCUUUUAUUGUCUCUUUCCAGCUAGACAUCUCUUAUAAGAUGAAUUAUGUGAGAAUGUGGAUCAUAAUGCUCCAUAACCUCCAAUGGGGCAUUAUUUACAGUAGGGCGUGGAUAAUCUCCAUUUAGGGAGUUGAAACAUUUAGAACCCAUAUAUCUGUCAUGUUGCAAACAUGCCACAGAUUAAUACUCACAUGUUAAUGAAUUGUCCUUCUGGGACUUUAAACCAUGUAAUUUGCUAUGCAUUCGGCGUGCACCGUAUUAAUAUUGAUAUGUUAAUCGAUUGUCCUUUCGGGACUUCAAUCCAUAUCAUUUGCUAUGCAACAGGCGAGCAUCAUAUUGAUCACUGCUAUACCCAUGUUAUGUUCUUAUGAGACUUUAAUCUAUGCAGUGUAUUAUCAAUGUAUUCAACUUGCAAUCUAUGAAAUUUGCAUUAAUAAUUCAUGAAUACAUAUCAUAAUGAUAUAAGCCAUUCUUCUAGAAUGAUCAUAAUACAAGUCAUUCUUCUGGAACGAUCUAUAAUGCAAGUUAUUCUUUUGGAAUGGUCAUUUGCAUGGCGCUCUUCUAGAACGACCUUAUCUCCCCAUUUGGUUACCUUAAAGGAUAUCGUAUAUCAAAAUAAGAGUACAAGCAUGAAAUAACAAAAGUAGUGCUUACAUCCUUAGGUGGGAGAAACUUUUCUCAAAUAUCAUUGAAGCUCGUAUCGGCUUAGCAAAUAUAAUGUAGUGCUUGAUGAUCUAGUUUUGUCCUGCAAGAGCAAAAAUCACAAUUCUUCUAUCUCUGUCCAAAAAUAACCCUCAGUGUUAAGAUCACUACAUGGAUUCUUUCUUCAUAUAUUCUUUCUAAAGAAAUAAAAUCCAUUAUGAACAGAGAAUUAUAAAAGAAAGAAAAGAUACAAAGAAUUGUGAUAUUGAUUGCAAGGUAGGUAAGUAAUCAGGGAACGAAACUGGUGAGGUAACAGACAACAAACUCUCAUUUCUCCUAGUAUAGAAGAACUUCAGGAGACUAGAGCAUGUGGUCGUCUUUACAGCUCCCUGACAUCGCUGAAACAUAAUCAUGGAUAGUCUCGCUUCCUGAAUGGAUGAUCAGAGAUAGUCUCGCUUCUCAAGUAGAUCAAGUGCUCAUUGAUAAGAAAAACAGGUGAAUAUUGCAUCAUUAGAUAUGGAGAAUUGGAGAAAAUUUGAUGUAUUCUGCAAAGAAAAUUUCUUUAGUAACAUAUUUAUACAUAAAUGAGAGGAAUAGUUAGGUCCGGUGAAUCUCAAAUUAACCACAGAAAUUUGUGAGGUUCUCGGGGUGCUUUUGAAAAAGUAGGUCCGUGGAAUCCGCAAAGCAAAACCGGCUUUGACAAAAAUAAUCCUUGAAAAUACCUAAAGUUCCGACAAACAUUAAUGGAGGCCGCGUGAAGUUUUGGAAUCUAGAAAAGAAAAAAAGAAUAUGAGGAUCCGAGAAAAUAUUGGGAUCUCGGAAACGGUUGCCUCUACAAGGCCUGAUCUACGUUUAAACUCAACUUCCUUCCAUUUUUUGAAAAUUCAGCUUUUAUAAGACUUUCCUCAAACCCUCUUAAAAUGACUUCCUCUUCUUCUCGCCCAAAUCAUUUUGAUUUAAAUGUUGCCCCAAAAAUAAUCCGUAAUGCCAAAGUCUGGCGUCUAUCCUUUGUAUCCCAAAAUCGUCAUCUCACGGUUAAUGAUUCUGUGAUGAUGAAUGAUACGACUACUGUCAUAAUAGCUAGGAAUUUCCUUACUCCGAUGGAUGAAAUACUGUUAACAGGAAGGUCUGACGAAAAGGCUAUUGAUGACUCAAUGGCUUUUAGCAUUCAGAGUGUUGCUUUUGUUUCUAAAAUGGCUGAUCGUUUGCGUGCUAGAGCAAACGAGAUUCAGGAGCUGAACACUGAAAAUUUGUCUCUUCAGAGAAUGCUACAUAAGUCUCAACAAGAGGUUGAGAAACUUAAAGAGGAAAAUAAGGCCUUGUUGAAACUGGUGAGUUCAUACUCCAUUGAUACCCGGACAAGGCUUGACAUGCUACAGAUUUCCAAUGAAAAGAUUCUAGGAGACCAUGAGAGGCUCAUGGCUAAGCUUAAGAUGCGCCAUCCUCUUCCUUUAGAGGCUUCCAGAACAUAAUGGAAUUUUAUAGAUUUUAUAGAGCCUGCUCCUUCCUUGCAAGUGAAAAGAAUCUAUCUGUUGUAUGCUCCUUUCCUGUUAUAAUAAUUGGGUAAAUUCUUAAACUUGCACCUGUGUUUUUACGUCUUUUCAAAAUGAUGGUUUGGAACCUUGUACCUUUUCAAAUAACCACAUCAAAUCUCUCAAAUUACAUAUUUCAAUGCAUGUGAGUCCGGAACUUCUGGCUCGGGUUAAACACGACUUGAAAAUUUAUUUGCCUUUUUAAAAUGGGCAUGAAAUAUAAAUUGAGUAAAAGCCAUGAUAAUAUUGCAAUAUAGUAGUGAAGAGCAUUAACUACUAUAUACCCAAAACUUUAGGUUUGGGAUCUCUUAUAUAUUUGGAUCCACGGGCUCCUAGCCCAGAUCAUAUAAUAUAGCAAAAUAUGUGGGGAGCCUCAAUUCAUCCUUUGAGGUUUAUCCUGAUAUUAUCCAUUUCACGGUGUAUUCUUGACAACCGAAAUUCACAAAAUAUAUUUCUUCCUUGAGGUGUCGAUUAUAACAUAAUUGAACUUAUUAAAUUCAUCAUUUUCUUAUGCCAAAGAAAUAUGUGGUGUAUCACAAUUUGUAAUAAUACCUCAAAGGUUGUCUAUUUAACUAUUGGAACUUCAGGUUCUCAAGCUUGUUUUCAUAUUUUGAACUUCAGGCCAAAAUCGCAUAUUUUCAUGGUAUGGACAUUCAAUACUCUUAGACUUUGAACUUCGGGCCAAAAUCACAUAUUCUCAUGGUAUGGACAUUUUUAUAAUUUCAUGUAUAUAUUUUAGGACUUCGGGCCCUUAAUUGUCCAUGUUUUAAGGAACUUCUGGCAUCUCAUUCAAUUGCUCAUCCAUGAGUUUAAGGAACUGCAGGAUCCUUUUUGUAUAUAGUGAUAGUUUACCCAAAAUAGUUAAUAUUUAUGUAUAUGUCACUAUUCAUGUAUAUGGUACUAUUCAUCAGGUCAUGAAUACGUGUCUAUUCAUGCGUAUAGUACAUUUGUCAAUACAAUUACUAUUCAUGUGUAUGGCACUAUUAACCAAUACGACACUGUUACAUUAUCAAAGAACUCUAAGUCCUUAUUUACAUGUCAAUGAUCAAGGAUCUUCAAGUCCGAUCACUUGUUUACAAAUAUAGUACUGAAGAGACUGCCAGCUCUCACACCAUUAUCAUCAUCAAUGAUCUUCAGGUCCUAAUGUAGUUGUAUGAUGAGGAUCAAGGAACUUUUGGUCCUGAUCUCUGUAUGCUGUAAAACUCAUCAUAUCAUGCAAUUAAUUCAUAAAAUAAAUUGCUGGUAUGGACGAUAAUCCCGCACCAUACUUUAAAUAAAUGUAAAUAUGCGGUAAAAUAAAUUCAUAAAUUAAAUUGCUUGUAAAUAAAUUGCUGGUAUGGACAAUAAUCCCGCACCAUACUUUAAAUAAAUGUAAAUGUGCGGUAAAGUAAAUUCAUAAAUUAAAUUUCCUCAUGUAUAGACGUUAAUCCCGCACCAUAUCUUAAAUAAUAAAGUAAAUGUUUGAUAAAGUAAACGUGCUGGUAUGGGCACGAAUUCUACUCCAUAUUUUUAAAUAAAAAAUAAAGGCAGUUGUGUGAACGAUAAACCCGCACUACACCUUUAAAUAAAUACUGUUAUCUGUUAUAUGGAUAAUAAACCUACACCAUACGUAAAUAAAUUAUAUAAGUAAUAAACCUACACUAUAUAGUAAAUAAAAUAAAUAUGAAAUUAAAAACCACCAUUAAAAAUAUAAAUGGUGAAACCGUAGUUAAUAAUAGGAAAGUAAAUAAAUAUAGUAUAUUAUAUUACCAUAAACUUUUCAUAUUAAUAUUACAUAUCAUGGGCUGUCAACUUGAAAACCGCUUUUUUGUUUUUGUUUCUUUUUCUUUCGGUGGUUCUUCUCAAUGCUAGAGGAAAUAAUAUAAUAUUAUUAUACUAAUAUAGAAAAGUAGAGACAAACUUUAGUGCUAGUCAUUCACGUUUGUCUGCUCCCUUAAAUCAAUUGCUAUUCACAACAGUCUUAUCGCUUAAUUAUAUGGCCAUCAAGAAUUCUUUAUCUUUGGUAGAAGUAUGGCUUAGGAGACUCAGAAGAAGUUUUGUGAACCAAGUAUGGUUCUUAAAUCUGUGAAGUGAGUUAUGAAGGAAAAAGAUCUCAUCAAGCCUAUGCUUGAGUUUUUGCAAGGUGGUCUGUUUUGGAAUUUAAUAACUAUCAAGAAAGAAAGAGUAAAACAGGGGGGUUUUGAUAGGAGACUCAGCUGGUAUUUGGGAGAUAUUCGUGCUGAUAACGUGUUGUAAAAUAAAUGGGACUAUGCAAGAAUAUUGAGAUGUGCGUAAAGUAAAUGAGAUACAAUAUUUAACGAGGUUCGGCCUUGCUUACGUCCUCAGAAAGCAGCAAUAGUAACUUUUCCACUAUGUAAAAUAAUAAAGCUAUAACUUUAGUAUUUACAAUAUAUAUGACUCACUGAUUUUUCUCCCUUUGAGAAUUUUUCUCUGCUCUCUUUUUCUCUCCACUCACUCAUCCUCUUUCUUCCCUUCCUUUCUUUCCUUUCUGUCUAGGCUUUCAUUUCUUUUCAGAGGGUUGGUGUGUAUCACGCAAUGGAAGGAUGAAGCCUUCUUAUAGGAAAAGUUGAUAGCUUCCCAUGAGUGUGCAAUAAACUCAUGCACCAAAGUCUUCAAACAAAUAGUAAGUGGGCUCCACUACUUUAUUCUUUACAACAUUUUGUUAAUUCAAAAGUUUAGUUUUAGUGGGAUUAAUAAAUUAUUAAUACUGUAGGAGACAGUAGAUAGAUAAUUGGAGAAAAAAAACUGCGUUUAUUAAACCAAUGGGUAACAGUAAUUAAUCAUAGUUAAACCAAUGGGUGACAGUAACAGUUUCACAACAAUUGAUCAUUAUUGAGUUUCAAACUUGAUAAGUAGGAGGAUACAGUGCAUGGUUUUUAUUAAUGUACGUAAAAACCAAUAGCUAGCUAGGAUCUCCUAUGUCAUGGGCACAGCUAUUAGAGGCUGAGCCUUCUGUAAAGUGAGGCCAAACUUGUCUUCCAUGUUCAUGGUCUCUGGUGCAACCCCAUCUUCAAGCUUCCAGUUAUCAAAGGAGUUAAGAAGUGACCCCAACAUCAAGUUCAGCAUUCUCAUUGCCAACGGCAACCCAGGACAAAUUCUCCGUCCACCACCAAACGGGAUAAGCUCAAAGUUCCUCCCUGUAACAUCCAUGUCCAAUCCCAAGAACCUCUCCGGCAUAAACGAGUUCGGGUUGUCCCAGAUGCUGGGGUCUCUGCCUAUGGCCCAUGCGUUGACCAAAACUUGUGCACCUUUUGGUACAAUGUACCCGCAGAUUUCUACAUCUGCUCCGGCUUUGCGAGGAAUUAGCAAUGGAGCUGCCGUGUGCAAGCGCAAGGUCUCUUUGAUUAUGGCUUGUAAGUAAGGGAGCCGAGUGAUGUCUGAUUCCUCCACUGGUUUUCCUUUGCCAAUGAUGUGCUUCAGCUCCUCUUGAGCUUUUGACAGUUUUUCGGGGUUGUGUAGUAGCUCAGCCAUUGCCCAUUCUAAUAUGGCUGAAGUUGUGUCUGUGGCAGCAACAAAUAGAUCCUAUAAUAAUUGGCCAAAUUGAUUAACUAGUACGAAUAAAUACUUAUACCAUAUCAAUUCAACAUCUGAUCUACCAUUUUCGUGGUAAACUUGACCCCCGAUUGAGACAGUAUCAAAUGAAAUAAUCAGUUUAGAUGAUACAUAUAGCCGCAGUAAUAAUUAAGAAAACGAAAAACAAAAGCGAAAAUGUAUAGUAGUCAUAAUUAAUUUUGAAAUCUAAGCAAUUUAUACCUAUAUAUCAAUUGAAACAAAGUUAUCAAGAUUAAAGGAGAGCUAGAGUAUAUAUAGAUAGCCACUAACCAGGAACAAAUGUUGAGUUUCAACCAUGUCCAUAUCCUCAUUUUUCUCUUCACUACUGUUUAUAAGGGUAUCUAACAUAUCACUGGUUAUGAUAUAGUCAGGUGCUUUUCUUGAUUCCAUUCUUUGGAUGAUCAAGCGAUCGAAGAGGUCAAACAUCUUCAGGAUGUGACGAGUCAAACGGCGCCGUAUCCCCACGGGGUCAAUCUUUUUAAGCACUGGAAAAUAGUCAGCCAAGUUUGGUUUCGAAAUCUCUUCCAUAAUACUCCGCACCAGCUCCUUGAACUCUCUAGCCCUCUCACUAUUCUGGCUCGCUAAAUCCACAGAGAAGACAGUCCGCGACAUCAAAUUGAGCGUAGUUUUGAAAGCAGCGCUUCCAAUCUCCACUCCAUCACCUUUUACAACGCUUUCAUGGACAUCAGCUAUGAGCUCUUGCACUUUUAGGCGACGGUUGGCUUGGCUGGCGUCGAGAACUUUGGUGGCGAACAAUUGGGAGUUGCAUAUUUUGCGAAGGUUUCUCCACUUAGCUGAAACAGGUAUCCAGGGCAUGCCGUUCUCGCCAUGUUUACAGGCUUGGACUGAAUCUAAUACUGUUCGGUUGCAAAACAAUUGGUCAUGGGUUUGGAGAACUUGUUUAGCUAUGGUGGAUGAAGAAACCACAACAGUUGUGAUUUGGCCAAGAUGUAAAGUCAUAAUGGGGCCAUAGCGUUGUGAAAGCUUGGUUAGGGAGCGGUGGGGUUUGUUUCCAAGCUCUAGAAGAUUUCCAAUGAAAGGAAGUGGCUUUGGUCCAGGUGGAAGCUUUUUGGGACUUCUUCUUGCAAAUGAAUAAUAGAGGGCAUGGACUGAGACCCAGGCAACCAUAAGACACAUUAGAGUGGCUCCAGCGAAGGAGCCCAGCCCGAGGCAAGGGCAGAAAAAAAAAAAAAUUCCGCUCCAGCGUGCAGCCCAGGCCCGGGUUUGGUGUGGGACCCACCAACUCGGGCCAGCCCGAAGGCCAAACCAGCCCCAGGUCCAAAACGAGGGUGCUGACGUCAGCGCUGGCGUCACGCUGACGUCAGCUAGCUGGUACGCUGCCACGUGUCGCGCUCAGUGCCUUCCGAUCUGCUUCUCCUUUCUAAUCCAACGGCUGAGGCUUUUUUGGGUGAAAAAAAUAUGAAAAAAAAUUCUAAAAAAUUCUAAAAAAUUCUGAUAUUUUUUUCUAUAAAUACAUAUCAAUACCCUUCACUUUCAACACCAAUACUCUUACAUUUCAUUAUACUUCUACUAAUAUUCACUCUUUUUACACAACAUUUUCCUCUUUUUCAUCUAGCAUUUUGAAAUUCAUCCGAAAUUUGAACCCAAAUUUAUCUGAAUUUUGAAUUUUGAAAUUCAUUCGAAAUUUGAACCCAAAAAUUUAUCUGAAAUUUGAACUUUGAAAUUAAUCCGAAAUUUGAAUCCAAAUAUCUUAUCCGAAAAUUUUAUCUGAUUAUGAAUAGUCUUGACACGUAGGAAUCCGAAAAUCUUAUCUGAAAAUAUUACCCAAAUUAAUUAUUUUCAUUAAAAAAUAGGAGGAAAAAACAAAAAAGUGAAUAGUAAUUGCCAUGGCUAAGGGCAACGGGUGGAGAAACGAUUUACUAUUUGCAAGGGCAACCACUAUUCACGUGAAUAGUGCUUGCCCUAGCUCCACCCUUGCCAUGGCUAAGGGCAAAUGGGUGGAGUUGCUCUUAGAAUGCAACUCAAGAAAUCCAUCUCUCGCCUAACUUAAUUAAUUUUUGGCACGAUUGUUGAGACUUAUCAAGAAAGCAUGAAAAUAUCUUUUAAGUUCGUUUAUACUUAUCCUCUAAGCUAAGAGACAAACUUAGGUAAUAAAGACAUUUGAGAACAACUUGGGUAGGUAAAGAAAUUUGACAACAAUUUGGGUCUGGACUUAACUGUUACGAGUGGAUGCUUUUACAAGCUAUCUUUAUUUACUUUAAGGUGAAUUUCAAUAAAUAUCAUAUGAACUUUUAGGUAUGUGUGGGAUUAACUUAUAAAUUUUUAAUUUUUUCUAGUAAUCACUUGAACUAUUUAUAGUGUUGAAAUAUUUACAAUCUACGUCUAACUCCUUUAAAAAUUUCCGUUAAAUCAAAUCACAUGCUUCAAAAGUGAUAUUAUUAAAAGUCAUUUCCAUCAAUUCACUAUAAAUAAAAAAUAUAAAAAUAAAACCAACCUAAUUUUUCCACGACUUUCCCAUCGCCUUCCAACACCUCCCAAAUCUAGAAGAGUAGAAACAAAGGAAGAAAAGUGAUUGAGCUGACAAGAUUUCCAAAUACAUUUUUUAAAUUGAAAAAUCAACACCGAAUAACUUAAUAAAAAAUUUACAAAACAAAAAUCUGUAAACUAGUGGCAUGGCUCUGUUUGCUUUUCCUUUAGAUAUAGCCUUCGCAAGUUCAAUCUACCAUCAUAUCUACAGUUUCUAAAUUCAUCUUCCUGUGAUGUAUUGUGAACAAAUUUUAAGAGGCAGGACGUAUGAAACCCAAGCCUAGCGAAGCAACUAACACCAAAAUUUUGAGGAAAAAAAAAAGAAGAAAGAUGAAGAUUGGCCUCAAUCAUAAAGCCAAUACAGUCCAAUUACUCUAUGCACCCCAAUAAACCUUCCUCAGAAAAAAGAAAAAAAAAACUAUCUUCAUAGUUAAUUCUGCUGGACGUUAUUACAACAACUAAUUGUUAUUGAGUUUCAAACUUGAUUAAUGAUUGAGAUAUAUACACGACAUAGUCUCUAUUUUUUUUAAAUAAAAGCGAUCGAUAUUGGGUGGGUGAGAUUCAAACACAGAAUCUCGAGUGCAAGGAAGAUAACUGUUCAAAAUAUGGAUGGCAAUUUUCCCCGGGUAAGGGUCUUCGCGCGGAUUUGACCCUAAUGGUCAGGUAAGAAGGAUAAAAAACGGGUAUGGGGAUGGGUACGAUAAAUUUUUUGGGUAUGAUGUUAGGGGAGGGGCAGGGAUAGUAUUUUAAUCCCUGACCCGAACCCUCCCCGUUUAGAAUAUACAUAUAUAUAUAUAUAUAUAUAUUAUAGUGUAUAUAAAUAUGUUAUUAAAGUGAUUGUGCCAAUUAAGUUUUAUAUUUUCUAUUAUUAUAUUAUAUAUUUAUAAAAUUUAUACAAAUCUUAAGCCACACUAAUUAUAUAUUUAGUUAACUUCCAAUCAAUAUGUAAACAUUCUUAUAUUGUCUUGUACGUAGAUAAUAUAUUAUAUAUACUCAUUAUCUUGCCCUAGUCCUUUUUUGUUUUGUUUCAAACAAAGUAGUUUUAUAUUGAUUUUUUCUUCCCUAGUAAUGGGGCAGGUCGGGGAACCCAUUCCCCACUGAAGGUGGGAAUAGGGAAUCCCUGAUAUGAAUAUUGCAAUUAUGAAGGCGAGAAUGAGGGGAAAAGCUUAACGGGAUGGGGAUGGAAAUAGCAUACCCACCCCCGAUCCGACCAAUUACCAUCCCUAGUUCAAAACCACUUGAGUUACAAGGUAUAUGCAUACACAACAUAAUCUUAAUUUAUAAAAUAUGAAAACUUUAUAAACUGAUUUUCCUUUUGUCAUUAAUAUGAUCAUUAUACAGUAUAUAUAUACAAGUCUACAGAGAACAAUCUACAAUUACAGCAAGCCAUUAUCAUAAACAUAAGGAUUAACUACACUUUAGUCCCUGGAGGUUUAGUGUCAGUAUCGAAAUGGGCCCCAAGGUUUCAUUUAAAUCAAUUUCAUACCCGACAUUUUGAACUAUUACCAAUUUACACUUACCGUUACAUUGAUCGUCAAAGUCAGACGUUAAAUGCUGACGUGGUAGUCGUGGGACCCACCUCAUAACCAAACAACAGUUAGAAAGAAACGAGACUAAGGGCAAUUUUGAAAGAAAAAAAAACAAAAUAAACAAAGGUUUGACUUCUGUCCAAUGCACACGUUCCAAGGCAUGCUUCGGAUACCCAAGCUUGGAAAAAUCAAAGAAACUCAGUUUAUGAGUUUUCGAGAGAGACAUAGAGGAAAUGGUUUGUUCGUGUUUUGGAGAGCAAAGAUUUGAAAUUGACUGCAAAAAUCAAACUGAAACAGAGGCUUCCGAAAUAUCUGAAGAGUUUGAGUUGGGAACUUCGUCCCAAAGGAUAUAGAGGACCUUUCUACGGUACGUAUGGCUUACUGUUCUAAGGUUCUUGGUAGAUGAUGUUUCUGAGCUAAACUUUCAAAUAGAGAGUUUGAGUUUCGAGUGAAAGUUUGGUUUUUAUAAUGGAUUGUGAGUUUCGAGUUAGGUGUCGAUAUCACUGUGUCCAUUUAAUUGGUAGAUGGAAUUGUGUGAAUGGUAGGUGGUAUGCGAAAGUAAACUUUGGCUUUUGUAUGUGGUCCUACAACCAGUAGGAAUCUUACCUUUUGUGUAUGUGUGUAUUGACAUAGAAAGUUUGUACUUGUAUGUGUGUAUGCAUAUGUGUCUUUUUGUAUUUGUAUUUGUAUUUGCAUUUGUAUGUGUGUAUUUGUAAACAGCCUUACAUGUAUUUUUGUUUGGUAAAAUUCAUGUGUGGCUUUCGACAUGCGGGGGAUGAGGCAGGAUUUUCUAUUGAAAUGUACCACAAUGGUGAAAUAAGAGGUAACUAUUAUGUGAAUGGGUCUGUUGAUUGGUUUGAUUAUUGUGAUAAGGAUAAAAUGUCAAUGACUGAGAUAGAUGUCAUGGUAAAGGAGUUAGAGCACGAAGGUAUGAUUAACUACGGGUACAGUAUUCCAAGUGAUCAUUUUGAUUGUGGCCUAGUUAAGCUGGGUGAGGAUGCAGAUGUCUUAGACAUGCUAGUAUUUGUGCCAGACACUAGGUUGAUAAAUAUAUUCCUAGAACAUGUCUUGGCAUACAGUCAAGAGCAGUUUUACAGUCAAGUGGCUUCAAACAUAUUUAUAAAUUUGGAGGAUGAUUUUGGGACCAACACUAGGGUAGUGAUUGAAGAGCUUGAUGACAAUUAUGGUGCCAUUGUUCUAGUGGGUGGGGGAGUAUCCCAAGUGCAAAAGGUGAAAAAAAAAAACAAGUGUUGUAAUAGAAGAGUUAAAUGAAGAAGGGUUGAAUCAAGAAGCAGGUGGACAAGGCAAAUAGUCGAAUCAAGAAAAAGAAGGGUUGAAUCAAGAAGCAGGUGGACAAGGCAAAGAAUUGAAUGAAGAAGGGUUGAAUCAAGAAACAGGUGGACAAGGCAAAAAGUUGAAUGAGGAGGGGUUGACUAAAGAAGCAAGUGGACAAGGUAAAGAGUUAAAUGAAAAAGGGUUGAAUCAAGUAGGGUUGAUUGAAGAUGGGUUGACUGAUGCAGCUUCUGAACAAGCCAAAGAAACUGCCACUGUGAAUAAGGAGGAGAAUUCUUAUAAGGGCCAAGAAAAGCCAAAUAAGGGUUUUUCUGAUAAAGGCAAAGGCAAGAAUAAAAACAUGUCACAUAUGGUGAAGCGUGCUUUUGGUAUAAAUAAAAAAAAAAGAUGCGGCAAUUUGAGGAGGACAAAGACUGUUCACCAUAAAGACGAAGAAGUUGUGGAAGGAAGGGUUGAUGGCGUCAGGACUGAGUCCAAAAGCCAUUCCGUGAUGUUGAGAAGUGGAAGAAGAUAUGCAAAUGCUGUAGACUUUGAAGAUGAAGAUGAUGAUGCUUUUAAUAGUGAGGACUCAGAUUAUAUGAUUUCCAAGAACUUUAGUGAAGAUGAAGAUGAUGUUUUUUUUUUUAAAUGAAUAAGUGGAUAACCAAACUGAAUGGACAGGGGUUAAAGAAACUGGGAAUGAGGCUGCUCUUGUAUGCCUACGGAUGUUGAAUUGGAUUCUGAAGAUUCUGAGUGCAAGGAUUAUGCCAAGUAUAAUUCUGACAAGGAAGUUGAUAAGAAUUAGCCGAAGUUCAAUGCUGCAACUAACAUGGCAGAUCCAAAGUUUGAGAUUGGCAUGUUAUUUACUGAUUGUAAGGUGUUUAGGAGAACUGUUAGAGAAUACUCCAUCUUGCAGAAUAGGGAUGUUGUGUUUAUUAGGAAUGAGGCUUUGAAGUUGAAGGUAGUUUGUAGGGACCCAGAUUGUGGGUGGAUAAUAUAUGCUUCAAAAAUGCAACAUGAGAACACAUUGCAAGUGAAAACAUAUGUAAGUGAGUACACAUGUACACAGCUAUGGGAGAACUCUACUAUGAAGUCAACAUGGAUAAGCAAGAAAUAUGUUGAGACAUUGAAGUCCAAUUCCUAAUGGCCAAUCAGGUCAUUCAAGCAGACUGUUAAGAAGGAUUAUAAUACAUGAGUGUCAAGACUACAAGUGUAUAGGGCAAAGGAUAAGGCACUAAACCUGAUUGAGGGCAGUUUCAAUGAACAAUAUUCAAGAAUUUCAAAUUAUUGUGAGGAAUUAAGAAAGAGUAACCCAGGAACCACAACAAUGGUUAAGUGUGAUUUCCAACAACAGUUGGGGCAACCAAAGUUUCAAAGGUUGUAUGUUUGUUUAGGAGCUGCUAAGAAAGGCUUCAAAGUUGGGUGUAGGCCCAUUAUAGGUUUAGAUGGGUGCUUUUUGAAGAGUGUUUAUGCAGGGUAACUGUUAACUGUUAUGGGUAUAGAUGCCAAUAAUGAAACCUGGGUAAUUGCAUAUGCAGUUGUGGAUCAGAGUGCAAGGGUUCCUGGAUUUGGUUUUUGGAGCUAUUGGUUAAGGAUUGUGAAAUUGUUAAUCAAUUUGGCUUCACAAACAAAAAGAUUUACUGCCUGCAUUUGAGCAAGUGGUCCCUAAUUGUGACCACAAGUUAUGUGCAAGACACAUGUUUUUCAACUAUAGGAUAUUGUUCAAAGCAAAAAGCCUGAGAGACAAGUUUUGGGAAGCAUCAUAUGCGACCACUGUCCCCCACUUUACAAGGGCCAUGGAAGACCUGAAAAACCUAUCCAAGGAUGCAUAUGAAUGGCUAACCACUCCAGAUAAACCUCCAAUACAUUGGUCCAAAUCACACUUCAAUACUCAUUUGAAGUGUGACAUGUUGUUGAAUAAUCUGUGCGAUUAUUUCAAUGCUACCAUAUUGGAAUGUAGGGAUAGACCAAUUCUUACAAUGUUUGAGUAUAUUAGAUGUAGUUGAUGAGGAGAAUACAAGGAAGAAGGGAAAAAAUGUUGAAAUGGAACAUGCCUAUCUACCCAAGAAUAUUUAAGAAGGUGAAGGGAAAUAAAGCCAAGGCAAGUGCUUGUGUGGCAAUGUGGUCAGGUGGAGGUAAAUUCCAAGUGUGAGGUGGUGGCCAUGCAUAAUAUAUUGUGGACUUGGAAUUAAGGACUUGUUCUUGUAGAGCUUGGGAUUUGUAGGGAUGACCUUGUGUUCAUGCUAUUGCAGCCAUAAAUUAUAAAAGGGGUCUUAAUGUCAUGGAUUUUGUGGAUGACUGCUAUUCGAUAACAAUUUACUUGAAGACAUAUGAUAAUCUCAUACUGCCUAUGAAUGGGAUAAUGUGUGGGAUAAGAGUGACUUUCUAUCAUGUCUUCCUCCGUCUUACUCUAAACAGCCUGGAAGGCCAAGAAAAUGUAGAAACAAAGAAGAAGGAAAGCACAAGGGCAAAAUGAAGAUGAGAGCGUCAAGCAACCAAGUUGAAACUGCAUUGUCUCACAUUCCCAACACACAGGACUUUCUCAAAUGUGGGCAAUGUGGGAAAAAGAGACACAAUAAGAGGACUUAUCAUAGGAAUCUUCCCCCAAACACCAAACUGCAACUAAGAGGAAGAAGGGUAUUGAAAAUACCUAGGUAUAGCAACUCAAUAUUGUUCAAUUCUAUCCCUUAAUAACCCUAAGCUUUUGUUGCUAACUGACAAGAAUUUUUAUGUUGUAGACCACUAUUAAUCCAUCUGAAGCAGCCACUCCAGCUGGUCCAAGCACCAUAAAGAAAAGAUCUAAGCCUCCAAGGCGUGUGCAAAAAGGGAAGCCUCUAGUAAGUAACUUUGCGUUGUCAUGGUUAUUAUCACUUUUCUUAAAUUUUCAAAUAAAAGGUUAACAUCCUAAACAUUUUUCAGCCAAAACCAAGUAAGAAAUGACAUGCCACUUCUGAAGCACAACCAUCCUCAACUUCAUGUCCUCAUGCCUUCAUGCAUCAACUUCUGUUUCAACUGUAGGAUCAAAUGUUGUAGAUUGAAGCUGACUGAAAAAGGAAUUUGAUUACUCGCCUUUUUUUGUUAGACUGGCAGUUUGUGAUUAGGAGGUUUUUGUUUUUGAUAAAUUGAUCAUGUAUAACUUAAGUACUAACCUUUUUUUAUGGAUGUCAUGGCAUUCACAUAAGCCUCAACCACUGUGAAUGCAAAUACAUCCACUAAAACUGCCAUUUUGGAAUAAAUUUGAAUGGACAUGAAAUAUGUAAGAUAUGCAAUGUUAUUAUCUAGCUAUUUUGAGCCCAUUUUGAAUGCAGAAUUUUCUGAGUUUUUGGGUUGGCACUUUACUUCAUUAUUUUGGCCAUUCACUUUAUUGUUCCAGGUGCAUCCAUUUUCUAACUUCCCUGCUACAUUGUUUUUGGCAUUCCUUUGCAUAAUUUGACUAGCACUUGGGAAGCAUCAUUGGCCAUUUACUUGAUUGAUUUGGGCUAAUUUUCUAACUUUUAUUUACAUUGUUUUUGACAUUCUUUUGCAUAAUUUCACAACCACAUAGAUUUAGAUGGCCAUUCACUUCAUUUGCAUACUCUUUAUGAUGGCCAUUCACUUCAUUUAGAUAUAAUUCGCUACAUAUUUUGUCAUUCCAUUCACUUCAUCAAGUUACAAAAAGUCAGCAAUUAAACCCUUAACCCUUACCCCUAACCCUUAACCUUAACCCUUACAUAACAAUUAAACCAUUACAAAAUGCCACUAACAACCCAACACUUACAGAAUCUCACAAACAACCCAUAAACAAUUCAUUCAAUGGCAGAAGCUAAUUCCAAGCUCCUCUUUUUGUUCACUCCACAUUCACACAUCCUUCCCAAAAUGAUGUUUGCAAAUAGAACCCACGAAGCCACCAACAACACCCAAACUACCUUUUCUCUUUCUCUUGCCUUUGCCACGGAUUUCUCCAGCUGAAUCCGUGAUUUUAGAAGCACAGGAAUCACUACCUUUGACCGUUCACACAUGGCCGGAUCAAACCAUGCCCAGAAUUGACAACCCUUAUUCUUAGUCCCACGUACCUUUGCUGCACACAUGGAAAAUCGCCUCCCAAGAUUCGAAUAUGUCCAAGAGGUUCGAAUUGUAGCAGUCUUUCUGCACCAACACAUCGGCGCCUCUUCAUCCAAUCCAACUAGCCAAUCGGAUCUUCUUCGUCAGUUUUCUCUCCACUUUUUUCCUUUCUCCUUUUUAUCUUUGCUCUCCAAAACACGAACAAACCUCUCCUUUAUGUCUCUCUCAGUAUCUCUCGAAAACUCAGAAAUUGAGUUUCUUUGAUUUUUCCAUGCCUUGGGUAUUCGAAGCACGCCUUGGAAGUCAAACCUUUGGUUUUUUUUUCCAAAAUUGCCCUUCGUCUCGGCUUUUUCUAACUGCUGUUUGGUUAUAAGGUGGGUCCCACAAUUGCCACGUCAGCAUUUAACGUCUGACUUUGACGGUCAAUGUAACGGUAGGUGUAAAUUGGUGAAACUUCGAAAUGUCGGGUAUGAAAUUGAUUUAAAUGAAACCUUGGGGCCCAUUUCGAUACUGACACUAAACCUCAGGAAAUAAAGUGUAGUUAAUCCUAAACAUAAAUAUGGAAUUAUGGCCUAAUAACAACAUAAUUGACAGCUAACCAAUUCCUAUCAUUAGUAGGAUUAAUUAUUCUAACUGAAAUACUAUUCUAACUCCCUAAUACUCCCCCGCAAAUUGAGCACGGACAACAUAGCAAGAUUUGAGUGAAGAAACUACAUGGUGACGGAGAUGGCGGCAACAGUCAAAUGUAGUAGUCCAGUAAGGGAAGAAGAACUCCAUAGGUGCAACAAGGCUUGAUAGAAACAAAGUAACAGAAAAAUAAAAAUAACGCCCUUUGAAAGGCAACAAGUGAAGGAGCGCAUGGGCUUAUGGAAGGAAAGAAUAAAAUGACGGGCUGACAUAAAAGUCCGAUAUACCUAGGAAACAACUCUAGGCACCUGAGAAACAUAACUCUACCUAGGAAUCACCCUCUAGGUAGGAUAAAGAGCAUGCGUUAAGUGGGAAAAUAAAAGGAUGGGGGAAGUGAAACCUAUCAUCAGGUGGGAAAGGCCAAAAAGUGGUGCACAAAGAGAGAGAGAAACAAAUUUUAAAAGUAAAGGGAUGGGGAAGAAUAAAACCACAAAAAAAACAAACACCUGCCAUAACGCAUAGAUAAAAAAGAGGAAAAAAACCAUGCGAGAGUCUCACGGUGAGACAAACAAAAGACAAGGAGCGUGAGCAAGACAGGCCCUUGAGACAAGUGCAGAAAUAAAUUAGGUUUUUUUUUAAAUAAAUUAAAUAUUAGAAAAUGAGGACAAAACCCAGCACGUGGAAAGCAUAGAAAUAUGGAGCUCAAGAAAGAGAGCCAAGCGCAGGGAUAUUAGUGGUGUGCAAAGUAAAAGAAGAAGAUUACAAAGAUAAAAGUGAGAAAGGUUAAAAAGGGAAAAGAGAGAAAAGAGAACUCUUUGAUAGGGAGGGAGAGAGUCUCUCAAAUAAACAGAGAAAUAUGGCUCAAAACAAAGAAAGUUGAGGGAGAUUUCAAGAGAAGAAGGGAAACCAAUGAUAGAGAGGUAUGGUCUUCGAGGGAAAAUAAACAAAAAGAGGGAGCUUGUGAGAACAAGAAGCUCAAGAGGGUAAGGAAAAGUUUGAUGCUCGGUUUCAGCAGAGAGAAGUGGCCCCAUAUUGAUGGAUAACAAGGGGUUGGCGAGCCAAAAGAGGGUUAGGCAACGGCUGUGCAAGAGAAUAACAAUGGCAGGAUAGCACAGCAUGAGAGAGAUAAAGGCCGGUGAGGAAACUCACGGAGGAAACAGAAAUCUAGCCAUCAUGGCCAACGAAGAUAAAUGGAGCUGUGUUAGGUUGCCUUGAGAUAGCUCCACAAUGAAGAUGGUGCAGCAGAGACACAAAAAUAACGGGCUAACAGAAGAAAAGGUUACAGUCGUAAAAGAGAGGUGUGGCUAUAGCUAAGGUGGAAAGAAAAAAUAUAUUCAUCAGAAGCUCCACGACCAGCCAAAUUUUCUCCUCCAAAACCGCCACCAAAUGCCUCCAUUCUUGGCGGCACUAGUCCCGUUAGAACCGUCUCACUUCCCUCUUCGAUUCCCAACUGGUCCCAGCCUUGAUUCGCCAUCGUGGUGGCCGAAAUCAGCCACGAAACAAUUGGUGUUAUAGAGUUUUUUUGUAAACUUUCGGGAGCUCAUUCGGAGGCCUCCGGCCACCAAAUCUUUCGAAUUUUAUAUGAUUUUAUAUCCUUUCAACAUGUUCUAUCUGCUGGUUGUGUUAGUUUUGAGAAAUUUCUGCAUUUAAUUGGUUGAUUAAGCGAUUGAAGUUUUGGCCAGUUUCGAUCUCUGAUUCCGGCCACUUCCAUCAACUUUUUGGGGUAGGUCCAAGAACAAAAGUUGCUCCACUAUAUGUGGUGAUCAUGUACGUAUAAGUCUUAACUAGCAGUUUGGAGAUUUUUCGAUCGCCGGAAUCACUUUGGACACUCACGAGCUACCAAAGCAUGGGACACCUUUCGGCCUGACCUUAAGUCCUAAAAUUAUCUUCAUGUCAUCCCAAGCACGAUGGUAUGCUCGGAUAUGAAUUUGGUUACCGUUCGAUUGUCGAUCGAAUAUUGCAUAUUAAGCGUUAUCCGGGUUCGAUAUGUUCGGGCCGUUGGAUUGACUCCAAUUAGAUAUAUAUUGAUCUAGGCAUUCCUAAGAUUGUGUAGGAAUUCACGGAUCUUGAAUCGGAUCGCCGGAUGUUCCAAUUCAAUUACUUAAAGUAUGCGUUAAACGAUAACCUCCAAUCGUCCAAUCACGAGCAAUUCGGACCAAACUUGCAGGGUAGAUUUAGAGGGGUGUGUUGAACCUAUAGGAACUCCCGAAUUUGUGAUUGGAGGUCGCGGGCCCCGCGGGUCCAAUUGACCAAGUUUAGGCGGUUUGACCCCUCGGUUGACCGUGAGUCUUUUGAGGUAUUUAUAUCAUUUGAGAAGUAUUAGAAUGACCAUGCAGACGAGUCCUCACUGAAAAUUUAGUUAUUCGGAUCAUGUUAUGGAUUUAUAUAAUUAUGAGAAGAGUAUAUAUAGUUAUAUAUAGAUUGCUAAAUUGUGCAUAGUUCUAUUAUUUAUAUUUUAAAGUGUAUUAUAGUAAUUGAUAAUAUAUUUGAAUGUUAUUCUCAAUGCUUGGAGAUUAUACAUUAUUGGAACUAAUGGAAUCUCUAGGAGUAGUGAUUAUUUAUUUAUUCCCUUAUUCAUUUACUUAUUUAGUUAUUUAUUGCUAUGAAGAUUAUAAUUACAGUAUUGGAAUGGUUGGAUAAUCGGAGUUUGACAUGAUUAACAAACUAAUUAGCUAUUUAAGUUCAUGUCUAUAUUUAAUACAUAUACUCAAUAGCUGAAAAUGGAUUUGUUGAAUAAAGGGAAAGUUUGUGAUAAGUUUUGGAUAUGGCUUUUCAAACCCAUCUCAGGAGUCCCCCCCUCCCCCCCCCCCCUAUUGCCCUUGAAAUAGAUUUGUCAUUUAUGACAUGCCCCAUGAGUUUCGGGACGCCUGAACUGUGUAGUUUGAAGAUAUGCGUUCUCGGGCCUACUACAUGUCCCUCGAGUUCUGCGAGGAAUGAGGCCCAGGCUAACUAAUGGCCCCUUCAGGCCUACGAGGAAUGCGGCUCGGGUUAACUUUGUGUUUCCGAAGCCUGCGAGGAAUGCAACUCGGUUAACUUUGUGUUUCCGAGGCCUGCAAGAAUGGAAUUCACGGACUAAUAUUGGAAUUGAUAGAUUAUUAUUGGAAUUGACGGAAUAUUAUUAGAAUUAACGAAAAAUUAUUGGAAUUGACGGAAUGUUAUCGGAAUUGAUGGAAUAUUAAAGGAAUUGACGAAAUAUGGAUAGGGGUAUGUCCAGGUGGAAAGAAUCUCAAGAGACAAAACCUAAUCCUAUUUAAAAUAGGACUAACAUAAAAGCACUUAAGUGAAAAUAACUCCAACUAGGAAUCCUAUAAUGAAUGCAUGAUUAUGUCAUGAUUAUGCAUGAUUUUUUCCCUUCAAAAAAUAACAAUUUGGGUUUUGCCCGUACUCAAAUCAUUUUUUCUCCCAACCCUCCGGACUCAAAUUUUAAGUCUGCAACUUAAUUAAAUUGUUUAAGAAUGGUUUAAGUCUUUUUUUUUUUAUGGAUAACUUUUCUUCAUUUAAUCUUUUUAAAUAACAUCAUAAUUUAAUUUUUUGAACAAUUUGACCUAAAAAAAAUUGAAAUUCCAUAAAUUUAAUUUUAUUCCAAAAGUAAACACACAACAUAAAAAAAACACACACAACAUAAUUGAAACACAAAAUGAGGAUUGAAACAAUUGUCGACCUCAUUCACCAUCUCCAAAGCUCCUCCAAAGGUGAUUGAUCAAAUCAUGUCGGAGACUCUGAUGCACAUGUGGAGAUUGAACUCUAUUAUGACGAAUCAUGUAAUCAGAGAGAGUCUGCCUAUCUUGGUGGUACUCAUAUGUAAUGCUUGGCUCCAGCUCAUAUUGUCUUGCUUUGGCCCUCAUGGAUCGUUGUGAACACAUAUCCUCAUCAUCAAAUUCCUCUUCAACAUAUUCAUACUCAUCCUCCACAAUCAUGUUAUGCAAAAUUAUACACAUCAUCAUGAUUGAAUAGAGGUUAUCCCUGCACCACAUACGUGUAGGGCCCCGAACAAUAGCCCAUCGAGCCUGUAAUAUUCCAAAUGCUCUUUCAACAUCCUUCCUGUAUGCUUCUUGCAUUCGUGCAAAAAGCCUCUUCUUUGGGUUAUCAGGAGAAGAUAUGGUCUUCACUAAAGUAGCCCAACAGGAGUAGAUCCCAUCUGCCAAAUAGUAGCCAAAUGGUAUUGAUUUCCAUUGACAAUAUAUUCAACAUGAGGAGCCACUCCAUGUACCACAUCAUUGAACAAUGGAGAACGAGCUAAAAUGUUGAUAUAAUUGUUGGAUCCAGGGGCUCCAAAAAAGGCAUGCCAUAUCCAUGUGUUGUACGAGGCCACGGCCUCUAGCACAAUAGUGGGUUUUUUUUUGUGACCGGUAAACUGGCCUGCCCAAGAAGAUGGGCAAUUCUUCCAUUCCCAAUGCAUGUACUCAAGACUUCUUAACAUGCCUGGGAAGCCUCGACUGCUUGCCUUGUGCAAUAGCUUGUAAAGGUCAGCUGGAUUUGGAGACCUGAGGUACCAUUGGCCAUACACAGCUUCAACAGUGCAACAAAACUUACGGAGUGACUCAAGAGCUGUGCUUUCACCCAAUCUACAGUACUUGUCGGUCGCGUCAGCUGAGCAUCCUCAUGCGAGCAUAUGAAAGACAGCGGUUAACUUUUGCUCAGGGGAUAGCCCUUGUCGACCGAGCCCGUCUUUUUUUUGGCGAAAGUAUGGCUCGUGGUUGACAACAUCAUUCAAGAUGCGGUAAAACAACUCUUUCCCCAUUCGGAACCGCCUAUGAAAGUCCGUAGUAUUAAAAUGUGGCCUUUCAACAAAGUAGUCGAACAUAGAUUGCGAUGACGAUCUUCCCUCUCACGGUUCUUAUACACACGACCGAUUGCCGACCCACCAUGUUUGGUGGCUUCAUUCUCCAGUGAAGUAUGGUGGACAAUGGCUUCUAAAUCAUCUAAAUCAUCAUCAAACAUAAAGGAAAAUAUGGCCUUGCCACGGUUAUCCAUUGAAAACUUCAAAUGAUAUGAAAAGCAUUGGAAUGAAGAAGAUGAUGUGCUUGAAAUGAUAUCAAAAGUAUGAGAAUAAAAGAGUUGAUGAAAUUUACAAAGGAAAAAUAAAUUGAGAAAUAGAAAAAAUAUUUUUAGUAGAUUAAUUGAGAAAUGAGGGAGUAUUUAUAGAGUUUGGAGUGAGUUUUGGGGUUGGAUCUUAUUUGGAUUAAUUUAAAAUAUUAUUUUGACUAUUGGAUCUUUUUUUUUACCCUUAAAAUAGCUUAGAUUUAAUCUAGAUCGUUAAUUUAAAGUUACUAUUAGAAUUUUAAAUAUAUAUAAAUAUUUGAAUUGCAACGCCACUUUGAGUUGGAAUAAAGCCAGCAUGUGGGCCUAGUCUCUUUUUAAAGAUACUAUUACAUUUAUAAAUAAAUAAAUAAAAAAGGAGCUGUUGGAAUUGCAACGGCUCUCUCACCAGGAGCUGACACGUGGCAUGGGCAGCAGACAAACUCAUCAGAGCUGGUCCCAGCGCGGGUCCCAAUAUUUUUCCCAUGCAUAUGGGCUAUGCCACCUUAGCGCGGGCUCCACUAAAUAGUUUUGGGUCCAGGCUAAAUGUGGACUGGUAUUUGGGUCCAAAUUUAGGUUUUCUCAAAUUUUGGGUUUUUCAUUUUCUUGGGUUGGGAGAGAUUUUGGGGGAUAUUUUGGGUUUAAGUCCUUGGUUGAAGAUGGCCUUAUGUUUACUGUUUCAUUCUUCUUCUUCUUUUUUCCUCCUCGCUUUUUUUUUUUUUUCAUGACAUACUUCAAUUGUUCUAUGUUUCUAUAUUUAAAUAUGCUUCCUUUUUUUAAGUACAAAUUUGAAACAUUGGGACUUUAUAUUUUAUUGUGUUUACUGUCAAAUUUUAUUUUUUUAAUCUUUUCCAAAUUUUUUAUUUAUUGAAAUGCUCGUAAAAAAAAUUAAUAUAAUAUAAACAUACAUUAAAAUAAAAUAAGUUAACAACAACAAAAAUGAACGCGUAAAAUAAAUUACAUCAUAAAAUAAAAUAAAAAAUACUUAUAAAGUCCCCUAUUGUGAGAAAGACAGUAAUAUUUCAUCGGGGCUCUAAAUGGAGUUCUAUCCACCAUAUUUAGAGCCUCAACCAUUACAGAUGGCCUUAUAGAACUCCGGAUAUAGAGCCCCUCAUUGUGAAAAAGAUACCUUUAGAGCCCGUAAUAUUUCAUUAGAACUCCAAAUGAGACUCUAUCCACUAUAUUUAGAGCCUCAACGAGGAUGGCCUUAGAUAACCUGAUAAGAUAAACAACGCCAUCCACCAUACGAAGUGGUGGCCUUAGAUGAGGUUUGUAAUUUAAAUCACCAUCUUUUUCAAUCCACAACAUGAUGAAAGAGUUGAAGGCAUAGAAACAAACAACGAGGUCCAAAUAACAAAAUGCAUCACACUCAAAUAGGGACAGUGGGACUUUUUUGGUAGGUGCUUACAGGAAAAAUGGUUAAAAAGAGGUCAAGUGGGGAUGGGGAUGGGGCUCUAUAUUCUUUAUAUUUUUUAUUUUGUGUGUCUCCUUGAGCCCCUCAUGACAGUGGCAGAAAAAUUCUCCACCACUUCGUAUUUUAGCUGCAUGUAGGCUUCCCAAGAGAUAGAAGAGAAGUUCACUUGGGGGCCCUGCAGGCCCUUAUACCCAAGCAAGUUCAAGGCUUCCUCCCUUUAAUUUUUUUUUUUUUUUUUUUUUAAGAAAAGAGAUAUAUAUUAUUGCUCUCUAUUUUGCCACAUGGUAGGAAAGUCCCCACCUAAGUUUUUCUCUUUCGUGUUUAUCUCCUAGCAUGUAGGAUAUAUAUAUAUAUCAGUAGUGAAAAAAAUGCUCAUGUCCUCUGAACAAUUGUGCCAAAAAUUAACGGGCUGGAAGAAGUAGAGAGAGAUGGAUUUUUUGAGUUGUGUACUAUUAUGUCUUAUGGUUGCCUGGAUCGUAAUCCAAGCCCUCCAAUAUUCAUUUGCAAGAAGAAUUCCCACAAACCUUCCACCUGGACCAAAGCCAUUUCCUUUGAUUGGAAAUCUCCUAGAGCUUGGAAACAAACCCCACAUCUCUCUAACCAAGCUUUCAAAACGCUAUGGCCCCAUUAUGACUUUACAACUCGGCCAAAUAACAACAGUUGUAGUUUCUUCAUCCAUCG